Molecule: long non-coding RNA, 272898 nt
Filed under: Arachis ipaensis
Lineage: Eukaryota; Viridiplantae; Streptophyta; Magnoliopsida; Fabales; Fabaceae
Description: long non-coding RNA (AIPA_LNC002289)
Rfam family: Plant small nucleolar RNA R71 (bases 30019-30125)
Source: RNAcentral
AAAUUGAUUUGCCAUAGUUGUGUUUAGUAUGAGGGGUUGCUAGAAUGGUUUUAAGAGAUUGUGAUUAGGUGGUUACACAUUCUAUUUUUUCCUCCAAUUUUUGAGUUUAGGGUGGUAGUUAUCUUUUUAGUAUAGCCUUGUAAGUACUAGGUUCUGGUGGUGAACAAAUCUAUAUAUUGAAAAAAGUGGAACUUGUAUAGUGCAAUUUUGAUGAACAAGGUGCUUGUAGUUGGGAACUCAAAUCUUCUAUCGCAUUUUUCUGUGUGAAUGAUUUUAAAGAUGUUGGGUUUGAGAAUCUUAAAAUAGAAGAAAAAGGGAGGUCUCAUGAUUUUACAGGUGUUAGAUUUUUAUUGAAGGAACUAAGGAGACAGGAAAAUGGGAUAGAAGAUUUCAGUUCCCUAAUGAGACUUGUACCUUACUCAUUGAUUUUCUUUACUAAUGUCAUAUUCCCAAUCCCCCCAAUUUAUGUCAAGUGCAAGAAGUAAUUGUUACUUGUUAGUUCCUAUAAAUAAAUUAAAAAAGAAGAAAAAAAAUUGUUUUUUAUUCUAUGGUCAUCUUGAAUAGAUUAUUCUUGGUAUAAAGUAUAAACCACUUCUUUCUAGUUAUCAUACAAAAUGCCUUUGUAUUAUAGAUAAAGGUUCUUAUACCCAAAUAAUUUUUACCAAGUUUUCAACGCCUAGCAAGUAAAUAUUGUAAAUAUGUAUUAUUUGGGGUCAUUUUGAUAAAAAGAUAACAUUAUGUUGGUGUUGUAAAAACUGAUUAAAUUAUACUAUCUGUAUUCUAACCCUAUCAUGAAAAUUUGUUCAAAACAUUUGUCCCUCUCAAAGCUGCUUCUUUCUUCUUUCUUUUUCAUUUUUUCUUUAAGAAAAAUAGUUUUGUAGACUUCCAAAGCAUGCUACAACUAAUUGGGCUACUACAGUAAUACUUCUAAUUGAGCUACUCAUGGCUAUUUGGCCCCAUUUCUGUUACAAAAAGUUAAACUAAUCGUCUCUCUUUCCUUUUUCUUUUUUAAGUUAUUUAUUUUUUUUCCUAUUUCCUUAGUACAUUUUUUUACCUUAGAUAAAGAAAAUGUGUUAAAAUUAGAUAUUAAAAUACAAAGCAGGUUUGGUACCGGUUAUUUCUUAUGUUUAUUAUGUACAAGAACAAAUCAAACCUACAUAUAAAAUGAAGAACCAUGAACAGGAGGGUUUAUUAUUUGCUUGGAAUGUGGGGUGCAGAAGUAUCAUUUUGGAGGGUGAUGCAGAGUUAUCAAGAGAGAGAAGACAAGAAUUCAACCAUUCUCACAAUAGCACCACUUCAGGAUAUCCUUAAAUAUGUUGGCUGGUUUAUAGGUUUAGUAGUUGUAUAGUUGUAUUGUUUUUAGGGAAUAUAAUAAAGCGACUGAUGAAUGGAUAAUUUAUACGCUUUUUGGCAUUGUUUUUACAUAGUUUUUAAUAUGUUUUAGUAACUUUUUAGUAUAUUUUUAUAGUUUUUAUGCAAAAAUUACAUUUUUGGACUUUACUAUGAGUUUGUGUGUUUUUCUAUAAUUUCAAGUAUUUUCUGGCUAAAAUUGAGGGACCUGAGCAAAAAUCUGAUUCAGAGGCUGAGAAAGGACUGCAGAUGCUGUUAGAUAGGGGUGUUCAAAACCGAUCCAGACCGAACUAAACCGACCAACCGAGCCGAAAAACCGAAAACAAAAAAAAAACUGAAAAAAUAUGUUUUGCUAUUUUUGUUGCGGUUCGGUUCGGUUUUCGGUUCUGACAUUGGAAACCCCAACCGAACGGAACCGAACCGGGAAGAUAAAAAAAACCCUAAAAAAAACCAAGCCCACUCCACCCCUAAAUGCACGUAACCUAGCCUACCCCAAGCAAUCCCCAAGCCCCACCCCCAAACGAAGAACGAAACCUAGCCGCUCUCUCCCUAGGUCUCAGCACAGCCUCGCUCUCUGCACCUCUCAGCGCCGGCGAGGGAUCGUUCCUCCCACUACCUCGCUGCGCUGCCGACCUUCCUCGCAGCGCCACCCUUCCACUGCUUCCAGGACCUCCUCGCGGACAGAGCAGCCCAGCACACAGCCAGAUCCCAGCGCCCAGAUGCCCAGGACCUUCCUCGCAACUUGCAAGUCGCACCCAGUACUCCAGUAGCACAGAGAACCCGACACCUAGCAACAUCCUCGCAAGUCGGACCCAGCACCACCCACUCACCCAGCGGACACAUAGCACUGUUUCAAGUCAGAUAUGGAGCCCGAGCCACCGAGUCAGGUAUGUAACUUGACUGGAAUUGAUGUUCUGUUUCUUGUUCAUUACUUCAUCUCCAAUUGCUUCAACUGCUUCUAGUGUUUGUUUUGUGCUGUUGAAUUACUGAAACUGCCUCUGUUGUGUUUUGUUUUGCUAUUUUGUUGAGUGUUGUAUUACCAAAUUGCUUUUGAAGUGAUUUAGUAUGUUUUGGAGCUUCUGGAUCUUUAUAGGGUUAGAUUGAAAUCAGUAUGGUCAGCUAAAUUUGAAUAAUAAGAACAGGAUUUUGAAUUUGUAUGGUAUGAAUUACUUUUGUUGGUAUUGUUGUUGGUUGUUUAAUAAAUUUCUAAAUUUGUUUACCGUGGAUAGAUUGUGUGGAGAAUAUCAUUCUACUCCAAGUUAUAAGUGUUGUUAGAGUUUAUUGUAGUAAUUGUUAGGAUUUUUCUAAUAAUAUAUCUAUUUUUUCAACCUGGUAAUGAGCAAGCUUUCCAUGAAUCAGGUCAUGUCAUGUUGUUGCAGGCUGGUUCUUAAAACAUUUUACAUAAGUGUGUGUGUUUUAUACAGGGCUAAAAAGUCAAUGCAGAUGUUAAGAUUUACAUGUGUAUAUGAGAGAUUUGAUUCUUUAUUUGUGCAUGCCCUUAAUUAUUUGGUUGUUUAUUAUAUAUCAUGCUAAUUAUGAGUGUAGAUUAUGACAUGUUAAGAUCAGCAGUAUGUCACUAUACUUUCAACUAUAAUGCAGAAAAAUUCAACUUAAAACAUUAAAAUACAAAAAUUAAAACAGAAGUAUUCAAGAAAUGCAUAUUAUAAAGCAAGAUUUGUUACCUAAAGUUAACUCAAACUCAUGCAGCCUAUAUCAGAAAUAUCCCUUUAGACCCAGACUCUAAAUCAUCCAACUUGAUAUACGGACAGAAAGUUUUAUAUGAGCUUGCUUGAAUUUGAUAUUUUUUUGUGUUGAGCACUUGAAUCCUUUUCUAAUUGAAUGUGCUAACUAAAUUUGAAGGUGCAUUUGAAAGGAGAUAUUAUUAGUUUAAAUUUAUUCUGCAUUCUAUUUCAUCUGCAUUAUCACUAUUAAAAAUAAUUGUCUUGUUAACAAAGGUACCAUUGUAAAAGAUAGCAUCUCCUCAAUCUGUGUUAAUCACUGGUGCUAUAUUAUUAUUAUUAUUAUUAUUAUUAUUAUUAUUUUUAUUUCAGGUUGAUUUGCUUAAAGAUGUUUUGCAGUUUUGCAGUUUUGCAGGAGAGAACACCAAAACAUGAUUGUCUUUUGCUGAAAAUUUAUUUUUAUCUUUUAUUGUAUAGACUAUUAAACUUUUAAUAAUUUUAGUUGUGGUAUUAUAAUUUCUUUUAUCGUUGAAUUUCAUUGUAUUAAGACCUUUUUUACUCUUGUGGAUGUAGUUUUACUUUUAUAUGUUAUGGCUUUGUGAAAUAGUAUGACAUUUUUUUAAUCGAUUGAAAAAACCGAACAAACCGAACUAAACCAAACCAAAUUUAAUUGGUUUGGUUUGGUUCGGAUGAUCUCGAAAAAAAACCGAACCAAACCGAACCGCAGUUAAAUUAAACGAUUGGAUCGGAUGACUUUUCUCUAAAAAACCGAACCAAAUCGCACAGCGAACACCCCUACUGUUGGAUUCUGACCUUCCUGCACUCAAACGCAUUUUUCUGGAGCUACAAAAGUCCAAUUGGUGCGUUCUCAAUUGGGCUGGAAAGAUAACAUCUUGGGCUUUCCAGAAAUGUAUAAUAAUCUAUACUUUGUCCGAGAUUUGAUGGCCUAAACUGGCGUUAAAUGCCGGCCAGAGACCCUUUUUUGGCGUAAAACGCCGGAACUGGCACCAGAACUGGAGUUAAACGCCCAAACUGGCAUCCAAGCUGGAGUUUAACUCUAGAAAAAGCCUAUGAACAUGUAAAGCUCAAUGCUCAGCCCAAGCACACACCAAGUGGGCCUCGAAAGUGGAUUUCUGCACUAUCUGCACUUAGUUACUUAUUUUCUGUAAUCCUUAGUAACUAGUUUAGUAUAAAUAGCACUUUUUACUAUUGUAAAAGGGGGGGUGAACCUCUUUUCACUUUUAUGUUACAUUUGGGAGGCUGGCCAUUCGGCCAUGCCUAGACCUUUUUCUCUUAUGUAUUUACUACGGUGGAGUUUCUACACCUCAUAGAUUAAGGUGCGGAGCUCUGCUAUUCUUCAUGAAUUAAUGCAAGUACUAUUGUUUCUCUUUCAAUUCAUGCUUACUUCUUCUCCAAGAUAUACUCUCGUACUUAAUUCAAUUAAUUCAAAGUGAAGGGGUGACCCGUGACAAUCACCCACUAUCUUCGUUACUCGCUUAGCCAAGAUCCGCGUGCCUGACAACCACAAGCAGUCUACAUGAUGUUCAACGUAGUCAUUGGACGACAGCCGAAGUAUAAUCUCUUGGGUCUCUGAUCCACGGAUUUGACUUGCCUCUCCUGACAACAGAGCAUUCGAAUCUGUGAGAUUAGAACCUUCGUGGUAGAGGCUAGAACCAAUUGGCAGCAUUCUUGAGAUCCGGAAAGUCUAAACCUUAUCUGUGGUAUUCCGAGUAGGAUCUGGGAAAAGAUGACUAUGACGAGCUUCAAACUCAUGAAUGUUGGGCGCAGUGACAGUGUGCAAAAGGAUAGAGAGAUCCUAUUCCAACACAAGUGAGAACCGACAUAUGAUUAGCCGUGCGGUAGCUGUGCCUGGUAUUUUUCAUCCGAGAUGAGAGAUCCGACNNNNNNNNNNNNNNNGAGUUGUGAAAAGUGUGAUCACAAUUCCGUGCACCAAGUUUUUGGCGCCGUUGCCGGGGAUUGUUCGAGUUUGGACAACUGACGGUCCAUCUUGUUGCUUAGAUUGGGUAAUUUUAUUUUAUGUUUAAGCUUUUUAUUUUUAUUUUCAAAAAAAAAAUUAAAAAAAAUUAAUAAAAUCAUAAAGACUAAAAAAUUUUGUGUUUCUUGUUUGAGUCUUGUGUCAAAUUUUAAGUUUGGUGUCAAUUGCAUUUUUUUAAUUUUCUUAAAAUUUUCGAAAAUUCAUGCAUUAUGUUCUUCAUGAUCUUCAAGUUGUUCUUGAUGAUUUUCUUUGUUUGAUCUUUACAUUUUCUUGUUUUGUGUCUUUUCUUAUUUUUUAUAUGCAUUUUCUCAUAUCUUUCUAUUUAUUUUAUUUAUCUACUAACAUUUCUCUUCUACUCAUCUAAUAAUUUGAACCCUCUCCCUCUCUCUAUGUUCAAAUUCUUCUUAUUCUCUCUCUACCCCAUUCUUCUAUUCUUCUUUUCCUCUGACACAUAAAGGAAUCUCUAUACUGUGACAUAGAGGAUUCCACUACUCUCUUUGUUCUCUUCUUUUUCAUAUGAGCAGGAACAAGGAUAAGGACAUUCUUGUUGAAACUGACCCUGAACCUGAAAGGACUCUGAAGAGGAAGCUAAGAGAAGCUAAAGCACAACACUCUGGAGAGGACCUUACAGAAAAUUUCGAAAAAGAAGUAGACAUGGCAGCCGAACCUGAGAACAAUGGUGGAGAUGGAAGGAAGGUGCUUGGUGACUUUACUGCACCAACUUUCAACUUCUAUGGAAGAAGCAUCUCAAUUUUUGCCAUUGGAGCAAACAACUUUGAGCUUAAGCCUCAAUUAGUUUCUCUAAUGCAGCAGAAUUGCAAGUUUCAUGGACUUCCAUUGGAAGAUCCUCAUAAGUUUUUAGCUAAAUUCUUGCAAAUCUGUGACACUGUUAAGACCAAUGGGGUUGAUCCCGAGGUCUACAGACUUAUGAUUUUCCCCUUUGCUGUAAGAGACAGAGCUAGGAUAUGGUUGGACUCACAACCUAGAGAAAGCCUGAACUCUUGGGAAAAGUUGGUCAAUGCUUUCUUGGCCAAAUUCUUUCCACCUCAAAAGAUGAGCAAGCUUAGAGUGGAAGUCCAAACCUUCAGACAGAAGGAAGGUGAAUCCUUCUAUGAAGCUUGGGAAAGAUACAAGCAAUUGAUCAGAAGGUGUCCUUCUGACAUGCUUUCAGAAUGGAGCAUCUUAUGUAUAUUCUAUGAUGGUCUGUCUGAAUUAUCCAAGAUGUCAUUCGACCACUCUGCUGGUGGAUCUCUUCAUCUGAAGAAAACACCUGCAGAAGCCCAGGAACUCAUUGAAAUGGUUGCAAAUAACCAGUUCAUGUAUACUUCUGAAAGAAAUCCUAUGAAUAAUGGGAUGACUCAGAAGAAAGAAGUUCUUGAGAUUGAUACUCUGAAUGCCAUAUUGGCUCAGAACAAAAUAUUGACUCAGCAAGUCAAUAUGAUUUCUCAGAAUCUGACUGGAUUACAAGUUGCAUCUGGCAGUACUAAAGAAGCCUCCUCUGAAGGAGAAGCUUAUGACACUGAGAAUCUUGCAAUGGAAGAGGUAAAUUACAUGGGAGAAUCCUAUGAAAACACCUAUAAUCCUUCAUGGAGAAAUCAUCCAAAUUUCUCAUGGAAGAAUCAACAGAAGCCUCAAUAAGGCUUCAAUAAUAAUAAUGGUGGGAUAAAUAGGUUUAGCAAUAGCAAGCCUUUUCCAUCAUUUUCUUAGCAACAGACAGAGAAUUCUAAGUAGAACCUCUCUGACUUAGCAACCAUAGUCUCUGAUCUAUCUAAGACCACUCUCAGUUUCAUGACUGAAACAAGGUCGUCCAUCAGAAAUUUGGAGGCACAAGUGGGUCAGCUGAGUAAAAGAGUUACUGAAAUCCCUCAUAGUACUCUCUCAAGCAAUACAGAAGAGAAUCUAAAGAAAGAGUGCAAGGGCAUCAAUAUAUCCAAAGUGGCCGAACCUAUAGAGGAGGAAGAGGCAGUGAUUUCCAGUGAGGAAGACCUCAAUGGAUGUCCACUGACCACUAAGGAGUUCCCUAAUGAGGAACCAAAGGAAUCCGAGGCUCAUACAGAGACCAUAGAGAUUCUACUGAACUUACUGUUGCCAUUCAUGAGCUCUGAUAAGUAUUCUUCCUCUGAAGAGGAUGAAGAUAUCGUUGAAGAGAAUCCAUCAUCCUUGGAAGACCCUUCCUAGCCACAGCAAGGGCUGUGAUUGAUGUGGACAGAGGAGAGUUAGUCCUUCAAUUGAAUGAGGACUACCUUGUGUUUAAGGCUCAAGGAUCUUCUUCUGUAACCAUGGGGAGGAAGCAUGAAAAGCUUCUCUCAAUACAGAGUCAAGCAGAGCCCCCACAUUCAAACUCUAAGUUUGGUGUUGGGAGGCCACCAUCACGCUCUGAGUGUCUGUGAAGCUCUCUAAGAGCUCACUGUCAAGCUAUUGACAUUAAAGAAGGGCUUAUUGGGAGGCAACCCAAUGUUAUUUAAUUAUAUUUAUUUUUUAUAGACAUUUGUUUUCCAUUGCCAUGUUAUGUUUUCUUUAGGUUGAUGAUCAUGUGGAGUCACAAAAAUAGCUGCAGAAUUAAAGCAGAAUAAAAAAAAUAGUAUCAAAAAUAGCACACUCCGGAGGACAGGCUUACUGGCGUUUGAAUGCUAGUAAGGAUAGCAGAAUGGGCGUUUAACACCCAGUCUGGCAGCAUUUUGGGCGUUAAACGCCAGAAUUGGUAGACAGACUGGCGUUUAAUGCCAGAAAAGGGUGUCUGGCUGGCGUUAAACGCCAAAAAGGGGCAUCAACCUGGCGUUUAACGCCAGGAAAGGCAGCAGAGCUGGCGUUAAACGCCAGAAAGGGCUGUCCAGGGGUGGUUAAAUGCCAGAAAGGUGCAGGGACCAGAAUUCCUUGACACAUCAGGAUCUGUGGACCCCACAGGUUCCCCACCUACCCCAACUCUCUCUCUCUCCUCUUCACACCUUUUCAUAACACUCUUCUCCAAAUACCCUUGACCAAUCACAUCAAUACCUAUUCCCCAAACACCAUUCACCUAUCAAGUCCUACCCUCUUUCCCAUAAUCUCUUCACCACUCACAUCCAUCCACUAUUCCCCAAAAACCCAUCAUAAAAUCCUACCUACCUCACCAUUUAAAUUCAAAACAUUUUCCUCCCAAACCCAACCCCUUCUUACACGAAUUCCCUCUCUCUCUUACCCUAUAAAUACCCCUCCUUACCACCUUCAAUUUUACACAUCAUAAACACUUAAACCCCCCUUGGCCGAAUUCAAAACACCCCUCUAUCUCCUCCAUUUCUUCUUCUUCUCCUCCUUUCUUUCUUCUUUUGCUCGAGGACGAGCAAACCUUUUAAGUUUGGUGUGGGAAAAAGCUCUGCUUUUUAUUUUUCCAUAACCAUUAAUGGCACCUAAGGCCGGAGAAACCUCUAGGAAGAGGAAAGGGAAGGUAGUUGCUUCCAACUCCGAGUCAUAGGAGAUGGAGAGAUUCAUCUCAAAAGUCCAUCACUAGAAAGAGGAUGGAGCAAACAAGAGAGUCCACUCAUGGACCUCAACAAGAGCAUGAGGAAGUCCCUCAUCAAGAAAUUCCUGAGAUGCCUCAAGGGAUGCAUUUCCCUCCACACAACUAUUGGGAGCAACUCAACACCUCUUUAGGAGAAUUGAGUUCCAACAUGGAGCAACUAAGAAUGGAGCACCAAGAGCACUCCAUUAUCCUCCAUGAAAUUAGAGAGGACCAAAAUGCCAUGAGAGAGGAGCAACAAAGGCAAGGAAGAGACAUAGAGGAGCUCAAGAACUCCAUUGGUUCUUUAAGAGGAAGAAGAAGCCACCAUCACUAAGGUGGACCCGUUCUUUAAUCUCCUUGUUUAUUUUCUUUUCUGUUUUCGGUUUUUAUGCUUUAUGUUUUGACUAUGUUUGUGUCUUCAUUACAUGAUCAUUAGUGUUUAGUGUCUAUGUCUUAAAGAUAUGAAUGUUCCAUGAAUCUUUCACCUUUCUUAAAUGAAAAAUAUUUUCUGAAAAAGAAAAAGAAGUACAUGAAUUUCGAAUUCUAUCUUGAAAAUAGUUUAAUUAUUUUGAUGUGGUGGCAAUACUUUUUGUUUUCUGAAUGAAUGCUUGAACAGUGCAUAUUUUUGAUAGUGAAGUUUAUGAAUGUUAAAAUUGUUGGCUCUUGAAAGAAUAAUGAAAAAAGAGAAAUGUUAUUAAUAAUCUGAAAAAUCAUAAAAUUGAUUCUUGAAGCAAGAAAAAGCAGUGAAAAACACAAAGCUUGCGAAAAAAAUGGCAAAAAAUAAAGAAAAAGAAAGAAAAAGAAAAAGCAAGGAGAAAAAGCCAAUAGCUCUUUAAACCAAAAGGCAAGAGCAAAAAGCCAAUAACCCUUUAAACUAAAAGGCAAGGGUAAAAAGGAUCCAAGGCUUUGAGCAUUAAUGGAUAGGAAGGCCCAAAGGAAUAAAAUCCUGGCCUAAGCGACUAAAUCAAGCUGUACCUAACCAUGUGCUUGUAUCAUGAAGGUCCAAGUGAAAAGCUUGAGACUGAGUAGUAAAAGUCGUGAUCCAAAGCAAAAAGAGUGUGCUUAAGAACUCUGGGCACCUCUAACUGGGGACUCUAGCAAAGCUGAGUCACAAUCUGAAAAGGUUCACCCAGUUAUGUGUCCGUGGCAUUUAUGUAUCCGGUGGUAAUAUUGGAAAACAAAAUGCUAAGGGUCAUGGCCAAGACUCAUAAAGUAGCUGUGUUUAAGAAUCAACAUACUAAACUAGGAGAAUCAAUAACACUAUCUAAAUUCUGAGUUCCUAUGGAUGCCAAUCAUUCUAAACUUCAAAGGAUAAAGUGAGAUGCCAAAACUGUUCAGAAGCAAAAAGCUACUAGUCCCGCUCAUCUAAUUGGAACUAAUCUUCAUUGAUAUUUUGAAAUUUAUUGUAUUUCUCUUCUUUUUAUCCUAUUUUAUUUUUAGUUGCUUGGGGACAAGCAACAAUUUAAGUUUGGUGUUGUGAUGAGCGGAUAAUUUAUACGCUUUUUGACAUUAUUUUUACAUAGUUUUUAAUAUGUUUUAGUUACUUUUUAGUAUAUUUUUUUAUGCAAAAAUCACAUUUUUGGACUUUACUAUGAGUUUGUGUGUGUUUCUGUAAUUUCAGGUAUUUUCUGGCUGAAAUUGAGGGACCUGAGCAAAAAUCUGAUUCAGAGGGUGAGAAAGGACUGCAGAUGCUGUUGGAUUCUGACCUCCCUGCACUCAAAUGCGUUUUGCUGGAGCUACAGAAGUUCAAUCAGUGCGUACUUAAUUGGGCUGGAAAGCUAACAUCUUGGGCUUUCCAGCAAUGUAUAAUAGUCCAUACUUUGCCUGAGAUUUGAUGGCCCAAACUGGCGUUAAACGCCAGCCAGAGACCAUUUUCUGGCGUAAAACGCCGGAACUAGCACCAGAACUGGAGUUAAACACCCAAACUGGCAUCCAAGCUGGCGUUUAACUCUAGAAAAGGCCUAUGCACGUGUAAAGCUCAAUGCUCAGCCCAAGCACACACCAAGUGGGCCCCGAAAGUGGAUUUCUGCACUAUCUGCACUUAGUUACUUAUUUUCUGUAAUCCUUAGUAAUUAGUUUAGUAUAAAUAGCACUUUUUACUAUUGUAAAAGGGGGGGGGUGAACCUCUUUUCACUUUAUGUUACAUUUGGGAGGCUGGCCAUUCGGCCAUGCCUAGACCUUUUUCUCUUAUGUAUUUACUACGGUGGAGUUUCUACACCUUAUAGAUUAAGGUGCGGAGCUCUGCUGUUCUUCAUGAAUUAAUGCAAGUACUAUUGUUUCUCUUUCAAUUCAUGCUUACUUCUUCUCCAAGAUAUACUCUCGUACUUAAUUCAGUUAAGUCAGAAUCAAGGGGUGACCCGUGACAAUCACCCACUAUCUUCGUUACUCGCUUAGCCAAGAUCCACGUGCCUGACAACCACAAGCGGUCUACAUGAUGUUCAACGUAGUCAUUGGACGACAGCCGGAGUAUAAUCUCUUGGGUCUCUGAUCCACGGAUUUGACUUGUCUCUUCUGACAACAGAGCAUUCGAAUCCGUGAGAUUAGAACCUUCGUGGUAGAGGCUAGAACCAAUUGGCAGCAUUCCUGAGAUCCGAAAAGUCUAAACCUUAUCUGUGGUAUUCCGAGUAGGAUCUGGGAUGGGAUGACUGUGACGAGCUUCAAACUCACGAAUGUUGGGCACAGUGACAGUGUGCAAAAGGAUAGAGAGAUUCUAUUCCGAUACAAGUGAGAACCGACAGAUGAUUAGCCGUGCGGUAGCUGUGUCUGGUAUUUUUCAUCCGAGACGAGAGAUCCGACAGUUGAUUAGCCAUACAGAAACCGUACCUGGACCAUUUUCACUGAGAGGACGUAUGGUAGCCAUUGAAAAAUGGUGAUCCACCAACAUACAGCUUGCCAUGGAAGGGAGCAUGCAUGAUUGGAUGAAGACAAUAGGAAAGCAGAUGUUCAGAAGCAACAAAGCAUCUCUAAACGCUUAUCUGAAAUUCCCUCCAAUGAAUUACAUAAGUAUCUUUAUUUUAAUUUACGUUUUAUUUAUCUUUCAAUUAUCAAAACUCAUAACUAAUUGAAUCCGCCUGACUAAGAUUUACAGGAUGACCAUAGCUUGCUUCAAGCCGGCAAUCUCUGUGGGAUCGACCCUUACUCGCGUAAGAUUUUAUUACUUGGACGACUCAGUGCACUUGCUGGUUAGUUGUACCGGAGUUGUGAAAAGUGUGAUCACAAUUCCGUGUACCAGCGACCAAUUUUCUAGAUCAGCAACAUAGUAAGCAUAAAAGUAUAUCAAGCAAUUAAACCUGCAAGAGAAUCCAAGCAUGCAGCUGUUACAAGGCACCCUUCCAAGUUUAGUAAGGAAAGCUUUUGUAACCCUGAAAUGAACCAGGACAUCAUCGAAAAUUAAUGAAGCAUAGAUAAUUAUGAAAUACUGAAACUCAAGAAUUCUGUUCAAACUGGCAAGCUAAGAUGCUAGUAUUGUAUAUCGGUACUGUUUAUAGUUCACACUGCAACAUGUCUACUGACUAACAUAAGCAAUAUCAACUACAGAAAUUACAAGGACAAAUGAAAAAACAAAAAGAAUUUUCCAAGAAUGAUUUAUACAACAGAAGUCUACAUCAAAGAAAUGAAGCACAAGGAAGAUUGGAUAUAUAACUGAAAUUUUUCCACAGAAAAGACGAACUGAUUGGUUGAUAGCUACAUUCAGAAUUAUAACCAUAUAUUCACAUAAAAACAGAAAACAAAGAAAAAUCCAUGGAAGAAGAUGAAAAUGCUAGGUUGAACCUAUAAAAUAAAAAAUCCUGAUUGUUCUAAAACACCACAAAAAUACAAGGAAACGGAAAGUGCCUUUUAGAAAGCUGAUGCUAAAAUUAGUGACUUUACUCCAAGAAAUCUCAAGACUCUCCAAACACGCCAACUCUGGAAGCAAAUUGAAUAAAAUACAUUGUUCUGUUAAUCAUUGAACCAUGUGUUGGCUAAGACAACAAUGACUAUACUUCCAUAUGUACACAUCACACUGACAAUUAUACAGUUGUUAAGCACAGUUGCAAUGUGUUCUUUCUUUGAGAAAUAAAAGUAUUCACACACUUGAACUCAUUAGCCUUCAGGAGCAAAGGUUUUGAUAUCUUUAAUGCCAUACAAGAUAACCAUAAAACAGACCCUGGUUUAUCUAAUUCCUAAACUAGUCGACCUUGUAACCAUUGAAACAGCACCACUAAUUACUGAUAUUAGAGAAAUACUUAAAUAUUUUGGCAGCACCACACCAGACUAGUAAAAGCAUAGCAUACGACAGACAACAUGAUUACAUACCAUCAGAUUAAAUUCAUAAUAUUAUAUUUAAAAUGUUUAAACAUGAUCUGGAUCUCAGAAUUGUUAAUCUUUCUAACUACCUAUCCUAAACAUCGUAGUUUCUAGCCAUUGAGAUCAAAGUUCUCGUACCUUAAACAUGACAAAACCUUGUUGAUCUUAGAAUCUAGAUCAAUUAUGUGAACCUACUUAUUUAAAAAAAAUGCGAGCAGCCAUAAGUAACUAAUUCAACUGAGUUAGCAUUUCGAUCAAACCAGUUUUGCUCAACUUUCACCUAAAAUAGCAAAGAGAAAUAGAAUUUGAAAACACAAUUAUCCAUAUCCACUCAGCACAAUUAUCCAUAUCCACUCGUUAUUUUGUUGACUUUUAAUUCCACUUUCUACUUUUAAUUCUACAAUAGGGUUAUUGACUUAUUGGCCAUAGACCGGGACAAUAACCCUAUGAAAUAAAGGCAGAAAAAUUCUACAAUAGUUCCAAUCAACCAAAAUAGCAAAGACAAAAAGAGAAGCUGGUUUCACACAGCUUACCAAACUUUAUAAAAAAACAACUAAAAGGCUUCACAUUAAAGAUAAAAGACCAAGAUGAACUGCAACAUGUCUACUCACACACCAUCCCAUUAUAAAACCUUAAACAUCAAGCAAAAUUCUAAGCCAAACACCACAAACAACAUAAAUCAAGUUCACCCAAAAAAAAAAAUUUUUUUUCAAAAUAAUAAUAAUAAUAAUUUAAAGGGCCAGUUAAUUACUUCAAGUCAAUGUCAUGGAAUAAUUGACAAAAUUCAGUUCCAAAAUUAAAGCAAACAACAAAAAAUGCCACUCAGAAAAAAUAUAACAGCUCAGAGAAUCACAGAAAAAGUUACAAACUUUGGUGAAUUAACACACAUCCGAGAUACUGAAAACAAAAUAAAAUAAAGAUUGAGGAUCAAACCUGAAAAGGGUCACAAGACAGGGUUUGAUUGACUGUAUGAAGAAGAGCAAGCUUAGUGUUGCAACGGUUUCAUGGAGCAAAAUUAAGGAGCAGUGACAGAAGCAACAGAGAGGAGAGUGUGUAAAAGUGAAGUGAGAGAGUGGAAACACAGAAACAGGAAAACAAAGAUAUUAACUACAUAAGAAGAUAAGUGAGAAGAAAUGCAAAAUUUAGAAAUAUAUUAUUAUUAUUAUUAUUAUUAUGAAGUCAUGAAAUAAAAAUAAAAAUAAAAAUAAAAAAUAAGUGAAACAUAGACAAGGACAAGAACCUAGCCCUUAAAAUUGGCCAAAUCCCUGAAGCAUAUUUAGUACUAUGAUAGUGACUUCACUAGUAUUUUAAGGCACAAAAAAUAACAUUAGCUCCAUGCCAUUGAAGAAAUAUUAAACCAAGUAUAAGAUUGAUAAUGACAAUCAACAAAGAAUUAAAUAGCAAGUAUUUCCUUCUUUCAUCACUGUCUUAGUUCCUUAAAACUCUCUGGUUUGUUCAUCAAUUUUAUAGUGAUAAACUAAAAGUCAUUAAGAGAGAUAAAAAUCUGUUUAGUCAAGAAUGUAAAAAUAAUACAUAUUUAAGCUAGAUAAGUAACAAGGAUCAAAUUCUUUGUAACAUUACAUGCAUAUUUAAACCAAAUGCCUAUUUCUGCUAUUGACUACUAGGAAAGAGUUAAAACAGUACUAUUAAUUUGGUUUCAACUUCCAAUAGGCAUGCAGCUUUUCAAUUUUCUUCUUAGUUUUAUAAAAAUGAUUUGUAGCAUAUACUCUAUGAAUUAUAAUUAGCCAAACUUCAAAGAUUUAGAGUUGUAUUACUAAUUAUGAUAUAAAUGAAACACUCGUAUAUGAAAUAACAUCAAUAUAGCGUGCUAUGGUGAAUCAUAAUAGAUGCAGUGAAAAAUCAAGAAUAAAAAAUCAAAGAACAAAAUCAACUCAAGUACAGAACAGGAAAAAAUAGAAGCAUUAAAAAAUCAUAACAAAAAUCAAGAAUCAAGAAUAGCAACCAAGAGAAUACUAGAGAACUGCAGAAAAUAUGCCAACCAAGAAUAAAAAAAUUUAAAAAUCAUAACUAAAAUCAAGUACUAAAAUACUUAGGAACAAACCAGAAUUAACUCAAGAAUAGAACAGAAAAAUAAAUAGAAGCAGUGAAAAAUCAGACAAAAAAAAAAUCAAGAACCAACCUGAGUCAGAAGCUCCAUUCUUGAUGAUGCAGAUAGAGAGUGGCAGAGUGUAGGGAGGAGUGGAGGAAGACGCGGUGGCUGCCAGAAAGGGAGAGGCGCUGGACGACGACGGCUGGACGGGGCUCGACGAUGGAGGGCGAAAGGGCUCGACGAUGGAGGGCGAAAGGGCAUUCAAAGAACUUCCAUAGAUGAGAAAGACGCGGCGUUUGCCCAGUUGAGUGGUUUAGCCUUCCUUCUCCUUUAUGUUCUUUAAAUUCCGUGGGUAGCUAGCUACCGAGAUCAAUGCAGUCAAUUAUUGCUAGGGUUUUGCCGUUUUGGUGUGCUUCAGAGGGGAGGGGGGCACGAAUGAUAUUAGGAGAAGAUGAAGAACAAAUUGAUUUUUUAUUUUUUUGAUAUGUUUUGCUUUGCUUUAGAGGAUGACACUAAUGAUUAGGGGAAUUAGAGAAGAUGAAGAAAGAUUAAUUUUUGAUUUUUUUUAAUAUAUUUUUGUUUUGUUGUUUAAAUUAUUUGAAACUAUAAAAUUAAGAUUAAUUGAAUUAUAAAAUUUGAUUAAUUUACAAGGUAUUUUUGUCUAAUCAAAUAAAGUAAGGAUGUUUAAGAUUUUUUAUAAAAUUAAAUAAAAAAAUAUUUUUAUUUUUAUUUAAUUAAAUGGGUAUAUUAGUAAAAGUGGUGAUAUAAUAUAUAUUUAAAAAAAAAAAUUAAAUGCUGAUGUGAAAAAAAAAUGCCACAUAAUUUAUUACUAUUUGUCCAUAUUUUAAACGUUUCGGUACGUAUGAAUUUAUUAUCGUACCGUAGCAAUCACCUUAUUUUUAUUGUUAUAAAAAAAUUGGUUUUAUUCUAAUUUAUUAAGAAAUUAAAAAAUAACUGAUUCAUUAAUACGUUUAAUAAUAAUGCGACACAUAAAUAUCUUUAUAAAAAGACGUUUUACGCGUCUUUAUGUGAUUAUCCUCCUUCACCAAAUAUCAAAUUUAAGAACAGUAUAAGUGAAUUUUGAAAUUAAGUUUAAAAAUAUACAACCCAAGUCAAAUAAGUUUCAUUAUAAUUGGCCAUGGACGAAAUUAGAGGGUUUUGAGUUGUAAAUGCUAAAUCGAAUUGAUAAUAUUAGAAUUUAAAAACUAAUAUAGACCAAAGUGUUGGUUUAUUUGAAAAUAAUAUAAAUACCUAAGACUAACUAUUAUUAUCCUUCGAUUGGCAUUAAUUGAAUUCAACCCAACUCAAUUCGUCUUGACAAAUUAACAAAUCAAAUUAUAAAAAUUUUGUCCAGAGUUUAUUAUACUAACUAACAUGCAAUAAUAAUUCUAGUAAGUUAACCCAGAAGAUGUGAACAUUUAGCUAGAGUUUAUAUUAAUUAGCACACACUAAAACCAUUUAAUCAUGUAGCACAAGAAUUUAAGACUCAUCUUUGACAGUUCACUCUCAAGCCUCACUAAAAUAACUCACUUAUGACAAGAAUUAUAGAUAUCAUCAUCCAAUUAUAUUAAAAGUGAAAAAAGAAUGACAAGAUCAAAUUAAAAAAUUAAACAAUAAAACUCAACAAUAACCCACUUAAUAAACAUUAAGAUAUGAAACUUCUUCUCGUCUUUUCCUCCAAUUAACUAGCUGACAUAUUCACUAAAUUUCUUUCUCUUCAACUGUUCUACUCUAACUUGUUCAAGUUAAAAUUUUUUAUAUCUUUCAUUCUCUAACUUACGAAAGUAUAUUGUAACAUAAGGUACAAACUAUCCAACAUUCAGAGAAUACGUACACAGGUCCAACUAAGAUAAUUAUUCAAUCAUAUUCUAUUUUUUUAUUCACAAUUUUAUUUGUUAUGAUCCUUUUAGAAGAUAAUGACUCAUUAAUUUGUCAGUUAUUUUUUAUUCCUCUAAAAUGUUUUUAGAGUUAAAUUAUUCACAAUUUUAUUUGUUAUGAUCCUUUUAGAAGAUAAUGACUCAUUAAUUUGUCAGUUAUUUUUUAUUCCUCUAAAAUGUUUUUAGAUUUAAUGAGAUACACAUUUUCAUUUUGUGUUGUGUAUAUAUAUAUAACAAUUCAACAAUUUGAUAAUGAGCAAUUUAAUUUUUACCGUCUUUACUUUCUAUUUUUCUUUCUACUGUGAACUUUAUCAUUUAUCACAUUAUAAAUGUUCACUCAAAAUUAAAAUUAAAUCAAGCUACUUGUUCUCCGAAUUAUUUUGUCGUAUAUAUCAUAAUUUCUUUUCCCAAGGAGAUAGAAAAAUUUAUUUAUAGAAAACAGAAAAAUAAAUUGAAAUAUAAUCAAUAAAAUAAUAUAGGCAAGGAUUAUCAUGACAUCCUAGACUUGUAAAGUUUUCCAAAUGCGUUUGUCGUAUUGGUCGUCUGAAUGAAGAUGCGUUGUGUGCUACUUGCUAGUAGUUCUAAAGUUUUCUUUCAAGUUAAUUUUAAUUUUUGAAAUUUAAUUAAUGUUACAUAUUUAAGUAUUUUUGUUAAUUAAAUUUAAUUAAAUUGAUUUUAUAUUAACAAAAAUUAAUUAUAAAUAGUAUUAUUUCAAGUUUUAUUAUUUAAUUUAAUUGAAUUUAAUUCAUAAAAAAAUUUAGAUGAAUAACAUUAUUCUUUAAUUAAAUGAUUAUCACAAUAAUACUUUACUAUCUAAGAGUUAAAAUAUUCUUAAUUAUUAAAAGGAAAACCCCCAGGACAUUGACAAGCAUAUAUACGGUGAUAGACCUCUUAAUAUAUAGUAUGUCUAACAAUUCGUUUAAUUUGAAAAAAAAAAUAGAAAUUUAGAUGUAACUGUUUUAAAAAUAUAUAUUAAAAAAUUCCUUUGUUUAUAAAGUAAAAGAAUAAUACCUAGAAGGAUUCAUCAUUUCCCGUUGACAAUAAAUCAAUAGUAAACAUAAUAAUGUGUGUGUAUAUAUAUACACCUUUAAUUUACAUAAACAUUUUUUUUUCUGUUUGUUUAUUUCAUUAUGUUAAAUAAAAUAGUAAGUUUAGGUUUGAUUGGUAGAGUGUUUUAGAGAAGUAUUUGUGGUUCAAAAAAAUAUAAGGACUUUAAUUUGUAUUUGACAAAUAAAAAAAAUAUAAGUUUAUUUUUGUAGCUUUGAGAAAUUAGGACGUUUUUAAAAGGAAUUUUUUAAAAUUAGUUUGUAUUUAUUAAAACUAAAAAAAUUAUUAUAAACAGAUACAUAUAUACAUAUUUAGAUUCACCUUUAAUUAAUUAUUGAUACCAAUUUUUAUUCAUAAUCAAAAUAUUAGGUAGUAAAUAUUAUCACUUUCUUUUUAUUUGAUAUAAUGCCACUUUUUUUUCUAAUAAUAUUGGUGGAUGAAAACUUGUAACAUGUCUACGUAAAAGACAAGAAGGAUAUCAUGAUAUAAAAGAAUGAAUUCGUUAAGGAGAGAAUUAGAAAUCUAAAUAAUGUAAAUAAUGGACUAUAGAUUUAGUUUAAAUAUAUAUAAAAAAAUAAAAAAUAUUCUAUAAAUUAUUUAAAUAAAAAAAAUCUACUCAAUUUUUUUAAAAAAAAAUAAUCAUUUCAAAUUUUAAUUUAUUAAAGUAUUUUAUUCUAAUACAUUUGUUUUUUUUAAUUGGCUGUCAUUCCUACUUUCAUCAAUAAUCAUUUCACUUUACCGUUGCUACUUGGUUUGCCACAUGCCGUUAUCGGCGUCGCUCACCCAUAGUGAAAAUAAUCAUCCACUUAAGAAUAAAAAUAAUGAUCUAUAUACCUAAUAAAUUGAACAUCCAACAUAUAAAAUAUAUAACUAAAUCCAAUCCAAUCAAAAUAAUCAUUCACAUAACAAUUAAAAUAAUCAUCCACAUACCUACUAAAAUGAUCAUUUUAUAAUAUGCUCAGUUGUGAUGAUAGCCAUUUAAGUAUUCCAAAGUCCAAAUAUCCUCCAUGCAAUGAUAAUGAAAGAAGCAUGCAAAUUCAAUCUCUUCUNNNNNNNNNNNNNNNNNNNNNNNNNNNNNNNNNNNNNNNNNNNNNNNNNNNNNNNNNNNNNNNNNNNNNNNNNNNNNNNNNNNNNNNNNNNNNNNNNNNNNNNNNNNNNNNNNNNNNNNNNNNNNNNNNNNNNNNNNNNNNNNNNNNNNNNNNNNNNNNNNNNNNNNNNNNNNNNNNNNNNNNNNNNNNNNNNNNNNNNNNNNNNNNNNNNNNNNNNNNNNNNNNNNNNNNNNNNNNNNNNNNNNNNNNNNNNNNNNNNNNNNNNNUACUGAUAAGUAUUGACUAAAUUUUUUAUUCCUUAAAUAAUUUCGGUUCAUUUCUUAGUUUAUUUGAAGUUCAUUUGGAUCUAGAAAUGAAUUCGAUGUGUUUGUUUUAAUUGAGGUUCACUUGAUGCUGCUAAUAAGUAUUGACCAAAAUUUUUAGCAAAAAAAAAAAUGAAAUUAUUCAUUAUCACUUUAUUCAAUUGCAUUAGAUUUCACUCUAUUAUAUUCCAUUCAAUUAGUUCAAAUUUAAAUAAACAGUAAAAAAAAUUCAAUCAUCAACAAAAACACAUCAAAUUCAUUUCUAAAUCCAAAUGAAUCUCAAUUUAAACUAAGAAAUAAACCAAAAUUACUUAAGAAUUAAAAAUUUGGUCAAUACUUGUUAGCAGCAUUAAAUGAACCUCAAUUAGCAGUUUACACACAAAUAAACUAAAAUUAGUUCAGAUUUGAACGAACAAUAAAAAAGAUUCAAUCAUUAACAAAAACACAUCGAAUUCAUUCUUUGAUCCAAAUAAACCUGAAUUAAACUAAGAAAUAAACCGAAAUUACUUAAUGAAUAAAAAAUUUGGUCAAUACUUCUCAGCAGUAUCAAGUGAACCUCAAUCAACACACAAAUGAAUAGAAAUAAAUUAAAAAAUGAACCAAAAUUAUUUAAUAAUGAUAGCAGAGAAAUCAGAACUAAUAAAGAUGUUUGCAAAAUAUUUGUGUUAUUGGUGAUGACGAUAACGAAAAAAGACAAAGAAAAAGAAGAAAACCCAAUAUUAGAAGAGAAGGAGGAGAAGAAGAAGAAUCUGUACGUGCGAAUUAAGAAAAAAAAAAGGAGAAAGAGAAGAAAAAUGGAAGAAGAAGAAGAUGUGUGUGCGAAUUUGGGAAAGAAGAAGAAGAAAAAAGAGGAGGAGGAGAAAGAGAAGAAAAAAAGUGGUAUAAAUUAAAAAGUUGUUAUAACAACUUAAGAUGUGUUUGGCAACCACGUUAAAAGAAGAAAAGCACGUUACAGCUUCUUGAACGCUUCCAUUUUUGGUUUAGCUAAUUUUUCUAUCUAUUAACGCAGAAGGGAUUUUGGUUACAAAACCACGUUUACAAGAAGCAAAAAUUUUUAACUUCUGCGUUGCACUAAUUGACAUUUAACUUUUAUUUUUCUUUUACCAACUUUAUCCUUUAUACAUAUUAUUGUAUUAUUUAUAGAAUUCUUAUUAUUUUUCUUUACAUGAGCUCUUUUUUUUAUUAUUUAUUAUUUAUAUUUUUUACUAAUUUUUUGUUUGACAUUAUAUAUUUUUAUAAUGAUAAUUUUUUUGUAUUAUAUUUAUUAUUAUCUUUUUAUAAUAUAAUUUAUUGAUCCCAUUAGGUAAAAUAAAUUAAACAAAAAAAUUAACCAUAAAUAAUAAUAAUAGUAAAAAAUUAUAGCGUACUAAAAAAGAGUACUAAAAAUACUAAAAAUAUACUAUAUAAAAACAUAUAAGAAAAAAUUAAAAAAAAAUUAAAUAUAUAUAAAAAAAUAACAUUAUAAUUUAAUGUCAUAUCCUUUUUAGUAAUUAUCUAUCUAAAAAUGAUUUUAACUAAUAUUAUUCAAACAAUAUUUAUUUUAUCAAAAUCAAUUUUAGUAUAGAGUUGCCAAACAUAAAUCAUGUUGACACAAACUUACUUCUACCCAAAAUUAAAUUUAUAAAAUUACUUUUAUUCAAACUCCAGUUUGACCAACCACAAUCUAAACAUACACUUAGUUAGACUUGAUCAAAUAUUUUGUUUAAAUGUAUAGUUUUAUUGAUAAUUUUAAGAGCGUUUCAAAUUGUAAAGAUAAAAAAGAAAGUGAGAAUUUUGCAAGUCAUAUAUAAUGCAUAUUUUCCUCUAUUGUUGUCGAAUCGCACUGCUUGCUGAUGAAUUUGGAUGAUGAAUCUGCAUACACUACGGAAGCUUCUCUUUUGGUGCGAUCCCACGGCCAAGGAAACAAACAACCAAUAAUUAAUGCAAGUAAACACGGUAAUAAUGAUAUUAUUAUUAUGCCAAUAAAUUGAAGGAAACCUAUUUUGGCUUUGAUUUACUUGCUUUUAGGUUCUGGCUUCGAUGAAUUUAACAAAAUGUAUCUACCCGUGUUUGCGUCCAAUUCCAUCGGGACUGUAUAAAGAGUAGUUCUCCAAUCAUCACUUUGAUCGAAUUAUAAUUUAUAAGACACCACCAAACACUUUAAGUUUUGUUGGAUUGCUUUUGGCUAAUGUCUUUGAGAUAUAUAGAUAAGUAUAUAAAUAUACAAAAAUUUAUAGACAUAAACAUACACAAAUUUUAUAAAGUAUUUGAUAAUAAUGUACAAAAUAUAUAUGUAUAAAUUAAAUAUCAAUUUUAUUUUAUGUUUUAUAUUGUGUCUUAUGCAUUGUGUCUCUGUAUUUUAAUUUUAAGGAGGAACAGUAAAUACAUAUAUUUGAUGUGUAUCUGUGUGUAUUAUCGUAUUUAUUUAAAUCCUGUCUCAACAAAUAAAUAAUAGACGUGUAUUAUCAUCUCUAAUAAUUAAUGUUCAUGUCUCAACAAAACAAACACAACCUUGUUGAACUAAUUAUUAUAAUAAAUAGUAUAUAUCAUGAUAUUAAAUAAUUACUUUUGGNNNNNNNNNNNNNNNNNNNNNNNNNNNNNNNNNNNNNNNNNNNNNNNNNNNNNNNNNNNNNNNNNNNNNNNNNNNNNNNNNNNNNNNNNNNNNNNNNNNNNNNNNNNNNNNNUUUUGGAUAUUAAAUAAUUUACAUUUAGAUUUUUUUUAGAUUUUGAAUUUUUUAUAAUAAUUUAAAUUUAUAUUUUUUCUAAAAAAAUUAAGAAAAAUAAUUGUUAAUUGAUUGCAGAUGACUACAUCUUAUGUUGGUUUUCUAACGAAAUUGCUUUGAUUAUUUGGCAAACAAGCUACUAUUUUUUAUAGAAAUAAAAUUUAAGAGUCAAGCUAUGUGUAACGCAAAAUUAGUUUGGCGAAAAUAUCUUGUUUAGGAGUUAAACAUCAACUUCCAAACAACACUUAUGAUUCUGUGUGAUAACAUGAGUAUAGUGAUGCUCAUAGCUAAUUCAGUGUUAUGAUAAAAUUAAGAAUUUUCAGUUAGACAUUUAAAUUGUUCGAGACAAAAUUAACAAGCCACAAUUAUAUAUGUAAUAUACAUCCCAAACAGUGAUUAGAUAACUGAUAUUUUAACUAAACUUCUAUCAGCUUUUUCAUUCAAUAAGUUUAGAUACAAGCUCAGAGUGAUUCUAAAACCUAUCUUGAGUUUUAGGGAGAGUAUAAAGGAUAGUUAGUUAAUUAGGAGUUAAUACUUUUAGUGACCGUUAGUAGUUAUAACAAAUUAAGAAAUGUCCUUUCAGGUUCUGUUUUUUUGGCUUUCUUGAUUAGCCGAGUGCUAUCACUCAUCUAUAUAUAUAUAGUUCUCAACUAUGGAUGUAACACAAAUGUCAUUAUACCAUUCAAUAUAGAUUACAUUCAUUCCCUUCCUUUUUCUCUAAGAACCUUUCAAUAUGUUAUAUUUUUAAUUAAUUAAUUAAUUAAUAGAGCUAAUUAUUGAUUUGGUAUCCGAAAUAUUUAGAUAUUAACAAAAAGGUCCUUAAAAAAUGUUAUCCACAAAACAAUUCUUGAAUAAUUUAAAAAUGCGAUAAAAAUACUCAAAAAAGAUUAUAUUUUUAAUAAGCAACAAAAACUUUUGUAUUUAACAUAUGACUUAUCCAUUUGAUCUCAUUUUUUUGUCAAUAUUUGAAUAAAUAUUUAGAAGGCACACAAAAAAUUCGAGAAAAAUUUUAUCUCUAAAUUUUUUUAUUUUUUUAAAAAAAUUGGUUAUUCACAAUAAAAAAUUUCAAAAAAAAAAAAUAUUUGACAUAAAAUUAUCAAAUUUUAAGGAUGAAUAGAUUUCAUUUAUUUAAUAAUUGUUGGCAAAAAUCGUAUCAAAAUUUAAUCUUUAGAGACUUUCUUUUAGAGUAUAUAUUUAAUAUCAAUUAUGCCAUGUGUAUAUCAAAAUUAGUCAACAAAGUCAAUCAUUAGUAUAAAAUACAUAUUGAAUACAAAUAUAUAUUAAAAAUAAAUUAAAUAACACAUGUAUUUAUACACAAUAUAUUGAUGGCUAAUUUUAAUAUACAAAUAGUAUUUUUGAUUUAACAUUUUUAUUGUUAGUACUUUUUGAAAUCAUUUUUGUCAGCGGUUUAAAUUUUUUAAUAUUAUUUUAAUAGUUUAUACUUAAAUAAUAAUUACUCGUCAUGCUUGCUAUGUUUAUGUGCAUAAAUAAUUAGUAACUGUUACCACUAUAAAAUCAUUAACAAAUCUUUAUUUAUGUUUUAAAUUUACACUAAAAUAAAAUAAAAACUAUGGAUUGAUCUGUGCAUGUAGAUGUAUCUAUCAUUCCAUCACUACCAUAUAUAAUAUAAAUAUUAAGUUUUGGGAGUGUUUUAAUACAAUAUAUGAUACCAUAUGUGUUCUAAUUAAUAAAAAAAAAAUCACAUACUCACAUUCACCUUUUUUUUUCCAUUCAAUUCAAUUUUUUUCUUCUUUUUAUCAAGUAUAACUAUGUGAAAGCAUACAAUUUUUUUAAGACAUUUGUGAAUUCUUUUUAUAGGUGUUCAAUAGUUUUUUCUUGGAAAAAAUGAAAUACUUUAAUUUGAUUUAUUAAAAGAAUUUUAACAUCAAAUUUUCAUUUACUUUAACUUAUUUUAGCUAGAAGUAUAUAUAGUAAAAUUUAUAUACGUUAAAAUAAAUAAAGUAAUUACGUAUAUAUUUAUAAAAAAUAUUCAUUCCCACUAUUUUUAUUUUUAUUGUCUAUCCACCUCAAAAUAUUUUUAGGUGAAAGUUACUUAUAUACUAAAAUUAAUUAUUUUUUUCAAGAUUGAGAGACUCGAACUCUGGAACUCGCAAUUUCUUAGAUGAGUAUGAGAAGACUACGUCAUUUGAGUUGUACUAAAAUUAAUUAUUAAAAAAUUAGUUAUUAGUAUAAAAUAUAUGUUGAAAUAUAAAUACACAUUAAAAAUAAAUUAAACGACAUAUGUAUUUAUACACAAAUAUAUUAGUAACUAAUUUUGAUGUACAAAUAGCAUUUUAUAUAGUUUAAAUAUGGUAAUUGGCAUAUUCAAAUACUUCAUAUUUACGUUAAUCUACCAUGCUAACGUUAGAACUUGAGAAGAUAAAUUGAAUUAAGUUAAUUUUAAACUGAAUUUUUAAAAAAUGAAAUAUAAUUACAAAUUAAAAAAAAUUAAAUUACACAUGUAUUUAUAUAUAAAUACAUCAAUAACUUAUUUUAAUGACUAAUUUUAGCAUACAAAUAAUAUUUUUAUAUUAAUUAUUAUAGACUUUUCAUAAAAUAUUUAGAUGAAUUUUGGAGAUAUUCAGUUCAUUAAUGAGCAAUGGAGGCUCGUCCUCCCAAGUCUCAUUACCAAAUAGCUUGGCAUUCAACUUCAUGAUUGUUCCUAAAUACUGGGCAACUUGCCCUUGAACAAUGUCUUCAUUUUCUUCAGAAGAUGAAUGGUCAUCAGAGCUCAUGAAUGGUAAAAGGAGGUUCAAUAGAAUCUCUAUGGUCUCUAGAUGAGCCUCAGAUUCCUUUGGUUCCUCAAAGGGAAACUCCUUAUUGGUCAGUGAACGUCCCAGGAGGUCUUCCUCACUAGGAUUCACGUCAUCCUCCUCCUCUCUAGGUUCGGCCACACCAAGUAAGGUUAUGGCCUUGCACUCUCUUUUUGGAUUCUCUUCUGUAUUGUUUGGGAGAGUACUAGGAGGAGUUUCAGUGACUCUUUUACUCAGCUGGCCCACUUGUGCCUCCAAAUUUUUGAUGGAGGACCUUGUUUCAUUCAUGAAACUUAGAGUGGCCUUAGAUAGAUCAGAGACUAUAUUUGCUAAGUUAGAUGGAUUCUGCUCAGAAUUCUCUGUCUAUUGCUGAGAAGAUGAUGGAAAAGGCUUGCUAUUGCUAAACCUGUUUCUUCCACCAUUAUUAAAGUCAUAAGAAUAAGGUCUAGGCAUGGCCGAAUGGCCAGCCUCCAAAAUAGGGUUCAAUCAUAAAAACAUGAUCAAAAGAUGUAAAUACAAUAGUAAAAAGUCCUAUUUAUACUAAACUAGUUACUAGGGUUUACAGAAAUGAGUAAAUGAUGCAGAAAUCUACUUUCGGGCCCACUUGGUGUGUUCUUGGGAUGAGCAUUGAAGCUUUCACGUGUAGAGGUCUUCCUUGGAGUUGAACGCCAGUUUGUAACUUGUUUCUGGCAUUUAACGUCAGAAUAGGGCAGAAAGCUGGCGUUAAACGCCAGUUUGCAUCGUCUAAUCUCGGAAAAAGUAUGGACUAUUAUAUAUUGAUGGAAAGUCCUGAAUGUCUACUUUCCAACGCAAUUAAGAGUGCGCUAUUUGGGUUUCUGUAGCUCCAGAAAAUCUAUUUCGAGUGCAGGGAGGUCAGAAUCCAACAGCAUCUGCAGUCCUUCUUCAGCCUCUGAAUCAGAUUUUUGCUCAAGUCCCUCAAUUUCGGCCAGAAAUUACCUGAAAUCACAGAAAAACACACAAACUCAUAGUAAACUCCAGAAAUAUGAUUUUUAAUUAAAAACUAAUAAAAAUAUAAUAAAAACUAACUAAAUUAUACUAAAAACUACUUAAAAACAAUGCCAUAAAGCGUAUAAAUUAUCCGCUCAUCACAACACCAAACUUAAAUUGUUGCUUGUCCCCAAGCAACUGAAAAUCAAUUAGGAUAAAAAGAAGAGAAUAUACUAUAAAUUCCAAACUAUCAAUGAAACUUAGCUCCAAUCAGAUGAGCGGGACUAGUAGCUUUUUGCCUCUGAAUAGUUUUGGCAUCUCACUUUAUCCUUUGAAGUUCAGAAUGAUUGCCAUCUAUAGGAACUUAGAAUUUAGAUAGUGUUAUUGAUUCUCCUAGUUCAGUAUGUUGAUUCUUGAACACAGCUACUUUAUGAGUCUUGGCCGUGGCCCUAAGCACUCUGUUUUUCAGUAUUACCACCGGAUACAUACAUGCCACAGACACAUAAUUGGGUGAACCUUUUCAGAUUGUGAUUCAGCUUUGCUAAAGUCCCCAAUUAGAGGUGUCCAGGGUUCUUAAGCACACUCUUUUUUUGCUUUGGACCUUGACUUUAACCGCUCAGUCUCAAGUUUUCACUUGACACCUUCACGCCACAAGCACAUGGUUAGGGACAACUUGGUUUAGCUGCUUAGGCCAGGAUUUUAUUCCUUUAGGCCCUCCUAUCCACUGAUGCUCAAAGCCUUGGAUCCUUUUUUAUUACCAUUGCCUUUUUGUUUUAAGGGCUAUUGGCUUUUUCUGCUUGCUUUUUCUCUUUUUUUUUCUUUCUUUUUUUUUCGCCAUUUCUUUUUCUGCAAGCUUUGUUCUUCACUACUUUUUCUUGCUUCAAGAAUCAUUUUUAUGAAUUUUCAGAUUAUCAAAUAACAUUUUUCCUUUUUAUCAUUCUUUCAAGAGCCAACAAUUUUAACAUUCAUGAACAACAAAUUCAAAAGACAUAUGCACUGUUCAAGCAUUCAUUCAGAAAACAAAAAGUAUUGUCACCACAUCAAAAUAAUUAAACUAAUUUCAAGGAUGAAUUCGAAUCUCAUGUACUUCUUGUUCUUUUGUAAUUAAAAUAUUUUUCAUUUAAGAAAGGUGAUGGAUUCAUAGGACAUUCAUAGAUUUAAGACAUAGACACUUAAAUACUAAUGAUCAUGUAAUAAGACACAAACAUAAAUAAACAUAAAGCAUAGUAGACGAAAAACAGAAAAAUAAGAACAAGGAGAUUAAAGAACGGGUCCACCUUAGUGAGGGUGGCGUCUUCUUCCUCUUGAAGAACCAAUGGUGUUCUUGAGCUCUUCUAUGUCUCUUCCUUGCCUUUGUUGCUCCUCCCUCAUAGCUCUUUGAUCUUCUCUAAUCUCAUGGAGAAUGAUGGAGUACUCUUGGUGUUCCAUCCUUAGUUGUCCCAUGUUGGAGCUUAAUUCUCCUAGGGAGGUGUUGAUUUGCUCCUAAUAGUUUUGUGGAGGGAAGUGCAUCCCUUGAGGCAUCUCAGGGAUUUCAUGGUGAGGAAUUUCCUCAUGCUCUUGUUGAGGUCCAUGAUCUCUUGUUUGCUCCAUCCUUUUCUUAGUGAUGGGCUUGUCCUCAUCAAUGAGGAUAUCUCCCUCUAUAUCAAUUCCAGCCGAAUUGCAGAGGUGGCAAAUGAGGUGAGGAAAGGCUAACCUUGCCAAAGUGGAGGACUUGUCAGCCACCUUGUAGAGUUCUUGAGGUAUAAUCUCAUGAACUUCCACUUCCUCCCCAAUCAUGAUACUAUGGAUCAUGAUGGCCCGGUCUAUAGUAACUUCAGACCGGUUGCUAGUAGGAAUAAUUGAGCGUUGAAUGAACUCCAACCAUCCUCUCGCUACAGGCUUAAGGUCUGGUCUUCUCAAUUGAACCGGCUUGCCUCUUGAGUCAACUUUCCAUUGAGCUCCUUCCACACAUAUGUCCAUGAGGACUUGGUCCAACCUUUGAUCAAAGUUGACCCUUUUAGUGUAGGGAUGUGCGUUUUCUUGCAUCAUUGGCAAGUUGAACGCGAACCUUACAUUUUCCGGACUGAAAUCUAAGUAUUUCCCCCGAACCAUUGUAAGCCAAUUCUUUGGGUUUGGGUUCAUACUUUGAUCAUGGUUCCUAGUGAUCCAUGCAUUUGCAUAGAACUCUUGAACCAUUAAGAUCCCGACUUGUUGAAUAGGAUUAGAGAGAACUUCCCAUCCUCUUCUUCUAAUCUCUUGUCAGAUCUCCGGAUAUUUGCUCUUUUUGAGCUUAAAAGGGACCUCAGGGAUCACCUUUUUCUUGGCCACAACUUCAUAGAAGUGGUCUUGAUGGACCUUUGAGAUGAAUCUCUCCAUCUCCCAUGACUCAGAGGUGGAAGCAAUUGCCUUCCCUUUCUUCUUUCUUGAGGUUUCUCUGGCCUUAGGUGCCAUUAAUGGUUAUGGAAAAACAAAAAGCAAUGCUUUUACCACACCAAACUUAAAAGGUUUGCUCGUUCCCGAGCAAAAGAAGAAAGGAGGUAGUAGAAGAAGAAGAAAAUGGAGGAGAUGGAGGGAGAAAGUGUAUUCGGCCAAGGGGGAGAAGUGGUGGUUGUGAUGUGUGAAAAUGGAGUAGUGUUGAGGGGUUUAUAUAGGGGUGGGGUGGAGGGUAGGUUUCGGCCAUUAGGGUUGGGUUUGGGAGGGAAAAGAAUUUGAAUUUUGGAGGUAGGUGGGGUUUAUGGGGAAGAGUGGAUGGAUGUGAGUGGUUAAGGGUAUUUAGGGAAGAGGUAUGGAGGUGAUUGGUGAAGGGUAUUUGAGGAAGAGGUUUAUGAAAAGGUGUGAAGAGGAGAGAAGAAGAGGUGGGAUAGGUGGGGAUCCUGCGGGGUCCACAGAUCUAGAGGGGUCAAGGACUUAACAUCCCUGCUCCAAUUAGGCGUGUAAAACGCCCUUAUAAUGCAUGUCUGGCGUUAAACGCCAGCUUGCUGCUUGUUUCUGGCGUUUAACGCCAAUUCCAUGCUCUGUUCUGGCGUUAAACGUCAGUUUGGUGCUUGUUUCUGGCAUUUAACGCCAGCUUGAUGCUUCUUUCUGGCGUUAAACACCAGUUUGAUGCUUCUUACUGGCGUUUAAACGCCAGUAAGUUCUUCCUCCAGGGUGAGCUAUUUUUAAUGCUGUUUUUCAUUCUGUUUUUGAUUUUUCAGUUGUUUUUGUGACUUCACAUGAUCAUCAACCUAUAGAAAACAUAAAAUAACAAUAGAAAAUAAAUAGAUAUAAUUAAAUAACAUUGGGUUGCCUCCCAACAAGCGCUUCUUUAAUGUCAAUAGCUUGACAGUGAGCUCUCAUGGAGCCUCACAGAUGUUCAGAGCAUUGUUGGGACCUCCCAACACCAAACUUAGAGUUUAGAUGUGGGGGUUCAACACCAAACUUAGAGUUUGGUUGUGGCCUCCCAACACCAAACUUAGAGUUUGACUGUGGGGGCUUUGGUUGACUAUGUAGUGAGAGAAGCUUUUCAUGCUUCCUCUCCAUGGUUACAGAAGGAGAUCCUUGAGUUUUAAACACAAGGUAGUCCUCAUUCAGUUGAAGGACCAACUUUCCUCUGUCCACAUCAAUCACAGCUUUUGAUGUGGCUAGGAAGGGUCUUCCAAGGAUGAUGGAUUCAUCCUCAUCCUUCCCAGUGUCUAGGAUUAUGAAAUCAGCAGGUAUGAAAAGGCCUUUGACCUUUACUAACACGUCCUCUACUUGUCCAUAAGCCUUUUUCAUGGAUUUGUCUGCCAUCUCUAAUGAGAUUCUUGUUGCUUGUACCUCAAAGAUUCCCAGUUUCUCCAUUACAGAGAGUGGCAUGAGGUUUAUGCCUGACCCCAGGUCACACAAAGCCUUCUCAAAGGUCAUGGUGCCUAUGUUACAGGGAAUUAGGAAUUUACCAGGAUCCUAUUUCUUUUGAGGUAAAGUGUGCUGAACCCAGAUAUUCAGUUCAUUAAUGAGCAAUGGAGGCGCGGAGAAGAUGAUGGAAAAGGCUUGCUAUUGCUAAACCUGUUUCUUCCACCAUUAUUAAAGCCUUGUUGAGGCUUUUGUUGAUCCUUCCAUGAGAAAUUUGGAUGAUUUCUCCAUGAGGGAUUAUAGGUGUUUCCAUAGGGUUCACCCAUGUAAUUCACCUCUGCUAUUGCAGGGUUCUCAGGAUCAUAAGCUUCUUCUUCAGACGAUGCCUCUUUAGUACUGUUGGAUGCAGCUUGCAAUCCAUUCAGACUCUGAGAAAUUAUUUUGACUUGUUGAGUCAAUAUUUUUUUCUGAGCCAAUAUGGCAUUCAGAGUAUCAAUUUCAAGAACUCCCUUCCUCUGAGGCGUCCCAUUACUCACAGGAUUCCUUUCAGAAGUGUACAUGAACUGGUUAUUUGCAACCAUGUUAAUGAGUUCCUGAGCUUCUGCAGGCGUUUUCUUUAGGUGAAUGGAUCCACCUGCAGAAUGGUCUAAUGACAUCUUAGCUAAUUCAGACAGACCAUCAUAGAAUAUAUCCAGGAUGGUCCAUUCUGAAAGCCUGUCAAAAGGACACUUUUUGGUCAGUUGCUUGUAUCUCUCCCAUGCUUCAUAGAGGGAUUCACCUUCUUUCUGUUUGAAGGUUUGAACAUCCACUCUAAGCUUGCUAAGAUUUUGAGGAGGAAAGAACUUGGCUAAGAAAUUCGUGACCAGCUUAUCCCAAGAGUUCAGGCUAUCUUUACGUUGAGAGUCCAACCAUAUUCUAGCUCUGUCUCUUACAGCAAACGGGAAAAGCAUAAGCCUGUAGACCUCGGGAUCAACCCCAUUGGUCUUAACAGUAUCACAGAUCUGCAAGAAUUCAGUUAAGAACUGAAAAAGGAUCUUCUGAUGGAAGUCCAUGAAACUUGCAAUUCUGUUACAUCAGAGAAACUAAUUGAGACUUUAGCUCAAAAUUGUUUGCUCCAAUGGCAGGGAUUGAGAUGUUUCUUCCAUGUAAGUUGGAAUUUGGUGCAGUAAAGUCACCAAGCAUCUUCCUCGCAUCUCCACAAUUAUUAUUAUUUUCGGCCAUGUCUCCUUCUUUUUUGAAAAUUUCUGUCAGAUUUUCUCCAGAGAGAAAGCUUCCCUUUGCUUCCUCUUCAGAGUCCUUUCAGGUUCAGGAUCAGCUUCAACAAGAAUGUUCUUAUCCUUGUUCCUGCUCAUAUGAAAAAGAGGAGAACACAAAAGAAAAUAUGGAAUCCUCUAUGUCACAGUAUAGAGAUUCCUUAUGUAAGUAUAAGAAGAGAAGAAUAAAAGAAGAAAAAGAUAAGAAUUUUUUGAAAAUAAAUUUUGAAAAUUUUGAAAUUAUGAAAGAAAAAAUGAAAAAGAUUUGAUUUUUGAAAGAGAUUUGAAAAAGAUAGAAUUUUUAAAUUGAAAAUUUGAUUUGACUCAUAAGAAACAACUAAAUUUUAAAAAGUUUUGGAAAAGUCAACUCAAAUUUUCGAAAAUUUAUGAGAUAAAAAGGGAAAGAUAUUUUUUUUUUAUUUUUGAAUGAAGAAAGAGAAAAACAACAAAAAGACUCAAAACAUGAAAAUUAUGAAUCAAAACACACAAUGCAUGCAAGAACACUUUGAAUGUCAAGAUGAACACCAAGAACACUUUGAAGAUCAAGAUGAACAUCAAGAACUUAUUUUUGAAAAUUUUUAAGAAAAAGAAACACAUACAAGACACCAAACUUAGAAAUUUUCAAACCUUAAACACUAAUAAAUUGAAAAUGCAUAUGAAAAACAAGAAAAGACACAAAACAUAAAAUUGCAAAGAUCAAACAAAGAAGAUCAUCAAGAACAACUUGAAGAUCAUGAAGAACACAUGCAUGAGUUUUCGAAAUUUUAAAGAAAAAUUAAAAGCAUGCAAUUGACACCAAACUUACAAUUUGACACUAGACUCAAACAAGAAACAUCAAAUUAUUGUUUUUUUAUGAUUUUAUUAAAUUUUUCGGUAUUUUUCGAAAAUUAAUUGGAAAAAGAAAAAUAAGGAUUUCAAAAUUUUUAAUGAGAAAUCCAGGAAUCAUGCAAUGUUAGUCUAAAGCUCCGGUUCAGGAAUUAGACAUGGCUCACUAGCCAGCCAAGCUUUCAGUGAAAGCUCCGGUCCAAAACACUAGACAUGGCCAAUGACCAGCCAAGCUUCAGUAGAUACAAAUUAGGCAUGUGAAGAGGAAGCCUCAGUCCAAAAGAAUUUAGACUUGGCUUUACAGCCAGCCAGGCUUCAACAUAUCUCAUGAAACUCUAGAAUUCAUUCUUAAAAAUUCUGAAGAACAUAGAAUAAUUUAUUUUUUUGAAAAUUUUUUUGAAAAUUUUUCGAAAUUAAAAAGCUUUAAAAAUAAAAUAAAAUUACCUAAUCUGAGCAACAAGAUGAACCGUCAGUUGUCCAAACUCGAACAAUCCCGGCAACGGCGCCAAAAACUUGGUGCACGAAAUCGUGAUCGUUCAUUCCUUGGUAACGGCGUCAAAAACUUAAUACGCACGUUCAUAAUCUUAGUUCCUUGUCACAACUUCGCACAACUAACUAGCAAGUGUACUGGGUCGUCCAAGUAAUAAACCUUACGUGAGUAAGGGUCGAUCCCUCGGAGAUUGUCGGCUUGAAGCAAGCUAUGGUCAUCUUGCAAAUCUCAGUCAGGCGGAUUCAAAUGGUUAUAGAGUUUUAAUAAUUAAAAUAUAAAUAAAAUAUAAAAUAAAGAUAGAGAUACUUAUGUAAUUCAUUGGUGAGAAUUUCAGAUAAGCGUAUAGAGAUGCUUAGUUCCUUCUGAAUCUCUGCUUUCCUACUGCUUUCAUCCAAUCCUUCAUACUCCUUUCCAUGGCAAGCUGUAUGUUGGGCAUCACCGUUGUCAAUGGUUACAUCCCGUCCUCUCAGUGAAAAUGGUCCAAAAUGCGCUGUCACCGCAUGGCUAAUCAUCUGUCGAUUCUCGAUCCUGCUGGAAUAGGAUUCAGUAAUCCUUUUGCGUCUGUCACUACGCCCAGUACUCGCGAGUUUGAAGCUCGUCACAGCCAUCCCUUCCCAGAUCCUACUCGGAAUACCACAAACAAGGUUUAGACUUUCCGGAUCUCAAGAAUGGCCGCCAAUAAUUCUAGCCUAUACCAUGAAGACUCUGAUCGUGAAUCAGGAGGCUAAGAGAUAUGCAUUCAAGCUUAUUUUCAUGUAGAACGGAAGUGGUUGUCAGGCACGCGUUCAUAGGUGAGAAUGGUGAUGAGCGUCACAUAAUCAUCAUAUUCAUCAUGUUCUUGUGUGCGAAUGAAUAUCUUAGAGAAGAAAUAGACUUGAGUUGAAUAGAAAAACAAUAGUACUUUGCAUUAAUUUAUGAGGAACAGCAGAGCUCCACACCUUAAUCUAUGGUGUGUAGAAACUCCACCGUUGAAAAUACAUAAGAAUAAGGUCUAGGCAUGGCCGAAUGGCCAGCCUCCAAAAUAGGGUUCAAUCAUAAAAACAUGAUCAAAAGAUGUAAAUACAAUAGUAAAAAGUCCUAUUUAUACUAAACUAGUUACUAGGGUUUACAGAAAUGAGUAAAUGAUGCAGAAAUCCACUUCCGGGCCCACUUGGUGUGUGCUUGGGCUGAGCAUUGAAGCUUUCACGUGUAGAGGUCUUCCUUGGAGUUGAACGCUAGUUUGUAACUUGUUUCUGGCGUUUAACUCUGCUUUGCAACUUGUUUCUGGCAUUUAACGCCAGAAUAGGGCAGAAAGCUGGCGUCAAACGCCAGUUUGUAUCAUCUAAACUCGGGCAAAGUAUAGACUAUUAUAUAUUUCUGGAAAGCCCUGGAUGUCUACUUUCCAACACAAUUAAGAGUGCGCCAUUUGGGUUUCUGUAGCUCUAGAAAAUCUAUUUUGAGUGCAGGGAGGUCCGAAUCCAACAGCAUCUGCAGUCCUUCUUCAGCCUCUGAAUUAGAUUUUUGCUCAAGUCCCUCAAUUUCAGCCAGAAAUUACCUGAAAUCACAGAAAAACACACAAACUCAUAGUAAACUCCAGAAAUGUGAUUUUUAAUUAAAAACUAAUAAAAAUAUAAUAAAAACUAACUAAAUUAUACUAAAAACUACUUAAAAACAAUGCCAAAAAGCGUAUAAAUUAUCCGCUCAUCAGAUAUGAAGUUCUAGGAUUGCCUCUGGUGUCCCGGGGUCUUAUAUCCUACAUUACUGGGCACUGCUACCAUACUGAGAACCUCCGGUUCUUAUACCAUAUUCUGUUGUUAUUUUUCAGAUGCAGGUCACAACCCACCUCGGUGAGUUGUCUGGAUGGUGACAGAAGUGGAGGAUCCUGUUGCUCUUAGAGUCUUUUGAUUUAUAUUGUUUAUACAUCUCUCACUUUUGUAUUUUGCUUUUGCCUAGUGGUUUGUAUUGAGAGAGAAAAACUUGUAUAAGCUAUUUUUAUUGUCAAUUUCCUGUAUGGUCUGUAUAUCGCUAGCCAGCUUAAACUCCGCGAGUCCGGCUAGGCUCUUAUGUUAUUAUACUAUUAUCUUUUGUUAUAUUAUACCUAUGCCUUGUGCUUUAAGUUAGAAGUUUCGUUAGUACGUUUUGGGCUUUUCAAAUCCUGUUUUUGAGCUAUAUCCUUCAUCAGGCUUCUAAAUUAUAUUAAUUCUUUUUAUUUAUUAUAUGUCUGAGCUUAGAACUAUCGUAAUCUAUGAUUCAUUUGCUUUGUCGUAACCUUUGAUUAACCUUGGCUUUACGGCUAGAGGUAAGGCUUAGGGUAAUUGGGGUGUUACAUUUAGUGGUAUCGGAGCGGUUCGUCCUCGUGAACCUGAGGGAUGGACCGAUUGUGCUUCAUUGCAUAUUCUGUGUCAUUUUUCUUUCAUGCUAUUUAGGUUAUCUACUUGAUAUUACGUAGCAUGCUUGUUUGUGAGUGCCUGUUUGUGAUAAUUGAAGCACUAGGCUUUGAUAUUGAGACUGAUCACCUUGAUAUUGAUUGUUUGGUGUAGACAGGAACCCUAAUGGCCACUCGCGGACGAGGUCGUACACGUUCACGAGCCGAGAGUAGGAAUGCGCAGCCGGUCGACAACCAUGCCGAGUUCAUGGCGGCCAUGCCAAACCUUGCGAACACUAUGAAGGCUAACACUGCUGCGACUUUGCACGCUGUGCAUAGGUUAGGCCAACCGGCCAGAAACGGAAACGGGAAUGGCGAAGGAAAUGCGAAUGACUAUGCGGAAGGAAAUGGCAAUGCUGUGGGAGGUGCUCCGAUGACCUUAGCUACAUUUCUCAAGGUUCAUCCGCUGAGUUUCAGAGGUUCAACAAAUCCCACAGAAGCGGACAACAGGUUCCAAGCUAUGGAGCGCGCACUGCAAGCACAGCAUGUCUCAAAUAACCAAUAUGUAUAAUUUGCUGCCUAUCGGCUUGAGGGAGAGGCCCAGCAUUGGUGGCAAGCAGAGUGCCGCUUGUUACAGCUUCAGAAUAUCGACGUUCCUUGGGAUGUAUUCCAGACGACCUUUUACAAGAAGUACUUUCCUGAGUCUGCAAGGAAAGCGAAGGAGAUGGAACUUAUGCAGCUGAAGCAAGGUUCCUUUAGGGCUGGCAAUGGGUAGGGUACCCGCGGGUAGAAAAUCUCAAUAAAACUCUACCCUACCCUACCCGCGGGUUGAGAAUCUCUCAAUCCGAACCCUACCCGCACCCUAAAUCAGAAAACCCUACCCUACCCUACCCUACCCGCAGAAAUAUGAAUUUUUUAAAAAAUAAAUAUAAAACUCAAUCAUUUUAAAUUUUAUACAUAUUAAUAAAAUAAAAAAUAAACAACUAAAUUCAAAUUAAAAUAAAAGACAAUAAAAUCUUAAAGAAAUUCAACAUAAAAUUACAAACAUACAUAUUGUUAUAUUAAUAAAAUAAAAAACUAAGUUUAAAUUAAAAUAAAAAAUAAUAAAGUCCUAAACAAAUUCAACAUAAAAUUACAAAUAGCAUAAUUAUCAAGUUCUUAAUAAAAUCAAAAUAACAUAAACAAAGAUAAAUGUCUUCAAACAUUUCUUUUAAUUCCAAGUUCUUGCAACAUUAUUCUUCCGUCAGUUCAGAAAAUGCAUCAUCAUCUUCAUUAGCAGUUUGAUAAUCAGGUUUUCUACCUAAAAAUCAAAUACAACAAUUUUAUCAUAUAUAAUUUUAACACAAUUAUAAUUUCUAAACAAAUUAAAAAACUUGAAAACAUAAAUAACCUCUUUUAUAAUAUUCUGCCCACAACCAAUUUUGAUUGCACAUAAGAGCUUCUACCGUAUCUUCAUGAAGACUACCACGAUGAGUAGCAAUUAUACAGCCACUUGUGCUAAAAGAAGACUCAGAAGCAACAGUAGACACAGGAAUGGCAAAUAUGUCUCUUGUAAUUUUCUGAAGAGUUGGAAACCUAACUCCAUUUACCUUCCACCAAGCUAAUAUAUCAAAAUCAGGAGUUAAAGGAUGAACAUCUUCCUCUACAUAGUGAUCAAAUUCCGUCUUCACAAAUGAACCUAUUUUCUUCUUCUUUUAUCUAAUAUACAAUUGAUAAGCAACAUCAUCAUCAUCAUCUGCAUUAACCCUAAGCUUUUGUGUAGAUUCCACUGACAUAUUGCUUGAAUUAGAUGUAUUCUUUUGAUAUUCAUCAAGUAACUCAUAACAUGCCUGUUUGAUUCUCUCAACUUUCCUUGUGCAUUCAUUAGGAUCUUCACAUACCCUAUCAAACUUAUAUUCAAGCCCACCAAGCUUAUACCUAGGAUCUAGAAUUGCAACAACACCCAUAAUGCCAUGAAUUUCUUCCCAAUACUUAUCAAACUUUCUCUUCAUCAUACAUGCCAUGCUACUAAUAACUGCGUUAGGAGAAACAACCCAUUUUUCCAAUCUAACAUGUAUCUCACAUACUUUAUUAAAGUAAAUGUUGGCCGUUGGAACUUGAGUUCCAGAAAACAACUGAGUCACAUCAUAAAAAAGUUUUAUUUUACCACAAAUUUCUUUCGCAAGUUCCCAUUCCUCAUUACUUGGCACACUUUUAUAAUUGGAGUCUUUUUGUUUUAGUCGAGCAAAGACAUCUCUGUACAACCAUGCAGUUUCUAACAUCACAUAAGUAGAAUUCUAUCUAGUCAUACAAUAAAGAGAUAAUUUUUUGGUAAAGGGAACACCUGACUUACUACACCAACUCACAAAGGUUUCAUGUCUUUUACUAGUUGAAGUCCAAUACACCACACUAUUACGAAUUUUCUCCACACUUUCUUUAACUAAAUUGAAACCAUCCUUCACAAUUAGGUUUAAAAUAUGAGCACAGCAACGCAUAUGCAAUAACGUAUCCCCUAACAACAAAUAAUUUAAGUCUAGACGUCCCUGAUGAGCGGAUAAUUUAUACGCUUUUUGACAUUGUUUUUAGUAUGUUUUUAGUAGGAUCUAGUUACUUUUAGGGAUGUUUUUAAUAGAUUUUGUGUUAAAUUCACAUUUCUGGACUUUACUAUGAGUCUGUGUAUUUUUCUGUGAUUUCAGGUAUUUUCUGGCUGAAAUUGAGGGACUUGAGCAGAAAUCAGAUUCAGAGGUUGAAAAAGGACUGCUGAUGCUGUUGGAUUCUGACCUCCCUGCACUCAAAGUGGAUUUUCUGGAGCUACAGAACUCGAAAUGGCGCGCUUCCAAUUGCGUUGGAAAGUAGACAUCCAGGGCUUUCCAGCAAUAUAUAAUAGUCCAUACUUUGGCCAAGAAUUGAUGAUGUAAAAUGCACCCUUACUCACGUAAGGUUUAUUACUUGGACGACCCAGUGCACUUGCUGGUUAGUUGUAUCGAAGUUGUGACAAUUAUGAAUUAAGAUCAAAGCACCAAGCUUUGGAGCCAUUACCAGGGAUUUGUUCGAGCCUGGAGAUCACAAUUUCGUGCACCAAGUUUUUGGCGCCGUUGCCGGGGAUUGUUUGAGUUUGGACAACUGACGGUUCAUCUUGUUGCUCAGAUUGGGUAACUUUCUUUUCGUUUUCUUUUUAAAAAAUUUUUCAAAAAUAUUUCAAAACUUUUCUCAUCUGUUUUCGAAAAAAAAAAUGUUUUCAAAAAUAUAUUUUUCUUCAGGAUUUUUAAGAAUGAAUUCUAGUGUUUCAUGAAACAUGUUGAAUCCUAUCUGGCUGUAAAGCCAUACCCAAACUGCUUUGGGAUUGGUAUUCAACUAAUCACUCCAGCCCAUGUAAUUAUAUGUUGAAGCUUGGCUGGCUAUUAAGCCAUGCCUGACCCUUUGAUUGGAGCUUUAAGACUAACAUGGCAAGAUUCCUGGAAUUCAUAUUAAAAAUUUUGGAAUCCUUAUUUUUAUUUUUAUUUUUUCACAAUAAUUUUCGAAAAAAAAAAUAAUUAAAAGAAAAUACAAAAAAAUUAGAAAAUCAUAAAAAUCAAAAAUAUUUUGUGUUUCUUGUUUGAGUCUUGAGUCAAAUCAUAAGUUUGGUGUCAAUUGCAUGUGCAUCCUGCAUAUUUUGAAAAUUUCAUGCAUUCAUAGUUAUGAAUUAAGAUCAAAGCACCAAGCUUUGGAGCCAUUACCAGGGAUUUGUUCGAGCCUGGAGAUCACAAUUUCGUGCACCAGUCCCAACAACACAUCAAUCAUAGCAUCAUUUGUAGAACAAUUAUCCAAUGUAAUAGUUGAUAAUUUUCUAUCUAAGUUCCACUCCAACAAAACUUUCGUUAAUGCAUUAGAGAGAACUUCACUUGAAUGAGGAGCAAGAACAUAAGUAAAGCUGAAAAUAUCACAAGUACAUCAAGCAUUAGAAAGCAUAUCUUAUACUAGAAGCAAAGUUUAAGGUAUUACCUCAAUACUCACAUUUGCAAAUUCCAUGAACUAUCAAUGUAGUGUACUGUAACAACCAUGUAUCCUUUUUCCUGGUUGGAAGUCCACAUGUCAGUUGUAAUAGCCACUCGACUAUCAUUUGCAUCCAUCAUCUUGUUUAUAUUAAGCUUCUCCACUUCGUACAUUUCCAAGAUAUCCUUCUUGAUUAUGUUUUGGCUUGGCAUCUUAAACGUUGUUUGCAUUGAAGCAAACACUUCUCUUGUUGCAACAUGAUCCACAUAUGACAAAGGAUACUCAUGCAUACAAAUGGACUUAGCAAUCAAUUUUCUUGUGUGAGAUGCAUCAAAUAUAAAAGCAUAUGAACUAUUCUUUCCAUGUCUUUGAAGAGAUUCGGCAAUUGUUGAUUGUCUUGAAUUUGCUAAUUUUAUUCUCUUACAAUAAUGAAGCACAUGUUUCUUCAAAUUUGUAGUCCCUUUCCUUGGAUUCGCACCAAGAACAGACUUACAAUGGUUUCAAUUUGCCUUCCACUCUUCCCCCUCUUUAUAUCUACUAAAGUAUUGCCAAUAAACACUUUUCAAUAAAGAUUUGUUGCUAUUUUCACCUGAGGCAGACUCGUCUGGAACAAAAUUAGUAGUUUCUUCAACAGGAGUUUCUUCUUGUUGUUCUUGAGCCACUACAUCCAUGUUGGUACUAUCCAUUAUUGCCUACACAAUAGUAAAAUAAAUUAUUAAAUAUUAAAAACUCAAGCAUGCUGAAAAAUCAUUAAGAUUCAGAAAAACUAUUUAUACAUAAAAAACUUAGGAAUCCAAUUUUUAUACAUAAAAUUUAUCAAACUAAAUUUACCAUUUAUCCAAUCCACUUUCGCUCUUUCUUUCAAUUACAAGUUCCUGUCCUUAAAAAAAACAAUAUAUGUUUUGCAUAAGCUUAACAACACAUUGCAAAUCAAAUAAAUAAAGACACAACAUCAUUUUGUAAGUGUGUGAACAUUAUUUUAAAUUCAAUGUCAUGUCGUACCACAUACAAAGGACUAUAUAUGUUUUGUAUAAGCUUAAACUUACACCGCUUUAUCUUAUUCCUCACCCUUAAGAAUAACAUCACAUUCAAAUUAAAUGAUUACUUAUUGUUAUUUUCUUUCAUGUAUUAUAUAUAUUUCUCUUGCACACAAUAACAAAAGCAUCACUUCCAGUAACUAUUGUAAAUUGCCACAAGUGCAAGAUACUAGGAACAAGCUGAUGAUGAACAUGAAAUUCUAAUUAAUCAAAUAUCACUUUCUUCUUUUCUUCGUUGCUAUGUAAACUAAAAUUAUGUUCAUUCAUAUCUAAUAACCAGAGCCUUUUAUAAAAAUUGAAAAUUUCUUUUACAUCAACUGUAAAUCUAAAGCAACAAAUUUGAUCAAUUCUGAUAUAUAUAUUGCAUUCAUAUCUAAUAACCGGAGCCUUUUACAAUUUUUCAAUAUAUAUUGCAUUCACAUCAACUGUAAAUCUGAAGUAACAAAUUUGAACAAUUCAAGCAUUUACAUUCCAAAAAAACAAAACUGAGUUGGUUGGGCACAGUAAGCAUUGAAUAAAACUAAAUAAUAUAGAUAAUUAUGGUGUAAUGAAAAGGCUAUGAAAGACUUUGAUUCACCACUAGUAAAGCCCCAAUUUUUACAGAUUCAAACACAAAGUACAUACCAAGAAGAGCACAGAGCAGCAGCGUAGAGACGAGAAAAGGUAACGAAUCAGCGGCAUUGCAAGGAGAGCACAGAGAAGGAAGAAUAGUGGCGGAAAUAGAGGAACGAGGAAUGAGAAAGGAGAGUUGGGGCAAUGGAGCACUGAGGUCUGAGGCUUAUGGCUUGGGAAGAAAACUGCGCUACCAGAGUACCAGCCUCCCACUUAGUCUUAGGGUUUCUAAUGAGUGAUUUCUGAAUCUUAAAUUAUAUAUGAUUUUUAUUUUUGUUUAAUUUUUAUUUUAUGGUAACUUCAUAAUAUAAAAAUGCAAUAUAUUAUCAAAGUAAGUAGUUAGCUUAGUGGUUACUUACUUGCUACACAUGAAGGAGGUUGAGGGUUUAACUCUCACCUCCUUCACUAUGCAUAUAAAUUUUUAAAAACAUGUUAUAUAUGGGAGUGCGGGUAGGGUAGGGUAGGGUACACCCUAAACCCGUAUCCUACCCUACCCGCAGGCCUACCCAGACCGCACUCUACUCUACCCGCAGCGGGUCAGGUAGCCUACCCUACCCGAACGGGUUGGGCCGGGUAGGGUACCCGCGGGUAGGGUAUGUAUUGCCAGCCCUAGGUUCCUUAUCUGUGGCGGAUUACACCAGUCGAUUUGAGGAGCUCUGUAGGUUCUCUAGGGCAUGUCAGGGUGCCGCGGAGACCUAUGAGAGUUGGAAGUGUGUCAAGUAUCAAAGGGGCUUGAAGGACGACAUCAUGAUGGUUAUGGAUCCUAUAGAGAUCUAUAUUUUCUCCGAUCUGGUGAACAAGGCAAGAAUGGUUAAAGAAUACGCAAAGACGGUAGCCUCGUCAAGGGACAGUCAAGAAGGAAAUACUAGUAGGGGACGUGAUGAUUACCUUGGACCAAAGGGACAAAACUUCAAGAGAUAUGGUGAAGGGAAGUGGUCAAGAGCUUACUCCCCUUAUAUGAAAUGUAAGGAGUGUGGGAACUACCAUCCGAAUAGGCCAUGCCAGUUGGGUAAGAAACUAUGUUACAAGUGUGGCGCACCGGGACAUUUGGUUAGAGAUUGUCCACACCGAGGAACACAUGAGGCGGGUCGAUCACGACAAUAGGGUUGAGGUAAUUAUAAAGCCGAUGGCCAAAACUCAACUUACCUUCGUAGUAUAGAAUAUCGUCGUUCGUGUUGAAAAAGUUUUAAAGCUUAGAUUGAUUUUUUCAAAACUUGGUUUGGAACUCUGGUUUGAAUAUUUUGGUUUUGAAACUAGGACUGGAACUUUUGGUCAAAUGAUAUGAUUUAAAAAGGAAAGCGAGUCCUAAGAUUGUGUUAACUCAUGAUUUUGAUUUGCAAAUUUAACUUAUCAAAAGGGAUUCAAUUGAAAGGUUCUGAUUUAAGGAUUCUAAUGAAUUUAGGAAAAAUCGUAUUUCAAAGUGAUUGAUUUACAAAUGAAAGGUUUUUGACUUUUUGAUAAGGUUUUAACAAUGGACUUAUUUAGAAUGCACUUAUUUUAAAGGUUUUGAAAAAUAUUACUAAAUCGGUAUUUGAUUUAAGGAAAAUUUUCGGAUUCCUAGUGACGAUAAUCAGAGUGACGCAGCGGAAUGCGAGAGAGAACAUCGACACGGUGGGACGAUGGUGAACGAGAUGCUCUAGCAACUUGUUAGGUUGGUAACGUUGAGAGUAGGAUGCUUCGUGGAGAAUAUAUAUAUAUACAUAUUACAUCGCGUGAUUCGGAUUUUCGAGGGAGAAAAUAUUUUCAAGGAGGGGAGGAUGUAAGAAUCGGGUUUUUCACAAAUAAAAUCAUUUAAAUGCCCAAAUUUGAUUCCGAAAAGUUAGAAUGAGAAUUUUGGGAUUUAAAUAUAAUUUUUAGACUCAGUAGGUCUUUCUGAGUCAGAAAAUAUGUUUUCUGCAAAAAACUGUGAAAAACUGCGAACCGGCUGUUAAACCGGUUGAACUGGUUCAAGUAUGCUCGGUGUUGCGUGAGAAAGAGUGAAAACAACCGAAAACCUUAGAAAAAUAUUAGAAAUAGAAAACCGGACAUUAGUGUUAAAGGUUUGGCCCAAAGUUGGGCCAAAUAGGCGAAAAAUGCUAACGGGUUAGACUGGGCCCAAGUUGGGCCCAAACCCAACAUAUAUAAGGGUUCAUUAAUGAACCCUUCAGCCACAACACACACACACACACACACACACACACCAGAAAGUUGGGAGAAGAAGGAGAAGAGAGAAGGAGCACUAUUUACCUCCUUACUCUUUUCAUCAUAUCUUGAGCUACGGUGCUCCGAUUCGCGUGCCGUCAGCGGCUACGCGAAGCUCUUGCCGAGCCCGUCGUUUCUAUCUAAGCUUUGUGUAAGUCUUUCGAGUUUCCCUGCCCAGUUUUCGUGCCCUUGUGUAUUUCGAGUUUUAGGGUUUGGUUUUGAGGGAAAUCUUGUGUCUUGGGUGUUUUAGGUACACUUUAGCACUUGAUUGUUGGUGGUUUUGGCUUUCAAAACUAUUGGACAAGGUAAGAUCUCUUGAAAACCCUUGUGAAGUUAUGUUCAUGUUGAGCCCUAGUUUGAUUAGUGAUGUUUGGUGUGUAUAUAGCUUGUUUGUUGUGAGUUUGGGAGCUUUUGGAGCUUGUUGGAGUCCUUUUGGAGACUUGCUUGUGGUUGAAAGCUUGCUUGUGCUCCAUUUGGAGUUAAGGACAUAUUGGGGAUCGGCAAGGUAUGGUUUCAGUUUCUUCUAUGUAGUAUAUAACAUUCAUGGACACUUAGGCUAGUGACCCAUAGGAUAGGAAUGAAUUAUAAUGUUUGUUGAGGUAUUGAAUGUUGAUGUAUGAUGAAUAAUAUUGAUAUGUUGAGGAUGAAUGAUUAUAUGUGAUUUUGAUGUGUGAGGAUAACUUGUAUGAGGAUGAUGAUGAUAUGGAGUUUUGAGAUGAAGAAUAUGUGAAUUGGAUAAUGAUUGUUGGCAUUCAAGGAUUAUGAUGUUUGAUGUUGGAUAUGUGAUUUAUUGUUGUUGAUAUGGUUGAUGAUUAAUGAUUGGUGAGUGAUGUUAUUGGUAUGUUGAAGGUGAGUGUUCAGAUUGUUGAUAAAUGAUGUGAAUUAUGAUAAGUUGGUGAUUUUUGGAAUAUGUUGAUAAAUCAUGAUGUUGAAAUUGGUAAAGAUGGUGUAAGAGAUUGAAAUUGAAAUAAAAUGGGAUUGAUUUUGAUGUUUAGUAAUGAUUGAAUUAGGAUUGAGAAAAAUGUUGGAGGAGGAUUGAUUUUGGUAUCACAUAAUUGAGGCUUGGUGGUUGGGAAUGGUAUAAUAUGCUACAAAGGGUAGAUUAUGAUAGAAAUUGGAGUUUGAAGUAGUUUUGGUUGGAAAUGUUGGUAAUGUUGAGGUUUUGAGACUUUUGGUAAAAGUGGGUUUUUGGUGAACUUUGUCUGAUCAUAACUUUUGCCUCGGUUUUCAAAAUUGGUUAAAAUUGGUUUAAAAUUAAAGUCUAUUGAAAACUCUUUGAAACGAUAUAAAGUUUGAAAAAUUUAGAAUUUUGUAGAGGAAGUUAUGAUCAUUCAAAGUUGGUGUUGAAAAUCUGAAAUUUUGCAAAGUUGCAGAAUUUUAUGAUUUCUGAUAUGUGCGCCCGCACAAUCCUGCGAAAAUCUUCUUCUGUGCGGACGCAUAGGCAGGAAAAGGCUCUCUGCUUGUAGCGUUAGCACAGCUUGUGCGCGCAUACAUCAAUGAAGAAUUGCGACCUGUGUGUACGCACAGCCCUGUACGCACCCACAAGUUGGGAAGGAUCGUCUGUUGGGGGCACUCGCACCCCCUGUGCGAGUGAACAGAGUUUACAAAUUUUGGUACCUGUGCGUACGCACACCUUUAAAAUCUUCCUGGGCGUGCACACACACACCCUGUGCGUACGCACAUGCCCUGUUUCACAAAUUUAAACUUUGUUUUCAACUAUUUCACCUUUCCAAUAAAGUUGUAAGCUUCUAUAACACCAUUUUAAGACCCUUGGGCUUGUCUUCGGGUAUUGAAAUAUGGGAAAUAUCCUAGGAGGUUUGUUUCGAUUUUUAAUUGAAAGUUUAGCAAACGGAGGCUUAGGUUGCUGGUGUAUUGAGGAUGGGUUUAGUUGAGAGAGAAGGAAGAGUGUGAAUUUGGUGAAUGCUGACAACGAAUUGAGAAAUUGACAAACUAAUGAGUUUGGAAUAGAAAGUCAUGAAUUGAUGAUGGUUGUGAUGAGUUGACCACUUGGAAAUGAAUGGUUAUGGUUUGAUGGAGUGAGAAUGAGUGGAAGUGUGCCAUGAGGAGUGGUCUCUGAGUUUGAUUACGUGAUUAUGAUAUGCAUUGCUAUCCAUCGUAGGGGCAGUGGUAGUAUCCCGCCUAUGUUUGGAUGUGAGGCUUGAAGCUGAGCUUCUCACUCAUAUUGAUUGCUCCAGAGGAAGGUCGUAGGGCACUCUCCCUUGGAACGUUUCCCUCUGAAAGGAGAAGGUGGUAGGGCACUCUCCUUCGGAAUUUUCCUCCUGAGCAUGGGUUUCUCUUUUAUUGUAAGGUGGUAGGGCACUAACCCACGGAAUCAUGCGACAACCAGAGGAAGGUGGUAGGGCACGCUCCCUCAGAAUGUUUCCCUCUGAAAGGAGAAGGUGGUAGGGCACUCUCCCUCGGAAUUAUUCCUCCUUAUGCGCAAUAGAGAGACUAAUCCAGGAGUUGUCGACCGGAUUUUCUGUCGGGUUUGGCACUAUAACCGACAUGUGAUAUCACAACCAAUAGGAUAGACAUUCAUCGUAUGCAUCUUCUAUAUGCUUGCUUGCUUUGUUUACUUGAGUUUUCCUAAUUGUAUAAUAUGCCUACUUGCUUCUUGAAUUACUUGUUAUAUAUUUGAAGAUUACCUGUGGUUUCCUUACUUGUAUUAUCUGUGUUUGUCUGGUUUUGAGGAGGUUAAGUAGGCGAUGGCGAUGGCAUCGCACGGAGGACAGGUUGGUGAAGGCUGUGGGACAGCGGUGACUAGUUUAGUUAAAAAUCCUCUAAGUUAGAUUACCCAUUUUCAUACUGCUAAGGCUUUAGUUGUAUUAUGGUUUAAGUUAUGCUUCAUUGUUUUAGCAUGGUUUAAGAUAAAUCUAUGAUGGAUAUGAAGUUCUAGGAUUGCCUCUGGCAUCCCGGGGUCUUAUAUUCUACAUUACUGGGCACUGUUACCAUACUGAGAACCUUCGGUUCUCAUACCAUAUUCUGUUGUUAUUUUUUAGAUGCAGGUCGCAACCCACCUCAGUGAGUUGUCUAGAUGGUGACAGAAGCGGAGGAUCCUGUUGCUCUUGGAGUCUUUUGAUUUAUAUUAUUUAUACAUUUCUCACUUUUGUAUUUUGCUUUUUCCUAGAGGUUUGUAUUGAGAGAGAAAAACAUGUAUAAGCUGUUUUUAUUGUCAGUUUUCUGUAUGGUCUGUAUAUCGCUAGCCGGCUUAAACUCCGGGAGUCCGGCUAGACUCUUACGUUAUUAUACUAUUAUCUUUUGUUAUAUUAUACCUAUGUCUUGUGCUUUAAGUUAGAAGUUUCGUUAGUACGUUUUGGGCUUUUCAAAUCCUGUUUUUGAGCUAUAUCCUUCAUCAGGCUUCUAAAUUAUAUUAAUUCUUUCUAUAUAUUAUAUGUAUGAGCUUAGAACUGUCGUAAUGUCUGAUUAUCCUUUGCUUUAUGACACGUGGUAAAGCUUAGGCUAACUAGGGUGUUACAUUUGACAUGUCAACAUCAGCAGAUUUGUUUUUUCAUUUGUUCCUUUCUUGAUAAACGAGAUAUGUAGCAAAAUUCUUAGGAAACUAAAACAGAAGCAGGCAAUUACAUUGGUGCUAGUAGCGACAAAGUUUCUUGAACCAUAUUUGUUGUAGUAUACACUAAGCGUACGUUACAACUUACAAAAAACCACUAUUAAAAGCAGACGUAGAUAACUUACUGCAACCGACGGAGGCAGGCACCAGGACAAGGGGAAUGUGGAUAAUUUCUCAGUGCUAGUCAUUGUCAUGGCAACCAUGUAGAUAAUCUGGUUACCAACAACAGUAUCAUGGAAUGUGAAUUUACAAUCUCAAUACCAUAUUUAGGUAGUUUCCUCGUUGAGCAAGGUUAAACAAGUGUCAUACCUUCUCAUCAACAUCAUGUCCCGGUAAUAGGCUGUGUAAAUCAACUCUAGCUGCCGACUUGUCUCCGAUACAAACAAGAUCCUUGCUACAUGAGGCGGAAAAUGUUAACACGUAAAUAAAACCGCAAUACACUAGUUUAAAUAUCGAGGCGUAAAGAAUUAUCAGGGGUCAAGACUCCCAUCGAAGAUAUAGGUGAAUAAGGCUGACUCACGGUUAUUAAAGGCCAUUGUAGGAGUGAUCCUAAACUUCAUCUACGUCAUAAGUUUAUGUUUAGGGUUAGUCCGUGGUCAAAUUUCGAGUCUCGUGUAUGAGGUCUGUCAUGUAGUGGCAUAUUACAUAUCGUAUGACGAUUCUAUGCCUAAGGUGACAGCCCAAUAUAUAACUAUAAAACGCGAUAAAAAAAAGUUUUGUUAUCUUAAUUAACUUUUUAUUUUCAUUUUGAAUGGUAUAUAAAUUAGCGACAUGUUUACCUUCUUGCUAGUUGGUUGAGUUGACUUCCCGCUGCUUAAGUCCGUCCGCACAGAUCAUUUUAGUCCUUCACCGGGUCUUGACCGUUUCGCUUUCCUAGUUGCCGACGGUGGUGUGAGGAACAACUUUUGCAUGAUGCAGUCGGUGUCUUUCACAGGUGGAGUACUUUUUCCAGCUGAAUCCGAGGCUACGAGUAUUCCACUUGCGAUGCCUGAACCAAUUUUCAUGGACUGUGGGGUUGACUGUUCAUCCAUCUCCCCGUUCGAGUCCAGUAUGCCGACAGUAUUUUCAUGGCUUGCACCAACUAAUAUGUCCAUCUCCUUUUUGAAGUCUUUCUAUUAAAGUACACACAUUAAACUGUUUAAGAUACGUGACACAUACAAGAAGAGUGAUAUACUAUACCAAGUGGUUAAACCGAACCUGAACUUUUUCAACAAGGCCCUUUAUCAAGUCCUUGAUUAUGAUGCCGGUCUUUGGAAAGGACCAGUCAUCCUGGGCCUGGUCUUGAGUAUCUUUGACAGCGAUGACCUCUUCAUAGUAUGCCAUAUAACUUAAACCAUAAACCCUAAAAACCACACACUACAUAGUAUGCCAUACACCUUAAACCCUAAACCAUAAAUUCUAAACCCUAAAUCCUAACUCCCACACCCUAAAUCAUGAAUCCUAAACCAUGAACCCUGUUGAGUUUUGUAAAUAAUAAUAAAUAGUUGAUGAUAACAAAUAUGUUGAAGUUGGGUUAAUAGCCCAAUUGGGUUUGAUGUGUUAAUUAGUGAUACAGGCCCAAGGAGCAAGAAAACCGACCCAAUAACAAGCAAACAAAGGCAAUAGUUCAAAUCUAGAAGCCCCAAGAAAAUGAAUGGCUAAACUUAUAUCAUCAUGAGCAAUCCAAAGAAAAAGUAGCUAAUCAAUAAGGAAGGAAGAAACGAAGAAAUCUUGUCCAAGAAGCAAGAAAAUAGGCCCAAUAAAAUAAUGAAGCCCAAAGAAAAAAGAAAUCUGAAAUGCUAGUGUGAAGAAAGGAAAUUGGACCAAACAUAAACCAUAAGGCCAAACUUACAACAACAGUAGCCCAAUGGAUAGAGCAAUUGAAACAAAGAUUAUUGAUGGGUUCUCUAACCAACAAUACCCAAAAAUAAUAAAGCAAAGAGUUCAACUGGGCUAAAUUAAACAUACAUCUAAUCCAAGUCCAAGAAGCUUCCACCAAGUAGAAGCCCUCCAAAGCCAACGUUCACAAGCUUGCUUCGGUUAGAAUAAAAAAAGAGAGAGAGUUUCUUCUUCCUGGUUCUGUCACCAAAGAAGAAAGAAAAAGAAAGGUUCAUCAUGAAAGCAAGGUCAUAUCACACUAAUCAAAGCAUGUUAAGCAAAGUCAAAGGUUAAAGGUAAAUAAUUUCCAUUUGCAUGCAAGUUGAUUUCUUCACUCCUUUUCCUACUCUCUGCGAUACCAUUUCUGGAAAGAAGUAAAAACUGGUGAAGUGGUGAUGGAUUAGCUCUGCUUUAAAUCAAUGGCUCAAAGUGUUACUUGGAGGCAAAGCACCAUAUCAAAGGUGUGGAUUUGGGAUUGUCACUGAGAAGACAUAUUUCUGAUGCUUUGCGAACCUCAAUCAAAGCAAAUGAGUCAGUUUUAAAAUUCCUAAUUUUGGGAAUGAUUGAAUAAAAAGGAGGCAUGAUUUUUGAGAUCUCAAAGUCCAAGGAGUUGACUAGAGAGAAAUCCUAUCUGGCUCUCAGCACAAGGUACAAAAAGAAAAUUGCUUCUCUGUUUUGAACAAGGAGAGAGAACCAGAAUCUGAGUUGCAUUAAGAGCAUUCCUUGUGGGAGUUCAACGCUUUGGACUGUGUUUCUACUCAAAGAAACAUACCGCCAAAAUGAAGAACAAUCAUAGAGAAUUCUGAAGUUGGUUCAUCUGAUAGCUUCAUGGCUGUGAUCAUCAUCUCCUUCAUGGUUUAUUGUUCCAUUAUUCUAUUUCAAUGUUUAUCUUUCUCUGUUUUCUCUUAAGUGGAAAAAGGUAUAAAUGUGAGGUAUUUGAAAAAGCCAAAUAGAGAGAAAAGGAAAAGAGAAGAACUUGGAGAGAAAAGUCAAAGUUGAUUUCAGAUUUCUAUUUGUUUGUAUUUCUAUUUUGCAUCUUGUAUUUGAUGUAUCCCUUGCUAAGUUGGGUAAGCACUUAGUGUAUUGAGAGUCUAGGAUGUUGCCUAGCCAAAUCAAGCUUAUGUUGAAGUUUGGUUUGUCCCAGAUAGGAUUAUGUUGAGUCCUAGGGAAUUGGUGUUUGUAACACUUGAAAGUAUAGUGAAAAUUCCACCAAUAUUGUGGUAGAGACUGGAUGUAGGUUGCAUUGCACAGAGCAACUGAACCAGUAUAUAUGCUGGUGCCAUUUUCUUCUUCUCUGCACUAUUUUAUCUCUCUGUAAUUUAUGAGACAAAACUAAAUUGUCUCCUGCAUAAUCUAUCACGCAGACAAAUAGAAGUAAAGUUUCAUUUCCAGAUUUUAAGGGUUAAUCAAUCAAUGUAAAAGAAGGCCAUAGAUUCAACCCCUCUUCUCUAGGCCAUCAAGAACCUUCAAUUGGUAUCAAGAGCCAGGGUCUCAAGAAUCAAGCUUCACAACUUGGAGGAAAUGUCCAAUGGCGAACAACAUGGGUGCAACCACUGUGGCCUAUACUCUAACAGAGGGUCAGUCAAACAACAGGCCUCCUUUUUUAAUGGGAAGAACUAUGCUUAUUGGAAAGAAAGAAUGCGGAUCUUCAUUCAAUCAAUUGACUACAACAUAUGGAAGACAGUGGUGAAUGGUCCUAAAAUCCCUACAAAGACAAGUGCUGAUGGAGUAGUGACUCUAAAGGAGGAAGCCGAAUGGAAUGAUGAUGACAAAAAGAAGGUGGAAAUAAAUGCUAAAGCAAUAAACUUGCUACACUGUGCUAUUAGCUUCGAGGAAUACCAAAAGGUAUCUAGAUUCAAGACGGCAAAAAAAAUCUAGGAGAAACUCCAAGUUACACACGAGGGCACCAACCAAGUAAAAGAAACAAGGAUUGAUAUGCUGCAAAAAGAAUAUGAGAUGUUCACCAUGAAGGAUGGAGAAAGUAUUGAUGAGAUGUUUGAGAGAUUCUCAAUCAUCAUCAACAGCCUUGAUGCUAUGGGCUUGACACACAUGGAACAAACUCUAAUGAGAAAAAUCCUUAGAAGCCUUAUAAAAGAAUGGGAAACAAAAGCCACUGUCCUAACCGAGAGUAACAACCUGAGUCCACUAACCUAUGAUGAGUUGAGAGGGAAGCUCUUAGCAUAUGAAGCCACACACACUAGCCAAGACACAAAGAAAAAAGGAGUGGCCCUAAAAUCAAAAGUUGAGUCUAGGGAGAGUGAUUUAAGUCACAGAUUUUGAGAUGACGAACUUGUCUUUUUUGCUAGGAGAUUAAGAAGGCUAAUGAGGAGCAAAGGCAAGUACAAGGGAUCAAGUUCAAAGGAGCAAAAGAAGGAUCUCAGUAAGGUCACUUGUCAUCACUGCAAUGAGGUAGGACACUUCAAGUUAACUGCCCAAAACUCAAGAAAGAUGAUAAGGCUAAGAAAGAAAAUAAGAAAGUGCUCAUAGCUUCUUGGGAGGAUCUAGAGAAUGAUUCGGAUGAGGAAGAUGACUCCGAAUAUGAAGCUCAAGUCUGUUUCAUGGCUGGUAAUGAUCAACUAGAAGAGAUAAAUUAUUAUGACUUAUCUCUUGAAGAACUACAUGUUAUUGUUGAUGAUCUCACUCACCAUUCUAAAAAAUUGUUGAAGAAAUACAACAAAUGUAAAUCUGAAAAUGAACUUUUGAAAGCUGAAAAUGAGUUUUUAAAAGAAAAAGUGAAGGAGACCGAAUGUGCUUUUGAUCUUGUUGAAGAAAAUAGAUUUUUAAAAUACGAAAUUGAAAAAUUCAAAGGAAAGCACACGGUUGACGCUUCACAAGAACUGAUUGCAAAAAAUGAAAGAUUAAAUGAAAUGAUUAAAGGGUUGAAUAAUGAUUUAGAAAAAUUUGCACACAGUUCCAACAACUUGGACAAAUUACUUGCUAAUGAAAGAUCAUUAUUUGAAAAAUAUGGUUUGGGUUAUGUGACAAAGGAUGAUGCAGUUUUUGAAAAACCAUGCACUAAAACUGAAGCAACAAACUCAAAGACAAAACCCUCAUUUGAAAUUUUUGGUUUGGGUUAUUCAAUUAAAACUGAUGCUAGUUUUGAAAAAUGAUUUUUUGAUAAAAAUGCAUCACCUUCAAAGACCAAACCAUUGUCAAAAAAUUUUGGUCAUGAUCAUUUCACUAACAAUGAAGUUGUUUUUGAAAAACCACACUUUAACAAAACUGCCUCAUAUUCAAAAACCAAAUCUGUUUCAAAUAAUUCUGGUUUGGGAUAUGUUGCAAAAACAGGUGCAGUUGCUAAAAAUCAAUUUUAUAAAAGAAAGGCACCUUACUCAACAACCAGAAAAUUUCAAACCUUUAAUCACUUUCUGCACCAUACAUUAAAUCAUUUCAACAUCAUAAUAUUGAUCACUUUCAGCAUCAUGCAAUCAAAAAAUAUUGUUCUAAUUGCAAUAAAAAUGGUCAUUCUUCCCCUCAAUGUUUUAUUGACAAAAGAAUUAUGGGAAAUAAAACAUACAACGUUGUUUGUGAUUUUAAUGAACUUGGGCAACCAAGGUGGAUUGACUUUAAAGGAUCCAAGUUAGUUUGGAUACCCAAGGUUACUUGAGAGUUUAUGCAGAGUUGCCUAGCAUCCAAGAAGAAGAAAGAUAUGUGGUACUUUGAUAGCAGAUGCUCUAGGCAUAUGAUGAGAAGGUCAAUAUUUUUUAUCAAACUCAACAAGUAUGAUGAAGGAUUUGUGACCUUUGGAGAUGACGGAAAAAGUAAGAUUGUUGCUAUUGGAAAAGUAGGUAAUAAGCACUCUAGAAUCAUGAAUCCUAAACCAUGAACCCUAAAAUCUAAAACAAGAAUCCUAAACCCCUAAACUAUAACACAUAACCUGAACAUCUUAUUUAAUACAAACCAUAAAUCCUAUCCCACCAACCUUGAGCCCUGAACCCUGAACCAUCAACCCUACAUACUACGCCACCUCAGUAAUCCUAAAUCAUAAACCAUAAAGCCUAAACCAUUAACACUAAAUCCUAAACCCACGAACCCUAAACCAAUAUAUAGUAAAUCCUUAAACCAAAACAAUUAUUUGUUUACUGUGUAUUGCAAAUCAAUAUGUAUAAAGUGUGUUCCAAUAUAUCCAUAGAAACUACCUUUUAGAAUAAUAAUUAUAAUUAUAACCAUAAUAAUAUCAUAUUAUAAAUAUAUGUUGUUUAGAUAUUUGAUUAAUUUGAAAUAAACAUAUUUUAACAUAAAUCCCUAAUCUGUAGACCGCAGUCCAUAAACGUUAAUCCGUUAACUUUUACUUAUAUAACACCCAUGUUUACUGGUUAUUUAACGGGUAAUUUGAUUUCCAUACCUUUUACUACAAUCCACGCCUCGCCAUUGGACAUAUGCGGAUACAUUCUAGGCAAGAUUGGAAUAGAUGUUCAGGGCAGUUAGAGAGCAUUAGCUACCUGAACGGAUCAAUGACAUGGCCACUUCGCACCCGUCAUCGUCUUAUGGUAUUUGUAUUCUUUCUAAAUGGAUUCUCAGAUGUAUUUUGAUGCGAUGUGUCUUAUCGGAUGACGGCUCACUGUAUGCAGAGAAGGUGAGCGUCAAAUCCUGUCAUGUUGAGGUACAACUGUACAAGCUUAUAAUAAUGGCACAGUGUGAGGAACAAGCUUCACUUAAAUUAUUAUUGUUUCUUUUUUUUUGUUGGUAUUGAUGAUGUGCCUCUCAUGGUGGGCCAAGGUUUCUCGUCCUAUGCAACCAACUAUUAAUAGAAGUUGUUCAUUAUUUACAGUCACAUGAUUGAUAAUCUAAACAAAACUCACUAAUUUUCUAAUUGACGAUGGGCAUGGAUAAUAGGGUUUGCCCAUCGUGAACUUCUUUUACAACUUUUUUAUCACCCACAAAAUUCACAUUAUAUCACUCCUAUAAAAUACUAUUUUUUUGUUCGAAAAUUUAAAAUAUUUAGAUUUGACUUAGAAAAUUUUAUCCUAGUUCAUGUUAUUCUUUUAAAUGAAAUUAAAAGCAUUUUAGUGUAUUCAUAUUUUCUUAAAGCGAGUUAUACGUUAUUGAAGAAAGGUAGUAACAAAAUAUUUUGCAUAUUUGAAUUUUGUAUUAUUAUUUAUAUAAGUAUAACAUAAUUGUCGUGUAUUAAUUUUUUUCAAAAAAAAAUUAAUUUUGUAUUGUUAUGUCACUAAUAUAACACACAUAUAAACAAUCUCAACCGUAAGCCCUAAACUCUAAACCCUAAAUCCUAAAACAUGAAUCAUAAACCUUAAAAUCUAAACCCUAUACAUGUAUAAACCCUAAACCAUAAAUCCUAAACCCUAAAACAUGAAUUCUAAACCACCUAAACACUAAACUUUAAACCUUAUACACGUUAUAAACCCUAAACCCUAAAUCAAGAAUCAUAAACCCCUAAACCCUAAACCAUAAAUUUGAAAUCCUAAACUAUAUACCCAACGCACUAAACCUUAAGUCACAACACAUAACCCCAACACGUCAUUCAAUAAUCACUUAGACCUAAACCCUAAAUCCUAUAACACAAACACCUUAUUCAAUAAACCUCAAAUCCAAAAACAUAAACCCUAAACAUUACUUGGUCUACAGAACACUCGCAAAACGUCAACACCACGACUGAUCAAAAUCGGAUAGAUAGACAAAGAAUGCCUGUGCCUGACAAAGAAUGCGCGUACAACCCAUUGACACACGUCUCCAAUUUCAAUGGUGUUAAAAUCACUUUAAUCGUUAUAGCUUCUGUUUAAAGUUUGUGAUUUCUAAUUAGUAUGAAGUGUGAACAUGGUUAAUUUUACUUCCUUGAUCAUUGGAGAAAUUGGAUUUCUAUGGUUAAUCUUGUUUUUUGUGUUUUCUGUUUUACUUUAAUAGGUGGUUUGGAAUUCAACUGAAUCCUCAGUUUAUGGGUAUCGACCUCAAGUAUGUUAUCCACCCGAUGUCAUUCUUUACUUGUUCUCAUUUAAUUUGAUUGCAUAGAUGUAUAUAAUUGCGAGUUAUGAUGGGGAAAAAAGCUUUCCUAGCUUGCAACGCUGCCAAAAUUGUCAAAUUGCAGAUUUUUUGUGAUUAUUCUGAAUACUAUAGAUAUUCCUGCAUAUAUAAUGAAAUUGUCAAAUCGCAGAUUUUUCUUUGUUAGAGCUGGAAUGAUGGGGUGGCUGCUUAUCAAUUUAUCCGUUCUUGCAAAGAGCAUUCAAGAUGGUACUUUGAGCAAGUCAAUGAUUCUAUUCCAGCUAUUCUAUGCAGUAAUCUCAAUCUUGCAUACUCUAGUUUCUUGAAUUUCUUUUUUUUCUUUUCUUUUAAUAAGCACUAGUUUGGGUGUUUAGUGAGUGAUUUCCUUCACACUUAUUCUAGUUAUACAUCUUAGACUACUUUGUGCAUAAAGAGUACAUGACAUCAACGUAAGUGCAUUGCGUUUGAUCCACGUAAAAUAUUGCUCAUCUCAAUCUCUCUAAAAAAAAGAAAACAUGUUUUCCUUGCAAUAUUUUCACUAAGUUAAUUCAUGAUUGUGAUAUCUAUACUGUUAUUCAAGUUGGAUAUAAUUGCCUUUUAUGAUCUUAUCUUUGAAUUAUUGUUUUAGCUGGGACAUAAUUGCAGAGAGAUUGGGCUUCAUGUUGGUCUUUGGAGAUUUAAUGUGGAUUCUUUUUACUUUUAGCAUACAGGUAAUUGCUAUAACUUAGCUUCCAACUUGCGAUUUAUUUGCGCUAUCAUGUAUAGUACUUUUCGGUUUAAUGCAUAACAUGUAUUGACAUGCUAUGAUUGUUGUCAGGGCUGGUGGCUCUUGGCGAACGAGGUGGAGUUAACAACGGCAGCCAUUAUAGUUAAUUGCUUUGUCUUCCUGAUUGGGUAACGUGUCUGAAAUAUCCAACCGCGAAUUCUAUAAUGCACCAUGUACACUCUUGAAGUUACAUAAAUUCAUAACAUAAAAUUAUUGAUCAAACUUUGCAGAUACAUGGUAUUUCGAGGAGCAAACAAACAAAAACAUGUAUUAAAAAAGAAUCCAAAGGCUCCUAUUUAGGGGUAAGCCUCCAAAAGUCAUUGGUAGAAAGUUACUUGCUUCUAGUUAUUGGUAAGAUUUCAUUUGAUAUCUAUUUUCUCUUUCUUUUUUUUUUUACUUUCUGUCUUCUGGAUUUAAGGGGUAAAAGCUAAAAACAAAAUGAAGAUUGCCUGGAGUAGAUAUGCAUCUGCUUUCUUUCCAUUUUUAACCUUACACAUAAUAUGUGAUUAUCGAUUAAGCGCUAUCUAGAAAAAGAAAAAUGAAAUUCGAGAUAGAUAUGGUUAGUUGAGUAUUUGUUGUCAUGUUGGGAGAUAACAAACUGAUAUUUGUAAUGCUUGGUAACUAAUAAUAGUAUAAUAUAUUACCAAUAAAACAGUUUAAUCCCCAUGUAUGUUUAUUUAGAAAGUCAAUGAAUUUAGGCCAUGCUUGUUUAGGCCUUAUGCAUUACAGCAUUACACAUUAUACAAUACUCUUUCGAUUUUUCUGUCCAUCUUUUGGUACAUCCUUUAAAUCAAUGUAUACCGAAAAGUAACAGUGACAGAUAAAAGAGAACGGAGGUAGUAACAUAGAUCAAGUUCCUCUAAAGCAAGAAAGUGAGAGUCACACUUAAAUUAAAAUAGUAGAGCUCACACGUAAUAAAAGUUACAAAUUAACUGUGAUUGAUCCUUUACUUUAUCACUUUUGAAUUCUUCUCUUUUUUCGUAGUAACAUGUUAGAACAAUGUACAUACACUUGAUUCACUUUCUCAUGAAAGCUAUUUUAACACAAAUUGUCAUCGUCGUCGUUGUUGUUGUUGUUGAUAGGGGUGUUCAUAAAAAAAACCAAAAUGUGGUUAACCAGUUAAAAAACCAUAACCAUAUUUUGGUUAACCAGUUUAAUAAAACAAUUUUAAAAACCAUAUCCAUAUUUUUUAAAAUUGGUUAACCAAAACCAAAUAAAAAAAACCGGUUUUUAACUGGUUAACCAAAACCAAAACCAAAUUAAAAUCAAAACCUAAUUUCAAAACCAAAUUACAUACUCUCUCUCUCUCUCCCUCCCUCCCUCUCCCCCUUCCUCUCUCUUUCUCUCUCACUUCUUUCUCUUCUUCUUCUCUCUCUCUCUCUCUCUCUCUCUCUCUCUCCUCUUUCUCUCCCUUCUCUCUCUCCUCUUAUCUCUCUUUUUCCCUUCUCUCUCUCAUUUUCCUCUUUCUCCUCCUCUUUGUCCUCUCCUUUUCUCUCUCCCCCUCCUCUCUCUCUCUCUCUCCCUCCUCUCUCUCUCUUUCUCUCUCUCUCCCUCCUCUCUCUAUUCUCUCUCCCCUUCUCUCUCUUCCUCUCUCUCUUCCCCUUCCUCUCUCUAAUUAUCUCUCCUCUUUUUCUCUCUCUCCUCCUCCUCUCUCUCUUCCCUCCUAUCUCUCUCCCCUUUCCUCUCCUUCUCUCUCUCCCAUAUCUCUCUCCUUUCUCCUCUCUUUUCCCUUCUCUCCCUCUUUCUCUCUUUCUCUCUCUCCCCUCUCCUUCCUCUCUCUCUCCUUUUCCUCUCCUCUCUUUCUCUCUCUCUUUUUUUCUUUUCUCUCUUUCUCUCUCUCGUUCUUUUUCUUCUUUCUCUUUCUCCUAUUUUCUCUCUCUCCUCCUCUUCCUCUCUUCCUUUUCUCUCCUUCUCCUCUUUCUUUUCUUACUCUCCCUUUUCUCUUUCUCUCUCAACCUUCUCUCAAUCUCUAUCCCUCUUCUAUCUCUUUUCUCCUCUUCUCUCUAAAGCGAGAGAAGAGAGAAAGGAGGAGAAGAUAGAGGAGGAGAAAGAAAAAAAGAGAGAGAUAAGAAGAGAGAAGAAGGAUAGGAGAGAGAGAAGAAGAGAGAGAAAUAGGACAAAGAGAGAGAAAGAGAGAUGGGAGAGAGAGAGGAUGGGGAGAGAGAAAGAGAGAGAGAAAAUAGAGGAGGGGAGAGAGAAUGAGAGAGGGAGAGGAGGGGAGAGAGAGAGAAAGAAGGAAAGGGAGAGAGAGGAUGGGGAGAGAGAGUGAGAGAAGGAUAGAGAGAAGGAAAGGGGAGGGGAAGAANNNNNNNNNNNNNNNNNNNNNNNNNNNNNNNNNNNNNNNNNNNNNNNNNNNNNNNNNNNNNNNNNNNNNNNNNNNNNNNNNNNNNNNNNNNNNNNNNNNNNNNNNNNNNNNNNNNNNNNNNNNNNNNNNNNNNNNNNNNNNNNNNNNNNNNNNNNNNNNNNNNNNNNNNNNNNNNNNNNNNNNNNNNNNNNNNNNNNNNNNNNNNNNNNNNNNNNNNNNNNNNNNNNNNNNNNNNNNNNNNNNNNNNNNNNNNNNNNNNNNNNNNNNNNNNNNNNNNNNNNNNNNNNNNNNNNNNNNNNNNNNNNNNNNNNNNNNNNNNNNNNNNNNNNNNNNNNNNNNNNNNNNNNNNNNNNNNNNNNNNNNNNNNNNNNNNNNNNNNNNNNNNNNNNNNNNNNNNNNNNNNNNNNNNNNNNNNNNNNNNNNNNNNNNNNNNNNNNNNNNNNNNNNNNNNNNNNNNNNNNNNNNNNNNNNNNNNNNNNNNNNNNNNNNNNNNNNNNNNNNNNNNNNNNNNNNNNNNNNNNAAAAUUAUUUAUAUUAGAAAAAAUUAUUUAUAGAAAAUGCUGAAAAGAGAUAAGAAAGAAAAAGGAACAAAAGCAAUGGAAGGGAUUUCAUUAGUUACAAAUGUUACUCGUAUUAUUUAGAAAGAAAAAAAAUUUUAGAUUAAAAAAAUUCAAUUAAAAAAAGGUUUAUAAAUUUGGGUUUUUGUAUGUAAAAAUAUUAAUUUUUGUGUAAAAAUUUAUUUUUACAUGUAAAAUCCAAUUUUAUGGUAUAAAAACUAAUUUUUUAGUAUAAAACCGAUUUUUUGGUGUAAAAACAAGUUUUUAGUGUAAAAACCGGUUUUUUAUGUAAAAACCAGUUUUUUAAUAUAAAACCAGUUUUUUUUUUAAAAACUGAUUUUUGCUUUAAUAAUCAGUUAAAAACCGGUUUUGAAUUUCACUAACCGGUUAAUAACCGGUUUCAUCAUGUAAAACCAAUUUGGUUAAUUAGCCAAUACUAUAUUUUUGGUUAACCAAAAAACUGGUUUGGUUUUUGGAUUAACCAAACCAUGAACACCCCUAAUGAUUAGAUAACAAUAUAAUACUUUUACACACCAUUAAUAUCUAAACUCUAUCAUUCUUUUUUUUUAACUAGCAUUCCAAAGAAAGGAGAGAAUACCAUGUUACUUAAGAAAUAAUAUGCUAUUAGAAGUAAUAAAUGAAGUAGCAAGUAGAGCUGGAAGAGAGUCGAGUUGAGUCGAACUAGAUUAAGUUCAAGCUUGACUCACAAAAAUUAAGCUUGGCUCACAGCUCGACUCAUUAACAAUCGAGCCUAUUUUGUAAGCUCAAGUUUGGCUCAACGAAAACUCACGAGUUGGCUCGAACUCACGAGCUGGCUCAAAUAAUAGGAACAUAGUCUAUAAUUUUAUAUCAAUAAAUUAUAAUUUAUAUAUAUUAAAAAAUAUUUAAAAAAUUCAAUAUAUUGUUUAUCUAUCAAUUAUAAAUUUUUUAUUUAUAAUGUUUAAGUGUGGGGAUAACUGAUAAACCACUAUUCUAUGGUUUAUCUUGUGUUUAAUUGAGUGAUUUUUAUCAAGUCUUUACCCACUUAUUCAUAUGAUUUGCAUGGCUUUACAACUCCUUCCUAGUCUUGAUCUAUGGUUGAAAACUUGCUUCUUAGAAGUCCUUAAUUUGUGUAUUUUAACUCUCCUUUAUACCAUUCGAUGCCGUGAUCCGUGUGUUAAGUGUUUCAGGCUUUAUAGGGUAGAAAUGGCUUAGAGGAUGGAGAGGAAGCUUGCAAAAAUGGAAGGAACACAAGAAACUAAGGAGAUAACUAGCGAGCAGCGACGCGCACGCAUGGCUCACGCGUGCGCGGGACAUGGAGAAAAUUGCAGUGACGCGUGCACGUGCCUGACGUGUACGCGUGGAUUGGAGUUCUGCAAUAUGGCGCGAGCGCGUGCUUGACGCGGACGCGUGACAUGCCAAAACGACCAGCGACGCGAACGUGUGACUGAUGCGUACGCGUGACAUGCGCGAUUUGUAGAAUUAACAGAAAACACUAAGGGCAAUUUCGGGCCAUGUUUUGACCCAGUUUUCAGCACAGAAACACAGACUAAAGCAAGGAAACAUGCAGAGACUCAACACACAUUCUCAUUAUGCAUAGUUUGAGUUUAGUCGGGAAUUUUAGAGAGAAUUCUACUCCUUCCUCUAGGAUUCUUCAUAUUCAUAGUUUUAGAGUUUCAUGCUUUUGCUUUUGGAUACUGAGAAGACUCAUUACCUCCGUGGAAGUUUCAUUACUCUGGUUUGUUUUCUUAUUCCUUUACUUUUUAUUGCCCAUUAACCUUGUUUGGAUUAGUAUGUUGCAUUUUGGGAUUUAAUACAAGAACCAUUAUUUGAUCUUUAAUUAUUGUCUAUCAUGUUUUCCUUUUAUUUCCUUUUUAACUCUGUGAAGUUUAUAUUCAUGAUAAUGGAGUAGUUCCCCAACUUGAUUGGGAGUUGAUUAAAAGGAGAACCUUGAGUUAGAAUACUCAAGUGUUAAUCCUAACGGAUAGUUGAUGACUGAUAACUCUAAUCUCUAACUCUCAUCCUUCCUUAGGAGAGGAUUAGGACCUGAGGAUAUAGUUUGUUGGUUAGUUACUUGAAUUUUCCUUAUUUAUUAAGGGAUAUCCAAGUAAGACAAUAACCUGUUAGGAUUGCACUUGGGAAAAUCCAACAAGGAUAGAAAUUCCAAUUAAUUUUCUCCCAGUCAAGGCUUUUAAUAAGGAUUAUAUAAUUUCUAUCGUUAAUUUACAUUGCUUAAUUUUACUAUUAUUUAUUUCUUUGUUCUUAAACUCAAAAUUUCUAGGAAAACCUCUAACCAAUAAGCUGCACUCUUUUGUCAACUGGUGCACGAAUUGUAAAUCACACUUUUUCACAACUCGUACCACUAACCAGCAAGUGCACUGGGUCGUCCAAGUAAUACCUUACGUGAGUAAGGGUCGAAUCCCACGGAGAUUGUUGGCUUGAAGCAAGCUAUGGUUAUCUUGUAACUCUUAGUCAGGAUAUCAAUUAUAAUUAUCAGUUGACUUGCAAAUGAACAAGAGAGCAUGGAUUAAAUAAUACUUAUUAUGUAGUAAUGGAGAAUAUGUUGGAGUUUUGGAGAUGCUUUGUCUUUUGAAUCUCUGCUUUUCCCCUGUCUUCUUCUUCACGUAAGCAAGGUUCCUCCUAUGGCAAGCUGUGUGUUGGUGGAUCACCGUUGUCAAUGGCUACCAUCCGUCCUCUUGAUGAAAAUGGUCCAGGUGCGCUGUCACCGCACGGCUAAUCAUCUGUCGGUUCUCACUCAUGCUGGAAUAGGAUCCAUUGAUCCUUUUGCAUCUGUCACUAUGCCCAACCCUUGUGAGUUUGAAGCUCGUCACAGUCAUUCAAUCCCUGAAUCCUACUCGGAAUACCACAGACAAGGUUUAGACUUUUCGGAUUCUCAAGAAUGCUGCCAAUGGAUUCUAGCUUAUACCACGAAGAUUCUGAUUAAGGAAUCUAAGAGAUACUCAUUCAGUCGAAGGUAGAACGGAGGUGGUUGUCAGGCACGCGUUCAUAGGUUGAGAAUGGUGAUGAGUGUCACGGAUCAUCACAUCCAUCAUAUUGAAAUGCGAAUGAAUAUCUUAGAUAGAAACAAGCGUGUUGAAGAGAAAACAGAAAUAAUUGCAUUAAUUCAUCGAGACACAGCAAAGCUCCUCACCCCCAACAAUGGAGUUUAGAGACUCAUGCCGUCAAAGAGUAUAAAGUUUAGAUCUAAAAUAUCAUGAGGUACAAAAUAAAUCUCUAAAAGUUGUUUAAAUACUAAACUAGUAACCUAGGUUUACAGAAAAUGAGUAAACUAAGAUAGAUAGUGCAGAAAUCCACUUCUGGGGCCCACUUGAUGUGUGCUGGGGCUGAGACUUGAGCUUUUCACGUGCCUGGGCUGUUUAUGGAGUUAAACGUCAGGUUGUAACCUGUUUUGGGCGUUUAACUCCAAUUUGCAACCUAUUUCUGGCGUUUAACGCCAAAAUGGAACAUGGAACUGGCGUUAAACGCCAGUUUACAUCGUUUAUCUUCGAGCAAAGUAUAGACUAUUAUAGAUUGCUGGAAAGCCCUGGAUGUCUACUUUCCAACGCAAUUGAGAGCGCGCUAAUUGGUUUUCUGUAGCUCCAGAAAAUCUAUUUCGAGUACAGGGAGGUCAGAAUCCAACAGCAUCUGCAGUCCUUUUUCAGCCUCUGAAUCAGAUUUUUGCUCAAGUCCCCCAAUUUUAGCCAGAAAAUAUCUGAAAUCACAGAAAAACACACAAACUCAUAGUGAAGUCCAGAAAUAUGAAUUUUGAAUAAAAUCUAAUAAAAAUAUACUAAAAAUUAAUUAAAACAUGCUGAAAACUACUUAAAAACAAUGCCAAAAAGCGUAUAAAUUAUCCGCUCAUCACAACACCAAACUUAAAUUGUUGCUUGUCCCCAAGCAACUGAAAAUAAAAUAGGAUAAAAAGAAGAGAAUAUACUAUAAAUUCCAAAAUGUUAAUGAAACUUAGUUCCAAUUAAAUGAGCGGGACUAGUAGCUUUUUGCCUCUGAACAGUUUUGGUAUCUCACUUUAUCCUUUGAAGCUCAGAAUGACUGGCAUCUAUAGGAACUCAGAAUUUAGAUAGUGUUAUUGAUUCUCCUAGUUCAGUAUGUUGAUUCUUGAACACAGCUACUUUAUGAGUCUUGGCCGUGGCCCUAAGCACUCUGUUUUCCAGUAUUACCACCGGAUACAUACAUGCCACAGACACAUAACUGGGUGAACCUUUUCAGAUUGUGACUCAGCUUUGCUAAAGUCCCCAAUUAGAGGUGUCCAGGGUUCUUAAGCACACUCUUUUUUUUUUUUGCUUUGGACCUCGACUUUAACCGCUCAGUCUCAAUUUUUCACUUGACACCUUCACGCCACAAGCACAUGAUUAUGGACAGCUUGAUUUAGCCGCUUAGGCCAGGAUUUUAUUCCUUUGGGCCCUCCUAUCCACUGAUCCUCAAAGCCUUGGAUCCUUUUUAUUACCCUUGCCUUUUGGUUUUAAGGGCUAUUGGCUUUUUGCUCUUGCCUUUUGGUUUAAAGAGCCUUUGGCUUUUUCUACUUGCUUUUUCUUUUUCUCUUUUUUUUUUGCCAUUUUUCUUUUCUUUUUUUUUUGCAAGCUUUUGUAUUCACUGCUUUUUCUUGCUUCAAGAAUCAAUUUUAUGAUUUUUCAGAUUAUCAAUAACAUUUCUCCUUUUUCAUCAUUCUUCAAGAGCCAACAUAUUUAACAUUCAUAAACAACAAUAUCAAAAGACAUAUGCACUGUUCAAGCAUUCAUUCAAAAAACAAAAAGUAUUGUCACCACAUCAAAAUAAUUAAACUAAUUUCAAGGAUGAAUUCGAAACUCAUGUACUUCUUGUUCUUUUGUAAUUAACACAUUUUUCAUUUAAGAAAGGUGAUGGAUUCAUAGGACAUUCAUAGCUUUAAGGCAUAGUACACCAGACACUAAUGAUCCUGUAAUAAGACACACAUAAAUAAAAUAUAAGGCUCAAAAACCGAAAAAUAGAAAAAUAAGAACAAGGAGAUUAAGGAAUGAGUCCACCUUAGUGAGGGUGGCAUCUUCCUCUUCUUGAAGAACCAAUGGUGCUCUUGAGCUCCUCUAUGUCUCUUCCUUGUCUUUGUUGCUCCUCUCUCAUAGCUCUUUGAUCUUCUCUAAUCUCAUGGAGGAUGAUGGAAUGCUCUUGGUACUCCAUCCUUUUCUUAUUGAUGAGCUUUUGAGAUGAAUCUCUCCAUCUCCCAUGACUCAGAGGUGGAAGUUUUUUUUUUGGCCUUCCCUUUCCUCUUUCUAAAGGUUUCUCUGGCCUUAGGUGUCAUACAUGGUUAUGGAAAAACAAAAAGCAACGCUUUUACCACACCAAACUUAGAAGGUUUGCUCGUCCUCGAGCAAAAAAGGAGAAGAAAGUAGUAGAAGAAGAAGAAAAUGGAAGAGAUGGAGGGAGGUGAGUGGUUCGGCCAUGUGUGGGUGGGUUUGGGAGGUAAGAGUGGUGAAGAGGUGAUGAGGAAGAGAGAAUGAGGUGAUUGGUGAAGGGUAUUUAUGGAAGAGUGUUAUGGAAAGGUGUGAAGAGGGGAGAAGAAGAGGUGGGGUAGGUGGGGAUCCUGUGGGGUUCACAGAUCCAGAGGGGUCAAGGACUUAACAUCCCUGCUCCAAUUAGGCGUGUAAAACGCCCUCUGUAUGCAAUCCUGGCGUUUAAGCCAGACUGCUGCCUGUUUCUGGCAUUAAACACCCAAAUGUAGCCUGUUUCUGGCGUUUAACGCCAGAUUGAUGCUUGUUUCUGGCGUUGAACGCCAGCUUGGUGCCUGUUUCUGGCAUUAAACGCCAGACAGAUGCUUGUUUCUGGCGUUUAAAUGCCAGAAUGCUCCUCCUCCAGGGUGUGCUAUUUUUGUUGCUGUUUUUCAUUCUGUUUUUUAUUUUUCAGUUGUUUUUGUGACUUCACAUAAUCAUCAACCUAAAGAAAACAUAAAAUAGCAAUGGAAAAUAAAUAGAUAUAGUUAAAUAACAUUGGGUUGCCUCCCAACAAGCACUUCUUUAAUGUCAAUAGCUUGACCUUACUGAGCUUUUAAUCUAGUCUCAGCCUUGAGCAUUCUUGCUCAACAUUGCCUUCAAGAUAAUGCUUGAUUCUCUGUCCAUUAGCAAUGAACUUCUUAUUAGAAUUAAUGUCUUGAAGCUCCACAUAGCCAUAUGGUGACACACUUGUAAUCACAUAUGGUCCCCUCUACCGGGAUUUCAGUUUCCCGGGGAAUAGCCUGAGCCUAGAGUUAAACAGCAGAACCCUCUGUCCUGGUUCAAAGACUCUAGGUGACAGCUUUCUAUCAUGCCACCUUUUUGCUUUCUCUUUGUAAAGCUUGGCAUUUUCGAAAGCAGUGAGUCUGAAUUCCUCUAGCUCAUUCAGUUGGAGCAAUCUUUUUUCUCCAGCUAAUUUGGCAUCAAUGUUUAGGAAUCUAGUUGCCCAGUAGGCCUUAUACUCCAGUUUCACGGGCAGAUGACAGGCCUUACCAUACACAAGCUGGUAUGGAGAGGUCCCUAUAGGAGUCUUGAAUGCUGUUCUGUAAGCCCACAGAGAAUCAUCCAAGCUUCUCGCCCAAUCCUUUCUACGGGUACUUACAGUCCGUUCCAGGAUUCUUUUUAGUUCUCUAUAGAGACUUCAGCUUGCCCAUUUGUCUGUGGAUGAUAUGGAGUUGCCACCUUGUGGCUAAUUCAAUACCGGACCAUAGCAGAGUAAAGCUGUUUGUUACAGAAGUGAGUGCCCCCAUCACUAAUUAGUGCUCUAGGGACACCAAACCUGCUGAAGAUAUAUUUCUGGAGGAACUUCAGCACUGUCUUAGUAUCAUUAGUGGGUGUGGCAAUGGCCUCUACCCAUUUGGAUACGUAGUCGACUGCCACCAGAAUAUAAGUGUUUGAGUAUGAUGGUAGGAAAGGCCCCAUGAAGUCAAUACCCCAUACAUCAAACAACUCAAUCUUCAAGAUUCCUUGUUGAGGCAUGGCGUAACCAUGAGGCAAAUUACCAGCUCUCUGGCAACUGUCACAGUUACGUACAAACUCUCGGGAAUCUCUAUAGAGGGUAGGCCAGUAGAAGCCACAUUGGAGGACCUUGGUGGCUGUUUGCUCACCUCCGAAGUGGCCUCCAUAUUGUGAUCCAUGGCAACGCCAUAAGAUCUUCUGUGCUUCUUCUCUAGGCACACACCUACGGAUUAUUCCGUCUGCACAUCUCUUAAAGAGAUAGGGUUCAUCCCACAAGUAGUACUUUGCAUCAGUAAUUAAUUUUUUCUUUUGUUGCCUGCUGUACUCUUUGAGUAUGAACCUUGCAGCUUUAUAGUUUGCAAUGUCUGCAAACCAUGGUGUUUCCUGAAUGGCAAACAAAUGCUCAUCCGGAAAGAUCUCAAAGAUAUCAAUAGAGGGGAAGGACGCCCCUUCUACUGGUUCUAUCCGGGACAGAUGGUCAGCCACUUGGUUUUCUGUCCCCUUUCUGUCUCUUAUUUCUAUAUCAAACUCUUGCAGAAGCAACACCCAUCUUAUGAGCCUGGGUUUUGAAUCCUGCUUUGUAAGUAGAUAUUUAAGAGCAGCAUGGUCAGUGUACACAAUCACUUUCGAUCCUACCAAGUAUGAUCUAAACUUGUCAAUGGCAUAAACCACUGCAAGCAAUUCUUUUUCUGUGGUUGUGUAAUUUUUCUGGGCAUCAUUUAAAGCACGGCUAUCUUAAUAAAUGACAUGCAGAAGCUUGUCAUGCCUCUGCCCCAGUACUGCACCAAUGGCAUGGUCACUGGCAUCACACAUUAGUUCGAAUAGUAAUGUCCAGUCCGGUGCAGAAAUGACUGGUGCUGUGACCAGCUUAGCUUUCAGAGUUUCAAACGCCUGGAGACACUCUGUGUCAAACACAAAUGGCGUGUCAGCUGCUAGCAGGUUGCUUAGAGGUUUUUCAAUUUUUGAAAAAUUCUUUAUAAACCUCCUAUAGAAUCCUGCAUGCCCCAGAAAGCUUCUGAACAUUGGCAGGUGGUGGUAAUUUUUCAAUUACUUCUACCUUAGCUUGAUCCACCUCUAUUCCCUUGUUCGAAAUCUUAUGCCCAAGGACAAUCCCUUCAGUCACCAUAAAGUGACAUUUUUCCCAGUUUAAAACCAGGUUAGUCUCUUGGCAUCUUUUUAGAACCAGUGUCAGGUGAUCAAGGCAGGAGCUGAAUGAGUCUCCAUAUACUGAGAAGUCAUCCAUGAAGACUUCCAGAAAUUUUUCCACCAUAUCAGAGAAAAUAGAGAGCAUGCAUCUCUGAAAGGUUGCAGGUGCAUUACACAACCCAAAUGGCAUCCUUCUGUAUGCAAAUACUCCAGAUAGACAUGUGAAUGCUGUUUUCUCUUGAUCCUAGGGAUCUACUGCAAUUUGGUUGUAGCCUGAAUAGCCAUCCAAAAAGCAGUAAUAAUCAUGACCUGCUAGUCUUUCUAGCAUCUAGUCUAUAAAUGGUAAAGGAAAAUGAUCAUUUCUGGUGGUUGUAUUGAGCCUUCUGUAGUCAAUACACAUGCGCCACCCUGUAACUGUUCUUGUAGGAACCAGUUCAUUUUUUUCAUUAUGAACCACUGUCAUGCCUCCCUUUUUGGGGACAACUUGGACAGGGCUCACCCAGGGGCUAUCAGAAAUAGGAUAAAUAAUCUCAGCCUCCAGUAACUUGGUGACCUCUUUCUGCACCACUUCCUUCAUGGCUGGAUUUAGCCGCCUCUGUGGUUGAACCACUCGCUUAGCAUCAUCCUCCAAUAGGAUCGGGCUUAUGCCCUUAAGGUCACUUAGGGACCACCCAAGAGCUGUCUUGUGUGUCCUUAGCACUUGAAUUAGUGAUUCCUCUUCCUGUGGAUUUAAAUAAGAGCUUAUGAUCACCGGAAAAGCGUCACCUUCUCCCAGAAAUGCAUAUUUUAGGGAUGGUGGUAAUGGUUUGAGCUCGGGUUUUGGAGGGUUUUCCUCUUCAUGAGGAAUUUCCAGAGGUUGUUUUAUUUCCUCUAAAUCCUCCAAAUCAGGCUGAGCAUCUUUAAAGAUGUCUUCUAGCUCUGACUCGAGACUCUCAGCCAUGUUGAUCUCCUAUACUAAAGAGUCAAUAAGAUCAACUUUCAUGCAGUCUUUUGGUGUGUCUGGAUACUGCAUGGCUUUGACAGCAUUUAAGUUGAACUCAUUCUCAUUGACCCUCAGGGUUACUUCCCCCUUUUGGACAUCAAUGAGAGUUCGUCCAGUUGCUAGGAAAGGUCUUCCUAGAAUGAGAGUAGCACUCUUGUGUUCCUCCAUUUCCAGCACCACAAAGUCAGUGGGAAAGGCGAAUGGCCCAACCCUGACAAUCAUGUCUUCAAUCACGCCUAAUGGGUAUUUAAUGGAGCCAUCAGCAAGUUGGAGACAUAUCCUGGUUGGUAUAACUUUUUCAGUUAAACUAAGCUUUCUGAUAGUGGAUGCAGAUAUUAGGUUGAUGCUUGCCUAAAGAUCACAUAGAGCUGUCUUGGUGCAAUUACCCUCUAAUACGCAUGGUAUCAGAAAGCUCCCAGGAUCCUUAAGCUUUUCUGGGAAGCUUUUCAGAAUGACUGCACUACAUUCUUCAGUGAGGAGAACUCUUUUAGUUUCUCUCCAAUCCUUCUUAUGACUCAAGAUCUCUUUCAUGAACUUGGCAUAAGAGGGUAUUUGCUCAAGUGUCUCUGCAAACGAAAUCUUUAUUUCAAGAGUCCUGAGAUAGUCUGCAAAGCGGGAAAAUUGCUUAUCCUGCUCCUCUUUGCGGAGUUUUUUAGGAUAAGGCAUCUUGGCUUUGUAUUCCUCAACCUUAGUUACUGCAGGUUUAUUUCCUACAGAGGUGGUUGGAGAAGCCUUUUUAGAGGGGUUUUUAUCAUCACUUGUGUGUGUCUGAUCCCUCACUGGCAUUUGAAUGCCAGAGUUAGAAGCUGGAUUGGCGUUAGACGCCAACUCCUUACUUGUUUCUGGCGUUUGAACGCUAGAACUGAGCUUCCAUUGGGCGUUUGACGCCAACUCCCUGCCUGUUUCUAGCGUUUGAACGCCAGAAUUGAGCUUGGGUUGGGCGUUCAGCGCCAGCUCUCCACCCUUCUCUGGUGUUUGAGCGCCAGAAUCAUUCCUCUCUGGGCUCUUAUUGUCCUCAGAGGGAUUUUGGGUAGCAGUUUGUUCAUUUCUUAGCUUUCAGCUGCCUUGAAGUGAGGUAUUUAAUAUUUUCCCACUUCUUAAUUGAACUGCUUGGCACUCUUCUGUUAUUUGUUUUGAUAACUGCUGUUCUGUUUGCUUCAACUGUACUUCCAUAUUCAUAUUAGCCAUUCUUGUGUCUUGUAGUAUCUCCUUGAAUUCGGCCAGCUGUUUUGUUAGAAAAUCUAAUUGCUGAUUGAAUUCAGUAAUUUGUUCUGCAGGACUGAGUUCAGCAGUUACUGUUUUAGCCUCUUCUUUCAUGGAAGAUUCACUACUUAGGUACAGAUGCUGAUUUCUGGCAACUGUAUCAAUGAGCUCUUGAGCUUCUUCAAUUGUCUUUCUCAUGUGUAUAGAUCCACCAGCUGAGUGGUCUAGAGAAAUCUGAGCUUUCUCUGUAAACCCAUAGUAGAAGAUGUCUAACUACAUCCACUCUGAAAAUAUUUCAGAGGGGCAUUUUCUUAGCAUCUCUCUGUAUCUCUCCCAGGCAUUAUAAAGAGAUUCAUUAUCUCCUUGUUUAAAGCCUUGGAUGUUCAACCUUAGCUGUGUCAUCCGUUUCGGAGGGAAAUACUAAUUCAGAAAUUUUUCUGACAGCUGUUUCCAUGUCCUUAUGCUAGCCUUAGGUUGGUUAUUUAACCACCUCUUAGCUUGGUCUUUUACAGCAAAUGGAAACAGUAAUAAUCUAUAGACAUCCUGAUCUACUUUCUUAUCAUGUACUGUGUCAGCAAUUUGUAAAAACUGUGCCAGAAACUCUGUAGGUUCUUCCUGUGAAAGACCGGAAUACUGGCAACUUUGCUGCACCAUGAUAAUGAGCUGAGGAUUCAACUCGAAGCUACUGACUCCGAUGGAGGGUAUAUAGAUACUACUCCCAUAUGAAGCAGUAGUGGGAUUAGCAUAUGACUCCAGAGUCCUUCUGGACUGUUCAUUUCCACUUAGGUCCAUGAUGGAGAAAGGGAGAUGUUCAGAGCAUUGUUGGGACCUCCCAACACCAAACUUAGAGUUUGAAUGUGGGGGUUCAACACCAAACUUAGAGUUUGGUUGUGGCCUCCCAACACCAAACUUAGAGUUUGACUGUGGGGGCUUUGGUUGACUCUGCAGUGAGAGAAGCUUUUCAUGCUUCCUCUCCAUGGUUACAGAAGGAGAACCUUGAGUCUUAAAUACAAGGUAGUCCUCAUUCAGUUGAAGGACCAACUCUCAUCUGUCCACAUCAAUCACAGCUUUUGCUGUGGCUAGGAAGGGUCUUCCAAGGAUGAUGGAUUUAUCCUCAUCCUUUCCAAUGUCUAGGAUUAUGAAAUCAGCAGGGAUGUAAAGGCCUUCAACCUUUACUAACACGUCCUCUACUAGUCCAUAAGCCUAUUUCAUGGAUUUGUCUGCUGUCUCUAAUGAAAACUUGGCAGCCUGUACCUCAAAGAUUCCUAGUUUCUCCAUUACAGAGAGUGACAUUAAGUUUAUUCCUGACCCCAUGUCACACAGAGCCCUCUCAAAGGUCAUGGUGCCUAUGUUACAGGGAAUUAGGAAUUUACCAGGAUCUUGUUUCUUUUAAGGUAGAGUUUGCUGAACCAAGGCAUUUAGUUCCUUGAUGAGCAAUGAAGAUUCAUCCUCCCAAGUCUCAUUACCAAAUAAUUUGGCAUUCAGCUUCAUGAUUGCUCCUACAUACUAGGCAACUUGCCCUUGAACAAUGUCUUCAUCUUCUUCAGAAGAUGAAUAGUCAUCAGAGCUCAUGAAUGGUAUAAGGAGGUUCAAUGGAAUCUCUAUGGUCUCUAGAUGAGCCUCAGAUUCCUUUGGUUCCUUAAAGGGAAACUCCUUAUUGGUCAUUGAACGUCCCAGGAGGUCUUCCUCACUAGGAUUCACGUCCUCCUCCUCCUCUUUGGGUUCGGCCACACCAAGUAAGGUAAUGGCCUUGCACUCUUUUUUUGGAUUCUCUUCUGUAUUGCUUGGGAGAGUACUAGGAGGGGUUUCAGUGACUCUUUUACUCACCUGGCCCACUUGUGCCUCCAAAUUUCUAAUGGAGGACCUUGUUUCAUUCAUGAAACUUAAAGUGGCCUUAGAUAGAUCAGAGACUAUAUUUGCUAAGCUAGAUGGACUCUGCUCAGAAUUUUCUGUCUGUUGCUGAGUGGAUGAUGGGAAAGGCUUGCUAUUGCUAAACCUGUUUCUUCCACCAUUAUUAAAGCCUUGUUGAGGCUUUUGUUGAUCCUUCCUUGAGAAAUUUGGAUGAUUUCUCCAUGAGGGAUUAUAGGUGUUUCCAUAGGGUUCUCCCAUGUAAUUCACCUCUGCUAUUACAGGGUUCUCAGGAUCAUAAGCCUCUUCUUCAGAAGAUGCCUCUUUAGUACUGUAGGAUGCAGCUUGCAAUCCAUUCAGACUCUGAGAAAUCAUAUUGACUUGUUGAGUCAAUAUUUUAUUCUGAGCCAAUAUGGCAUUCAAAGCAUCAAUUUCAAGAACUCCCUUCCUCUGAGGCGUCCCAUUACUCACAGGAUUCCUUUCAGAAGUGUACAUGAACUGGUUAUUUGCAACCAUGUCAAUGAGUCCCUGAGCUUCUGCAGAUGUUUUCUUUAGGUGAAUGGAUCCACCUGCAGAAUGGUCCAAUGACAUCUUAGAUAAUUCAGACAGACCAUCAUAGAAGAUAUCCAGGAUGGUCCAUUCUGAAAGCAUGUCAGAAGGACACUUUUUGGUCAGUUGCUUGUACCUCUCCCAAGCUUCAUAGAGGGAUUCACCUUAUUUCUAUUUGAAGGUUUGAACAAAAUUGUUUGCUCCAAUGUAGGGAUUGAGAUGCUUCUUCCAUGUAAGUUGGAAUUUGGUGCAGUAAAGUCACCAAUCAUCUUCCUUGCAUUGUUAUUAUUUUCGGCCAUGUCUCCUUCUUUUUCGAAAAUUUCUGUCAGAUUUUCUCCAGAGAGUUGUGCUUUAGCUUUCCUUAGCUUCCUCUUCAGAGUCCUUUCAGGUUCAGGAUCGGCUUCAACAAGAAUGUUCUUAUCCUUGCUCCUGCUCAUAUGAAAAAGAAGAGAACACAAAAGAAAAUAUGGAAUCCUCUAUGUCACAGUAUAGAGAUUCCUUAUGUAAGUAGAAGAAGAAGAGAAUAAAAGAAGGGGAAGAGAAAAACUCGAACACAGAGAGGAAGAUGGGGUGGGUGGAAGAGAAGUGUUAGUAGAUAAAUAAAUAAAUAGAAGGGGAUGAAAGAUGGAAGAAUCCGAAAAUUAAUUAAAAAUAAAAAUUAAAGUUAAAAUUCAAAAAUUUUAAGAAGAAAAAUGAAAUUAAAUUAAAUUAAAAUUUAAAACAAUUAGUUAAUUAAAAAAGAAUUUUGAAAAAGAGGGGAGGGGUUUUUGAAAAUUAGAGAGAGAUUAGUUAGGUAGUUUUGAAAAAGAUAAGAAUCAAACAAAAAGAUAAGAUUAAUUUGAAAAAGAUUUGAAAAUCAAUUUUGAAGAGAUAAGAAGUUAGAAAAGAUUUUGAAAUUGAUUUUGAAAAAGAUGUGAUUGAAAUUUAUUUUGAAAAAGAUUUGAAAAAGAAAUUUAAAAAGAUUUGAUUUUUGAAAUUAAAGUUUAUUACUCGACUAACAAGAAACAAAAAGAUAUGAUUCUAGAGUUUAAAGAUUGGACCUUUCUUACUAGGCAAGUAACAAACUUGAAAUUUUUGAAUCAAUCACAUUAAUUGUUAGCAUUAAUUUCGAAAAUAUGAAAUAGAAAUAAGAAAAAGAUUUUGAAAAUAAAUUUUGAAAUUUUUGAAAUUAUGAAAGAAAAAAAUGAAAAAGAUUUGAUUUUUGAAAAAGGUUUGAAAAAGAUAGAAUUUUUAAAUUGAAAAUUUGAUUUGACUCAUAAGAAACAACUAAAUUUUAAAAAGUUUUGAAAAAGCCAAAUCAAAUUUUCGAAAAUUUAUGAGAUAAAAAGGGAAAGAUAUUUUUUUGAUUUUUGAAUUUUAAUGAGGAAAGAGAAAAAUACAAAAAUGACACAUAACAUAAAAAUUAUGAAUCAAAACACACAAUGCAUGCAAGAACACUUUGAAUGUCAAGAUGAACACCAAGAACACUUUAAAUGUCAAGAUGAACAUCAAGAACUUAUUUUUGAAAACUUUUUAGAGAAGACAAACAUACAAGACACCAAACUUAGAAAUUUUCAAUGUUUAGACACUAACAAAUUGAAAAUGUAUAUGAAAAACAAGAAAAGAAACAAAACAUGAAAAAUUAAAGAAGAUCAUCAAGAACAACUUGAAGAUCAUGAAGAACAACUUGAAGAUCAUGAAGAACACAUGCAUGAGUUUUCAAAAUUUUAAAGAAAAAUUAAAAGCAUGCAAUUGACACCAAACUUAAAAAUUGACACUAGACUCAAACAAGAAACAUCAAAUUUUUUGUUUUUAUGAUUUUAUUAAAUUUUUUUUGAAAAUAAGAAUAAUAAAAACAAAAAGCUUAAAAUUAAAAUAAAAUUACCUAAUCUAAGCAACAAGAUGAACCGUCAGUUGUCCAAACUCGAACAAUCCCCGGCAACGGCGCCAAAAACUUGGUGCACGAAAUCGUGAUCGUUCAUUCCUUGGUAACAGCGCUAAAAACUUAAUACGCACGUUCAUAAUCUUAGUUCUUCUUCACAACUUCGCACAACUAACCAACAAGUGUACUGGGUCGUCCAAGUAAUAAACCUUACGUGAGUAAGGGUCGAUCCCACGGAGAUUGUCGGCUUGAAGCAAGCUAUGGUCAUCUUGCUAAUCUCAGUCAGGCGGAUUCAAAUGGUUAUAGAGUUUUAAUAAUUAAAAGAUAAAUAAAACGUAAAAUAAAGAUAGAGAUACUUAUGUAAUUCAUUGGUGAGAAUUUCAGAUAAGCGUAUAGAGAUGCUUAGUUCCUUCUGAAUCUCCGCUUUCCUACUGCUUUCAUCCAAUCCUUCAUACUCCUUUCCAUGGUAAGCUGUAUGUUGGGCAUCACCGUUCUUAAUGGUUACAUCCCAUCCUCUCAGUGAAAAUGGUCCAAAAUGCGCUGUCACCGCAUGGCUAAUCAUCUGUCGGUUCUCGAUCCUGCUGGAAUAGGAAUCAGUAAUCCUUUUGCGUCUGUCACUACGCCCAGCACUCGCGAGCUUGAAGCUCGUCACAGUCAUCCCUUCCCAGAUCCUACUCGGAAUACCACAGACAAGGUUUAGACUUUUCGGAUCUCAAGAAUGGCCGCCAAUAAUGCUAGCCUAUACCACGAAGACUCUGAUCGUAGAUCAGAAGGCUAAGAGAUACACAUUCAAGCUUGUUUGCAUGUAGAACGGAAGUGGUUGUCAGGCACGCAUUCAUAAGUGAGAAUGAUGAUGAGCGUCACAUGAUCAUCACAUUCAUCAUGGUCUUGUGUGAGAAUGAAUAUCUUAGAGAAGAAAUAGGCUUGAGUUGAAUAGAAAAACAAUAGUACUUUGCAUUAAUUCAUGAGAAACAGCAGAGCUCCACACCUUAGUCUAUGGUGUGUAGAAACUCUACCGUUGAAAAUACAUAAGUGAUGAAGGUCCAGGCAUGGCCGACUGGCCAGCCUCCAUAAAAGUCUAAGAUAGCAUAAAACUGAUCAAAGAUCUCCAAAGAUGAUCCAAAGAUGUAAAUACAAUAGUAAAAAGUCCUAUUUAUAGUAAACUAGCUACUAGGGUUUACAGAGAUAAGUAAAUGAUGUAGAAAUCCACUUCUGGGGCCCACUUGGUGUGUGUUUGGGCUGAGCAUUAGAGGUCUUCCUUGGAGUUGAACGCCAGUUUGUAACUUGUUUCUGGCGUUUAACUCUGCUUUGCAACUUGUUUCUGGCAUUUAACGCCAGAAUAGGGCAGAAAGCUGGCAUUAAAUGCCAGUUUGCGUCAUCUAAACUCGUGCAAAGUAUAAACUAUUAUAUAUUUCUGGAAAGCCCUGGAUGUCUACUUUCCAACGCAGUUGAGAAUGCACCAUUUGGACUCCUGUAGCUCCAGAAAAUCCACUUUGAGUGCAGGGAGGUCAGAAUCCAACAGCAUCUGCAGUCCUUCUUCAGCCUCUGAAUCAGAUUUUUGCUCAAGUCUCUCAAUUUCAGCCAGAAAUUACCUGAAAUCACAGAAAAAUACAAAAACUCAUAGUAAAGUCCAGAAAUGUGAUUUUUAAUUAAAAAAUAAUAAAAAUAUACUAAAAACUAAUUAAAUCAUACUAAAAACUAUGUAAAAACAAUGCCAAAAAGCGUAUAAAUUAUACGCUCAUCAAUGUUGCCAAUUGAUUCUAGCUUAUACCACGAAGACUCUGAUUUCAUGGAAUUGAAAGUCUCUAUUUUCAGGAGAGGCAAUCAUGCGUCGUGAACCAGGAACCCAAGAGAUACACACUCAAGCUCUUGCAGAUAGAACGGAUGUGGUUGUUAGUCACGCGUUCAUAAGGGAGGAUGAUGAUGAGUGUCACGGAUCAUCAUAUCCAUCAGGUUGAAGUACGAGAGAAUAUAUUAGAACAAGAAUAAGCAUGAAUUGAAUAGAAAAACAAUAGUACUUUGCAUUGAUUCAUGAGGAACAGCAGAGCUCCACACCUUAAUCUAUGAUGUGUAGAAACUUUACCGUUGAAAAUACAAAAGUGAUGAAGGUCCAGGCAUGGCGGAAUGGCCAGCUCCCAAAACGUGAUCAAGAGAUCAAAAGUGAUCCAAAGAUAGUCUCAAAGAUGAUCUAAAGAUCAAAAGAUGAAAAUACAAUAGUAAAAGGUCCUAUUUAUAAUGAACUAGUAGCCUAGGGUUUACAGAAAUAAGUAAAUGAUGUAGAAAUCCACUUCUGGGGCCCACUUGGUGUGUGCUUGGGCUGAGCAUUAAAGCUUUCACGUUUAUAGGCUUCUCUUGGAGUUAAACGCCAGCUUUUGUGUCAGUUUGGGCGUUAAACGCUGGUUUUAGUGCCAGUUCUGGUGUUUUACGCCAGAAUUCUUUGGGUUGACUUUGAACGCCAGUUUGGGCCAUCAAAUCUCAGAAAAAGUAUGGACUAUUAAAUAUUUCUGGAAAGCCCAGGAUGUCUACUUUCCAACGCAAUUGAGAGCACGCCAAUCGGGCUUCUGUAGCUCCAGAAAAUCCACUUCGAGUGCAGGGAGGUCAGAAUCCAACAGCAUCUGUAAUCCUUUUUCAGCCUCUGAAUCAGAUUUUUGCUCAGGUCACUCAAUUUCAGCCAGAAAAUACCUGAAAUCACAGAAAAAUACACAAACUCAUAGUAAAGUCCAGAAAUGUGAUUUUUAUUCAAAAACUAAUAAAAAUAUACUAAAAACUAACUAAAACAUACUAAAAACUAUGUAAAAAUAGUGCCAAAAAGCGUAUAAAUUAUCCGCUCAUCACAACACCAAAACUUAAAUUGUUGCUUGUCCCCAAGCAACUAAAAACAAAAUAGGAUAAAAAGAAGAGAAUAUAUAAUAAAUUCCAAAAACAUCUAUGAAGAUCAAUCUUAAUUAGAUGAGCGGGGUUAUUAGCUUUUUGCUUCUGAACAGUUUUGGCAUCUCACUUUAUCCUUUGAAGUUCAGAAUGAUUGGCUUCUAUAGGAACUCAGAAUUCAGAUAGUGUUAUUGAUUCUCCUAGUUCAAUAUGUUGAUUCUUAAACACAGUUACUUAUGAGUCUUGGCGGUGACCCUAAGCAUUUUGUUUUCUAGUAUUACCACCAGAUACAUAAAUGCCACAGACAUAUAACUGGGUGAACCUUUUCAGAUUGUGACUCAGCUUUGCUAGAGUCCCCAAUUAGAGGUGUUCAGAGCUCUUAAGCACACUCUUUUUUGCUUUGGACCACGACUUUAACCGCUCAGUCUCAAGCUUUUCACUUGACACCUUCACGCCACAAGCACAUGGUUAGGGACAGCUUGGUUUAGCCGCUUAGGCCAGGAUUGUAUUCCUUUAGGCCCUCCUAUCCAUUAAUGCUCAAAGCCUUGGAUCCUUUUUACCCUUGCCUUUUGGUUUAAAGGGUUAUAGGCUUUUUCUGCUUACUUUUUCUUUUUCUCUUUUUUUUUUCGCAUAUAAUAUUUUUUUUCUAUUCACUGCUUUUUCUUGCUUCAAGAAUCAAUUUUGAUUUUUUAGAUUAUCAAUAACAUUUCUCCUUUUUUAUUAUUCUUUCAAGAGCCAACAGAUUUAACAUUCAUAAACUUCACUAUAAAAAAUAUGCAUUGUUCAAGCGUUCAUUCAGAAAACAAAAAGUAUUGCCACCACAUCAAAAUAAUUAAACUAUUUUAAAAUUCGAAAUUCAUGUACUUCUUUUUCUUUUUCAGAAAACACAUUUUUUUUUCAUUUAAGAGAGGUGAAGGAUUCAUAGGACAUUCAUAACUUUAAAGCAUAGGCACUAGACACUAAUGAUCAUGUAAUGAAGAUGCAAACAUAGAUAGCACAUAAAGCAUAAAAAUCAGAAAAACAGAAAGAUAAGAACAAGGGAAUCAAAGAACGGGUCCACCUUAGUGAUGGCGGCUAGUUCUUCCUCUUGAAGAUCCAAUGGAACGCUUGAGCUCCUCUAUGUCUCUUCCUUGCCUUUGUUGCUCUUCCCUCUUGGCUAUUUGAUCCUCUCUAAUUUCAUGGAGAAUAAUGGAGUGCUCUUGGUGCUCUAUCUUUAGUUGCUCCAUAUUGGAACUCAAAUCUCCCAAAGAGGUGUUGAGUUGCUCCCAAUAGUUGUGUGGAGGAAAAUGCAUCCCUUAAGGCAUCUCAGGAAUUUCUUGAUGAGGGACUUCCUCAUGCUCUUGUUGAGGUCCAUAAGUGAGCUCUCUUAUUUUUUCCAUCCUCUUUUUAGUGAUGGGCUUGUCCUCUUCAAUGAGGGUGUCUUCUCCUAUGACAACUCCAGCUAAAUUUCAUAGGUGACAGAUGAGAUGAAGGAAGGCUAACCUUGCCAAAGUGGAGGUUUUGUCAGCCACUUUGUAGAGUUCUAGAGAUAUGACCUUAUGAACUUCUACUUCCUCUCCAAUCAUGAUGCUAUGGAUCAUGAUAGCCCGAUCUAUAAUCACUUCGGAUCGGUUGCUAGUAGGAAUGAUGGAGCGUUGGAUGAAUUCCAACCAUCCUCUAGCCACGAGUUUAAGGUCAUGCCUUCUCAAUUGACCCGGCUUGCCUUUGGAAUCUCUUAUCCACUGAGCUCCUUCCACACAUAUGUCCAUGAAGACUUGGUCCAACCUUUGAUCAAAGUUGAUCCUUCUAGUGUAGGGGCGUGCAUCUCCUUGCAUCAUUGGCAAGUUGAAUGCUAACCUUACAUUUUCCGGACUGAAAUCUAAGUAUUUUCCCCGAACCAUUGUAAGCCAAUUCUUUGGAUUCGGGUUCACACUUUGAUCAUGGAUUUUGGUGACCCAUGCAUUAGCAUAGAACUCUUGAACCAUUAAGAUUCUGACUUGUUGAAUGGGGUUGGUGAGUGAUGAGCGGAUAAUUUAUACACUUUUUGGCAUUGUUUUUAGUAUGUUUUUAGUAGGAUCUAGUUACUUUUAGGGAUGUUUUCAUUAGUUUUUAUGUAAAAUUCACAUUUCUGGACUUUACUAUGAGUUUGUGUGUUUUUCUGUGAUUUCAGGUAUUUUCUAGCUGAAAUUGAGGGACUUGAGCAAAAAUCAGAUUCAGAGGUUGAAGAAGGACUGCUGAUGCUGUUGGAUUCUGACCUCCCUGCACUCAAAAUGGAUUUUCUGGAGCUACAGAACUCAAAAUGGCGCGCUUCCAAUUGCGUUGGAAAGUAGACAUCCAGGGCUUUUCAGCAAUAUAUAAUAGUCUAUACUUUGCCCAAGUUUAGAUGACGCAAACUGGCGUUCAACGCCAACACUCUGUCCAAUUUGGCANNCGUAGUGACAGACACAAAAGGAUAGUAAAUCCUAUUCCAGCAUGAUCGAGAACCGACAGAUGAAUAGCCGUGCCGUGACAGUGUGCGUUGACCAUUUUCACUGAGAGGAUAAGAUGAAACCAUUGACAAGGGUGAUGCCUCCAGACGAUUAGUCGUGCCGUGACAGNNNNNNNNNNNNNNNNNNNNNNNNNNNNNNNNNNNNNNNNNNNNNNNNNNNNNNNNNNNNNNNNNNNNNNNNNNNNNNNNNNNNNNNNNNNNNNNNNNNNNNNNNNNNNNNNNNNNNNNNNNNNNNNNNNNNNNNNNNNNNNNNNNNNNNNNNNNNNNNNNNNNNNNNNNNNNNNNNNNNNNNNNNNNNNNNNNNNNNNNNNNNNNNNNNNNNNNNNNNNNNNNNNNNNNNNNNNNNNNNNNNNNNNNNNNNNNNNNNNNNNNNNNNNNNNNNNNNNNNNNNNNNNNNNNNNNNNNNNNNNNNNNNNNNNNNNNNNNNNNNNNNNNNNNNNNNNNNNNNNNNNNNNNNNNNNNNNNNNNNNNNNNNNNNNNNNNNNNNNNNNNNNNNNNNNNNNNNNNNNNNNNNNNNNNNNNNNNNNNNNNNNNNNNNNNNNNNNNNNNNNNNNNNNNNNNNNNNNNNNNNNNNNNNNNNNNNNNNNNNNNNNNNNNNNNNNNNNNNNNNNNNNNNNNNNNNNNNNNNNNNNNNNNNNNNNNNNNNNNNNNNNNNNNNNNNNNNNNNNNNNNNNNNNNNNNNNNNNNNNNNNNNNNNNNNNNNNNNNNNNNNNNNNNNNNNNNNNNNNNNNNNNNNNNNNNNNNNNNNNNNNNNNNNNNNNNNNNNNNNNNNNNNNNNNNNNNNNNNNNNNNNNNNNNNNNNNNNNNNNNNNNNNNNNNNNNNNNNNNNNNNNNNNNNNNNNNNNNNNNNNNNNNNNNNNNNNNNNNNNNNNNNNNNNNNNNNNNNNNNNNNNNNNNNNNNNNNNNNNNNNNNNNNNNNNNNNNNNNNNNNNNNNNNNNNNNNNNNNNNNNNNNNNNNNNNNNNNNNNNNNNNNNNNNNNNNNNNNNNNNNNNNNNNNNNNNNNNNNNNNNNNNNNNNNNNNNNNNNNNNNNNNNNNNNNNNNNNNNNNNNNNNNNNNNNNNNNNNNNNNNNNNNNNNNNNNNNNNNNNNNNNNNNNNNNNNNNNNNNNNNNNNNNNNNNNNNNNNNNNNNNNNNNNNNNNNNNNNNNNNNNNNNNNNNNNNNNNNNNNNNNNNNNNNNNNNNNNNNNNNNNNNNNNNNNNNNNNNNNNNNNNNNNNNNNNNNNNNNNNNNNNNNNNNNNNNNNNNNNNNNNNNNNNNNNNNNNNNNNNNNNNNNNNNNNNNNNNNNNNNNNNNNNNNGAAGUUGUGAACCAUGGUAUUGGCAUCAUGUUUUUGGCGCCAUUGCCAGGGAAAGAAGGAGCAAUGAAUUUUACAUAAUCAAAGUGUAAUCACAAUUUCUGCGCACCAAGUUUUUGGCGCCGUUGCCGGGGAUUGUUCGAGUUUGGACAGCUGACGGUUCAUCUUGUUGCUCAGAUUGGGUAAUUUUCUUUUUGUUUUCUUUUCAAAAAUUUUUCAAAAAUUUUUCCUUUGUUUUUGAAAAAAAAAUUUUUUUUUAAAUAAAAAAGUUUUCAAAAAUAUUUUCUUCUUUUUUCGUUUUUUCCAAAAAAAAUAUUUUUUUAAAUAAAAAUGUUUUCAAAAAUAUAUUUUUCUUCAGAAUUUUUAAGAAUGAAUUCUAGUGUUUCAUGAAGUAUGUGAAGCCUGGCUGGCUGUAAAGCCAUGUCUAAAUUCAUUUGGACUAAGGCUUCCAAUUUGUUAUCAAGAGCAAGCUAGUUGGUGCUAAUCCACCUACUGCUGAUUCAUAAUCUACCUGUUACAUGCUAAAGCUUGGCUGGCUAUUAAGCCAUGCCUGACCCUUUGAUUGGAGCUUUAGACUAAAGAGCAUAAGAUUCCUGGAAUUCAUAUUAAAAAUUUUGGAAUCCUUAUUUUUCUUUUUCAAAAAAUUUUCGAAAAAAAAUACAAAAAAAAUUAGAAAAUCAUAAAAAUCAAAAAUAUUUUUGUGUUUCUUGUUUGAGUCUUGAGUCAUGUUAUAAGUUUGGUGUCAAUUGCAUGUGCAUCUUGCAUUUUUCGAAAAUUCAUGCAUUCAUAGUGUUCUUCAUGAUCUUCAAGUUGUUCUUGGUAAGUCUUCUUGUUUGAUCUUUGCAUUUGCAUAUUUUGUGUCUUUUCUUGUUUUUUUUCAUAUGCAUUCCUGAAUUCUUUAUGUCUAAGCAUUAAAGAAUUCUAAGUUUGGUGUCUUGCAUGUUUUCUUUGCAUUAAAAGAUUUUUCAAAAAUAUGUUCUUGAUGUUCAUCAUGAUCUUCAUAGUGUUCUUGGUGUUCAUCUUGACAUUCAUAGCAUUCUUGCAUACAUUCAUUGUUUUGAUCCAUAACUUUCAUGCAUUGCAUAAUUUUCAUGUUUUUCCUCUCAUUAUAAAAAUUCAAAAAUCAAAAAAAUAUCUUUCCCUCUUUUCUCUCAUAAAAUUCGAAAAUUUGGAUUGACUUUUUCAAAACUUUUUAAAAUCUAGUUGUUUCUUAUGAGUCAAAUCAAACUUUCAAUUUAAAAAUCUUAUCUUUUUCAAAAUCUUUUUCAAAAAUCAAAUCUUUUUCAUUUUUCUUAGUAAUUUUCGAAAAUUUCAAAAAUCUUUUUCUUAAUGUUUCAUCAAAUUUUCGAAAAUAUUAUCAUCAAUUAAUGUUUUGAUUCAAAAAUUUCAAGUUUGUUACUUGCGUGUUAAGAAAGAUUCAAACUUUAAGUUCUAGAAUCAUAUUUUGUGAUUUCUUGUGAAUCAAGUCAUUAAUUGUGAUUUUAAAAAUCAAAUAUUUUUCAAAACUAAUUUCAAAUCAUAUCUUUUCAAAAAUAUCUUCUUAUCUUAUCCUUUUCAAAAAUUUGAUUUCAAAAUAUCUUUUCUAACUUCUUAUCUUCUUAUCUUUUCAAAAAAAUUGAUUUUCAAAAUUUGUUUCAACUAACUAACUAACUUUUUGUUUGUUUCUUAUCUUUUUCAAAACUACCUAACUAACUCUCUCUCUCUCAUUUUCGAAAAUAUCUUCCCUCUUUUUCAAAAUUUCUUUUUAAUUAACUAAUUAUUUUAAUUUUUGAUUUUUUAUUUUCGAAAAUUACUAACCUUUUUCAAAAACUAUUUUUGAAAAUCACAAACUCUUUUUCAAAAAUUAUUUUCGAAAAUCUUCCUUCUCUCUCAUCUCCUUCUAUUUUAUUUAUUCAUCUACUAACACUUCUCUUCAUCUCACAUCACUGCUCCUAUCCUUACCCUUGUGUUUGGAUUCUUCAUUCUUCUUCACCCAUAUUCCUUUUCUUCUUCUACUAACAAUAAGGAACCUCUUUACUGUGACAUAGAGGAUUCCUCUUCUCUUCUUGUUUUCUUCUCUUUCUUAUGAGCAGGAACAAGGAAAAAGGCAUUCUUGUUGAAGCUGAUCUAGAACCUGAAAGGACUCUGAAGAGGAAACUAAGAGAAGCUAAAUUACAACAAUUCAGAGACAACCUUAUUGAAAAUUUCGCACAAGUAAAGGAGAUGGCAGCCGAACCCAACAACAAUAAUGCAAGGAGAAUGCUUGGUGACUUUACUGCACCUAAUUCCAAUUUACAUGGAAGAAGCAUCUCCAUUCCUGCCAUUGGAGCAAACAAUUUUGAGCUAAUCCCUUGUACCAUAGGCACCAUGAUCUUUAAGGCUCUGUGUGACCUUGGCUCAGGAAUAAACCUCAUGCCCCUCUCUGUAAUAGAGAAACUGGGAAUCUAUGGGGUACAAGCCAAUAAAAUCUCAUUAGAGAUGGCAGAAAAUUCAAGAAAACAGGCUUAUGGACAAGUAGAGGACGUGUUAGUAAAGGUUGAAGGCCUUUACAUCCUUGGUGAUUUCAUAGUCCUAGACACUGGAAAGGAAGAGGAUGAAUCCAUCAUCCUAGGAAGGCCUUUCCUAGCCACAGCAAGAGCUGUGAUUGAUGUGGACAGAGGAGAAUUGAUCCUUCAAUUAAAUAAGGACAACCUUGUGUUUACAACUCAAGGAUAUCUCUCUGCAUCCAUGGAGAGGAAGCAGAAAAAGCUUCUCUCAAAACAGAGUUAACUAGAGCCCCCCACAGUCAAACUCUAAGUUUGGUGUUGGGAGGCCACAACCAAACUCUAAGUUUGGUGUUGAACUCCCAUAUCCAAACUCUAAGUUUGGUGUUGGGGAGUCUCAACAAUGCUCUGAACAUCUGUGAGGCUCCAUGAGAGUCCACUGUCAAGCUAUUGACAUUAAAGAAGCGCUUGUUGGGAGGCAACCCAAUUUUUAUUUAUCUAAUCUUUAUUUUCAUUGUUUUUCAUGUUUUAUUAGGUUCAUGAUCAAGUAGAGUCACAAAAUAAAUAUAAAAAUUGAAAACGGAAUCAAAAACAGCGGAAGAAAAAUCACACCCUGGAGGAGGCAUCUGUCUGGCGUUCAACGCCAGAACAGAGCAUGGUUCUGGCGCUGAACGCCCAAAAUGGGCAGUGUCUGAGCACUGAACGCCCAGAACAAGCAUGGUUCUGGCGUUCAACGCCAGAAAUGGGCAACAAAUGGGCAUUGAACGCCCAAAAUGGGCACCAACCUGGCGCUGAACGCCCAGAGUUGUGUGCAAGGGCAUUUUGCAUGCCUAAAUUGGUGCAGGGAUGUAAAUGCCUUGACACCUCAGGAUCUGUGGACCCCACAGGAUCAUCUCAGGAUCUGUGAAUCCCCACCCACCUCACCCUCUCUCUCUCCAUUCAUGGUCAUCCCUUCUAUUUUCCAUUCACCACUCACAUCCAUACACACAUCCCUCUAUCUCCUCCAUAUCUUCUUCUUCUUUAUCUAUUCUUUCUUCUCUUGCUCGAGGGCGAGCAAUAUUCUAAGUUUGGUGUGGUACAAGCAUAAGCUUUUUGUUUUUCCAUUACCAUUAAUGGCACCUAAGGCCAGAGAAACCUCAAGAAAGAGGAAAGGGAAGACAAAUGCUUCCACCGAGAAUUAAGUUCCAACAUGGGACAAUUAAGGGUGGAACAUCAAGAGCACUCCAUCAUCCUUCAUGAAAUUAGAGAAGAUCAAAAAGCAAUGAGGGAGGAGCAAUAAAGACAAGGAAGAGACAUAGAAGAGCUCAAGGACAUCAUUGGUUCCUCAAGAAGGAAACGCCAUCAUCACUAAGGUGGACUCAUUCCUUGUUCUUACUUUCUCUAUUUUUCGUUUUCUCUAUGUUAAGUGCUUAUCCAUAUUUGUGUCUUCAUUACAUGAUCAUUAGUAUUUAGUAACUAUGCCUUAAGGUUAUGAAUGUCCUAUGAAUCCAUCACCUCUCUUAAAUGAAAAAUGUUUGAAUUCAAAAGAACAAGAAGUACAUGAGUUUCGAAUUUAACCUUGAACUUAGUUUAAUUAUAUUGAUGUGGUGACAAUACUUCUUGUUUUUUGAAUGAAUGCUUGAACAGUGCAUAUGUCUUUUGAAGUUGUUGUUCAUGAAUGUUAAAUAUGUUGGCUCUUGAAAGAAUGAUGACUAGGAGACAUGUUAUUUGAUAAUCUAAAAAAUCAUAAAAAUGAUUCUUGAAGCAAGAAAAAGCAGCAAGGAACAAAGCUUGCAGAAAAAAAAAAUAUAGGCGAAAAAAAAAGUAGAAAGAAAAAGAAAAAGCAAGCAGAAAAAGCCAAAGCUCUUAAAACCAAGAGGCAAGAGCAAAAAGCCAAUAACCCUUAAAACCAAAAGGCAAGGAAAAUAAAAAGGAUCCCAAGGCUUUGAGCAUCAGUGANNNNNNNNNNNNNNNNNNNNNNNNNNNNNNNNNNNNNNNNNNNNNNNNNNNNNNNNNNNNNNNNNNNNNNNNNNNNNNNNNNNNNNNNNNNNNNNNNNNNNNNNNNNNNNNNNNNNNNNNNNNNNNNNNNNNNNNNNNNNNNNNNNNNNNNNNNNNNNNNNNNNNNNNNNNNNNNNNNNNNNNNNNNNNNNNNNNNNNNNNNGAUUUUCUGGAGCUACAGAACUCAAAAUGGCGCGCUUCCAAUUGCGUUGGAAAGUAGACAUCCAGGGCUUUCCAGAAAUAUAUAAUAGUCUAUACUUUGCCCAAGUUUAGACGAUGCAAACUGGCGUUCAACGCCACCACUCUGUCCAAUUCUGGCGUCCAGCGCCAGAAACAAGUUGCAAAGUGGAGUUCAACGCCCAAAAUGGCACAAAAGGUGGCGUUCAACUCCAGGAAUGACCUCUACACGUGUAACACUCAAGCUCAGCCCAAGCACACACCAAGUGGGCCCCGGAAGUAGAUUUAUGCAUCAAUUACUUACUUUUGUAAACCCUAGUAGCUAGUUUAUUAUAAAUAGGACCUUUUACUAUUGUAUUAGACAUCUUUGAAUCUUUUGAUCUUUGGAUUAUCUUUUGAUCUUUGGACGCCUGGUUCUUAGAUCAGAGGGGCUGGCCUCUCGGCCAUGCCUGGACCUUUCACUUAUGUAUUUUCAACGGUAGAGUUUCUACACUCCAUAGAUUAAGGUGUGGAGCUCUGCUGUCCCUCAAGGAUUAAUACAAAGUACUACUGUUUUCUAUUCAAUUCAUCUUAUUUCGCUUCUAAGAUAUUCAUUCGCACUUCAACCUGAAUGAGAUGAACGUGACAAUCAUCAUCAUUCCCUAUGAACGCGUGCCUGACAACCACUUCCGUUCUACCUUAGAUUGAAUGAGUAUCUCUUAGAUCUCUUAAUCAGAAUCUUCGUGGUGUAAGCUAGAUUGAUGGCGGCAUUCAUGAGAAUCCGGAAAGUCUAAACCUUGUCUGUGGUAUUCCGAGUAGGAUUCAGGGAUUGAAUGACUGUGACGAGCUUCAAACUCGCGAGUGCUGGGCGUAGUGACAGACGCAAAAGGAUAGUAAAUCCUAUUCCAGCAUGAUCGAGAACCGACAGAUGAAUAGCCGUGCCGUGACAGUGUGCGUUGACCAUUUUGUCUAUCCCUGUUUUAUUAAUUAUUUUCGAAAACCCCAUUACCAUUUUAUAUCCGCCUGACUGAGAUUUACAGGGUGACCAUAGCUUGCUUCAUACCAACAAUCUCCGUAGGAUUCGACCCUUACUCACGUAAGGUAUUACUUGGACGACCCAGUGCACUUGCUGGUUAGUUGUGCGAAGUUGUGAACCAUGGUAUUGGCAUCAUGUUUUUGGCGCCAUUACCAGGGAAAGAAAGAGCGAUGAAUUUUACAUAAUUAAAGUGUAAUCACAAUUUCUGCGCACCAGUGAGAACUUCCCAACCUCUUUUUCGAAUCUCAUAUCGGAUAUCCGGAUACUCAUUCCUUUUGAGCAUGAAAGGGACCUCAGGGAUCACCUUCUUCUUGGCCACAACUUCAUAGAAGUGGUCUUGAUGGACCUUUAAGAUGAAUCUCUCCAUCUCCCAUGACUCGGAGGUGGAAGCUUUUGCCUUCCCUUCCCUUCCCUUCCCUUAGGUGCCAUAAAUGGUUAUGGAAAAACAAAAAGCAACGCUUUUACCAUACCAAACUUAGAAGGUUUGCUCGUUCUCGAGCAAAAGAGGAAAGAAGGGAGUAGAAGAAGAAGAAGAAAAUAGAGGAGAUAGAAAGGUGUGAGUGGUUCGGCCAAGGGGGGAAAGAAGUGUUUAUGAUGUGUGAAAAUGAAGGAGGGAUGAGAGGUUUAUAUAGGAGUGGAGAGAGGGGUAGGGUUCGUGUAUUAGGGGUUGGGUUUGGGAGGAAAAGGAUUUGAAUUUGAAUUGUGAGGUGGGUGGGGUUUUUGGGGAAGAGUGGGUGGAGGUGAUUGGUGAGGGGUAUUUGGGGAAGGGUGUUAUGGGAAGGUGUGAAGAAGAGAGAGAGAGAGAGUUGAGGUAGGUGGGGAUCCUGUGGGGUCCACAUAUCUUGAGGUGUCAAGGAUUUCUCAUCCCUGCACCAUUUUGGCGUGUAAACGCCCCUUUGAGUGCCAAUCCUGGCGUUAAACGCCAGGUUGCUGCCCUUUUCUGGCAUUUAACGCCAGCUUUUCUCCCCUUUAUGGCGUUAAACGCCAACUUGUCUUCCCUUUCUGGCGUUAAACGCCAGCUUGGUGCCCUUUUCUGGCAUUAAACGCCCAGAAUGGUGCCAAACUGGGUGUUUAACGCCCAUUCUACUACCCUUACUGGCGUUUAAACGCCAGUAAGCUCAUCCUCCAGGGUGUGCUAUUUUCAAUGCUAUUUUUUAUUUUAGCUUUUGUUUUUGUGACUCCACAUUAUCAUCAUCCUAAAGAAAACAUAAAAUAACAAUGAAAAAUAGAAAUUUAACAUAGAUAAGUAAAGAUUGGGUUGCCUCCCAACAAGCGCUUCUUUAAUGUCAAUAGCUUGACAGUGGGCUCUCAUGGAGCCUCACAGAUACUCAGAGCAUGAUCAUGGCCUCCUGAUGAGCGGAUAAUUUAUAUGCUUUUUGGCAUUGUUUUUAGUAUAUUUUUAGUAUGUUUUAGUUAAUUUUUAUUUUGUUUUUAUUAGUUUUUAAUUAAAAAUCACAAUUCUGGACUUUACUAUGAGUUUGUGUGUUUUUCUAUGAUUUCAGGUAUUUUCUGGCUGAAAUUGAGGGACCUGAGCAAAAACCUGAUUCAGAGACUGAAAAAGGACUGCAGAUGCUGUUGGAUUCUGACCUCUCUACAUUCUAAGUGGAUUUUCUGGAGCUACAGAAGCCCAAUUGGCGCGCUCUUAAUUGCUUUGGAAAGUAGACAUCCUGGGCUUUCCAGCAAUAUAUAAUAGUCCAUACUUUGCCCGAGAUUUGAUGGCCCAAACAGGCAUUCCAAGUCAGCUCAAGAAUUCUGGCGUUUAACGUCGGAACUGGCACAAAAGCUGGCGUUUAACUCCAAGAAAAGUCUCUACACAUGGAAGCUUCAAUGCUCAGCCCAAGCACACACCAAGUGGGCCCGGAAUUAGAUUUUUACAUCAUUUACUCAUUUCUGUAAACCCUAGGCUACUAGUUAUCUAUAAAUAGGAUCUUUUGCUAUUGUAUUUUCAUCUUUGUUUAGUCUUAUGCUACCUUAGAUCACGUUUUGGGGGCUGGCCUCACGGCCAUGCCUAGAACUUGUUCUUAUGUAUUUUCAACGGUGGAGUUUCUACACACCAUAGAUUAAGGUGUGGAGCUUUGCUGUUCCUCAUGAAUUAAUGCAAUUACUACUGUUUUUCUAUUCAAUUCACGCCUACUUCUUCUCUAAGAUAUCACUUGUUCUUCAACUUGAUGAAUGUGAUGAUCAGUGACACUCAUCAUCAUUCUCACCUAUGAACGCAUGCCUGACAACCACCUCCGUUCUACCUUCGAUUGAGUGUGUAUCUCUUAGCCUUCUGGUUCAUGACGCAUGGGUGCCUCGCCUGACAACCGAGCUCUCCAUUCCAUGAAAUCAGAGUCUUCAUGGUAUAGGCGAGAAUGAAUUGGCAGCAUUCUUGAGAUCCGAAAAGUCUAAACCUUGUCUGUGGUAUUCCGAGUAGGAUCCGGGAUGGGAUGACUGUGACGAGCUUCAAACUCGCGAGUGUGGGGCGUGUGACAGACGCAAAAGGAUCAAUGGAUCCUAUUCCGACAUGAUCGAGAACCAACAGCUGAUUAGCCGAUGUUGUGACAGAGCAUCAGGACCAUUUUCACUGAGAGGACGGGAGGUAGCCAUUGACAACGGUGAAACCCAACAUAAGCUUGCCAUGGAAGGGAGUACGAGUGAUUGGGAGAAGGCAAUGGGAAAGCAGAGGUUCAGGAGGAACAAAGCAUCUUCAUACGCUUAUCUGAAAUCCACCAAUGAAUUACAUAAGUAUCUCUAUCUUUAUUUUAUGUUUUUCUUUUAAUUAUCAAUUCUCCAUAACCAUUUGAAUCCGCCUGACUGAGAUUUACAAGAUGACCAUAGCUUGCUUCAAGCCGACAAUCUCCGUGGGAUCGACCCUUACUCGCGUAAGGUUUAUUACUUGGACGACCCAGUGCACUUGCUGGUUAGUUGUACGGAGUUGUGAUAAAGAGUUGAGAUUACAAUUAUGCGUACCAUGUUGAUGGCGCCAUUGAUGAUCACAAUUUUGUGCACCAAGUUUUUGGCACCGUUGCCGAGGAUUGUUCGAGUUUGGACAACUGACGGUUCAUCUUGUUGCUUAAAUUAGGUAAUUUUAUUUUAUUUUGUUCUUCAGAGUUCGUAAGCAUGAAUUCUAGAGUUUCAGGUGAUGUUUUUAUCAUCACAAAAGCUGAUUGAUCCUCAUCAAUUUAGCUAUUGAAUGGCUUUAGACUAACAUUGCAUGAUUCCUGGAAAUUCAUAUUAAGAAUUUUGAAAUCCUUAUUUUCUUUUCCAUAUAAUUUUCAAAAAAUCCAAAAAAAAAUUUUAAAAUCUUAAAAUAAAAAAUAUUUUAUGUUUCUUGUUUGAGUCUAAUGUCUAAUUUUAAGUUUGGUGUCAAUUGCAUUCUUCUAAUUUUCGAAAUUACAUGCAUCAUGUUCUUCAUUGAUCUUCAAGUUGUUCUUGAUGAUUUCCUUGCUCUAAUCUUUAAAUUCUCUUGUUUAGUGUCUUUUGUUAUUUCUCACAUGCAUUCUCCAUUUGUUAGUGUCUCUAAUAUGAAAAAUUUCUAAGUUUGGUGUCCUGCAUGCAUUGUUUAUUUGAUCUUGGUUUUCUAUGUUUAGUUGCAUUUUGGUUGUUUCUCAUCAUCAAAAAUUCAAAAAAAAAAAUUAUAUAUAUCUUUUCAAGUCAAUAAUACAGAGAAUUGAAGAUUCAGAACAUGCAGCAGAGGAAUUACACAGAAAAAGCUGGGCAUUCAAAACGCCCAGUGAAGAAGGAAAACUGGCGUUUAAACGCCAGCCAGGGUACCUGGCUGGGCGUUUAACGCCCAAAAAGGUAGUGUUUUGGGCGUUAAACGCCAGAAUGGAUACCAUUCUGGGCGUUUAACGCCAGGAUGGCACAAGAGGGAAGAUUUUGUUUUUAAUUCAUAUUUUUUUCAAGUUUUCAUAAUUUUUCAAAAUCAAAUCUUUUUCAAAUCAUAUCUUUUCAAUCAUAUCUUUUCAAAAUCAAUUUCUUUACAUUUUUUUUAUUUUCGAAAAUUCUUGCUCCAAUUCAUGAUUUAAUUCAAAAUUUUCAAGUUGUUACUUGCCUAUUAAGAAAGGAUUAAAUUUUAAAUUCUAGAAUCAUAUCUUCUAAUCUCUUGUUAGUCAAGUAAUCACUUUAAUUCUAAAAACUUUCUUUUUUUUAAUUUGAUUUUCAAUCAUCUCUUCUCAAUCAUAUAUUUUCAAUCACAUUUUUUCUUAAAAAUAAUUUUCAAUCAUAUCUUUUUGAUUUCUAAUUUCAAAAUCUUUUUCAAAAAUCACUUAAUUUCCUUCCCAAUCUUAAUUUUCGAAAAUCAUCAAUCAAAUUUUCAAAAUUUCUUUUAAGUAUUUCAAAAAUUUUUUACUUUAAUUUCGAAAAUUCUUUCCUUCUUCUCACAUCCUUCUAUUUAAGGACUAACACUCCUCCACUAUCAACAAUUCGAACUCUAUCCCUCUUGAUAAGUUCGAAUUCUUCUCUUUCUACCUUCUCCUUCUAUUCUUCUUUUCCUCUGACACCUCAAGGAAUCUCUAUACUGUGACAUAGAGGAUUCCAUACUUUCUUGUUCUCUUAUCUUUCAUAUGAGCAGGAACAAAGACAAAAGCAUUCUUGUUGAAGCUGAUCCUGAACUUGAAAGGACCUUGAAGCGAAAGCUAAGAGAAGCUAAAAAGGACCUAACAGAAAUCUUCAAACAAGAAGAAGACAUGACAGCCGAAAACAACAACAAUGCCAACAAUGCAAGGAAAGUGCUUGGUGACUUUACUGCACCUACUCCUGACUUCUAUGGGAGAAGCAUCUCUAUCCCUGCCAUUGGAGCAAACAAUUUUGAACUUAAGCCUCAAUUAGUUUCUCUAAUGCAACAGAAUUGCAAGUUUCAUGGACUUCCAUUGGAAGAUCUUCAUCAGUUCUUAGCUGAAUUCUUGCAAAUCUGUGACACUGUCAAGACCAAUGGGGUUGACCCUGAGGUCUACAGACUUAUGCUCUUCCCUUUUGCUGUAAGAGACAGAGCUAGGAUAUGGUUGGAUUCACAACCUAAGAAAAGCCUGAACUCUUGGAAAAAGCUAGUCAAUGCCUUCUUGGCAAAGUUCUUUCCACCUCAAAAAUUGAGUAAGCUUAGAGUGGAAGUCCAAACCUUCAGACAGAAGGAAGGUGAAUCCCUCUAUGAAGCUUGGAAAAGAUACAAGAAAUUGAUCAGAAAGUGCCCUUCUGACAUGCUUUCAGAAUGGAGCAUCAUAGGUAUCUUCUAUGAUGGUCUGUCUGAACUGUCCAAGAUGUCAUUGGACAGCUCUGCUGGAGGAUCUCUUCAUCUGAAGAAGACGCCUGCAGAAGCUCAAGAACUCAUUGAAAUGGUUGCAAAUAACCAAUUCAUGUACACUUCUGAAAGAAAUCCUGUGAAUAAUGGGACAACUCAGAAGAAAGGAGUUCUUGAAAUUGACACUCUGAAUGCCAUAUUGGCUCAGAACAAAAUAUUGACUCAGCAAGUCAAUAUGAUUUCUCAGAGUCUGUCUGGAAUGCAAGCAGCAACAGGCAAUACUAAAGAGGCUUCAUCUGAGGAAGAAGCUUAUGAUCCUGAGAACCCAGCAAUGGAAGAGGUGAAUUAUAUGGGAGAAUCCUAUGGAAACACCUAUAAUCCUUCGUGGAGAAAUCACCCAAAUCUCUCAUGGAAGGACCAACAGAGGCCUCAACAAGGCUUCAACAACAAUAAUGGUGGAAGAAACAGGUUUAGCAAUAGCAAGCCUUUUCCAUCAUCUUCUCAGCAGCAGACAGAGAAUCCUAAGCAGAGCCAAUUUGACUUAGCAACCAUAGUCUCUGAUCUAAUUAAAACCACUCAAAGUUUCAUGAUUGAAACAAGGUCCUCCAUUAGAAACUUGGAGGCACAAGUGGAUCAACUGAGUAAGAAAGUUACUAAACUCCCUCCUAGUACUCUUCCAAGCAAUACAGAGGAGAAUCCAAAAGGAGAGUGCAAGGCCAUAAACACAUCCCACACGGCCGAACUUGGAUAGGAGGAAGAGGCAGUGAUCUCCACUGAGGAAGACCUCAAUGGACGUCCACUGGCCUCCAUGGAGUUCCCUAAUGAGGAACCAUGGGAAUCUGAGGCUCACACUGAGACCAUAGAGAUUCCAUUGGAUUUACUUCUGCCAUUCAUGAGCUCUGAUGAGUAUUCCUCCUCUGAAGAGGAGGAAGAUGUCACUGAAGAGCAAGUUGCUAAGUACCUUGGAGCAAUCAUGAAGCUAAAUGCCAAGUUAUUUGGUAAUGAGACUUGGGAGGAUGAACCCCCUUUGCUCACCAAAGAACUGGAUGACUUGACUAGGCAGAGAUUACCUCAAAAGAGACAGGACCCUAGAAAGUUCUCAAUACCUUGUACCAUAGGCACCAUGACCUUUGAGAAGGCUCUGUGUGACCUAGGGUCAAGUAUAAAUCUCAUGCCUCUCUCUGUAAUGGAGAAGCUAGGGAUCAUUGAGGUACAAGCUGCAAGAAUCUCACUAGAGAUGGCAGACAAUUCAAGAAAACAGGCUUAUGAACUUGUAGAGGAUGUCUUGGUAAAGGUUGAAGGUCAUUACAUUCAUGCUGAUUUCAUAAUCCUAGAGACUGGGAAGUGUAUGGAUGCAUCCAUCAUCCUUGGUAGACCCUUCCUAGCCACAACAAAAGCUGUGAUUAAUGUUGACAGAGGAGAAUUGAUCAUUCACGUGAAUGAGGACUCCCUUGUAUUUAAGGCUCAAGGAUAUCCCUCUGUAACCAUGGAGAGGAAGCAUGAAGAGCUUCUCUCAAUACAGAGCCAAACAGAGCCCCCACAGUCAAACUCUAAGUUUGGUGUUGGGAGGCCACAACCAAACUUUAAGUUUGGUGUUGAACCCCCACAUUCAAACUCUAAGUUUGGAGUUGGGAGGUUCCAACAUUGCUCUGAACAUCUGUGAGGCUCCAUGAGAGCCCACUGUCAAGCUAUUGACAUUAAAGAAGCGAUUGUUGGGAGGCAACCCAAUCUUUACUUAUCUAUGUUAAAUUUUUAUUUUCCAUUGUUAUUUUAUGUUUUCUGUAGGUUGAUGAUCAUGUGAAGUCACAAAAACAAUUGAAAAAGCAAAAACAGAAUGAAAAACAGAAUGAAAAAUAGCACACCCUGGAGGAAAAACUUGCUAGCAUUUAAACGCCAGUAAGGGUAGCAGAAUGGGCGUUUAACGCCCAGUCUGGCACCAUUCUGGGCGUUUAACGCCAGAAAUGGCACCAGAUUGGCGUUUAACGCCAGAAAUGGGCAAGAAGCUGGCGUUUAACGCCAGGAUUGGCAGAAAGGGGCAUUUUUGCACGCCACUUGGUGCAGGGAUGAGAUAUCCUUGACACCUCAGGAUCUGUGGACCCCACAGGAUCCCCACCUACCCCACCUCUCUCUCUCUUCUUCACCCCUCACCUUUCAAAUCCUACCAUUCUCUUCACCACUCACAUCCAUCCUUCAUAAAACCCCACCUACCUCACCAUUCAAAUUCAAACCACUUUUCCUCCCAAACCCACCCAUAAUGGCCGAACCAUACCCCCCUCUCCACUCCUAUAUAAACCCAUCUUCACUCUUUCAUUUUCACACAACCUAAACAUUACUUCUCCCCCUUGGCCGAAACACAAAGCCCCCUCCAUCUCCUCUAUUUCUUCUUCUUCUACCCUCUUCUUUCUUCUUUUGCUCGAGGACGAGCAAACCUUUUAAGUUUGGUGUGGUAAAAGCAUUGCUUUUUGUUUUUCCAUAACUAUUUAUGGCACCUAAGGCCGGAGAAAAUUCUAGAAAGAGGAAAGGGAAGGCAAAAGCUUCCACCUCCGAGUCAUGGGAGAUGGAGAGAUUCAUCUCAAGGGUGCAUCAAGACCACUUCUAUGAAGUUGUGGCCAAGAAGAAAGUGAUCCUCGAGGUCCCUUUCAAGCUCAAAAAGAGUGAAUAUCCGGAGAUCCGAUAUGAGAUCCGAAGAAGAGGUUGGGAAGUUCUCACCAACCCCAUUCAACAAGUCAGAAUCUUAAUGGUUCAAGAUUUCUAUGCCAAUGCAUGGAUCACCAAGAACCAUGAUCAAAGUGUGAACCCGGACCCAAAGAAUUGGCUCACAAUGGUUCGGGAAAAAUGCUUAGAUUUUAGUCCAGAAAAUGUAAGGUUGGCAUUCAACUUGCCUAUGAUGCAAGGAGAUGCACACCCCUACACUAGAAGGGUCAACUUUGAUCAAAGGUUGGACCAAGUCCUCAUAGACAUUUGUGAAGAGGGCGCUCAAUGGAAGAGAGAUUCAAGAGGGAAGCCGGUUCAACUAAGAAGGCAUGACCUCAAGCCCAUGGCUAUGGGAUGGUUGGAGUUUAUCCAACGCUCAAUCAUUCCAACUAGCAACCAGUCCGAAGUUACCAUAGACCAGGCUAUCAUGAUCCAUAGCAUCAUGAUUGGAGAGAAAGUAGAAGUUCAUGAAGUUAUAUCCCAAGAACUCUACAAGGUGGCGGACAAGUCCUCUACUUUGGCAAGGUUAGCCUUUCCUCAUCUUAUUGCAAUUCAGCUGGAAUUGACAUAGAGGAAGACAUCCUCAUUGAUGAGGACAAGCCCAUCACUAAGAAAAGGAUGGAGCAAACAAGAGAUCCCACUCAUGGACAAGAGCAUGAGGAAAUUCCUCAUCAUGAAAUCCCUGAGAUACUUCAAGGGAUGCACUUUCCUCCACAAAACUAUUGGGAGCAAAUCAACACCUCCCUAGGAGAAUUAAGUUCCAAUAUGGGACAACUAAGGGUGGAGCACCAAGAACAUUCUAUCCUCCUCCAUGAAAUUAGAGAAGACCAAAAAGUCAUGAGAGAGGAGCAACAAAGGCAAGGAAGAGACAUUGAGGAGCUAAAGCACUCCAUAAGAUCUUCAAGAGGAAGAACAAGCCGCCAUCACUAAGGUGGACCCGUUCUUUAACUUCCUUGUACUUAUUUUUCUGUUUUUCGAAAAUUAUGCUUUAUGUUUUAUUUAUGUUUGUGUCUUAUUACAUGAUCAUUAGUGUCUAAGUAUCUAUGCCUUAAAGUUAUGAAUGUCCUAUGAAUCCAUCACUUUUCUUAAAUGAAAAAUGUUUUAAUUACAAAAGAACAAGAAGUACAUGAUUUCGAAUUCAUCCUUGAAAUUAGUUUAAUUAUUCUGAUGUGGUGACAAUACUUUUUGUUUUCUGAAUGAAUGCAUGAACAGUGCAUAUGUCUUUUGAAUUUGUUGUUUAUGAAUGUUAAAAUUGUUAGCUCUUGAAAGAAUGAUGGAAAAAAGAGAAAUGUUAUUGAGGAUCUGAAAAAUCAUCAAAUUGAUUCUUGAAGCAAGAAAAAGCAGUGAAUAAAAAAAAAGAGAGAAGGCGAAAAAAAAGAAAAAAAAGAAAGAAAAGAGAAAGAAAAAGCAAGAAAAAAAAGGCAAUAGCCCUUUAAACCAAAAGGCAAGGGUAAUAAAAAGGAUCCAAGGCUUUGAGCAUCAGUAGAUAGAAGGGCCCACAGGAAUAAAAUCCUGGCCUAAGCGGCUAAACCAAGCUGUCCCUAACCAUGUGCUUGUGGCGUGAAGGUGUCAAGUGAAAACUUGAGACUGAGCGCUUAAAGUCGUGGUCCAAAGCAAAAAGAGUGUGCUUAAGAGCUCUGGACACCUCUCACUGGGGACUUUAGCAAAGCUGAGUCACAAUCUGAAAAGGUUCACCCAGUCAUGUGUCUGUGGCAUUUAUGUAUCCGGUGGUAAUAUUGGAAAACAAAAUGCUUAGAGCCACGGCCAAGACUCAUAAAGUAGCUGUGUUCAAGAAUCAACAUACUAUACUAGGAGAAUCAAAUAACACUAUCUAGAUUCUGAGUUCCUAUAGAAGCCAAUCAUUCUAAACUUCAAAGGAUAAAGUGAGAUGCCAAAACUGUUCAGAGGCAAAAAGCUACUAGUCCCGCUCAUCUAAUUGGAGCUAAGUUUCAUUGAUAAUUUAGAAUUUAUAAGUAUAUUCUCUUCUUUUUAUCCUAUUUGAUUUUCAGUUGCUUGGGGACAAGCAACGAUUUAAGUUUGGUGUUGUGAUGAGCGGAUAAUUUAUACGCUUUUUGGCAUUGUUUUUAGUAUGUUUUAGUUAAUUUUUAUUAUGUUUUUAUUAGUUUUUAAUUAAAAAUCACAAUUCUGGACUUUACUAUGAGUUUGUGUGUUUUUCUGUGAUUUCAGGUAUUUUCUGGCUAAAAUUGAGGGACCUGAGCAAAAACCUGAUUCAGAGACUGAAAAAGGACUGCAGAUGCUGUUGGAUUCUGACCUCCCUGCAUUCGAAGUGGAUUUUUUGGAGCUACAGAACCCCAAAUGGCAUGCUCUCAAUUGCGUUGGAAAGUAGACAUCCUGAGCUUUCCAGCAAUAUAUAAUAGUUUAUACUUUGCCCGAGAUUUGAUGGCCCAAACAGGCGUUCCAAGUCAGCUCAAGAAUUCUGGCGUUUAACGCCGGAACUGGCACAAAAGCUAGAGUUAAACGCCCAAACUGGCACAAAAGCUGGCGUUUAACUCCAAGAAAAGUCUCUACACCUGGAAGCUUCAAUGCUCAGCCCAAGCACACAGCAAGUGGGCCCGGAAGUGGAUUUUUACGUCAUUUACUCAUUUUUGUAAACCCUAGGCUACUAGUUCUCUAUAAAUAGGAUCUUUUGCUAUUGUAUUUUCAUCUUUGUUUAGUCUUAUGCUACCUUAGAUCACGUUUUGGGGGCUGGCCUCACGGCCAUGUCUAGACCUUGUUCUUAUGUAUUUUCAACGGUGGAGUUUCUACACACCAUAGAUUAAGGUGUGGAGCUCUACUGUUCCUCAUGAAUUAAUGCAAUUACUACUGUUUUUCUAUUCAAUUCACACCUACUUCUUCUCUAAGAUAUCACUUGUUCUUCAACUUGAUGAAUGUGAUGAUCCUUGACACUCAUCAUCAUUCUCACCUAUGAACGCGUGCCCAACAACCACCUCCGUUCUACCUUCGAUUGAGUGCGUAUCUCUUAGCCUUCUGGUUCAUGACACAUGGGUGCCUCGCCUGAUAAUCGAGCUCUCCAUUCCAUGAAAUCAGAGUCUUCGUGGUAUAGGCGAGAAUUAAUUGGCAGCAUUCUUGAGAUCCGGAAAGUCUAAACCUUGUCUGUGGUAUUCUGAGUAGGAUCCGGGAUGGGAUGACUGUGACGAGCUUCAAACUCGCGAGUGUGGGGCGUGUGACAGACGCAAAAGGAUCAAUGGAUCCUAUUCUGACAUGAUCGAGAACCAACAGCUGAUUAGCCGAUGUUGUGACAGAGCAUCAGGACCAUUUUCACUGAGAGGACGGGAGGUAGCCAUUGACAACGGUGAAACCCAACAUAAGCUUGCCAUGGAAGGGAGUACGAGUGAUUGGGAGAAGGCAAUGGGAAAGCAGAGGUUCAAGAGGAACAAAGCAUCUUCAUACGCUUAUCUAAAAUCCACCAAUGAAUUACAUAAGUAUCUCUAUCUUUAUUUUAUGUUUUUCUUUUAAUUAUCAAUUCUCCAUAACCAUUUGAAUCCGCCUGACUGAGAUUUACAAGAUGACCAUAGCUUGCUUCAAGCCGACAAUCUCUGUGGGAUCGACCCUUACUCGCGUAAGGUUUAUUACUUGGACGACCCAGUGCACUUGCUGGUUAGUUGUGCGGAGUUGUGAUAAAGAGUUGAGAUUACAAUUGUGCGUACCAUGUUGAUGGCGCCAUUAAUGAUCACAAUUUCAUGCACCACCUCCCAACACCAGACUUAGAGUUUGAAUAUGGGGGCUCUGUUUGACUCUGCAUUGAGAGAAGCUUGUCAUGCUUCUUCUCCAUGUGUGCAGAAGGAGAUCCUUGAGCCUUAAACACAAGGUAGUCCUCAUUCACUUGAAUGACCAACUCUCCUCUGUCAACAUCAAUCACAGCCUUUGCUGUGGCUAGGAAGGGUCUGCCAAGGAUGAUGGAUUCAUCCCUAUUCUUCCCAGUGUCCAGGAUUAUGAAGUCAGCAGGGAUGUAAAGGCCUUCAACCUUCACCAAAACAUCCUCUACAAGUCCAUAAGCCUGUUUCCUUGAAUUGUCUGCCAUCUCUAGUGAGAUUCUUGCAGCUUGCACCUCAAGGAUCCCUAGUUUCUCCAUUACAGAGAGUGGCAUGAGGUUUAUACUUGACCCUAGGUCACACAGAGCCUUCUCAAAGGUCAUGGUGCCUAUGGUACAAGGUAUUGAGAACUUUCCAGGAUCCUGUCUCUUCUGAGGUAAUGUCUGCCUAAUCAAGUCAUUCAGUUCAUUGGUGAGCAAGGGGGGUUCAUCCUCCCAAGUCUCAUUACCAAAUAACUUGGGAUUUAGCUUCAUGAUUGCUCCAAGGUACUUAACAACUUGCUCUUCAGUAAUAUCUUCAUCCUCUUCAGAGGAAGAAUACUCAUCAGAGCUCAUGAAUGGCAGAAGGAAGUUUAAUGGAAUCUCUAUGGUCUCUAUAUGAGCCUCAGAUUCCUUUGGUUCCUCAAAGGGGAACUUCUUUUCGUUCAGAGGACAUCCCAUGAAGUUUUUCUCACUGGGAAUCACGUCCUCCUUACUCUCUCCAGGUUCGGCCAUGUUGGUCAUGGUUAUCUCCUUGCACUCUCUCUUGGGGUUUUCUUCUGUAUUGCUUAGGAGAGUGCUAGGAGGAGUUUCAGUAAUUCUCUUACUCAGCUGCCCACUUGUGCCUCCAAAUUUCUAAUGGAGGAUCUUGUUUCAUUCAUGAAACUUAGUGUGGUCUUAGAUAGAUCAGAGACUAUGGUUGCUAAGCCAGAACGACUCUGCUCAGAGUUCUCUGUUUGUUGCUGAGAAGAUGAUGGAAAAGGUUUGCUAUUGCUAAACCUAUUUCUUCCACCAUUAUUGUUGUUGAAGCUUUGUUGAGGCUUCUGUUGGUCCUUCCAUGAGAGAUUUGGAUGAUUUCUCCAUGAAGGAUUAUAGGUGUUUCCAUAGGGUUCUCCCAUGUAAUUCACCUCUUCCAUUGCCGGGUUCUCAGGAUCAUAAGCUUCUUCUUCAGAAGAUGCUUCUUUAUUACUACUGGAUGCAGCUUGCAAUCCAGUCAGAUUCUGAGAAAUCAUAUUGACUUGCUGAGUUAAUAUUUUAUUCUGAGCCAAUAUGGCAUUCAGAGUAUCAAUCUCAAUAACUUCUUUCUUUUGAGUUGUCCCAUUGUUUACAGGAUUUCUUUCAGAAGUGUACAUGAACUGGUUAUUUGCAGCUAUUUCAAUGAGUUCCUAGGCUUCUGCAGGCGUUUUCUUCAGAUGAAUAGAUCCGCCUGCAGAAUGGUCCAAUGACAUCUUGGAUAACUCAGACAGACUAUCAUAGAAGAUACCUAUGAUGCUCCAUUCUGAAAGCAUGUCAGUAGGACACCUUCUGAUUAAUUGCUUGUAUCUUUCCCAAGCUUCAUAGAGGGAUUCACCUUCCUUCUGCUUGAAGGUUUGAACUUCCACUCUAAGCUUACUCAUCUUUUGAGGUGAAAAGAAUUUAGCUAAGAAGGCAUUGACUAGCUUUUCCCAAGAGUUCAGGCUGUCUUUAGGUUGUGAGUUCAACCAUAUACUAGCUCUGUCUCUUACAGCAAAAGGGAAAAGCAUAAGUCUGUAGACCUUGGGAUUAACUCCAUUGGUCUUAACAGUAUCACAGAUUUGCAAAAAAUCAUCCAAAAACUGAUGAGGAUCUUCCAAUGGAAGUCCAUGAAACUUGCAAUUCUGUUGCAUCAGAGAAACUAAUUGAGGCUUAAGCUCAAAGUUGUUUGCUCCAAUGGCAGGAAUAGAGAUGCUUCUCCCAUAGAAGUCGGGGGUAGGUACAGUAAAGUCACCAAGCACCUUCCUUGCAUUAUUGGCAUUGUUGUUAUUUUUGGCUGACAUGUCUUCUUCUUUUUCAAAAAUUUCUGUUAGGUCCUCUCCAGAGAGUUGUGCUUUAGCUUCUCUUAGCUUCCUCUUCAAGGUCCUUUCAGGUUCAGGAUCAGCUUCAACAAUAAUGCCUUUGUCCUUGUUCCUGCUCAUAUGAAAGAGAAGAAAACAAGAAAGUAUGGAAUCCUCUAUGUCACAGAAUAGAGAUUCCUUGAGGUGUCAGAGAAAAAUAGGAAUAGAGGGAUGAGGUAGAUAGAGAAGAAUUCGAACAUAUAAAGAAGGAGAGCGAGUCUGAAUUGCUAAUUGAGGAGGAGUGUUAGUCCUUAAAUAGAAGGAGGUGAGAAGGAGGGGGGAGAAUUUUUGAAAACAAAUUUUAAAAAAUUUGAAAUAAUUAAAAGGAAUUUUGAAAAAGUGGUUGAAGGUUUUCGAAAAUUAAAUUUGAGAAAGUGGUUAAGUGAUUUUGAAAAAGAUUUUGAAAUUAGCAAUAAAAAAGGUAUGAUUGAAAAUUAUUUUGAAAAAGAUGUGAUUGAGAGGAUAUGAUUGAGAAGAUAUGAUUGAAAAUCAAUUUAAAAAGAUUUGAAUUUUAAAAUUAAUGACUUGGCUAACAAGAAAUUUAAAAGAUAUGAUUCUAAAAUUCAAAUAUUGGAUUUCUUAACAAGGAAGUAACAAACUUGAAAUUUUUGAAUCAAAUCAUUAAUUGGUAGCAAGGAUUUUCGAAAAUAGUGAGAAAAAAAUGGAAAAAGAUUUGAUUUUGAAAAAAAAAAGAUAUGAUUUGAAAAAGAUAUGAUUUGAAAAAGAUUUGAUUUUGAAAAAUCAUGAAAAUUUGAAAAAGAUUUGAAUUAAAAACUAACUUACCUCCCUUGUGUUGUCCUGGCGUUAAACGCCCAUUUGGCUACCUCCUUGGGCGUUAAACGCCCAGCCAGGUACCCUGGCUGGCGUUUAAAUGCCAAAAUUUUUUCCUCACUGGGUGUUUUGAACGCCUAGCUUUUUCUCUGUGAUUCCUCUGCUGUAUGUUCUGAAUCUUCAAUUCUCUGUAUUAUUGACUUGAAAAGACAUAAUUUUGAAAUUUUUUUUUGAAUUUUUAAUGAUGAGAGAGAACAACAACAAAAUGAAAGUAAUCAUGAAAAACUAAGAUCAAAUAAACAAUGCAUGCAAGAUACCAAACUUAGGAAUUUUCAUAUUAGAGACACUAACAAAUUGAGAAUGCGCAUGAGAAAUAACAAAAGACACUAAACAAGAGAAUUUAAAGAUCAGACCCAAGAAAAUCAUCAAGAACAACUUGAAGAUCAAUGAAGAACAAAAUGCAUAUAUUUUUGAAAAAUGCAAGAAAAUUAAAAAUAUGCAAGACACCAAACUUAAAAUGUGACACUAGACUCAAACAAGAAACACAAAUUAUUUUUUAUUUUUAUGAUUUUAUUAAAUUUUUUUUUCAAAAAUUAUUUUGGAAAAAGAAGUUAAAGAAAUUCGAAAUUUUUAAUAAGAAUUCCAAGAUUCAUGCCAUGUUAUUCUAAAGCUCCAGUCCAAAAGAAUUAGACAUGGCCAAUGGCCAGCCAAGCUUUAGCAUAGAAUUGUAAAUAAGAAUCCUAAAGCUGAUGCAAUGUUAUUCUAAAGCUUCGGUCCAACUGAGUUAGACAUGGCCAGAUGGCCAGCCAAGCUUUAGCAUACAAUUACAUACAACAAUCCGGUGAAUAUGAUAAGUUAAAGCUCCGGUCCAAAAGAUUUAAACAUGGCUUAAUAGCCAGCCAAGCUUUAACAUACCAUCAUGAAGCUCGAAUAUGGAAUUCAUUCUUAAAAAUUUUGAUGAAUUUUUAGAAAACAAAUAUUUAUUAUUUUAUUAUUUUUUUUUGAAAAUUAAAAAUAAGAAAGCUUAAACAUAAAAUAAAAUUACCCAAUCUAAACAACAAGAUGAACCGUCAGUUGUCCAAACUCGAACAAUCUCCGGCAAUGGCGCCAAAAACUUGGUGCACGAAAUUACAAUCACACUUUUGCAAUUCCGCACAACUAACCAGCAAGUGCACUGGGUCGUCCAAGUAAUACCUUAUGUGAGUAAGGGUCGAUCCCACGGAGAUUGUCGGCUUGAAGCAAGCUAUGGUCAUCUUGUAAAUCUCAGUCGGGCAAAUUCAAAUGAUCAUGAGUUUUGAUAAUUAAAAGAUAAAGGAAACAUAAAAUAAAGAUAGAAGCACUUAUGUAAUUCAUUGGUAGGAGUUUCAGAUAAGCGUAUGAAGAUGCUUUGUUCCUUCUGAAUCUCUGCUUUCCUAUUGCCUUCAUCCAACCAUGCGUACUCCCUUCCAUGGCAAGCUGUAUGUUGGGAGAUCACCAUUGUCAAUGGCUACCGUCCGUCCUCUCAGUGAAAAUGGUCCGGCUACGGGUUACGUAGGGCUAAUCAUCUGUCGGUUCUCACUUGUGUUGGAAUAAGAUCCAAUGAUCCUUUUGCGCACUGUCACUGCACCCAACAGUCAUGAGUUUGAAGCUCGUCACAGUCAUCCCAUCCCAGAUCCUACUCGGAAUACCACAGACAAGGUUUAGACUUUCCGGAUCUCAAGAAUGCUGCCAAUUGAUUCUAGCUUAUACCACGAAGACUCUGAUUUCACGGAAUUAAAAGGCUCUGUUGUCAGGAGAGGCAAUCAUGCGUCAUGAACCAGGAACCCAAGAGAUACACACUCAAGCUCUUGCAGAUAGAACAGAUGUGGUUGUCAGUCACGCGUUCAUAAGGGAGGAUGAUGAUGAGUGUCACGGAUCAUCAUAUCCAUCAGGUUGAAGUACGAGUGAAUAUCUUAGAACAAGAAUAAGCAUGAAUUGAAUAUAAAAACAAUAGUACUUUGCAUUGAUUCAUGAGGAACAGCAAAGCUCCACACCUUAAUCUAUGAUGUGUAGAAACUCCACUGUUGAAAAUACAAAAGUGAUGAAGGUCCAGGCAUGGCCAAAUGGCCAGCCCCCAAAACGUGAUCAAGAGAUCAAAAGUGAUCCAAAGAUAGUCUCAAAGAUGAUCUAAAUAUCCAAAGAUGAAAAUAUAAUAGUAAAAGGUCCUAUUUAUAAUGAACUAGUAGCCUAGGGUUUACAGAAAUAAGUAAAUGAUGCAGAAAUCCACUUCCGGGGCCCACUUGGUGUGUGCUUCGCCUCAGCAUUGAAGCUUUCACGUGCAUAGGCUUCUCUUGGAGUUAAACGCCAGCUUUUGUGCCAGUUUGGGCGUUAAACGCUAGUUUUAGUGCCAGUUCUGGCGUUUUACGCUAGAAUUCUUUGGGUUGACUUUGAACACCAGUUUGGGCCAUCAAAUCUCGGACAAAAUAUAAACUAUUAUAUAUUGCUGGAAAGCCCAGGAUGUCUACUUUCCAAAGCAAUUGAGAGCGCGCCAAUCGGGCUUCUGUAGCUCCAGAAAAUCCACUUCGAGUAUAGGGAGGUCAGAAUCCAACAGCAUCUGCAGUCCUUUUUCAGCCUCUGAAUCAGAUUUUUGCUCAGGUCCCUCAAUUUCAGCUAGAAAAUACCUGAAAUCACAGAAAAACACACAAACUCAUAGUAAAGUCCAGAAAUGUGAUUUUUAUUCAAAAAAUAAUAAAAAUAUACUAAAAACUAACUAAAACAUACUAAAAACUAUGUAAAAACAGUGCCAAAAAGCAUAUAAAUUAUCCGCUCAUCAAUCGCCUGUUAGGUAAAUCGCAUUACUACUUUUUAGAUGGUUACAUUGGCUAUUUUCAGAUUCAUAUAGCCCCUGAGGAUCAGGAAAAGACUACUUUUACAUGUCCCUUCGGAACGUAUGCAUAUAAGAGGAUGCCUUUUGGCUUAUGUAAUGCACCGGCUACCUUCCAAAGGUGUAUGAUGAGUCUUUUCUCUGAUCUUAUUGAGAGAUGUAUGGAAGUUUUUAUGGAUGAUUUUAGCGUAUACGGUGAUUCCUUUAGCCUUUGCUUGGAUAGUUUAUCUAGAGUAUUAGACAGGUUUGUUAGUUCAAACCUUGUUUUGAAUUUUGAAAAGUGUCAUUUUAUGGUCAAACAAGGUAUUGUUCUGGGAUGCGUUGUCUCUAACACUGGUAUUUCUGUAGAUCCAGCAAAGGUAGAUGUCUUUUCUAGUUUACCUUCCCCACCUCCGUGAGGGAAGUCCGUUCGUUCCUUGGCCAUGCAGGUUUUUACUGGAGAUUCAUCAAGGACUUCAGUAAGGUAGCUUUACCUUUAUCUAGAUUGCUGCAGAAGGAUGUUGAGUUCGAGCUGAGUGGGGACUGUAUGGAAGCGUUUGAUAAGCUGAAGAUCACCUUGACUCAAACUCCAAUUGUGAGAGGACUAGACUGGAGCCAUCCCUUUGAAAUUAUGUGUGAUGCUUCUAACCAUGCUGUGGGAGCGGCGCUGGCCCAACACGCAGGUAAGAAUCCUUUUGUAAUUGCAUAUGCUUCAAACACAUUAGACGCUGCUCAGUCUAAUUACACUACCACUGAAAAAGAGCUUCUGGCUAUUGUUUUUGCUCUGGAAAAAUUCUGAGCCUACUUACUUGGUACUAAGGUGGUAGUGUACUCAGACCAUGCAGCUCUAAAGUAUUUAUUAGCUAAAAAAAAGUCUAAACCAAGGAUAAUACGUUGGAUAUUACUGCUGCAAGAAUUUGAUUUAGAAAUUAAGGAUAGGAGUGGUUCCCAGAAUUUGGUGGCGGACCACUUGAGUCGCCUUGAGCACAAUAAGGAUGACUCCACUCCUAUCAAUGAUGCUUUUCCAUUUGAUAGCUUGCAUGCAGUAUCUGAAGUAGUCCCUUGGUAUGCACCUGUAGCUAAUUAUCUAGUUAGUCACAUUUUCCCUCCCAAUUUUACUAAGCAUCAGAAGGACAAGCUGAAAAGCGAGUCCAAAUAUUAUAUAUGGGACCCAUAUUUGUGGAGGUGUGAUGCUGACCAGGUAAUUAGAAGGUGUGUGCCCCAAUCAGAAUUCCAGUCCAUUUUAGAGGUCUGCCACUCCUCUGAGAGUGGUGGACAUUUCGGCCCACAAAGAACAGCUAGAAAAAUUUUAGACUGUGGAUUCUUGUGGCCCACUCUUUUUAAAGAUGCUGCUGCUUUCUGUAAAUCUUGUUCCCCAUGCCAAAGAUUUGGUAAUAUAUCCAAGAGGGAUGAGAUGCCCCAACAAAUUAUGUUGUUCUGUGAAAUUUUUUAUGUUUGAGGCAUUGACUUCAUGGGUCCGUUUUCAAACCCUAGCGGUUUUUUAUAUAUAUUGUUAGCUGUGGAUUAUGUUUCUAAAUGGGUGGAAGCAAUUCCUACCCGUAAUGAUGAUGCUAACACUGUUGUCUCUUUUGUUAGAAACCAUAUUAUCUGUCGCUUUGGAUCACCACGAGCAAUCGUGAGUGGUCAAGGCACUCACUUUUGUAACAGGAGAUUAACAUGCUUACUGAAGAAACAUGGCGUCCUUCACAAGAUAGCAACAACCUACCAUCCCCAGACUAAUGGGCAAGCUGAGGUGUCUAACAGAGAGAUAAAGUGCAUAUUGCAGAAGAUAGUCAAGCCUCAUAGGAAGGACUGGAGCACCAGGCUCCAAGAUGCGCUUUGGACAUAUCGGACAGCAUACAAGACACCAAUCGGGAUGAGCCCUUUCCACUUAGUUUAUGGAAAGGCCUGUCACCUCCCAGUUGAGGUAGAGCACAAAGCUUUCUGGGCGGUAAGAGAAUACAACAUGGGAUUUGAGAAAGCCAGAGCUGAAAGGAAGCUGCAACUGCAAGAAUUAGAGAACCUUCGCCUAGAAGCUUAUGAGAACUCCAGGUUGUACAAAGAGAAGGUGAAGGUUGUGCAUGAUAAGCACAUCAAGAGGAGGGAGUUCCAACCUGGGGACUUAGUCCUCCUUUAUAACUCCAGAUUGAGGCUCAUGCCAGGCAAGUUGAGAUCAAGAUGGGAAGGUCCCUAUAGAGUAGAGAAGGCUAAGCCAUACGGAGUCUUUCACUUGAGUCAUCCUUCAAGCUCCGAAUUCAUCAAGGUUAAUGGACAUCGCUUAAAGCUAUAUCAUGGUGAGAAGAUGAAGAAAAAUAAAGAGUUAGUGAUCUUCCUCUUGGAGGAUCCACCAACAGCAGAAGACUGAGCUAGUGGACCGUCCAACUUAAGGACGUUAAAGCAAAGUGCUGGGUGGGAGACAACCCACCAUGGUAUGAUCGUUCCUCUCUUCUUAGUUUUUAUUUUUAGUGACUCUUCUCCUUAUUUCUGUAUUUAGUCUGCAUUUGCAUCUGCAUACAAAAAAAGGGGAGGCACAUGAUGCGCGAGCGUCACUGACGCGUUCGCGUCAUAUGUGCAGGCGUGAAAAAGGGGAUUGAACAGAGAGUUACGCGGGAGCGUGGCUGGAGGCGUGCCUUAGGCACAAACACGCCCACGCAGACGCGUCCCUGACGCGUCCGCGUCAUUUGUGAAAUCAUCCCCCACGCGUUCGCGUCUCCCACGCGCACGCGUGACCCUGAAAAAUCGACGUAAAAAGGUGUAUGGAUAGAGAGUUAGGAUGGAGUGGUGCUGAAAUGAUGCUAGAAGCACAAGCUGUAUCACGCGUAUGCGUCCCUGACGCGUUCGUGUCAUUUGUCCCAACCAGACCACCCACGCGUGCGCGCCACCCACGCACACGCGUCACCCUAAAUUUUGGCAAUUUGCAUAUGAAACAGAGAGUUGUGCGUGCGCGAGGCUGCACUCGCGCCAAUAGCACAAAUCAGGUUAUGCGUGCGCAUCACCCACGCGUACGCGUCACUUGAAAAUAGCGCAAACCACGCAAACGCGUGCUCUACGCACACGCGUCACAUGUGACACACAACUUUACUAGAUUAGCGCCAGAAAUCUUAUCUUUUCUCCUCCAAUCCUAAUUCUUUCUACUCCCUUUUUAAUUCUUUCUCAUUCCUUCUUCCUUCUUUAUUCCUUCUUACUUUUUACCUUCUUCUCUUCCCUCUUCAUCUUCUUCAUCAAGGUUCUUUUCUUCUCUCCCUUUUUACUUUUUCAUUAUUACUUUUAUUUAUGUUUUCUUCUUCUUUUUUUCUUUUUACUUUCAUUAUCUAUGUUUUCUUUGUCUUUCUUUUUCUUUUUACAUCCUUUUAAUUGGUGUUAGAAACUUAUUUGGGUGAUUCUUUUCUAUAUUUUGCUUGUGGAUUAUUAAGGAGUUAUUGACAAUUAUCACCAAUUAUUUUUGGGUUGCUUGCAUGUUCCAAUUUACUGCUUUCAAUCACAUAUUUACCAUGCAUGCUAAGUGUUUGUGAAAAAGUCUGUAUGGCAUUGUGUAUUUUUUUUAAUUAUUCUAUUCUUCUACUCUAAUGCCUGUUUCUUUCACAAAACCCCUUUCAAUUUUUUAUUAAUUGAAAAUAAUUGUCAAUACAAACAGAUUGUUAGUUUGAAACACUUGAUAAUCAAAUUGGGCAAUUAAUGCUUGAUCUAUGCUACUCAUGUCUUUGCUGGCAUGCUAAUAAAUAUCUUGCAUCUUGCCAGAAUAUGCCCUAGCUAUAUUUCCAUUGAUGAACUGGUCACAUGUAGUCGUGACCAUGUGAUAAUAGUCAUCUUCCUUUACCUUGGCAUUGAUUAUCACUUGUAAUGUGCUCUUCCUUGCUUUAACCUUUGGCUUCACAUGUUACUUUCCUUUUUCCUUUUCAGGAUGGCCACCAAGAAGGGUAAAAAGAAAGCUACUCCCAAACCACCAGCAAGGAGAGGAACAAAAAGAGUACUCACUGCGGAACCAUCUUCGACAUCAGUAAAGCCCUCAUCAAAGCGAGUCAAGAGGAUCAUUAAGGUCAAUGAGACAGAGAAAGCCUUCCCAGCAAAGGACACUGCGCGAUUCACCAACCGCUACUGUGAGCAGAUGUUCCCCAUCCUGGCUGAGCGAAGCUAUAACAAUGAGCACCUAUUAAUCCUCCCUACCCACAUUGUUGAGUUGGUUUAGCCUCGAAUUGAGCGUAGACAUUGGGGAUUCCUACGAAGACAGCCACGGCAGGUUAAUCUCUCAUAAGUAGUUGAAUUCUACUCCAAUUUUCACAUGCCAACCCUACAGUCUGUCUAUGUCUGUCAGAAGCAAGUCCCCAUAAAUGAAGAGGUCAUUCAGCGAGCUUUAGAUCCUCCCCCUACUCCAAAAGGAUUGGACGUAUUUCAAGAAGCCUCUGUCAAACGCCAGAGAUACAAAUUUGACUGGGACGCCGUUCUCAGAGUCAUAGCACAACCUGGCAGCAGAUGGACCUAUGGAUACCAUCGUUCCCGACCUAAAGAGAUAUUGGCUUCAGCACUCACCCUGGAGGCUCGAGUAUGGGCAUAGAUUAUGUCCCAUUACGUCUUUCUGAGCACUCAUGAGUCCUCCUUCACUGCAGAUAUGGCUGUUCUCCUCUGGUGUAUCCUUACAGACCAGCCCCUCAACUUACCAAGACAUAUCCGGCAUGCCAUGGGACAUGUACAAAUUGCGGGCAACCUACCCUUUUCCGCCUCGGUUUCAGAUCUCAUGUCCGCAGCCGGAGUCUCCUACAGAGCUAGGGAUACCAAGGACAUGAUUCCAUGGGUUGAUCAGAUUGUCCCCAAUGGGAAAUACAUCAGACCUCCAACAAUAACCACUAGCCGGCCUGCAGACCCGGUCGAAGAUAUUCCUCCUCCUUCCACAUCACAAGCACCUUCCACAAAUCAACUGCUCUAUCAGAUACUUGAAAGGUUGGACCAGAAAGACCAAAAGGCAAAGCUAAGGGAGCGCCGUAACCAGCGCCGAUACACAUACCUCAAGGAGCUGCUUAUUGGUAGCCACCCACCUGACAAAGACCCAGACACCCCGGACUCCACUUCAUUUACCAGCACAAGGAGCCAUGACGGUCCCGAUUGUGGAGACACUGCUACCAGCCCCCCUUUGUUCCUGAUUGAUGGCACCGAGGACCGUGUAAAGCCUUAAGUGUGGGGAGGUCGGUCAGUACCUGACUUCCGGAGGUAACUUUUCUCUCUUAACACCAAUAGGAUAUAUUUUUUUUUAUUAGGAUAGGAUAGAUUGCAUAGUAAUAGUUAUUUGCAUGCAUGUUCUAAUUGGUUGAAAAAUAAUAAGUCUCUUUUAAAGACUCUAUUUUUGAAAAAUUUCACUAAUUUAAAUUAAAAAAUUUUGUGUUAUAAACUUGUUUGAAGAUUGUAAAUUGGAACAUGGUUUUAAGCUAAGAACACACAACCUGUGAGACUUGAGCCUAAUUAUAUGGUUACAUUAUUUAACCAUAACUUUUUAUUCUUGUGUGUUUACUUCUCUAUGAUUGUAAUCUAUAUUUUGUUUCAUCCUAUAUGUCCAAUGUUUAGUGUAUUUAUAUGCAUGCAUAUGAUUGAGGCCAUUACUUGUUUUGCUCACUUAUCCCAAAUAAGCCUACCCUGCUAAAUCACACUUGUUAGCCACUUUGAGCCUAUUAAUCCCCAUUUGUUCUAUAUUUUACCACAUCACUAACAUUAAGCAGAAAAACAAAUUGAAUACCCCAAUUGAAUUUUUGAUUAGCUUAAGAUAGAGAUUGUGUAUCAACUAAGUGUGGGAAAAACUGUGGGAACAUGGGUUAAUAAGGGAAUGUGUUAUAUUUUUUUUUACUUUGAUAAAAUAUUGGGAAUUUGGGUACCUACUCAUGUGAGACCAGAAAAAAUAAAAAUCCAUGUGCAUUGAUAAGUUAUGUUUAUUUUUCUAUAUAAAAAAAUCAAAAAAUAUUCAAUAAAUAAGCAAAUAAAUAAGGGGACAAAAUUAUCCCAAUACAAAGUUAAGUUUAUAAAAAGAUCAAUGCAUAUGUGAUAAAAUUAAAAGAAAAGUUGAUGCAUGAGUAUGAGAUAAAAAAGUGGGAAUUUUGGGUAGUUAGGCAUGAUUUUAAAAGUAUAUAGAGUGUGUAUAUAGGUGAGAGCUUAGGUUAAUCAAAGAUUCAAUUUAUAGCUCACUUAGCCAUAUAUAAAGAAAAGAAAAAGAGAAAAAAUAUAUAUAAUAUAAAUAAAUAAAUAAGGGGACAAAAUUACCCCAAUGUUAAGUUAAUAAAAGAUCAAUGCAUGUGAUAAAAUUAAAGAAAAAUUGAUACAUGAGUAUGUAAUGCAAAAGUGAAGACUAUGGGUAGCUAGGUAAAGCAUUUUAAAUUAUAUAAAGUAUGUAUAUGUUAGAUGAGAUCUUAGACUAAUCAAGAAUUCACUUUAUAUAGCUCACUUAGCCAUAUAUAUAUAUAUAUAUAUAUAUCCUCACCCUUACCUUAGCCCCGUUACAACCUUGAAAAGACCUCAUGAUGUUUGCAUUGGUACAUUAAAUAUUAUUGAUUGAUUAGGUGAAGAACAAAGUUUAGAAAGCAUGACUAGGGAAGACUAGAGUGAUUACCCUAUACACUUGAGUGACUAGAGUGCACAUACACCAUUAAUAAGGGUUCAAUGCUUGAUUCUAUGUUCCCUUCUUUUAUGAGCUAUCUUCUUACAAGUUUACUUGUCUUUUAUUAUAUGAUUAGAAUUAGUGGAAUUUGAAUUUAUGUUUGUCUUAAAGAACUUAUUUACUUUUAACCAAGUAGACAGAAUCAUAUAGUUGCAUUCAUACAUAGGUUGCAUUGCAUUGCAUGAGUCUUACUUUUCCCUACUCAUUUAUUUUAUCUCCUUGAGCUAAGCAUGAGGACAUGCUAAUGUUUAAGUGUGGGGAGUUUGAUAAACCACUAUUCUAUGGUUUAUCUUGUGUUUAAUUGAGUGGUUUUUAUCAAGUCUUUACCCACUUAUUCAUAUGAUUUGCAUGGCUUUAUAACUCCUUCCUAGUCUUGAUCUAUGAUUGAAAACUUGCUUCCUAGAAUCUUUAAUUUGUGUAUUUUAACACUCCUUUAUACCAUUAGAUGUCGUGAUCCGUGUGUUAAGUGUUUCAGGCUUUAUAGGGCAGGAAUGACUUAGAGGAUGGAGAAGAAGCUUGCAAAAAUGGAAGAACACAAGAAACUAAGGAGAUAACCAGCGAGCAGCGACGCGCAUGCAUGGCUCACGCGUGCGCGCGACAUGGAGAAAAUUGCAGUGACGCGUGCGCGUGCCUGACACGUACGCGUGGAUUGGAGUUCUGUAAUAUGACGCGAGCGCGUGCUUGACGCGAACGCGUGAUACGCCAAAAUGACCAGCGACGCGAACGCGUGACUGACGCGUACGCGUGACAUGCGUGAUCUGUAGAAUUAACAGAAAACGCUGGGGGCGAUUUCGGGCCGUAUUUUGACCCAGUUUUCGGCCCAGAAACACAGACUAAAGCAAGAGAACAUGCAGAGACUCAACACACAUUCUCAUUACGGAUAGUUUGAGUUUAGUCGGGAAUUUUAGAGAGAAUUCUACUCCUUCCUCUAGGGUUCUUCAUAUUCAUAGUUUUAGAGUUUCAUGCUUUUGCUUUUGGAUACUGAGAAGACUCAUUACCUCCGUGGAAGUUUCAUUACUCUAGUUUGUUUUCUUAUUCCUUUACUUUUUACUGCCCAUUAACCCUGUUUGGAUAAGUAUGUUGCAUUUUGGGAUUUAAUACAAGAACCAUUUUUAUUUUUAUUUGAUCUUUAAUUAUUGUCUAUCAUGUUUUCCUUUUAUUUCCUUUUUAACUCUGUAAAGUUUAUAUUCAUGAUAAUGGAGUAGUUCCCCAACUUGAUUGGGAGUUGAUUAAAAGGAGAACCUUGAGUUGGAAUACUCAAGUGUUAAUCCUAAUGGAUAGUUGAUGACUGACAACUCUAAUCUCUGACUCUCAUCCUUCCUUAGGAGAGGAUUAGGACCUGAGGAUAUAGUUUGUUGGUUAGUUACUUGACUUUUCCUUAUUUAUUAAGGGAUGACCAAGUAAGACAACAACCUGUUAGGAUUGCACUUGGAAAAAUCCAACAAGGAUAGAAAUUCCAAUUAAUCUUCUCCCGGUCAAGGCUUUUAAUAAGGAUUAUAUAAUUUCUCUCGUUAAUUUUUACAUUGCUUAAUUUUACUAUUAUUUAUUUCUUUGUUCUCAAACUCAAAAUUUCUGGGAAAACCUCUAACCAAUAAGCUGCACUCUUUUGUCAACUCGUUGGGAGACGACCUAGGACUCAUACUCCCAGUAAUCUUAUUCUUAAAUCUGUGAUAACUCUUUUCUAAAUUGACAAGCAGAUUUUUACUGGUUAAGAACUGUAUUUGCAACGUAUUUCUUACAUUAAUUUCUUAAUCGGCCAAUUUCUGCCACGUCAAUAACCAUUAUCAUCGUCUCCAAAAAUACACAAAAAUACCGGAAUAAGCCAUAUUUUAUAUACGGUAAAUAAAGAUCAUUGUUUUGGUUUUUCCAACCUUUUUUCCCCUCUAUCUUGGUCCUUAAAAAUUAGUUUAUUGAACAACUUUCGUAGAGUUAAAUAUAUAAGUUGUUUGGUUGUUAAUUACCCCAUCAUUUAUGUAGUUUUGUAGCCAAUAAGCUAAGGUGGUUUAUUGGUUUUUCUUUUGUUUUUUUUUUCUUUAUUUAUUGACAUGAACUACCUUGAUGUUUUUAACUUUUUAUCUCCUCUUUCAUAUUAUGGGCUGAUAGGAAUAGUAGGGCAAGAAGAAAAUCUACAUUAUCAUCCAGAUACUACCGUUCAUUUUCUUAAUUUCUUCCAUUUGAUUUCUUCUUAAAACCAAAGGUUUUUUUUUCUUUUAACGAGAAAAAGGCUUGUUUUUUAUUCCUAUAUAUUUUUGAAAGAAUAAUUUUAUGGUAAAGAAGAUUUUGUAUGAAAAGAAUAAAAAGUAUAUAAUUUACUUUAAAAAUUAAUAAAAAUAAAAUAACAUCUUUUUUUAGAUAAAUACUUAACUNNNNNNNNNNNNNNNNNNNNNNNNNNNNNNNNNNNNNNNNNNNNNNNNNNNNNNNNNNNNNNNNNNNNNNNNNNNNNNNNNNNNNNNNNNNNNNNNNNNNNNNNNNNNNNNNNNNNNNNNNNNNNNNNNNNNNNNNNNNNNNNNNNNNNNNNNNNNNNNNNNNNNNNNNNNNNNNNNNNNNNNNNNNNNNNNNNNNNAAUUUAUAAAAAUAAAUCUUCAUUUAUUUUUUAUUUUUUCUUCAUCAUAAGUUUUUUUUUUUUGUCAUUACACUCACAUACAUGUAUUAUAAAUUCUUUAAACAACAUCCAAUCUCAGUUGGAAUUUGAAUCCGAGUGCAGCUUACAAGAGACAUAUAGAUAUGCCAUUCGUAUUCUGCAAUUUGGUGCAGCUUGGUUAAGAGACAAUAUAAUUGUCACUUCGUCUAGGCCUACGGUGCAAAUACACAAGCUAAGAAAAUAUUUGGUUUAGAUUUAGGUUUCUUUAAUUAGAAUUCGAUCCAAAUUCAUGGUUAUAGUGGGCUUUAGUUAGCCCAUGUGAUAUAAAACUUUUGUAAUUUUGUUAUGGCAUGACCAUUAUGCUCAUUUUGGUUAUUCAAUUAAGAUCCACUUUGUUAUUGUUGUGGGUAGGGACCAAUUUUUCUCCCUACUUUUCAAGUAUUGGUUUGUGGUGUUAUGAGUUUUUAUAUCAAUAAUGAAUUGGUCACUGUCCAGACCCCAAAAAGAAAAAAGCAUUGGUCACUGUUAAAUCAAAUAUAACUUAUGUUACAAUUAAUGCUCUUCCAACUGCACUGUCAAUCUGGAUUCGUGGAAAAAAGGAAAGCUUUUUCUCUCCGUACACUUUUCCGUCUUUGCCUCACUAUAACGUGUGUGGCCGCCGAUGAGAGGGGGCUUUGUGAGAGGUGGAGCCUCUCGGUCCCAUGAGCCAAGAAGAGAACCUAACGCCGAACAAGAUCUGCAACAGGGGCUUGGAAAAAAAGUAAAGAAAAAUGGGGAAGGUAAAGAAUUUUCUGGAUCUGUUUGCAUUCAUCCGAGGGUGGAGGCUUGGAUGGAAUGUCAUAAAGAGGUAGAAGAACGGGAACAUUCCGUGAUGCAUGUUGAUGAAACGCCUCCAGAGGAAGAAUCGAAAAAGGGAACACAGGGAUGGUCGACUUCUUUUGCCAACAUAGUCAAGACAGGAAAAAGUGCCCCUCGACAAGGAGACCCCAGUACGGAAGUCAACAGGGAAGAUGAAGCAGAAAAGGUAAAUGAAGAGGAGGACAGAGAUGAUGAGAAUGAAGAUAUAGAUGAUGAGGAGAUUACUAUAAAAAAGAUGCCUAAUGGCUUGCUGAAUCUGAUUAUAGGGGAGAGUAUGCAAAAAGAAAUCAGGGAAGAAUGGUGGAACUCCCUAAUAGUGAAACUGCUUGGCAGAAAAAUCUCUCUUUUGGCUCUGAAAAGGAUUUUUGGAAACUAUGUGGGCCAAAAUAGGAAGCAUUGAGGUAAUAGACCUAGGUGGUGAUUUCUUCCUAGUAAGGUUUUUCAAUUCAGGGGAUUUGGAUUACGCUCUUAUAGAAGGACCGUGGAAGAUUCUAGAUCACUACUUGACUGUUCAGUUUUGGAAACCAGAUUUUGAUUCAACUACGGCGUCCAUUGACAAGAUUGCUGCCUGGGUGAGGCUCCCAGGACUAGCAAUAGAAUAUUACAACAGGACUAUCCUACAAAAAAUUGGGAAUAUAGUGGGAAGAACACUGAAAGUGGAUAGCAAUACUGCAGAGGUCUCCAGGGGAAAGUUUGCCAGAAUUUGUGUGGAAGUGGAACUAGACAAACCUCUGGUGUCCCAAUACCUAAUCAACGGUAUACCUCAUGCAGUUGAAUAUGAAGGGCUCCAUCUAGUUUGCUUUUCAUGCAGGAGAGUGAGCCAUGACAGGGAGAACUGCCCUGAGAAGAAAAAGAAUGCUUCAGAGUCUCAAAACGAUAAUGGCAAAAACACAACAAGAAAUUCAGAGGUAGAAGAAAGGGACAAAAAUGUAAAGGACAAGAUUGACAAGGGCAAAAAAGUCCAGGAAAAAAAUGAUGGGGAUUUUGGCCCUUAGAUGUUAGUGCAGAGACAUACACGUGGCAAAAAAUCCACAAAUCAUGGAGAAGGUACCAGCAAAGGUGGAAAUGUGCAAGAAAAAGGACAGAAUGUGGGUGGAAAUGGGAAACAAUCUCAUUUUGCUGUGCUGCAAAUAGAAGAAUCUUUCAAUGAUGAGGUACACAAAGAGGCAACCCCACAACGUCAUGGUGUGAUUAAUUCAGAUGCUACCCACCAAGAGAAGGCUUAGUCAUCCGAAGCUAACCCUACCCAGCCCAAAACCCGAACCAGCCCACUGCCCAAGACCCAGCCAGCCCAUUUCAAAGGCAUCUCUUUGACCUUACAACAAGCCCAAUCUGUCUCUAAAGAGAACCCAUCUGUCCCUAAACCUGCUUCUUCUUCAGCCCCACCCAGAAUUUUUUCGACUAAUCCCCCCCUUGACCCCCAACACCACCAAGAGAAUUGGGCCAACCCAUCACCCUACAGCCCAACACCCUCCCUUAUUGUUGUAGAUUCAGCGUGUAACCCAACUCCUUCUAAAGAACCCCCUGAUCCAGUACCUCCAAGCUUUGUUUCCAUUGACUCGAGGGAGCUCUCUAUAGUAAUGAAGGACGUUGAAAAUAGAGAGAUGGUAAUUGCAGAAGUGGCUAUGAAAGAGCAUCCUUCUCUGGAGGAUGAAAUGGUGUGCUCGUAAUGAGUACUGGUUAUUUUUGGAAUAAGCUGUUCAAGCAGAUACAGAGUUUCACUCUUUAGUUUAUGUUUAGAUUUUUCUCUAUGAAGAUCCUUGCUUGGAAUAUAAAAGGGAUUGCCAACCAUGCAUCGGUUAGCACCCUUAAAGAACUGGUUAGACAGAAGCAUCCUGAUUUGGUGUUCCUUUUUGAAACUAAAUGUAGUGGCGCAAAGGCUAAGGAGAUUAUCAGAAGCCUGGGUUUCAAAUACUAUUGUAUGCAUGAAGCACAGGGCUACAGUGGUGGCAUCUGGGCUCUGUGGAAUUGUGACUCCCUACAGGUAACCUUUAUUGAUAUGCAUACUCAGUUUAUUCAUAUGUCUAUAAAUGAUCAAUGUAGAGUUCCUUGGGCUUUAACUGCUGUUUAUGCGAGUCCCCAAGAAAGCCUUAGAAAGGUGUUUUUUGAAAAGAUUAAACAAAUUGCUUGUAAUAUGGAUAUGCCUUGGAUGCUAGUUGCCGACUAUAAUGAAAUUGCGGAGGUGUGCGAGAAAAAAGGGGGUGCUAGAAUUGAUGCCAAUGUUUGUAGAAAAUUUAAGGACUGGAUUAACACCUACAAUCUAAUAGACCUGGGGUACUGUGGUACAAGGUUUACUUGGAGAGGGGGGCAGCGCAAUGGGUUGGAGAGAGUUUUUAAACGGUUGGAUAGAGCCCUGGCUAAUGCUGAUUGGAGAAGCUCUUUCUCAGAUGCUAGAGUUGAAGUGCUUCCUAGAGUGAGGUCUGAUCAUCACCCCCUCUUGGUGAUUAUGAAACCGGAAAGAAUGGAUAAAGGUGAAAAGCCCUUCCACUAUGAGGAUAUGUGGAAAUCACACCCCAAUUUUGAUGAAUUUGUUUUAAAAAAUUGGAGUCCUUCUAAUUCAUUUCCUGCAUCACUCAAUUCUCUUGCUGUCAAUUUGAAAAAAUGGAAUAACGAUGUCUUCGGCAAUGUGUUUAAGAGAAAAAGAAGAGUCCUAAAUAGAAUCAAUGGUAUCCAAAAAGCUUCGACCUACGGCAGAAAUCCCUUUCUCGAAGACCUGGAGUAGCAACUUGUUACAGAGCUUGAAGAAAUUCUGAAUCAAGAAGAAACACUCUAGCUUCAAAAAUCUAGACAGAAUUGGAUUGUUGACGGAGAUAGAAAUACAAGGUAUUACCAUACAAAAACAGCCAUGAGAAGGAAGAAAAAUAGAAUCCUUAAGCUUCGAAAAAGUGAUAGGCAGUGGUAUGACCAACAAGAGGAAGUUAUGGAGAUGGUAAUGAAUUUUUUCAAAGCCCUUUACCAAGAAGAGAAUGGCAACUGCACCUACCUUAAUACGGUUUUCACUUUCCCAGAACUCCGUAAAGAUCUUAAAGAUGUCCUUUCUGUUCCUCCUUCAUACACUCAGAUUCAAAAAGCGUUGUUUGACAUUGGGUCCUUGAAAGCCCCUAGGGAGGAUGGUUUCCCAGCCCUCUUCUAUAAGGAGAAUUGGAAUGUAAUAAAAGGUUCAUUUAUCCCUUUUAUUUUACAACUCUGGCAUAACCCUCGGAUUAUUGAAUCCAUCAAUCAAACUCUCAUCACUCUGAUCCCUAAGGUUCCUAAUCCAGAAUUUGUCUCGCAAUUUCGGCCUAUAACGCUGUGUAAUGUUGCUUACAAGACCAUCACUAAAAUUGUGAUCUCCAAACUCAAACCCCUCCUUGCCGAUAGCAUUUCUCCAAACCAGGCCAGUUUUAUACCUGGUAGAAUGAUACAUGACAAUGUUAUUAUUGCCAAAGAGCUGUGGCACAAUAUGAGGAAAUUAAAAGGAAAAAAGAAGUUCAUGUCUAUAAAAAUUGACUUCAAAAAGGCAUGACCGGUUGAAGUGGAGCUUCAUCGAAAAGGUCUUGGAGGAGUUUGGAGUUCCAGACCAAUUGAAAAAUAUCAUUCUCUCUUGUGUGUCUUCUGUUUCUUACAAAAUCCUGUGGAACGGGUGUAAGACAGAGGCUUUUUUGCCUACUCGGGGAAUUAGACAAGGUGAUCCAAUGUCACCCUAUCUCUUCGUUAUGGCUAUGGAGAAACUCUCUCACUUGAUUGAAGAAAAUGUUGUGCGAAGCGACUGGAUGCUGAUGAGCGGAUAAUUUAUACGCUUUUUGGCAUUGUUUUAGUAUGUUUUUAGUAGGAUCUAGUUAAUUUUAGGGAUGUUUUCAUUAGUUUUUAUGUUAAAUUCACAUUUCUGGACUUUAAUUUGAGUUUGUAUGUUUUUCUGUGAUUUCAGGUAUUUUCUGGCUAAAAUUGAGGGACUUGAGCAAAAAUCAAAUUCAGAGGUUGAAGAAGGACUGCUGAUGCUGUUGGAUUCUGACCUCCUUGAACUCAAAAUGGAUUUUCUGGAGCUACAGAACUCGAAAUGGCGCGCUUCCAAUUGCGUUGGAAAGUAGACAUCCAGGGCUUUUCAGCAAUAUAUACUAGUCCAUACUUUGGGCAAGAAUAGAUGACGUAAACUGGCGUUCAACGCCAGCUUUCUACCCAAAUCUGGCAUCCAGCGCCAGAAAAGGAGCCAAAACCAGAGUUGAACGCCCAAACUGGCACAAAAGCUCGCGUUCAACUCCAAGAAAGACCUCUACAUGUGCAACACUCAAGCUCAGCCCAAACACACACCAAGUGGGUCCCGGAAGUGGAUUUAUGCAUCAAUUACUUACUCAUGUAAACCCUAGUAGCUAGUUUAUUAUAAAUAGGACCUUUUACUAUUGUAUUAGGCAUCUUUGAUCAGUUGUAUGCUAUCUUAGAUCACGUUUGGGGGCUGGCCCUCUCAGCCAUGCCUGGACCUUUCACUUAUGUAUUUUCAACGGUAGAGUUUCUACACUCCAUAGAUUAAGGUGUGGAGCUCUGCUGUUCCUCAAAGAUUAAUGCAAAGUACUUCUGUUUUCUAUUCAAUUCAUCUUAUUUUGCUUCUAAGAUAUCCAUUCGGACCCAAGAACGUGAUGAAGGUGAUGAUUAUGUGUGACGCUCAUCANNNNNNNNNNNNNNNNNNNNNNNNNNNNNNNNNNNNNNNNNNNNNNNNNNNNNNNNNNNNNNNNNNNNNNNNNNNNNNNNNNNNNNNNNNNNNNNNNNNNNNNNNNNNNNNNNNNNNNNNNNNNNNNNNNNNNNNNNNNNNNNNNNNNNNNNNNNNNNNNNNNNNNNNNNNNNNNNNNNNNNNNNNNNNNNNNNNNNNNNNNNNNNNNNNNNNNNNNNNNNNNNNNNNNNNNNNNNNNNNNNNNNNNNNNNNNNNNNNNNNNNNNNNNNNNNNNNNNNNNNNNNNNNNNNNNNNNNNNNNNNNNNNNNNNNNNNNNNNNNNNNNNNNNNNNNNNNNNNNNNNNNNNNNNNNNNNNNNNNNNNNNNNNNNNNNNNNNNNNNNNNNNNNNNNNNNNNNNNNNNNNNNNNNNNNNNNNNNNNNNNNNNNNNNNNNNNNNNNNNNNNNNNNNNNNNNNNNNNNNNNNNNNNNNNNNNNNNNNNNNNNNNNNNNNNNNNNNNNNNNNNNNNNNNNNNNNNNNNNNNNNNNNNNNNNNNNNNNNNNNNNNNNNNNNNNNNNNNNNNNNNNNNNNNNNNNNNNNNNNNNNNNNNNNNNNNNNNNNNNNNNNNNNNNNNNNNNNNNNNNNNNNNNNNNNNNNNNNNNNNNNNNNNNNNNNNNNNNNNNNNNNNNNNNNNNNNNNNNNNNNNNNNNNNNNNNNNNNNNNNNNNNNNNNNNNNNNNNNNNNNNNNNNNNNNNNNNNNNNNNNNNNNNNNNNNNNNNNNNNNNNNNNNNNNNNNNNNNNNNNNNNNNNNNNNNNNNNNNNNNNNNNNNNNNNNNNNNNNNNNNNNNNNNNNNNNNNNNNNNNNNNNNNNNNNNNNNNNNNNNNNNNNNNNNNNNNNNNNNNNNNNNNNNNNNNNNNNNNNNNNNNNNNNNNNNNNNNNNNNNNNNNNNNNNNNNNNNNNNNNNNNNNNNNNNNNNNNNNNNNNNNNNNNNNNNNNNNNNNNNNNNNNNNNNNNNNNNNNNNNNNNNNNNNNNNNNNNNNNNNNNNNNNNNNNNNNNNNNNNNNNNNNNNNNNNNNNNNNNNNNNNNNNNNNNNNNNNNNNNNNNNNNNNNNNNNNNNNNNNNNNNNNNNNNNNNNNNNNNNNNNNNNNNNNNNNNNNNNNNNNNNNNNNNNNNNNNNNNNNNNNNNNNNNNNNNNNNNNNNNNNNNNNNNNNNNNNNNNNNNNNNNNNNNNNNNNNNNNNNNNNNNNNNNNNNNNNNNNNNNNNNNNNNNNNNNNNNNNNNNNNNNNNNNNNNNNNNNNNNNNNNNNNNNNNNNNNNNNNNNNNNNNNNNNNNNNNNNNNNNNNNNNNNNNNNNNNNNNNNNNNNNNNNNNNNNNNNNNNNNNNNNNNNNNNNNNNNNNNNNNNNNNNNNNNNNNNNNNNNNNNNNNNNNNNNNNNNNNNNNNNNNNNNNNNNNNNNNNNNNNNNNNNNNNNNNNNNNNNNNNNNNNNNNNNNNNNNNNNNNNNNNNNNNNNNNNNNNNNNNNNNNNNNNNNNNNNNNNNNNNNNNNNNNNNNNNNNNNNNNNNNNNNNNNNNNNNNNNNNNNNNNNNNNNNNNNNNNNNNNNNNNNNNNNNNNNNNNNNNNNNNNNNNNNNNNNNNNNNNNNNNNNNNNNNNNNNNNNNNNNNNNNNNNNNNNNNNNNNNNNNNNNNNNNNNNNNNNNNNNNNNNNNNNNNNNNNNNNNNNNNNNNNNNNNNNNNNNNNNNNNNNNNNNNNNNNNNNNNNNNNNNNNNNNNNNNNNNNNNNNNNNNNNNNNNNNNNNNNNNNNNNNNNNNNNNNNNNNNNNNNNNNNNNNNNNNNNNNNNNNNNNNNNNNNNNNNNNNNNNNNNNNNNNNNNNNNNNNNNNNNNNNNNNNNNNNNNNNNNNNNNNNNNNNNNNNNNNNNNNNNNNNNNNNNNNNNNNNNNNNNNNNNNNNNNNNNNNNNNNNNNNNNNNNNNNNNNNNNNNNNNNNNNNNNNNNNNNNNNNNNNNNNNNNNNNNNNNNNNNNNNNNNNNNNNNNNNNNNNNNNNNNNNNNNNNNNNNNNNNNNNNNNNNNNNNNNNNNNNNNNNNNNNNNNNNNNNNNNNNNNNNNNNNNNNNNNNNNNNNNNNNNNNNNNNNNNNNNNNNNNNNNNNNNNNNNNNNNNNNNNNNNNNNNNNNNNNNNNNNNNNNNNNNNNNNNNNNNNNNNNNNNNNNNNNNNNNNNNNNNNNNNNNNNNNNNNNNNNNNNNNNNNNNNNNNNNNNNNNNNNNNNNNNNNNNCCUGAAGGCUGGGCGUUAGUGACAGAUGCAAAAGGAUAGUAAAUCCUAUUCCAACCGGAUCGAGAACCAACCGGUGAUUAGCUGUGCUGUGACAGAGCAUGUGAGCAUAUUUUUCACUGAGAGGAGGGGAUGUAGCCACUAACAACGGUGAUGCCCUUGCAUAAAGCCAGCCAUGGAAAGGAGUAAGACUGAUUGGAUGAAGAUAGCAGGAAAGCAGAGGUUCAGAGGAACGAAAGCAUCUCCAUUUGCUUAUCUGAAAUUCUCACCAAUGAUUUACAUAAGUAUUUCUAUCUUUACUUUUAUUAAUUAAUUUUGAAAACUCCAUACUAUUUUAUAUCUGCCUGACUGAGAUUUACAAGGUGACCAUAGCUUGCUUCAUACCGACAAUCUCCGUGGGAUUCGACCCUUACUCACGUAAGGUAUUACUUGGACGACCCAGUGCACUUGCUGGUUAGUUGUAUCGAAGUUGUGAACCAUGGUAUUGGCACCAUGUUCUUGGCGCCAUUGCCAGGGAAAGAAAGAGCCAUGAAUUUCACAUAAUCAAAGUGUAAUCACAAUUUCGUGCACCAAGUUUUUGGCGCCGUUGCCGGGGAUUGUUCGAGUUUGGACAACUGACGGUUCAUCUUGUUGCUCAGAUUAGGUAAUUUUCUUUUUGUUUUCUUUUCAAAAAAAAAAUUUUCAAAAAUAUUUCGAAAUUUUCUCCUUUGUUUUCGAAAAAAAAAUAAUAUGAAAAUGUUUUCAAAAAUUUUAUUCAAAAUUUUUAAGAAUGAAUUCUAGUGUUUCAUGAAGCAUGUGAAGUCUGGCUAGCUGUAAAGCCAUGUCUAAAUUUAUUUGGACUGAGGCAGCAAUUUGUUAUCAAGAGUAUCUUCUCAUCUUAUCUUUUUCAAAAAUAUGAUUUCAAAAUAUCUUUUCUAACUUCCUAACUUCUUAUCUUUUCAAAAUUUGUUUUAACUAACUAACUAACUUUUUGUUUGUUUUUUAACUUUUUCAAAACUACCUAACUAACUCUCUCUCUCUCUAAUUUUCAAAAAUAUCUUCUCUCUUUUUCAAAAAUUUCUUUUUAAUUAACUAAUUAUUCUUAUUUUUAUUUUUGAUUUUAAAAAUUUUCGAAAAAUACUAACAUUUUUCAAAAACCAUUUUCGAAAAUCACUAACCCUUUUUCAAAAAAUUAUUUUCGAAAAUUCUCCAUCUCCCAUCUUAUUCUAUUUAUUUAUUCAUCUACUAACAUCUCAUCUCACAUCUCAACCCUCCUCACAGUUGUGUUUCUUCCAUUAUAUUACAUUCUUUGUCUCCCCCUCUUCUUCUACUCACACAGGGAUCCCUAUACUGUGGUAUAAAGGAUCUCUAUUAUUAUUAUUAUUUUUCUGUGCCCUCUUCUUUGUCAUAUGAGCAGGAGCAAGGAUAAGAACAUUCUUGUGGAAGCAGAUCCAGAACCUGAAAGGAAUCUGAAAAAGAAACUAAGAGAAGCUAAAAUACAACAAUCCAGAGAUAACCUUUCAGAAAUUUUCGAACAGGAAGAAGAGAUGGCGNNNNNNNNNNNNNNNNNNNNNNNNNNNNNNNNNNNNNNNNNNNNNNNNNNNNNNNNNNNNNNNNNNNNNNNNNNNNNNNNNNNNNNNNNNNNNNNNNNNNNNNNNNNNNNNNNNNNNNNNNNNNNNNNNNNNNNNNNNNNNNNNNNNNNNAAACAGUUGACCAAAAAGUGUCCUUCUGACAUGCUUUCAGAAUGGACCAUCCUGGAUAUAGUCUAUGAUGGUUUAUCUGAGUUAUCAAAGAUGUCAUUGGAUACCUCUACAGGUGGAUCCAUUCAUCUAAAGAAAACGCCUGCAGAAGCGCAAGAACUCAUUGACAUGGUUGCUAAUAACCAGUUCAUGUACACUUCUGAAAGGAAUCCUGUGAACAAUGGACAAUUUUUAUUUAUCUAACUAUAUUUUUCUUAGUUAUAUGUCUUUAUAGGUUCAUGAUCAUGUGGAGUCACAAAAUGAAUAUAAAAAUUGAAAACGGAAUCAAAAAUAGCAGAAGAAAAAAUCACACCCUGGAGGAGCAUCUGCCUGGCGUUCAACGCCAGAACAGAACAUGGUUCUGGCGCUGAACGCCCAGAACAAGCAUGGUUCUGGCGUUCAACGCCAGAAAUGGCAAUAAAUGGGCGUUGAACGCCCAAAAUGGGCACCAACCUGGCGCUGAACGCCCAGAGUUGUGUGCAAAGGCAUUUUACAUGCCUAAUGGGUGCAGGGAUGUAAAUCCUUGACACCUCAGGAUCUGUGGACCCCACAGGAUCAUCUCAGGAUCUGUGGACCCCACAGGAUCCCCACCUACCUCUACUCAACUCUUCUCAUCCAAUGGUGAUGCCCUUGCAUAAAGCCAGCCAUGGAAAGGAGUAAGACUGAUUGGAUGAAGAUAGCAGGAAAGCAGAGGUUCAGAGGAACGAAAGCAUCUCCAUUUGCUUAUCUAAAAUUCUCACCAAUGAUUUACAUAAGUAUUUCUAUCUUUACUUUUAUUAAUUAAUUUCGAAAACUCCAUACUAUUUUAUAUCUGCCUGACUGAGAUUUACAAGGUGACCAUAGCUUGCUUCAUACCGACAAUCUCCGUGGGAUUCGACCCUUACUCACGUAAGGUAUUACUUGGACGACCCAGUGCACUUGCUGGUUAGUUGUAUCGAAGUUGUGAACCAUGGUAUUGGCACCAUGUUCUUGGAGCCAUUGCCAGGGAAAGAAAGAGCCAUGAAUUUCACAUAAUCAAAGUGUAAUCACAAUUUCGUGCACCAGAUGCCUAUGAGAGUAGGUCGGGAAGGGCCAUCAAUUUCUCACCUUCUCUUCGCAGAUGACCUGUUGCUUUUUGCUGAGGCUUUCACUCAACAAAUAGAUAAUAUUGGGAGAGUCCUUGAGCUUUUUUGCACUAUGUCGGGAUUAAAGAUAAAUCAAGCAAAAUCAACCAUAUCCUUUUCCAAAAAUGUGGAACAAAGCCUGAAGGAUAUUAUCACUAACAGAUGCAAGUUCAAGGAAACUAUCGAGCUGGGAAAAUGCCUGGGUGCUAUGAUUACCAAUGGAAGAACGCAAAAAAGAGAUUUCAAGGGUGCAAUGGAGCGGGUGUAAACCCCGGUUAAAUUAGUAGAUAAUUAGUUAAUAAAUUAUUUUUUUAUAAGGAGGAUUAGAAACAUGAAUAUUAUAUCAAAUUAGGGUAGAGCUCAUCGAAACGAGAAUUUUGACACCAAUUUCGAAGAAAACGGUCCAAGAUUGGACCGAACGGGCCGAACCGGUUGAACCGGACCCAAACCGGGCCGUGGGCCCAACCGGACCAGCCCUUUAAGUAAAAGCCACGUUCUUCUUCUCCUUAUUUCGGCAGCAUCAGAGAGCAACAGAGGAGAGGCAAAUUCUAAGAGACAGGAAGCUGUAUGCUAAGUUAUCUAAAUGUGAGUUUUGGAAGAGUGAAGUGAAGUUUCUCGGCCACGUGGUGAGUAAGUAGGGGAUAGCUGUGGAUUCUGCUAAGGUGGAAGCAGUGAUGAAUUGGGAGCGACCAACUUCAAUGACAGAAAUCAGGAGUUUCCUAGGUUUGGCGGGGUAUUAUCGCAGAUUCAUUAAAGGAUUUUCACAACUCGCCUUACCUUUAACUAAAUUGACUAGGAAGGAUACGCCUUUUAUCUGGACUCCGGAAUGUGAAGAGAGUUUUCAGGCAUUGAAGCACAAGUUGACUACUGCACCUGUAUUGGUAUUACCUGAACCAAGUGAAUCGUUUGAAGUGUAUUGUGAUGCAUCUCUGAAAGGGUUGGGGUGUGUUUUGAUGCAGCACCAGAAUGUUGUAGCAUACGCCUCACGGCAGUUAAGGCCGCAUGAGAUGAACUACCCGACACAUGAUUUAGAACUUGCUGCUGUUGUGUUUGCUUUAAAGAUUUGGAGGCACUACCUCUAUGGCGUUAAGUUUCAUGUUUUCUCAGACCAUAAGAGUUUGAAGUAUCUUUUUGAGCAGAAAGAAUUGAAUAUGCGUCAGAGGAGAUGGAUGGAACUUCUGAAAGAUUAUGAUUUUGAAUUGAAUUAUCAUCCAGGAAAAGCGAAUGUUGUAGCGGAUGCUUUGAGUCGGAAGUCUUUAUAUGCAGCUUGGAUGAUGUUACGGGAAGAAGAAUUACUGAAGGCAUUCCAAGGUUUGAAUUUGGGAGUUAGAGAAGAAUCUGGAAUCCUAUGUUUGAGUCAGUUGCAGAUUUCAAGUGAUUUUAAAUCCGAACUUCUGAAGGCUCAUCGAAACAGUGAAGCAUUACGUAAGGUAUUACCAGCAGUUGAACAGGGAAAACAAUGGAGACUGUCAGAAGGUCAGGAUGGUUUAUGGAGGUUCAAGAACCGGAUUAUUGUGCCUGAUGUUGGAGACCUACGACAAAGUAUCUUAAAGGAAGCUCAUAAGAGCGGGUUUUCAAUUCACCCAGGGAGCACUAAAAUGUAUCAGGAUCUGAAAGCGAUGUUCUGGUGGCCAGGUAUGAAGAAUGAUGUGGCAUUGCAUGUAUCUAAAUGUCUAACAUGUCAGAAGGUUAAGAUUGAGCAUCAGAGACCAUCAGGAACCCUUCAGCCUUUGGAGAUUCCACAAUGGAAAUGGGAGAGUAUUGCAAUGGAUUUUGUGAUAGGUUUGCCUAGAACCCGAUCUGGUUGUGACGCUAUUUGGGUGGUUGUUGAUCGACUAACAAAAUCAGCUCACUUUCUUCCUAUCCGAAUAAGUUGCACAAUGGAGGAAUUGGCUCGAAUGUAUAUCAAAGAGAUUGUCAGAUUACAUGGUGUGCCCUCUACUAUUAUAUCUGAUAGAGAUCCCCGUUUUACAUCAAGGUUCUGGGGAGCUUUUCAGCGUGCAUUUGGGACUCAGUUAAGCUUGAGUACUGCGUAUCACCCUCAGACAGAUGGUCAGUCAGAGAGAACUAUUCAGACUUUGGAGGAUAUGCUAAGGGCUUGUGUUUUGGACCAGCCAGCAAGCUGGGAUCGGUAUAUGCCAUUAAUAGAGUUUGCUUAUAAUAAUAGCUACCAUGCGAGCAUCGGAAUGGCUCCAUAUGAAGCUCUGUAUGGCAGAAAAUGUCAGUCUCCGUUGUGUUGGUAUGAAACUGGAGAAAGGAGUUUAUUAGGGCCUGAAAUGAUAGCUGAAACGACUGAGCAGAUAAAGAAGAUUCGUAAUCGAAUGCUUAUAGCCCAGAGCCGCCAGAAAAGUUAUGCUGAUCAGAGGCGAAAGCCUUUGGAAUUCGAAGAAGGAGAACAUGUCUUUUUGAAAGUUACACCAACCACUGGAGUGGGAAGAGCUAUUAAGACCAAGAAACUGAAUCCCCGUUAUAUUGGACCGUUUGAGAUUCUGAAAAGAAUUGGGCCAGUGGCUUAUAGAAUUGCCUUACCGCCAUACCUUUCGAAUUUGCACAAUGUAUUUCAUGUAUCACAGCUUCGGAAGUAUACUCCUAAUGCAAGUCAUGUUCUAGAACCAGAACCAAUCCAAGUGAGAGAAGAUCUAACACUCCCAGUAAUUCCGGUGAGGAUUGAUGACACCAGUGUUAAACGAUUACGAGGAAGGGAAGUAUCAUUGGUAAAAGUAGCUUGGAGACGAGCUGGAUAAGUUGGAAUGCAGGUGUAUAUUUAAUAUUUAGUAAUUUGUCGAUGAAUAUAAUUGGUUGAAGUUUAUUGGAUAAUUAAUUAUUAAUUUUGGAUUUUGAAUGUUAUUGUUGAUGAAUCUAUUAUAUGUACUUAUUUUAUUUUAGAGGUCGUAAUAUCACAUCACCUCUGUUUUACGACUUAAGCGUAAAGCUUUGUGUGGUAGGGUGUUACAGCGGGUCAAGAAUAAACUCAGUGGGUGGAAAGUAGGAUGCUUGUCUUUCGCUGGUAGAGUUACUCUGGCUCAAUCUGUGUUAACUCCCUCUCUGAACUAUGAUAUGAUGCAUUCCAUUAUCCCUAAAGGAAAUUGUCAAGAAAUUGAAAGAUUGCAAAGAAAGUUCAUCUGGGCAGAAAAUGCAGGAGAAAGAAAAUUUCACAAUGUGGGAUGGCAUAUUUUAUGCAAAUCCAAAAUUCUUGGAGGCUUGGGAUUCAAAUCUCUUUCCUUGAUGAAUGAAGCCUUCAUGCUCAAAGCUUUCUGGAGAUUAGUGGUGGAUAAUGAUACUCUCUGGGCAAGAGUACUACUGAAUAAAUAUGAUAAAGGGAGACAAUUUCCUGGUGAGAUGAAAGUCAAAGGCUCAGAUUCUCAAUUCUGGAAAAAUCUUAAAAAGAUGAAGACGAUCUUUGACAAGAAUACAAGAUUUUCAAUUGGUAAUGGUAAAUCGACUCGUCUUUGGGAUGAUUCUUGGGUAGAAAAUGAACCUCUUCGUGAGCACCUAACCAGUAAUCAGAUCCCUGCGGAGAUAAGGAACAUGACAAUUAUUGAAGCUGUGGAACAAAACAAUGAUUGAAACUACCCCCUUCUAAAGAAUUAUCUCCCGGAUGUCAUCAUUAACAAAAUAAGAGCUAUCCAUCCUCCUCUUCAAGAAGCGGACAGAGAUCGAAUAUGGUGGAAUGCAACUCAAAAUGGAGAUUUUUCUAUUGCGAGUGCUUAUAAACUUUUAGCAGGGCAUGGAAAACCACAAGAUCAAGUGUGGAAUGUGAUAUGGAAGUGGAGAGGACCCCAAAGAAUGCGGUGUUUCUUGUGGGUGACCACACACAAAAAACUCAUGACUGCAAAAAGAAGAUCAAAACUUUUUGGAGCACCCCCUUUCUGCCACAGAUGCCAAGGAGUCCAAGAGACCCAAGAGCACCUGUUAAGAGACUGCCCAGCAGCAUCUAGAAUUUUGACCCAAUUCAUUCACCCAACCUUCCUUCAAGAUUUCUUUAGAGCUCCCUUCGAAGCGUGGCUCAGAUGGAACCUUUCCACUGAGUUGGGCCGUUCAAACCAAAUAGAUUGGAUAACACAAUUUGUAGUUACCUGCUGGUGGUUAUGGCGCUGGAGAAAUAAGGAGAUUUUUAUGCCGGGUUUUACCAGGUCUAAUGAUCCGUGCUCUUUCAUUUGCAAUCAAGCAAUUUCGAUCAGGAAUGCUCCUUACAAGCUGUAUACUGGAGAGUAUAGAGAAAAAGUAGAAAGACAGAUCUCAUGGUCAUGUCCACCUACCAACUGGAUCAAAUUGAAUUCUGAUGGUGCUUCGUGCGGAAACCCAGGGACAGCAUCAUAUGGAGGACUCUUAAGGGAUGAGAUGGGGCAUUGGGUUGCUGGAUACUAUUCAAACUUGAGAAUCUGUUCAGCUUUCCAAGCAGAGAUUUGGGGCUUGUUACACGGGCUGAAAACAGCCUGGGAGUUGGGAAUCAGGAGGCUUAUUGUGGAUCUGGACUCAAAAGUGCUUAUGGAUGUCAUUACUAAAGAAAAUGCAGAAAACUAUCCUAGUAAUUUGAUCAGAAUUAUCUCUAAGUGGCUGAAAAAGAACUAGCAAGUUAGAGUAAGUCAUACUUAUAGAGAAGGAAAUAGAGCUGCUGAUUUUUUAGCUAGAGAAGGAUUAAAGUGUAAUCCAGGUUUCAAUUUUGUUGAUGUGCCACCAGUAUCUUUGAGACAAAUUUUGUUUGAUAAUUGUAGAGGGGCUUCCUUACCCCGGUUGAUUAGUGUCUUGUAAUUCUGGGUUUUAGCCCCGUUUAAAUACCAAAAAAAAUAUAACUUAUGUUACUUCUUAAGAUUCAAUCGAUUUAACAUCGAUCACUUCUCCUUACCAUCAACUAUUUGGGAGUCAUUGUUUAGCAAAAGUUAUUAACGUAAAAAAAAAGUAACCUAAUGUGAUUGAAAAAGUAUAGAUAAAUAAUUCAUAAUUAGUCAACUUUAAAUAACUGCAAUUAAUAAUGAUUAAUUUUGUAUUUUUAUAAAAAAUAAAAUUUGAAUAAUCACUAAUUAAUGAUAUUUUGAAAAAUCAGGAUUACCAAUUGACCGCUCCUCCCCCUUUCUUUAUGAUUGAUUUUCAAAUUUUUCUAUUAAGAUUUUGUUAUGUCUCAAAAGAUUUUUCUUUUACUUUCUUUUUUUCUUUCCAAUUUUAAUUCUCUAAUUCUUUUUUUAUUUUUUCAAAUUCUUUUUUUUAUUCGAAUCUAUUUUUUACAACUUUCUUUCCUUCUUUCACUCUUUCUAUUCUUCUUAUUUUUCUCUAACCCUAUCAUCAUCACACCCUCAUUCGUAUCAUAAACUAAAAAAGGGGAGAAAAUCCACAUUUGAACCCAAAGAGCAUGAAAGAAGAGGAGGAAUUAGUUUUGUGACAGAGAAAAAUUUCUCUAAGAAACUGUACACAUGUACUAAAAGUCUAUUUGAUCGUGUGUUUUCCGAUAAGGUAUUUUCAAUAGGAACCAUUGAAAAUGCAUUAAAAGCUAUUUGGGGGAGGUCAGAUGAAUUUAGACGAGUGCAAUUAGGAUCAAGCCAAUUCUAAUUCUUUUUUCAAAACGAGUUAGGUGUACUCAAAAUUGAGAAGAGAUCUUCGUGGCUAUUGAAGGAUUAUAUUUUACAUGUUCAGAAGUUGAUAGAUCCCGACUUUUAAGACUACGAAAAAAUUAGUUCUUUUUCAAUUUGGAUUUAAUUCUGGGAGUUUUUAGAAAAAUUCAAGAGUGAAGUUGGUUGUAAAUUGGGUGAGAAAAUUGGUAAGAUUAUUAAUAUUGGCCUUUCUCUGUCAAAAAAAAGGAAUCUAGAAUUCUUAAAUCUAGUUUUUAUCAAUGGUGAUAAAAGGGUGAAGGAUUGAAUGGUUGCUCUAGGAGGUAAAGUACUGAAAAUUGGAUUAUAUGAACGUAGGACUUGAUUCGAAUGACUACUCUAGGAGGUAAAAUGGUGGAAACUGAAUUGAGAUAUGAGCGUAUUGAGAUCUUUUGCACCUAUUGUGCUCACCUUGAACAUGAUUCAAAGCACUGCUAGAUCUUCAUGUUAGACUCUGCUUCAGGUGAUAUUAAAGUGGAAAGCAUUGGCGAUUGGAUCAAGGUUGGUCAAGUAGAGAAAAUAAUUGACAAUGAUAGUAGUGAUAAUGCAAGCAACUUCAGAAAUUAUAAUCUAAGCCUUCACAACCAAGAAAAAAGCCUGUCCCUUCUUGGUUGCUUGAAAGCUUCUCUAAACUGAAUAUGAAGGAUAAAAAAAUGAAGUUUCAAGGAGUACAAGUUUCUCAGCCAAAUUCCAGAGUUAGCUCGGCAACCAAUAACAAAAUCUAGUUCUCCUAUUAUAUUAGAAGAUAUCACAAGCUCCAUCAAUGAAAUCCAAGAAGACAAUCAGUUGAUAAUAGAAGAAGUUAGUAGCAAAAACCUGAAUCUAAAAUAGAUGGCAAUAUUUGUGAGGAGUUUCUUUGUUGGAGGUAGAAUUUUGAAAAGUUUUAACCACACCAAUAUUUGCCUAGUGGUCCUAGAUGUGAGCAAUAUGACUCAGGUAAGUCUCAUCAGUUUGACCUUUAUUGUCUACAAAAUUAUUUUGAAGGUGUUGGUCCACAGACUCCAAGGGUGUAUGAAUAAGAUAAUUAGCGCUACUUACAAUACAUUCUUAAAAGGUAGACUUAUUUUUUAUAACAUUCUUGUAGGAAAAUGUAUGCACUAUCUUAAAUAAAAGAAGUGAAGCUUGGAAUACGAAAUAACACUCAAGCUUGGUAUGAGUAAAGCCUACGAUAAGGUGGAGUGACAUUUUCUAUGGUUUAUUAUGGAAAAAGUUGAGCUUUGAAUCGAGAUUCAUCGACUGGAUUCGUGAAUUGAUGACAACUGUUUCUUAUUUUGUUGUUGUGGAAGGUCAACCCUAUGAUUUUUUUAAACCAAAUAGAGGCAUUUGUCAAGGUGAUCUUCUAUCCUUUUUCUCUUUUCUUAUUAUGUGCAAAAGGACUUUCCUUCUUGUUACACAAAGUAGAGGAAAACAAUCUCAUCUGGAGAAUUUCGAUAAACAGAAGAUGCCUAACUAUAAAUCACAUGUUAUUUGUUGAUGAUACCAUUUUAUUCGGUAAAGCCUCGGAAAAUAGUUUUGCCUUAAUUCUAGAAUUAUUGGAUGAGAGAUUCAAUAGGCUUAGAGUUAAUCUUAAUAAAUCGGCCCCAUUUUUUUGUAAUAACACUCCAAGGCCAAUUAGAACCUCUCUAAUAGUCCAACUGAAUAUUUCUCAUAUAUAUGCACAGGAUAUUUAUUUAGGCAUACCUUUCCUUGUCAACUGCUCUAAGAAAGUCACAUUCAACUCAAUCAAAGAUAAGAUUCUCAAAAGAACACAAGAAUAGAAAAAAUAUUUGUUAUAGGAAGACAGGUAUUACUCUGACUAAUCGGUGAAGUUAUACCAAUCUACACCUUGUCAUGUUUUAAACUUUCAGAUAACUUGCUAAAUAAAAUUCAUAGUAUUCUAACCAAUAUCUAGUGAGGGUAGCAAAGUUCUGAAAGGCAAAUAGUGUGGAUUAGUUGGGAUAAGAUGACUAUGUCUAAGAAAGAAGGUGGGCGUAGUUUCAAAGAUCUCAGGGCUCAAAUCUAGCCUUUUUAGGUAAAUAAUGCUAGAAAAUUGUGACUUAACCUAACUCUCUUCUUUUUAGAAUACUUAAAAGUAAAUGCUUUAGAUUUAAUUCUUUUCUUGCAGCAGAAGUAGGAACCUUACUUUUUUGGAGUUGAAAAAAUAUUCUUGAAGAGUGGAGAGUUACAGAGAAAGGCAUUAGUUGGAAAGUAAGUUAUGGUGAUAUCCGAAUUUUUAAUGAAUCAUGGAUCCCUCCUCUUUACCCUUUCACUAUUCCACCAUCUGUGACACUACUAUCAGAUAGUUACCAUCUGUUAUAGGUGAAAGACCGUUGUCAAAUAAAUAGUGGAAUCAAGUAUUAAUCGUAGACCUUUUCCUCUAGAAAUUGCUCAACAAAUCCUCUCCAUAACCCCAAGAGAAGGUGAAGACACAUAUCAAUAGGGGUUGAACAUAGCAAAAACAUAUGAUAUUGCAUCAGGACUGUCAAAUGGACUUGCCCAACCCGUUUAGGCAUGUGUGUUAUACAGACUAGCCCAUUUAACCUCACUUUAUUCGCAGACUAAGAUUUUAUAGUCCGGACUGUUUAUGGCUAACCUGACGUGUUAAAUGGGCUGGCCUAUUUAUUUGUUAUUUUUUCUUUUUGAAAUUUUUUAAAAAAAAAUAAAAUACUAAAAAAAUCCAAUUUUGAGGACUGUAUAAUUUUGGACAAAAAAAAAUAUUGUUUGGCACAAAAAAAAUUAAAGUUUCAAUAAAUAUAUUUGACAUUAAUUUUUUUUUUACACAUUGCACAUUUGAUUUGAGUAACUAUUAUGUUUUAAAUUGUCCUUUUAACUUAAAAAAGAAUCACAUUCACAUUCAAUUAGUAAUUUCAUAUUUCUAAUUAAAGGAGUAUUCCUAAUUUUCCUAAUAGAUUUAACAAAGUAUUAUAAACCAAUAAAGCAACAUCAUAAUUUUACCAAAAAGCCAUACAAAAAUAAAAAGAAAGUGUUUAAUAGAUUACAAAAGUAGCAAGCAAUGUAAUUCCAAAAUCUUUUAUCUAAUCCACCAGAUUAGUCUACACCUACAAUUGCAAGAAGAAUAAAUUAUCAAAUGAAAGUUAGUGACAUAAUGGUAGAAAAAAAAUUUCAAUAAAAUUGAAUUAAAAAAGUGUAUAAUUUGAAAUAAUUAGACAACACUAAUAAAAUACCAAACAUCAUAUUAAUUGAAUCCACUUUAUCUUUAUAAUGUUCUUUGUCACUUUUAUUUUUACACUCAAAUUCAAUAUCUACAAUUUAAAAUUAGUUAGUAGAAAACUAAACAAAUACAAUAUGCAAGUCAUUUAAUAUUUAAUGCCAAUAGAAGUUAACAAAAUAAAUUUAAAAAAGUGAAUUAUCAUCCUCUUUAAAUCCAUGGAUCUAAUUACGAGCACAAAUAAAAAUUUGUACAUUAUUAUCCAAAAUAGAAUUUCCAUACUUAUUUAGGACAUGUGCACCAAUGGAAAAGGCCGAUUCCAAAGCUACCAUAGUUAUUAAAAUACUAAGCACAUCACAAGUCAUGGAAGCUAAAUCAGAAAAGCGAUGAACUUGAGACCUCCAAUAUUACAAGACAUCUAUUUUGGAAUUCAUAUCAAGAAUUGACUCAUCCAAAUAGAUAUCUAAAGAAGACUUUCUUGGUGAAGCAUUAGUUUGAACAUUUAUAUUUCUCAACUCCUACAAUAUUUAAAAAAAAUAAUAAUAAAAUAGUUAAAAAAAUAACAUAUUGACAGAAACAUAUAAAAUAAAAUUAUAUUAACAUAAUAUACAAGAUAAAUAAGACUUAUNNNNNNNNNNNNNNNNNNNNNNNNNNNNNNNNNNNNNNNNNNNNNNNNNNNNNNNNNNNNNNNNNNNNNNNNNNNNNNNNNNNNNNNNNNNNNNNNNNNNNNNNNNNNNNNNNNNNNNNNNNNAUUUAUAUUUCUCAACUCCUACAAUAUUAAAAAAAAAUAAUAAAACAAUUAAGAAAGUAACAUAUUGACAGAAACAUAUAAAAGAAAAUUAUAUUAACAUAAUGCACAACAGAAAUAAAACUUACAUUAGGCACAUCAAAUGAAAGUGGAUCAUCUUUUCUAGAAAUUAAAAUUUUUAUUUAAUUAUUAGAGACAUUAUAAGAGGCAUUAUGUGACUCAAUUUCAAAAUAUGCUUCAAACAAUAAAUACAGCUUCUUUUUUAUGGUGGUCAAUUUCUCAUUAGCAGUAAAUGGAUCCACUUUAUUCAAAUAAUAUCCUAAGAUAUGAAAUUUCAUUCGAGAAUCUAGAAUAGCUCCUAAAGAUAAAAUCAUAGAAUAAUUGCUCCAAUACUUAUCAAAUUUGGCUUUCAUUAGUUGCACCAUUUUUCUUAUGACAUCAUCCUCACUAUUGGAGUAUUCUUUUAGCAAGCACUCAAUUUUUUAAAUUUGCAUAAAAUAUAAAUUUGAAGUAGGAUAAUAUUGACCAAACAUUAGGGUAGUAAUUUUGUAAAAUGGAUUAAAAAAUUUACAGAUUUCUCUUCCUCUUUUUCACUCUUAUUUGAACGGAUAAUUUUUAAAAUUGUUAUCCUUCAAAAAGAGACUAACAACAAUGCUCACAUCUCAAAGCACUCUUCAACAUCAAGAAAUUAGAAUUUUAUCUAGUGGGCAUAUUUAAGUUCAAUCUAAUGUCAAGAAUUUCAAGUGACUUAAGAACAUCUCUAAAUUGGGUAGCUCGUGCCUCUGAUACUCUUCCAUACUCAAUACUCUCUCUGAUAUUAUAAAAAAUAGAACUAGCAACCUUCAAUACAUCUUGAACUAUCAAGUUUAAAAUAUGAGUACAACACCUCACAUGAAAAAAUUCUCCAUUACACAAUAACCCAUCACUUAAAAGGAGGUUUCACUUGAGUAAAGUUUGAUGCUAUCAUUAGAUGAAGCACUGUCUAAGGCUAUUGAAAAUAUUUUCUUCUCUAUUACCCAUUCAAAUAACAACUAAAGCACUUUAUUUGCUAAUUGAUACCCCGUAUGGAGAGGGAGUAUGUGAAAAGAGUAUCUUAAAAUUUAAUUUUUACCUAAAAUCAACAUAAUGGGUAGUCAAAGUCAUAUAACCCUCUGUUGUGCAUGAAGUCCAAAGAUUAGUAUUUAAAUAUAUCCUACUUCAAAGUUUUUCUCUAACUGGCAUUUUAACUUUUCUUUUUCAACAAUAUAAAAUUUGAAAAUAUCAGCUACAACAAUGUUCUGAUAAAACAUCUUAGCAUCAGGAUUCAAGUACUUAAAAAUAUCCCUAAUCCUUCUAUACUCAACAAAUGAGAAAGAAAAAUCAUGUUCUAUGAUUGCUAUUGCAAUUAAUUCACGAAAAACCACAAGAUCAACUUGCCUAGCCCUUAACCUCCCAGCUUCAUCAAGCAUCAUUCUUUUCAAAUCAUGAAAUUUAGGAAGUUCACGACACACAGGAAUAUGUCAUUUCAAUGUAGAGGUACCAUGAGUACUAUUCCCACCUCUGUAUUCUUUUUCACAUCCUUUACAUUUGCACUUUACUUUGCCAUCUUUUUCAAAUAUUUUUUUAAAACUAUCCCAGAUACUAAAUGUAGUUGACCUUUUUCUCUUUUUAGAAAUUGACCCAUCAAUAGCAAUAGGUGGAAUACUUACAAGAGGUGUCGCUUAAGUUACUUCCAGUGGGACUUUGUCAUCAACAAGAUCAUUAAAGUCAUCAUUAGAGUCUGAGUCCAAGAAAAUGUGUUCUACCUCAGCAUUUGGAUCAAUAAGAUCUCUUGCAUAGUCAUCCAUAAUUCCAAAAUAAAUCACUAACCAAAAAUACAAACACAGAAUUAGAUUACUCUUUAUCAUUUACAAAAAAUAUUAUUACAAAUAACCCAAAAUAAAAUAGAAUAGAUAAAUAAUUGACGUUGGUAUCAUACUAUUCAUCUAAACGUUGAGAACAUAAGAUUUAUAAAAUAAGAAAUAUCAUGCAUAUUUUAUUGUUAAGACAAGAAAGUAAUCUUACAAUUAUUGAAAGAAGACUGAUAACCGAAGACUACAAAAACUGAAGAAGAGUAGAAGCUAAACGAAGAAUUAAUAAAGUGAUGAAGACUAAGGAGCCAAUGGUGAUGAGAGGUUUGUAAGGCUCCAAUGGUAGAGAUGCUCAUCGACGACAACGAUGAAGAAGUUACGGAAGAGGGAUGGACAAAUAUAAAUUUGUGCGGCUGUGUCGAAGAAUUAGAGCUACUCCAGAGAGCUUUUUCUUUUUUCUUUCUAAUUUUAAUUUUUAGCGAGUGGCUGAGCAAGUGAGAAUUUUCAAUUUUGUGUUGUAUUUGUAUUGUAUCCGGGUCGGAUUUUUUUCGGCUGUGUUAUGCAUAGUAUUGAGCUUAUGGUGUAAGGCUGUGUUAUGCAUAGUAUUCGGUUGGGUUUUUUCGGAUGGCGUUGAGCAAAAUCUUACAUUUUUUAGUAUUUUAAAAAAAUAAAAAUUUAUGCGGGCCCUCGUUUAGCCUGUGGCUUAGCCCGUUUAACUCGUAUUUUUUUCGGUUAAUCAGGUUUAGCCCAUUUAGCUUGAAAAUUUUAACGGGCCAAAAUUAGAGGAAAAAAUUUGGCCAUUUAAAUGGAUAAAUGAGCCGGACCGUUGGGCCUGACUCGUUUUGACAGCCCGAUGCAUCAGUAUCAGGAUACAAGAUUGCUUACCAAUUUUACCAUACUUUCAUUGAAUUCUGUCCGAACUUCAUACAAUAAGGAUAGUUUUGAGAAAUUUUUGAAAGCUAAAAAUUCCUCACAAGAUUCUAUUUUUUAGUGUGAAAAAUUCUUCAUGGUAAGCUUCUUGUUCUACUUCUCUUCCACCAGCAGUUCUCAUCCACUCUGGAAACUUGCCCAAUCUGCAAUUCAGCACUAAAAUCAAUCAUGCACUGUCUAUUUUUCUAUGGUAAGAGUCCUUUAGCUUAUCUCAUCCCAGAUUUUAGAUGUUCCUUGUUCUUCGAUUGGUGGAGGGAUUCGGACAUUCGGUGUUACAAGAUAGACUUUAGGGAACAAGUUCUCAUAGAGCUUGGCUUGGUAUUGAUUAUAGCUUGAAAUAUUUAGAAAGAGUGGUGUCACCGAAUGUAAGACAUAUUUUUAAAAUAAUUUUUAAAAAUUAAAUGAGUUUCAAUUAAUAUGCUAUGCCCCAAUUUUAUUAAAAUUACUAGACUCUAAUUAAAUCCAAAAUCUCCAAAUUAAAACCCCAAUUUUUUAUCUAACCCUAACCCUAAUUUUCACUAACCUCUCUCACCCACCCCUACACCUACACACAAAGCACACACACACAAAACACACACACAAGCUAACACAAGCGCGCACACACACAUGAAAAAGAGAGGGAGAGGAACAGAGAAGACAGAGCGUAGGGAGGGAGAAGGAGACCGCCCAGCACAUGGCUGCCGCGUUGCUUAGGACCGCCGGGUCACCGUCCGUGAAGCCGUCGUCGCCGGUCCAUCCACGAGCCGCCACGAAGAGGAGUCAUUCCGCCCAGUCGCGUCGCCGUCCGUGAAGUUUGCCACCGCUGCUGCUAUCCGUGCCGCCGUCAGGGUCGCGUGGAGGACGGAGGAGGCGAGCGUAUGGUCACCGCCUCCGUGUGUCAUCGCCGGCGCAUUCUGUUCUGUCGUCGCCUUCGCAGAGGUCCAAGUCGCCGGAGCUCCACGCCGCCUCUGCCUCCCGAAAUCCCGUUGUCGUCGCCGGAAAACACUGCCGGUAAGGGUUUUAAGUUUGAUUUCUGUUCUUUUGGAUUUCGAGAAGAUUAUUGACGCUGCGUGAUUGUUACAGUCACUGUCACCAGGAUUUUUGCUCGCCGCAUUCGCUUGAAGUUAUUGUCGGAGCUACUACCGGGUUGAUUCAGAGUUGCGGCUGCUUCGUUUUAUUAUUACAGUAAGUAAUUAUGUUUCGAAAACCCUCAUAUUAGUAUUUUGUUAUGUCUGGUUAAUGAAUCUGAGGUUUGGUAACGUAGGGUCGAGUUCUGGUGGUUACAUGUGGCUUUUACGUUACUGAGGUUGUGGUUACCGUUGUUUUCGGGCCGAGGAAAAAGGUUUACCGGUUUCGAUUUGUCAGACAUAGGUGGUUUCUUUCUAAAAACUCACUUUUAUAAUUUGGAAUUGUUAUAAUUACAUAUUGAUGGGAGAAUUACACUUUUUAGUGAUUGUCUAAGUCUUAUGCAUCAUCUGGCUGUUUUUGGAUGAUUAUGAUUGUUUGGUUGAUUGAAUUAUUGUUUGGUUUUGUUAAACAGAUGGUUGCUGAAUCUGUUUCUUUAAAGUUUUGGGAAUGAGUUUGAUUUUUAAAAACAAUUUGAUUUUGGAUUGGUUUGAUUUGGAAAUUAUUUGGUUGGGACCCGAAAAGGAUGGCAAAGUCCAAGUUUUAGAGAAGGUGCUGUCGAAAUUUCUAUAAAAUCUAAGAUUUUUCUUGAAAUGUUAUUUAGAAAUUAUGAAUUUAAGAAUCUUAUCAUUUCACUUGAAUUAGUUAAGAAAAUAAUGAUCUAUGUUUUGAGUGAAUUAUUGAAAAGAGAGUUAUGAUUGAGUUUUAUUUAUUAAGGAAAGUAUUAUAUUUUGAGUGCAAAUUAUUUAGAAAAAAAUUAUGUUUCGAUUUUGAUUUAAUUUAGAGAAAACUUAUGUUUUGAGGUUGAUUUGGAUGUAAAAAAGGUUUAUAUUUUGAAUUUGAUUAAAAGAAUCAUAUUCAGAGGAGUUUUAGUGAAUUUAAAAGAUUGGAUUGGCCUUGUUUUAAGUGAUUUGGUUUUGAAAUUGGAUUGGGACGUUUGAUUUACAUGAUUCGUUUUUUAUUUAAAUUUUAUUUGAUUGAUUUAAAUCAAGAAGAUAUGAUCUUAAAGAUUUUCAAUAAAUUUAAGAAAAUGAGAUAGGAUGUUUCUUCCCUAAAAUCUUGAGACUCUGCUAUGGAGUUUUUAAUUACCAAAUCCUGAUUUUAAGAGUGAAAGAUUCUUAAGUCUUUUGAAAGAAACUUACAAUUUGAAAAUAUAUUGAAGUUGUUGUCAUUUUCGAAGAAUGUUACCAAAAAGGAUGGGUUUUGAUUUUAAAGGAAAUUGAUUUGAGAAAUUGAAAACUGAUGAUGAGUUUGAGAUUUGAAAACGAAUGAUUAUGGAUAAUGAAAGUAAUGAUCUGGUGCUAUGACCAGUGAUCCUUGAGAUUGAGUAUGUGAUUGUGAUAUGCAUUGUUCUCCGUCGUAGUAGCUGUGGCAGACUCUCACCUACAUUCGGAUGUGAGGGCUGUGGCAAUCUCCCGCUUGUCGAGGUAGCGGUGCUGGCGUAGAGGCCGAGGCAGUCUCCCGCCUAUGUUGAGAUGUGAGGACUGUGGCAGUCUCCCGCUCACAUAACCUUUCUAUCGCAAGAGUGAACUCGGGCACUAUAACCUAAAAGAGUGUGCCGGGCACUAUAUCCACGGGUUGAGAGUGAGCAGGGCACUAUAUCCUUGGCGUGGCAGGAAGGCGACAUCCCGGGGAUGUGUCGCGUUAGCAUUUGAACCGAUAAGUGAUAUCACGAGCCAAUAUCAUAGACAUUCAUCAUAUGCAUCUAUAUGACAUUGUUUGGGUAUGCAUAUUGUAAUUGGUUUGCCUAUGUGAAUAAUUAUGCUUAAUUGCUAAUUCCUAUACUUGAUGUAACUGCUUUGUUUGUGUUUUGAACCUCUCUAAUUGUGUUUAUAACUGAAAUUGGUUGGAAUAUGGUGAAUUAGAUGUUGAUUGAGUUGUUUGGGCAUGUGGCUAUGAUUGGUUUGUGCUUUUUGGUUUAGUAAAGUAUGAAAAAUCAAACUGAUUCAGCAUAGACUUAAUGGACCUAUGCUUGGAGUAGGUUGGUCAUUCAUACUGUACAGGAAAACUUUUAAGAUUUUAUAAGAUAGGGAAAAGGUUUUGGAUUUUGAAGAAUUAACUAAUUUCUCUUUUAAAAAGGAUUUUUUUUUUUUGGAUUUUUGGAUUAUUAAACCUUUGGUUUUUGAAAAGAUACAUAAGGCGAACAACGAUCACUGUACGCUAAAAACAGUUUUACUUUACGUAUCUUAUUAUAGCAAUUCUCUAACUCUAUAAUGAGAACUAGCAAGGACGAUAUUCUCACUCCCCUACAGGUGUUUCCUUUUCAGGAUAUGGGCAAAGAAGUCACGAAGAGUUUAUUUCAUUCUGUUUAUAAUGUGUAUUGUAUUAUUUUAGAUAUUAUGUUUUCCCUCGCCUUUAUCUUUAUACAUUUUGUAAGAGGGAUAGGAUUUGUAUUAUGUAAAGCUUGUAAGUCAAUAUUAAAUAUAUACAUUUUCUUGUUAAGUGUUGCAUAUGGUUUGAGUAUGUACUUAUGUCUUCAACUAAAAGUCUUUUGAAAGGUUAUAUGUUUUUUUUUUUUAGUUUUAGCCAGGCUCCUAUCUUAGUAUUAAAUAUGUUAAGAGUCGUCGUAAUGUCUAAGCUAUCAGAGUGGCGUAGCCGGAAGCGUGACAUUAUGAUAGUGAUGGUUUUAUACCGAGUCUUCGAGCAAUGCCAGGAGCCUCCGGAGGAAGUGCUAGCAACAUUGCUUAAGUUGAACCAAGAGCUAUCUAUUUUGCCUUAUGCAUAAUAUCCUAAGAUUUCUUUCUCUAUUUUCUUCUUUAUGUUAUUUUCUUCUUACAAUUUCACCUAUUCGUGAAUUUCUGGGAAUCUUCUUUUUCUAUUUCUCGUGUCCUGACUUUUGAACAUUGUAUUUGUUUCUCUAUUGAAUAAAAUACCACUAUUGUCUUUGAAAGAAAUCAGUUUAACAUCUAUCUUGAUUUAUAACAUAUGUAAUGAAUGUAGCCUUUGAUACUAAAUAUACUUUUAAAAAAUUAUAGAAAUUAAUGUUGAACCAAAAGCAUUUCGCUUUGAUUUUGCUAUCAAGUUUUUUAAAAUUGGAUGGUUUGAAUCAAUGAAUUCAAAAAAAAUGAAUGAAAUUAGAUAAAAAGAGGUUAAGUGAAUAAGUAUUUUAAGGUAUGUGAGAUGUUUUUGUAUCUAUAAAUAAAAGGCAAUUAAUGAUAGAAAACAAUAUCUCAAGGAAAGUCCAAAUUUUACACAACUGACACCAGAGAAAGAUUNNNNNNNNNNNNNNNNNNNNNNNNNNNNNNNNNNNNNNNNNNNNNNNNNNNNNNNNNNNNNNNNNNNNNNNNNNNNNNNNNNNNNNNNNNNNNNNUUAUAAAAUUGGAUAACUCGUUUAUUCUAAUCAAAUUUUUUCUAUAGAAAUCUUAAAUGGGAAAUUUUCUAGGCAAAUCAAAUUUCUGACAUAGAGAUAUAAAGUGGUAGUUUGUGAUGUUCUAUUUAAAAUUAAAUUCUAAUUUGUUCGGUUGGUCGGGUACCGGAUGGAUCAAGGACGUUUUUCGGGUGAAAGGAGCUCUCGACUGGUGAGGGACCAGGGGGUUGGGUGGUGAUGACGGGCAAUGUCCCGAGCUCCUCGCGAGGGGGGUGUCACCUGCAAAAACACUCCGACGCUCAAGUCAGUUAGGUGUGCAGGUGAGAAAGUGGUACAAUAGUGUGUGACGUACCUUGGGGGGAGGGGUAGGACCCUCCCCAUAUAUACCCUAUCAGGAGUGGGUCCCACGAGGACAAACUCACCUUCCUCGAAGUUUUCCAAUACAGCUGUAGCGGUGAGCUGUAAAGGACGCAUGUUCGGGUCGGUUCUCGAACGUCUCGUGCCCCGCCCGUUCAGGUCGGGUAGCCUGUGGAUCGGGUCAGCCAGCAUGUCGUUUGGGCUGGGCCGUAACAGUGCCCCCAACGCGCCAGCGACGGCCAUGAGUGCCGUUGGUGACGCGUUAUGUUCUCCCUUGUGCGUUGUCGCUUGGUCGGCCGCCCGUGGAGAGGACGUGCCUCCAGCACGUGUGAGUUUGCUCGUUGUUGGGGAUAACCUUUCGUCGCCUUGUUCUUCGCGUUAGGCAUUUAAUGCUCAUAAUGGGUUAUUUCAAAACCCUGUGAGCAAAAACCGUUUUACCCUUGCCUUUCGCGUUUCUUGAGUUAGUUUCUUAAUUCCCUCCCCAGUUUCGCAUUCCUCUUCCUCUUCACUUCCUGGUUCUUUCUGCUUCUAUCUUCUUCACUCUCGAAUUUCUUGCUGUGGUUUCUGCAUCCUUGUGCUUCCUGCAAUUAUCCUGGUGAGCGCUCAUUCCUUACUUUUUGCUCCAUGGUUGUUUUAACUUUAUUAACCAUCCCCCUGUAUGCAUGCUACUCCUCUGAUUUCACUUGCAUGUUGGAUGACAUUAGUAUUAGGUAGGUGUAUUAGGGGGGUUACCAUUCUAGUGCACUAGUUUUUAGGAUUUUACUUAGGAUUUGCUUCAGCCAUGCUUGGUUGCAGUUAUUGAGUAGGCGAAAUGUAGUUUCUGAACUUUUUCCGAACUCCCGACCUCGUAGACUAAUUGAGUGGUGCCCCCACUGUAGGUAUGGCCCAACGCCCUGUCGCGAGAGCGGCUUACGACCGGUAUACCUGGGUAACCUCGGACGUGAAAGAUUCUCCGAACUAAAUGGGGGAGGAGGAGCUCACAGAGUUCCGACAAGCCGAGUACCUGUGCGGCGAAACUGAUGAGGAGGCCAACUAUGUGGUCUACGUCCCUACUCCUCAUGAGCAGAUAUAUGAGCUUAACCUACACCCCCCCGGAUUGCCGAUUGGAUUUAGUUCUAUAAGGCAAUGUUUACCUAGUUGGGGUUUCGCAUCCCCUUCUCCCCCUUUCAGAUGGCGUUGCUGAACAAGUGCAACGUAGCGCCGUCCCAGUUACAUCCGAACAGUUGGGCUUCCAUCCGCUGUUAUGAGAUGGUGUGCGAGUAUCUCGACUUGCCGGUCUCCUUCGAGGUUUUCCUUUAUCUUUUCACCUUAACGAACCCUUCGAAGGAGGGGAAGACCAAAAAGGGGUUUAUGUCAUUCUGAUUUGCUCAAGGUUGGUGGAUCUUUGGUUUGUUCGAGGAUUCCUAUCAUGGAUUCAAGGACAAAUAUUUCAAGGUUCGUCCCGCUGAAGGUCGGCAUCCCUUUUGGCUGACUUUGGAAGGGGAACGGCGCAUCCCGACCUACUGGGCUUUUGGGGCGGGGGCCAAUGCCUUCACUAAAGUGACCUACAAGGGGUUAUUGCCCCAAAAUAAGAUUGUCGACGUGUUGUUAGCCGUCUUUUCAAAAAAUCAUGUUAACCCCCACCUCCUUAUGGGUGACUAGGAAGUCGGUAGAAAUUAUAUUUAUGAGUAACUUUAACUUGAGUUUCUUGUGUUAUUGUUACUUUGAUUUGCUAUGCCGAUUUCAUGACUGAGGUUUUGCUAUUUUGUUGUAGUGGGAAUGUCUACCGAGGUGACGGGUCUCGACGCUUUAUUCAACACCUUCCUCGCUGGUGAUAGCGACGAUGAGCCGACUACUGAGAAUCAGGAGGCACCCCCAGAGAAUACUGGGAAUCAAGAGGUGCCUCCUCCUCAUGCCACGGAGCCUUCUUCUGAAAACGUUUCCGACAUGCACACCUCUCCCACUCAAGGUGAAGUGGUCGGUGCUGGUGGUGGCUCCAAUUCUCAGCCAGAACUGAAGGAUGAGGAGGUAGUGGUUGUGAGCAACCUGAAGAGGAAGAGGUCGUCCUCUAGCCCCGAGGGAGUUCUCACUGUGAUGGAGAGGAACUUCGAUGCCGGAAACUUUAUCGAUUCUCAGCUGCUCCCUGGCACGGAGGAGUUUUUCCAUGGUGGGGACCUCCCGGGGCAGGCGAGGUGGAUGUACCACACUCUUCUUCGCGGCGCCGCUAUAGCAAGGAAAGCUGAAUUUUCUUUGUCGGGAAUGCAGUCGAUGCAGAGGAAGCUCGACUCCUCCGUUCAGGCUAAUAACAAAUUCAAAGUUGAAGUUGAGUAACUUCGGGAGCAGUUGGCUAGCGCAGAGGGGGAGGUUAAAGCUGCUGAGGAAAAAGCCCAAGUUGCCGAGGAGAAACUAAAGACCUCCGAUGCCGCCGUCUCCCGCCUAACCGAGCGAGAGCUGGCUUUGGAGGGCCAGCUCAAUGCUGCUCAAGGUCGGGUGGCUGCAGCGGAGAAGGAACGCGAUGAGGCCGCCUCCUCGGCCAAGGCUGAGGCUGCUGAAUUUAAAAAGAAGUACAAAGAGGUCGUGAAGCAGGGGAAAAGCGCCAUCUUGAUGACCGAAGAGGCUCUUAAGGCCCAAGUGAAGGUGGUGGCCCCUGACUUCAAUACGUCGGCAAUUGGGGUCUUCAAGACUAUUAAGGAUGGCAAGAUCGUGGACAUGCCGAAGAAGUGACCUUCGCAGCUUUGAAGUUUGUAGCCUUGUAAUUUUAUAUUUUAUGGAUCUUACUUUGUAAUUUCUGAACUUAUCUUGAUGAAACAUUAGCCGCUUGGUCGGCUUGUAACUAUUGCGUACUUUUUUAUGAUAUUUUGUUGCCGUUUUGUUGAUAUUUGGCUAUCCGUUUAUGUGUGUUUUACCAUUGUGCUGGUAGUCGGCAGAGCCAGGUCGUGGCUUUUAUUGCCAUAGCCGCUUCAUUAUUUUUUGUGGUUCCCGGGGUGAUCAGUCCCGGGGUACCGUGUCGCCGUUCGCAUUUGCAAUAUAUUAUAAAAUAGGAGAAAGGACAGAUUUAAUCAUGAAGUUAACAUUAAUCGAAAAUUGGACAAGUAUAUAUGGCAAUAACAAACAUUUGAAAUAGAAAAUGAAAUGAACAAUGUUAUCCAUUUAAACAUUAGUGGGAACUUUACUGAUCUCGUUAGGUCGUCAGGUCGUCGGGCUUGACCUAAGAGUAAAACCUUCUUAAGUUUCCUAUGUUCCAUGUUCUAGGAACUUCUUUGUCGUCUAGCCGUUCCAACUUGUAGGCGCCCCUGCCAAUUACCUCUUUUACCCUGUAUGGGCCUUCCCAGUUUGCCGCCAGCUUUCCUUCUCAAGGGGUCGGGAGGCCAACAUCAUUGCGCCUCAAGACCAAGUCGUUUUGCUCAAAUUUCCUCUUGAGUACCCUGGAGUUAGCGCAGGGCCAUCCUUUGCUUCAACGCCGUUUCCGACAAGUGGGUCAUCUCCCUGACUUCAUCAACUAGGCCUUUUUCCACGGCCUCCUCGACUCCUCCCAAAAGUAGUCGUGGGCUUAGCUCACCAAUUUCUACAGGUAUAAUUGCGUCCACCCCGUAAGUUAGACGGAAAGGAGACUCCCCAGUUGACGACUGCUACGUUGUUCGGUAAGACCACAGGACUGAAGCAAGCUCGUCAGCCCAUGACCCCUUCUUCUCAUCAAGCCGCUUUUUGAGGCCUAGCAGGAUGAUCUUAUUCGCGGCCUCGACUUGACCGUUGGUCUGUGGAUGCUCCACAGAUGAGAAUUUUUGCUUUAUACCCAACCCGACGAGGAACUCUCCGAAUUUCUUGUCGGUGAACUGCGUCCCGUUAUCGGAGAUAACGACCUCAGGGAUACCGAACCGAGUUACUAUUUGCCUCCAGAUAAACUUCCGACAGUUAGACAAGGAUAUCCUGGCCAGCGGCUUGGCCUCUAUCCACUUGGUAUAGUAGUCGAUAGAAACUAUUAGGUACUUGACCUGACCCGGACCGACCGGGAAGGGUCCUAAAAGGUCGAUUCCCCAGUGUGAAAAAGGUCGGGAGGAUGUUAAUACACUUAGCUCGGUUGCUGGUGCCUUGUGAAAAUUGGCAUUCUCCUGGCACUUGACGUAUUUUCUUACGAAUUCUUUAGAAUCCUUCAUCAUUGACGGCCAGUAGUAGCCGGCUCUGUCGAGCUUCCUUGCUAGGGCUUUACCCCCGAUGUGAUGGCCGAAGCAUCCCUCGUGGACCUCUCUGAUUACAUAGUCUAUUUGGUUGGGAUGCAAGCAUUUCAGCAAGGGUUGGCUGAGUCCCUUCUUAAAUAACUGACCUUGUACGAUUGCAUACUUGGCCGCCUCCCUUCUCAACGCUUUGGCCGACUUCUCAUCUUCAGGGAGCUUACUGCUUUUCAAAAAGUCGGUGAUCGGGUCCAUCCAAGAGGGAUCUAUCUUUGUUAAAUGGAGGGUGACUGCUAGUUCUUUUAUCAAGCCUUGGAUGAGAGAUCGGCUUCCUACUCUCGGCUUUGUGCUUGCCAGCUUUGACAAGAGGUCUGUUCGCAUGUUCCUUUCUCUCGGGGUGUGCUGCACGGAGACCUCCUCAAAUUGCCUGGUCAACUCUCGGACCUUCUCCAGAUAUCUUUGUAGCAACGAGUCUCUGGCCAGAUAUGUUCCAUUGAUCUGCGAGGUCACGACCUGUGAAUCACUACAUAUUUCUAAUCUUGUGGCUCCGACCUCCCUAGCCAGGACUAGGCCGCCUAACAGGGCCUCGUACUCUGCUUGAUUGUUUGAUACCGAGAAUUCAAACUUGAUCGACUAUUCAUAUACGACUCCCGUCGGGCUCUCCAAAAUUAUCCCGGCACCCCCGAAUGUCUGGUUGGAAGCUCCGCCCACGUGGAGUUUUCACCGUGUACUCGGUGUCUUGGUCGGGUCCCUCGUGACUUCUACUAGAAAGUCGGCUAUGGCCUGAGCUUUAAUCGCAUGCCUGGGUUCAUACCGCAGGUCGUAUUGGGACAACUUAAUAGCCCAAGUCAUCAUUCUUUCCGCUAGGUCGGGUUUCUGGAGUACCUGGCGGAUUUCCUGGUCUGUCCUUACGAUCACUUGGUGGCAUUGAAAGUACUGUCGCAAUCUAUGGGAUGAGGUCAGGAAAGCGAGUGCCAGUUUCUCUAGCAUGUUGUAUCUUAAAUCUGCUCCCUGCAGUGCUUUGCUCACAAAAUAGAUCGGUUGUUGGAUUCUCCCUUCCUCUCGCACUAAGACCGCUGUCGUCGCUUCAUCAGUAAUGGCCAAGUACAAGUGACAAGCGAGACUUUUGUUGAUAAAGAAUUUCAAAAUAAAUCCUCGUUGCAAGUAUAGUUUCUAAACCAACAAGAAUCCCUUCGUGCAAAAGUUUUGGUUGCCACAAGUAACAAACCCCUAAUAAAUCAAUAACCGAAGUAUUUAAACCUCGGGUCAUCUCUCAAGGAAUUGCAGGGAGGUGUUCUUAUUAUUGGUUAUGUAAAGGUAUAAUUUAGGAUUUUGUGAAUAAGAGAUAAGAAGAGUGAAUUGCAAAGGAAACGAACUAAUAAUUAUAAAAGCUCAUGGCAAAGAAUGAAAAUUGGAAGUCCUAUCCUUGUUAUCGCCCUCAAUAGUGAUGAGAAUCGUUAGUUGCAACCACUUAGUUAACCCUCUAAUUGUGAAGGAAAGUCAAGUGGAUGAAUCAAUUUGAUUCCUCAAGUCCUAGUCAACUCCUAUGGAAAGACUAGCUUUAGUGGAAUCCAAAUCAAUUAGCAACCUUCAAUUGUCAAUCAACUAAGGAGUUUGAUAACUCAAGCGUCACCAAUUACUCAACCAAAGCCAAGAGGAGAAAAUCUAACUUAAAACUCUCCCAAGCAUUUCAUCAAACACUUGGAACACAUAACACAAAAUAGUAGAAAGGCAAUAAGAGAUAAUAAGAUCCACACAAUCAAUCGCAAGUAUCAAAAACAUAGAUCAAAAAGAGCAAUCUUAAAUAUGAAAUACCUCAAAUUGUAUUAAAUAGAGAAAUCAACAAAAGGAAUGUAUAAACCAAAGUAUUAGAGUCAAUAAGAGUAGAAGAGAAUUAAGUCAAAGAACAUUGAACCUGGAGUUGAGGAGAAAAUAUAUCUAAAAUUAAGAGAAAUCCUAAAUCCUAAAUCCUAAAACCUAGAGAGAGGAGAGAGAGCCUCUCCCUCUAAAACUACAUCUAAACCUAAAAUUAUUUUAAUGAUUGUAUGAAUGUUCUCCCCCUUCAUUCUGCUUCACUCCCAGUCUCUAAUAUGUGUUUUCUGGGCCUGAAACUGGGCCAAAAGGAGCCCAAAAAUUGCUGGGGAUGAUUUUCUGCAACUGCUGUAUGUCGCGCAUAUCACGCGUACGCGUGGGUCACGCGUGCGCGUCAUUUGGUGAAAUUCUUUAUCACGCGUACGCGUCAGUCACGCGUACGCGUCGCUUCUCUUUUGCGCUAUUCACGUGCGCGCGUCACUAGGGAAUGCUCCGGAUCACGCGCAUGUGUGAGCCAUGCGUGCGCGUCACAUCUCGCUGGUCAGCUCCAUUGUUUCUUUGUAUUCCUUCCAUUUUUGCAAGCUUCCUUUCCACAUUCCAAGCCAUUCAUGCCCUAUAAAGCCUGAAAACACUUAACACAUAGAUCACGGCAUCGAAUGGUAUAGAGAAGGAUUAUAAUCUAACAAAUUAAAGGCUCUGGAAGCAAGUUUUCAAUCAUAGUAUUAAAUCAGGAAGGCAAUUGUAAAACCAUGCAAUUUAUAUGAAUAAGUGGAUAAAGACUUGAUAGAAACCACUCAAUUGAGCACAAGUUGGACCAUAAAAUAUCGGUUUAUCAACCUCCCCACACUUAAACAUUAGCAUGUCCUCAUGCUAAACUUAGGAGAAGCUAUUAAGGAGUGAAGGCAAAAUGGUAGGAUGUAUGAAAUGCAAUGCAGUCUAUCUAGAUGUGAGCUACCUACAUGCAUCAUGCUAUUCUAAUUACUAUUUCUCUCUAUAUAUAUAUAAGCAUACAUGUGGUCAAAAUUAGUCAAAUUUCUAAGAAAUCAUAGGUAUGCACAAUCAAGGGCCAAUUCAUAUCAAAACACUUUCACAAUUGAGUUGAGUUAAUCAGAAGAGUUCACAAACUUGCAAGACAAACAAUGGUCAAAUGUGGACAGAAUGGAAUGAGCAGUCGAACCCUCACUGGAAUCGUAUAUGCACUCUAAUCACUCAAGUGUUUGGGGUUAAACAACUCAAAUCUCCUCCAAUCAUGCUUUCUAAAACUUGUUCUUCAUCUAACCAAUCAACAAAAAUUUAGUGUACAAAUGCAGACAUCAUGAGGUCUUUUCAAGGUUGUAAUGGGGCUAAGGUAAGGGUGAGGAUAUAUGUAUGGCCAAGUGAGCUAUAAUAUGAAUCUUUGAUUACCCUAAGCUUUCACCUAACACACACACUUUAUGUAAUUCUAAAAUCAUGCCUAGCUACCCAAGAUUCCCAUUCUUGUAUAUUUCACAUAUUCAUGUACCAAAUUUUCUUUUAAUUUCACCAUAUAUGCAUUGAUCUUUUAUUAAACUUAGCAUUGGGGUAAUUUUAUCCCCUAUUUAUUAAACUUAAAACUCUUUUUUUUUUUUGAAUGCAAACACAAAAUAUCAAUGCAUAUGGUUUUUCUGGUUUCACAUUGGUAAGCACCCAAAAUCCCAAUAACUUGUCAAUAAAACUUAACAUUCUCUUAUCAACCCAAGUUCCCACAAUUUUCCCACACUUAGUUGGCACGCAAUCUCUAUCUUAAGCUAACCAAAGAUUCAAUGGGAUAAUCAAUUGUUUUUCCGCUUAAGGCUAAUGAUGUGGUAAAGUACAGAACAAAUGGGGAUUAAAAGGCUCAAAGUGGCAAACAAGGGUAGUUGAAGUGGUAGGCUAUUUGGGAUAAGUGAGCUAAUAACAAUUAAUGGCCUCAAUCAUAUGUAAACAUGAAAAUACACUAAAUAAUGGACAUAUAGAAUGGAACAAAUUAUAGAAUACAAUCAUGGAGAAGAAAACACACAAGAAUAAAAUGUUAUGGUUAAAUAAUGUAACCAUGUAAUUAAGCUCAAAACUCACGGAUUGUGUGUUCUUAGCUCAUAACCAUGUUCCACUACAUAUACAUGUCAUGCAAAUUACUAAGAAGUUUUAACUCAAGUCAAUGUGAAUGAAUUUAUGAUUGCCUGUUCUAAGAAAAGGAUAUAUUUCUUGAAAAUUCAUCAAUUGACCAACAUCUAUUAUUAUAUAUAUACUAAAUGAGAUGUUGUGAAUAUGAAAAACCAAAAUAUUUUAGUUUAUCCCUAUUUUCAAUCAUACCAAAUGCUCAUAUGUAAAGCGCUAAACCAAACUUAAUAAUCUACAUUUUUCCAUAUCACAACUAAUAUAUAUAUAUAGCUCAAAGUGUAAAAUGCAACAAAGUAAAAAUAAAUAAGAGUACAAUAAGGUAGAAAUGUCCAAAUACCAAGAGAAAAAUAAAAUAAAAUAAAGAAAAAUAGGAUAAAACGGGUCUGAAAUGGUUCACCAAAAUAUAAUCAAACGCCAGAGAUGGCGACCUCCCCACACUUAUAUAAAAGCAUCGUCCUCGAUGCUCAAUCAAGCUGGGUGUGAGGAGUCGUCGUCUGCUGACGGGUGUGCUGCUGGCUCUGUAUGUGCUAGUGGCUCAGGUUGUGGUGGCUGAGCUGGUGCCUAAGGCUCUGGUUAUGCAAGCUGCUCAGGCUGAGGCUCCUCAGGCUGGGCCUGCUCCUGGUCCUCUGGCUGAGCCUCUGCCUCCUGCUCAUCCUCUUCCUCCUCAGAAUGCUCCGAUGGUGUGUCAGGUUCAGAGGGGAUGUCAGUGUGUCCUGACCUGAUCAUCAACUUCAGAUGCUCAUAGCGUCGCUUAUUGCGACGCUCCAUCUGAUCAAGGUGCCUAAAGAGGCGGUGCACCAAAUGGUAGAUAGGUUGAGAGGCGAGUGAUGGUGCUGCAGGAGAAGAUGGGGCUGUAGAGGCUGAAGGUGCUGCGGAGGAUGUGGCGGCGUCAGUAGGGGCGGUAAUGGCAGGUACUCUGUGGCCUAGAGGACCGAACCGCUUGUCGUGUGGUAUGAUCUUCCUGCAAUCGGCAGCUGGUGGUCUCUGAUCCUCUGGCUCCCAAGGUACUGCAGCUCGGCGAGCCAUCUGGGUGAUCAGAUACGGAAAUGAGAGGGUGCCUCGAACAUGCACUCUGGCCAUAUACUGCCUGAUAAACCGUGGAAGGUAUAGUUCCUUUCCUUCUAUAACACACCAAGUGAGUAUGAUCAUAGCAGCUGGCACCUCGGACUUGUGAGUGCUAGGCAUAACAUAAUUGCUCAGUAUCUGUUGCCAUAGCCUAGCCUCAUCAUUAAGAUAAAUGAUCUUAAUACCUCUAGGAGUGACCGUCGAUUUUCCCAUAGCCCAUGGAGCAGCAGGAUCAAUGGCUAUGGUACAUCGGACCGCAUCCCAAUCAAAACUCAUGGUAUUAAUGGAUUCAACAGCCUUUUGAUAACCAUCUGGACCAUCGAGUUUAGGCUGGAAAUGGAGGAUAUCCUCAAUCGCCUCCUCAGUGACCAAUAUCUGCUUUCCUCUAAGCUGAACAGCAUCAAAGGUCGUCUUAUAGUAAUUGCAGUAAAAUUCACGGACCCAUGAUGCGUUUACCUCUGUCAGAUUCCUCUCUAAAAAUACCCAACCCCACUGUUUGAUUUGCUCUUCAGUGUACUGCUUUAAUUCAUCAGGUAUUUUGAGGGUCCUUUCCAAAUGUAGAUGCCUCUUUUCUGCAAAGACUGGGAAUUUGAGUUCACAGUUGAGGUUUACAAAUUUGAUCGGGUCAUUGGCUUGCAUAGCCUGAUCAGCUUUUUCUUGGGGGCUAAAGUUCUUCUCCUUCCAAGAAUCAUCAGAAAGGAUAUCCGUCAGAGAAACGGAUGACUGGCCUCGCUUCCUCUUUCCGGUGGUGACCUUGGCCUUACCCUUUCCUUGCGGAUUAGACAUCCUAAAAACAGAAAUUCCAGGAUACAAUUUAUCAAAUUAAAGCAAGGAAACAGAGAAACAGAUAAUAUGCAAGCAUUAUAUGCAGUGGAUAGGAAAAAGAGGAAUGAAAGCCAAAGCAAGAAGUGAGUCAUGAAGUGGUAAAAUCUUAGACUGAAAGAAAUUUAGGAUCCAAAGAAAUCAAUCAGAAAUUACAAUCCAAGAGUUUAAACAGUGAAGUACAUAAUGCUUGUUGGCUAAGAAAUAACAAUUAACAUGCCAAGAAAGGGAUCAAAAGAGUUAGUUUGAGAAAAGGUGGAAAUGAAAAAGAAAAGUGAAAAUGUCAAUUCAGUUAAAAGUCAGAGAAGUGGGUUAGGAUUAGUGGCAUGGUAAUGUAAUUUCUAAUUAAGAAAAGUUCAAAAGUUUAGAAACAAGCAAACUCACAUUCAAGCAUACAGAGCAGAUUAUUGAUGAUAAAACAUGUAAUGAAAGAAGCACAAAGAGGAAUACAAUCAUCAACACUGCACGUCAAUCAAGAAGGGAACCAAACGGAAUGGGAAUGCUAGCCCAGCAUCUCAUGAAUUUUGCUUUGGUUUAAAGUCAGAUAAGUCACAAAUUCAAAAGCACCAAAGGCAAUUCAUGAGUGGAAGUUAAGUAAAACAAUUUUUAGGAAAAUUUGGGCAGCAUUCCGGCAGUAAAAUGGACAUUCCCGGAAAAUCAAACAAGCAGCAAAACUCAUAUGAAGUUCAGCAAUUUGGCAAAUAGCAUGAAGAACAAGGCAAUUCAUACGGUUUAGGCAUUAUAAAGCAGAACAGAAUGGGUAAAUUUAUAAGAAUCUAUCAAUUGAGUUAAUCAAGCAGUGAUAAGCAAUGAUGUAAUAAUCAAUUCAGCAUAAGCAGCAUGCUUUAUUUGAGCAAGGAGCAAUCAGGGGUAAACCAUGGCACUAAUGCAGCAAAAAAUUGAUUAACGAGGUUCUCAUUAACUCAGAAUUACGUCAAUUAGGUGUGUGAUUUUAGCAAUGAUGAAUGUGCAUGAGAGGGUACCAAAAUAAGGCGGAAGCUAACCAAGUGACUUAUGAAUUGACUUUGGUAAGAGUCAAAUAAGUUUCAAGUCCAAAAGUGUCAAGCUCAAUUCCUAAGUUGCAAGUUCAUUAACAUUAUAUUUUUCAAAAAAAAUUUUGGCAGCAUGCCGGCUAUAAAUUGGACGUUCCCGAGUAAUAAAUAGCAGCAGAAAGAUUAUACAUAUGAACCAGAUAGCAUCGAACAAGCAAACAAUCAACUAAUUCAUAUGGUUCAGGCGUCAUCAAGCAGAAAACAUAAAUUGAUGUAGCAAGGCAACAGUAAAAUAAUGCAUGUGAAUCACAAUUCAUCAUGGUAGUAACAAGAUAUACACAGAGCAACAAUACCAAUCUGCAGCAGUAAAUACGGCUCAAGUGGAAUGAUGGCACUAAGCAAAGCAGCAUUAAACAGUAGUGAAACAACAUAUUGGUAGCAUCAGCAGCAAAGUAAUUUCAAAACAGAUAAAUCAAGCAGCAAGAACGGCGCAAUUAUCAGACCUAAAUCUACUAACCACAUCCUAACUACCUAACCACCUAAAAUCCACUAAGAACAUGCAUCUCUAACUAUCCUAAUGCUAACAGAAUUUAACUUCAACGAACUAACUUGAAUGAACAGAAGAGUGAAGCUAAGAUGCAGAGAUGGAAGCAGUGAAACCUAGUGAAAGCAGAAACAAAAUUGGAAACAGAAAGGGGAAGAAAGGUGGUGCACGGUACUGCCAGCCUGAGAGGUGGUGGUGGCUCAACGGCGCAAUGGCUACCGCGACGACGUGGGGUGGCGGGGUGUGAAACGGGCAGAGAGAGAGAGAGAGAAGGAGAAGGGAAGAAGGAAGGGGAGUGGUGGUGCUACCCAGUGACGGCGGCGACUCGACGGCGGCAGGGCUUCAAUGGUGGUGAUGCAGGGGCGGCGGCGAUGGGUUUUGAUGGUGGUGGUCGCGGUGGUUUGAAUUUUUGGAGGGAGGGAAGGGGACGUUGGAGAAGAGAGGAAGAGAGUGGUGACGCGAGGGAGGAUAGGGUUCUCGCGAGGUUAAUGAAAUCUAAUCCACGCGUAUGCGUGGAUCACGCGUGCGCGUGGAUCAAGCAAAAAUGCAUUGACACGUACGCGUCAUGGACGCGAACGCGUAAAAAGGGAUAAAUGAAAAUGACGCGUAAGCGUGAAGCAUGCGUACGCGUCGGCUGAAAUUGUGCUAAACGCACAGUUCCAGCGUCGUUUUCACAUAACCCUCUGUCUUCUUCGAAGGGAACAAAAUUCUUCAUUUUACGUGUGCGCGUCGCACGCCCCCGCGUGAUGUGCUAAUAAUGGAAGUGACGCGUACACUUCAGGGACGCGUACGCGUGGUGUGCUAAUAAUGGAAGUGAUGCGUACGCUUCAGGGACGCGUACACGUGGCUCGAAUUGUGCUUCUAGCACACCAGCCGCACAAUUCCAUCACAACUUUCUGGUCGUUGGAUGGAAGCGUCGAUUUGGUUUCGACGCCCACGCGUGCCUACGCGCACGCGUGGAUGGCUUUUUUUUAUAUAUGAAGUAUGCAGAAUGCAAUGCAGGUGAUGAUGCAUGAGUUAUGAUUUCUAAAUUUUGACGAGUAAGCAUGAAAUAAAAUAAAACUGAAGGUGAAAAGGGAUGAUCAUACCAUGGUGGGUUGUCUACCACCUAGCACUUUUAGUUAUUGUCCUUAAGUUAGACAUUGGAUGAGCUCCCUGUCAUGGUGGCUUAUGCUUGAACUCGUCCAGGAAUCUCCACCAAUGUUUGUACCUCCAGUAACCUCCGGGGUCCCAAAUCAGACGCAUAACGUCUUUAAGCAAGUUGAAGCGAGCAACAAGACCCCAAAAAUGUGGAAUGCCAGAUUGAAUUCCGGGAUCCCAAACCUUGCUUUUGCACCCAUCUUUGCAUUGAUCUUUAUUAUUCCAACCGGGUGGCAAGAGAAUUGAAUAAUCACUAGAAUGUCCAAACAGCCUUCUAGAACCAUGCAUUCGAGCUCUGCACCAACCUUUGUGUCCCAACUUGAAACUUGUAACCGUACUAAACCUAGUCUUAUUUUGCCAAUCAUUACUCUUAAAGCCACAAAGGGCUCGGAGUUGUCCAUCCGUCUCAAGCAAACCGUAUUCAAGUGGGAAAGCAAAGGUCGAGGAUAGGGACUUUACACACUUGAAUAUCGUAUUGGAUGGUAAUGGCUUAGGGAUACGUGUUUCUAAUGAUUGUGCAAGCUCUGCUUUAUGAUGCUCAUCUUGGAGUUCUUCUACCUCUUUGCAAACUUCUUCAACUUCAUCUGCACCCUCACCAAAUUCUUCAGACUCUUCAUCGUCGCUCAGGUCAUAGGUUAGAGGUUGAGAGAAAUCUACCUCUAUAUUGAAUUCAAAUUCACUUGAGGAAGGUUCUUCAAACUCAAAGGGUUCAAAUGCGGAUACAGAGUUGUCAUGAGGGGGGCUUAAUGCUUGAUCAUCAUCAUCAAGGAAAUUUUGUUGCUUGGUCUAUUCCAUCCAGUUCUUCAUAAAGAGCAUGUCUCGGAGGUUGUGCACUAUCCUCUUCAACAUCAAUUUCAGGUUUAUCAGGUGAAUGUUCCACAUCUCUAAAUUCCCAUGGAGGUUCGGCAUCACCUAGGUCCUCAACCACUUCUUCCUCCUCCUUGGGAGGCAUAGCUUCUUCCAAUUCUUCCAACACAAAGUCAUGCUCCUCACGGUCCACCGGGAUCUCUGGUGUCUCCAUCAUGUUGCGUUUCUCAUUAGAUUUUCCAUAUGAGGGCAUGGGGGCUUCUUGAGUGUCCAGACAUCGAGAGUUUAAUUGAAUUACCACUUGCCCCAGCUGUUGAAUGGUUGCAUGAAGUCGGUCCACUGUCUCCUUGAGACGAUCCUCCGACUCUUGUCCCUUCCGGAUAACACAAUUAGGUUCAUGUGACUUUUGGGCCGAUGGGUAUGGACAAGAUACAUAUGGAGGUGGUGGUCUUUGUGAGUGAUUGCAUUAGAAUCUGGGUGAUUGGUGAUAUGGGUUAGGUCGAUAUGGAGGUGCUUGGUGAAAAGGGGCUUGCGAGUGCGGUGGUUAAAAGCUACUUUGGAGAGGGGGUUCAUAGACGUGUUGUGGUAGGUGUUGAUUGUCACGAGACGGUCCACCAUAACCAUUGUCUUGGUAUGCAUCAUGGAAUGGUUGUUGCUUGUAGUACAUUGGAGGGGGUUGUUGCCAAGAGGGUUGAUCAAAUCCUUGUGGCACAUUCCAUCCUUGAUUGUUCCAACCAUGGUGCAUGUUGGCACUAUAAUCUCCUCUUCCUGUAACAUAAUUAUAACCACGCUCAUAGCCAGAGGGGUGAGAAGUCAUAGUAGAAAAGAAAAACAAAAACUAAUAAAAAUAAGCAACUAAGUUCUAAACUAACAAAGACUAGCAAACAAGUAAAAAGUAAAUAUUUACAAUAACCAAUAAUAAGGCGCACGUUUGCAAUUCCCCGGCAACGGCGCCAUUUUGACGAGCGAGACUUUUGUUGAUAAAGAAUUUCAAAAUAAAUCAUCAUUGCAAGUAUAGUUUCUAAACCAACAAGAAUCCCUUCGUGCAAAAUUUUUAGUUGUCACAAGUAACAAACCCCUAAUAAAUCAAUAACCGAAGUAUUUAAACCUCGGGUCGUCUCUCAAGGAAUUGUAGGGAGGUGUUCUUAUUAUUGGUUAUGCACAGGUAUAAUUUGGGGUUUUGUGAAUAAGAGAUAAGAAGAGUGAAUUGCAAAGGAAACGAACUAAUAAUUAUAAAAGCUCUUGGCAAGGAAUGAAAAUUAGAAGUCCUAUCCUUGUUAUCGUCCUCAAUAGUGAUGAGAAUCGUUAGUUGCAACCACUUAGUUAACCCUCUAAUUGUGAAGGAAAGUCAAGUGUAUGAAUCAAUUUGAUUCCUCAAGUCCUAGUCAACUCCUAUGGAAAGACUAGCUUUAGUGGAAUCCAAAUCAAUUAGCAACCUUCAAUUGUCAAUCAACUAAGGAGUUUGAUAACUCAAGCGUCACCAAUUACUCAAUCAAAGCCAAGAGGAGAAAAUCUAACUUAAAACUCUCCCAAGCAUUUCAUCAAACACUUGGAAGACACAACACAAAAUAGUAGAAAGGCAAUAAGAGAUAAUAAGAUCCACACAAUCAAUCGCAAGUAUCAAUAACAUAGAUAAAAAAGAGCAAUCUUAAAUAUGAAAUAUCUCAAAUUGUAUUAAAUAGAGAAAUCAACAAAAGGAAUGUAUAAACCAAAGUAUUAGAGUCAAUAAGAGUAUAAGAGAAUUAAGUCAAAGAACAUUGAACCUGCAGUUGAGGAGAAAAUAGAUCUAAAACUUAGAGAAAUCCUAAAUCCUAAAUCCUAAAACCUAGAAAGAGGGCUACAUCUAAACCUAAAAUUAUUUUAAUGAUUGUAUGAAUGUUCUCCCCCUUCAUUUUGCUUCACUCUCAGCCUCUAAUCUGUGUUUUCUGGGCCUGGAACUGGGCCAAAAGGAGCCCAGAAAUCGCUGGAGACAAUUUUCUGCAACUGCUGUAUGUCGCGCAUAUCACGCGUACGCGUGGGUCACGCGUGCGCGUCGUUUGGUGAUAUUCCUUAUCACGCGUACGCGUCAGUCACGCGUACGCGUCGCUUUUCUUUUGUGCUAUUCACGCGCGCGCGUCAAGUGCGCGUGCGCGUCACUAGGGAAUGCUCCGGAUCACGCGCAUGCGUGAGCCAUGCGUCCGCAUCACGUCUCGCUGGUCAGCUCCAUUGUUUCUUUGUGUUCCUUCCAUUUUUGCAAGCUUCCUUUCCACAUUCCAAGCCAUUCAUGCCCUAUAAAGCCUGAAAACACUUAACACACAGAUCACAGCAUCGAAUGGUAUAGAGAAGAAUUAUAAUCUAACAAAUUAAAGGCUCUGGAAGCAAGUUUUCAAUCAUAGUAUUAAAUCAGGAAGGCAAUUGUAAAACCAUGCAAUUUAUAUGAAUAAGUGGGUAAAGACUUGAUAGAAACCACUCAAUUUAGCACAAGUUGGACCAUAAAAUAGCGGUUUAUCAUCAAGUAUAGCGGUUCGCCGUUCUUGGGCUUCCCGAGGACAGGUGGUGUUGCGAGUACCUCCUUGAAAUGCUUGAACGCCUCUUCGCACGCCGGUGUCCAUUUGAACGCUAUCCCCUUCUUCAUCAAGUUGAAGAAUGGUAGUGCCUUAGCAGUUGACGCCUCGAGGAAUCGGGAAAGCGCAGUGAGCCUUCCUGCCAACCUCUGGACGUCUUUGAUGCACCCUGGGAUCUUCAUCUGGAGUAUUGCUUCACACUUUUCCGGGUUGGGCUCCACCCCUCUUUGGGUUAACAUAAACCCCAAGAAUUUUUCCCGCUUCCAUGGCAAAGGCACACUUAAGCGGGUUGAGCCUCAUGCCGUGUUGCCGGAGGGAGGUAAAUACAUUCCCCAGAUCGAUUAUGAGGUCCUCAGGUCGGGUGGUCUUUACUAGGAUAUCGUCCACAUAUACUUCCACCGUUUUGCCUAUGAGGUCGUUGAAUAUCUUGUUCAUCAACCUUUGGUAGGUAGCCCCUGCGUUCUUUAGUCCGAACGGCAUUACCUUGUAGCAGAAUGUCCCCCCUGGCGUUAUGAAUGCCGUUUUCUCCUCGUCGGGCCGGUGCAUCGGUAUCUGAUUGUAGCCAGAGUAAGCAUCCAUAAAGCUCAGAUACCGAUAUCCCGCUGCCGCAUCGACGAGCACAUCUAUAUUGGGGAGGGGAUAGCAAUCUUUGAGACAUGCUUUGUUAAGAUCAGAGUAAUCCAUGCACAUCCUCCAUUUUCCAUUGUGCUUUCUAACUAGAACUACGUUCGACAGCCAAGUUGAGUAGUCGAGUUCCCAGAUGAAUCCGGCUUCGAGGAGGCUAGCCGUUUCCCUGGCCACCUCCUCUGCCCUUUCUUGUGACAUUUUCCGUCUCCUCUGAGCCAUCGGCUUGGCUUCCUUCUUGACGGCCAGGUAGUGUGACAUGAGCUAGGGAUCUAUCCCCGGCAUGUCGGCUGGCGUCCAGGCAAAUAGGUCGCCGUUAGCCCUAAUCAUCUCCAUCAGAGGUUCUUUCAGGUCAUAGGGGAGGUUCCUGUUCACGAAGGUGAACUUCUCUUCCGAGUCGCUGACCCUGAACUUUUCCAGAUUUCCUUCUGGCUCGGGUCUGGGUUUGUCGUCGACCCUAGCGUCCAGGUUGGCUAGGAAUACUCCUGAUGCCUCUUUGGAUAUCUUUCUCAAGGAGAGACUGGCAUUGUCGCAUGCGACUGCCGUUUCCAGGUCUCCCUUGAUGGAUCCCACUGAUCCGUCAUCAGCGAUGAACUUCAUUAUCAACAUCUUUGUACUAAUUACUGCUCUGAGGUCGUUGAUGGUCUUUCUUCCUAGGAUGACGUUGUAGGCCAUGGAGUCUCGCAGGACUACGAACUCCGCCAUUACCGACCUUUUCCCCUGUCCCAGUCCUAUGGAUACUGGUAGAGAGAUUAUUCCAUCAGGCUUGAUAAAGUGGUCGCUCAGCCCUACUACCCCGUGCUGGUGAGUCCUUAGAUCGGCAUCUCGGAGACCCAAAGCAUCGAAAACGUUGCGGAACAUGAUAUUCAAGUCGGCGCCGGUGUCUACGAGAAUUCGCUUAAUCAGGCCGAUUCCUACCUUGGCCGUGAUGACCAUUGGGGGGUUUUCCAUGGCUUCGUCAAACCAUUGGUCCCCUGGACCGAAUGAUAUGGACGGAGUCUUCUUGAAGUUUGGCGCAGGGUGGGAUGACGAGACCGCCAGAACUUUGGCGUCCUUCUUAUGCGCCGAUUUCGAUCUUGGAGCCGCAUCCCUUUCGAUCACUACGUUUACUAUCGUGAGGCCGGGCUCUUGGCGUCGCUUUACCGGGCGACUCUUGUCCUCUGCAUCUCGGUCGCGAUCUCGUCUUCUCGGCUCCCUGAUGAGGUGGGAGAACUCGCUUAACUUUCCAUCUCGGAUCGCUUGCUCCAGCGCGUCCUUUAGGUCAAAAGAAUCCUGUGUUUUGUGUCUAUAGCCCUUGUGAUAAUCACAAUAUAGAUUCUUGUUUCCUCCUGUUCUGUCCUUCAGAGGUCGGGGUUUCGACAAAAUUCCCUUCUCGGCUAUCUGCUGGUAGACUUCCACAAUAGGGACUGCGAGGGGGGUAUAGUUGGUGAACUUUCCAACUCGGGGGAACGGCUUGAAGGUCUUGGCCGGCACUCCGUCUUUGGGGUGCUCCUUCAGUCUUUCCCUGCUAUCGUGUUGACGAGCUUGGUUGUAGGCGGGCUGACGUUUAUUGGCCGCCACCACCUAACUGACUUCUUCGUCAUUGAUGUAUUCCCUCGCGACGUCUUGGAUUUCUUGCAUCGUCCACACAGGCUUGGUGGUAAGAUGUUUCCUGAAAUCCUCGUUUCGGAGUCCAUUUAUCAAACAUAAACUGGCCACCAAGUCGGUUAGACCGUCUAUCUCCAAACACUCGUCGUUGAACCUGUCUAUGUAUUUUCUAGUCGGUUCGCCGGAUCUUUGCGUCACCCCGAGCAGGUUGAUCGGGUGUUUCGCCUUUGCGAUGCGGGUGGUGAACUGGGCCAAGAAGGCGCGGCUGAUGUCGGAAAACUUGGCCACGGAACCCUGCGGGAGGUUGUUGAACCACCGGAUUGCAGGUCCUGCCAAAGUGACCGGGAAGGCGCGACAUCUCACCUCGUCGCCAACUCCUUCCAAGUUCAUCCUGGCCUCAAAGGCCGUUAGGUGCUCUUGCGGAUCUUGGGUUCCAUCAUACCUCAUGUCCGUUGCCUUAUCAAAGUGUUUUGGCAGCCACACCUCGAGGACUGAGUGAUGGAAAGGGGUUGCUCCCAUGAUCACGGGACGCCGGGUUGUUCUAGCCCUUUCUUCGUCGCGUUCUUUUUCCUGAUUGUUCACGGUAGCUCCUUUCCUCGAAGAUCUCGCGUAUAUCAAGGGAUCGCGUCGCCUUCUCAGCGUCCCUCUGUUCUCCCGAGGGCUAUCCGAUUCCGAUCAGGGGCUCGGCGUGCCCCUGGAACGACUUCUUUGCCGAGGGGACCGCGAGUGGUCGGGCUCGGGGGUUUGCCGACGUUGCCCGCGGUUCGCGAGCUCACGUUUUAGGUCGCGCUCCAGGUUCUGUACCCUGUGUCUCAGUUCCUGCAUUAUCCUGGUACUAUCACUGCCUGUUCCCCCAAAAGGGCGUCUCUCCUGGGAUCGCGAGGAUUGCUCGGCUUGUCGCGGGGGGGACCUCGUGCGUUCACGUGAGGAAGCCACGGAGGCGUCCCCCCUUGGUUUGGUUGCGUUCCCUAGCUCCCCAGGGACCAAUACGAAGUCCAUCUAUUCGGUCCCCACAGACGGCGCCAAUGUUCGGUUGGUCGAGUACCGGACGGAUCAAGGACGUUUCUCGGGUGAGCGGAGCUCUCGACUGGUAAGGGACCAGGGGGUUGGGUGGUGAUGACGGGCGAUGUUCCGAGCUUCUCGCAAGGGAGGGGUGUCACCUGCAAAGACACUCCGACGCUCAAGUCAGUCAGGUGUGCAGGUGAGAAAGUGGUAGAAUAGUGUGUGACGUACCUUGGGGAGACGGGUAGGACCCUCCCCAUAUAUACCCUGUCAAGAGUGGGUCUCGCGAGAACAGACCCACCUUCCUCGAAAUUUCCCAAUACAGGUGUAGCGGUGAGCUGUAAAGGACGCGUGUUCAGGUCGGUUCUCGAACGUCUCGUGCCCGCCCGUUCGGGUCGAGUAGCUUGUGGAUUGGUCCCCAGCAUGUCGUUUGGGUUGGGCCGUAACAUAAUUUUACCUAAAUACUAAAUUAAAUCAUGUAAACACUCAACUUAAAUAUAAAGAAAAGAUACUAAAAGUACAAAACCAAUCAUUUCUAAAAAAAAAAAGAAUAACUAAAAAAUUAGUACACAAAAUAAAUGUGGAAUCACAAUACUCAAAAUAGAACCUUACAAAUUUUACUCUCAACAACUCUAACUAUGCCUCAUAACUCUUAAUUAAAAUGUCAUACAUAAAUUUAAAACUAGACCACUUAUUUAUAUUAUUCUUGUGGUGAAAAGAAGACAUCCAAUCAUGCAACUCUUUUAUUUUUUUUAAUUGUUUCAUGCUUACACUUUGUACACGACUAGAACUUGUUUACAAGUUGGAUAUUGUUGAUCAUAAUAGUUAUCAGGAUUAGUUAUUAUUUUCAACCAUAUCACAAUAUGAUACCAUUUUUUUAGAUAAAUUAGAGUAACUAUUGACCACCUAAAUAGUGGGAGAAGGACAAAGGUUCAAAACUAUAACAAAGCAAAAACCAAACUAAAAAUUUCAACACCAAAAGACCUAAAUAACACCUACAUUUCUAAAUAUUAACACCAAAAGAACAUAACUCCUCCACUGCAAAAACAAUCUAGAGCACUUUUUCAUGCCUAUGCCAAACUAAACAUAAUCAAACAAAAAGAACAACCCCUAAUUACCAUUUAAACCAACCUAACAAUCAGUUAUUUUCCUACGACAUCGCCAUCGAGGAGCAAAGAUUUUGGUCUCAUAGAAAGCAAACAUAAAUAAACAUAACCAACACCUGAUCAACACGAGUAAGCUCUAUUACAACUAGGGGUGUGCAUGGCCCGGCCCGGUCCCGAACACUUUAGGGGCUAAUUUGAUGUGAUUUCAUCGGGUCUAGGGCCGGGUAUGGGUCUCAAAAGUAGACCCGGUCAUUAUUUCAGAUUGGGUCCGGGCCAUAGCUCGGGUCACCCGAAAAUUUGGCGGUGCGGGUUUGGCGGAUUUUUUUAAUUUGGCGGGCUCCAAAUCCUAGCCCGAUCCGCCUUUUUUAGCGGGUUUAGCGGAUCGGCCCGACGGGCUCGACCCGUUUUGCCACCCCUAAUGCACACCCCUAAUUACAACUGAUAUCAUACACAAUCAUUCUCCAUUCCUCAAGCCAAAUUGGACCAUACCAUCCACCCUUUUUACUAGCGCAGCAGUUAUUGGACCUGUUUUAAGGACCCACUCUUCCUUCCACGUCUUCUUAUUCUUAUGCUUAUCUCUUAUUGCUUCUUUGUUUCUGUCAAUGCUUUCUUGAUAUAGUCCAUUAUUGCUUCUUCCUCAUUACAUUUCAACAUCAGUUGAGAGUGCACUCUCCACGUCCUUAUCACUUCUUCUUUAGUGUCUUUAGCUUCGCUUUCGCUAAUAGCUUUUGGCUUCGAUAUAGUUUGUCUCCCCUUCUUCUUGGACUCGUCUAUACUGUGUUUUCUUCUCUGACCUUUCCCUUUCUUCUUUUAUGGAGACUCACAGGAGAUCUUUUUUUCUUUGCUGAUUUACUUCUUUCUCUUAUAUCUUUUUUACACUCUCUUCUUUUCCUUUUUCUUACAGUACCCUUUGAUCUUUCUUUAUUAUCCUUACAGCCACUUGAUCCAAGCUUCCUCCCCAUCCUGGUCUUGUUUUUCUGAGAAAGAUUUUUUUGUAUUACUUUUUCAAAGUCUAGUGAGUAUUGCGGACCAAAUGAAGAUUUACUAUUCUUAUUCCCCUAAUUCUCAUUGCCUAUAUUUUCUUUCCCUUUUUCAUAUUUUAGUUUUUGGCCAAAUUAAGAUCUCAUUCGAGUUUUCUAGAUCACCUCCUCAAAUAUUCUAUCAUCCAAAAAUUAUUUUGUAAAAGAAAAGGAUUUUUUAUUGAGUUUUCUAUGUGUUGUAUGUCUAAGUAAUGUAUCCUUCUAUCAUGCUCUUCUUUCUCACAAUACAUCAUCGUUUGCAUUUCAUAUUUUGUGUCCAUCAUCUUAUUAUACUCUCUAAUCCUCCCAAAGUCUUGCCUUUCAUCAUUUAUUUCAGUCUCAUGUUUCUGUAAUUUUCUCUUUAUUUCUUCCGGUUACUUGCCUAUUUUUCCAUCUUUCAUGACUCUCAUAUUCAAUGAGUUCUGUGAUGGCCAUACUUACGGUGGCUAAAGGUGACUUCUGUUUAAUCAGCCAGUGGUAAUAUGGCACAUGGUUGUGAAGAGCAUCUUUUGAAAUUUACAUAACAGAUAAUAAAUGCGACCAAGUUACUAAAAGGUCAAUAAUGUAAAUGUAAGGGCAAAAAAUAUUUUAUCUCAUGUGGGCCUCAUUUUAUUUUUCCAUAAGAAUGAUGCGGAAAUUAGUGGACCUAAAAUAGGAAAGAAAAAAAUAAUCUAGAGAAAUUUCAGUCUUAAUGUUAAAAUGGAAUAAUGGAGAGUGACAGAAAAGAAAGUCGUAGAAAAUAAAAUAUAAAAAAAAGUUGUGAAAAAUAGUUUGAAUUAAAUUUAUGAUUUCAAAUUCAUUUCUUUUAAGAAGAGUUUUUAAAUUAGAUGUAAAACACAAUAACAAUGAGUUAUAAUGAAAUGGUACCAUUUUAACUCCAAGUGACAUAUAUAGACACUAUUAUAAAUAAAACAUGAGUUAAUUGUUACAUGGUUUUUUUAUUUUAAAUUUGUCUUCUAUUCCUAUUCAGAUGAUUGCCAUGAAGAUUUUAUUAUUAGUCAUCCAUGUUGAUAAUAAUCUUUAGAUUUCUAUUAUGAUAGUUUUGACUAUAGAUUUUUCUUUAUUGCUAUCAUAAUUCAUAGAUAGUUGCCUAUGAGAACAUACAACACGUUGAGCAGAAGCAAUUAUGCAGUAGUUGUAGAGAAGUGAGAGAACUAUAGUUGAAUUGUAUUUAUUGUAAUGAAUGUGAAUGAAUAAACUAUUCUAAUAAUGACAUGCAUCUGAUCUCUAUACAACACUGGUACUAACUAAUACCAUAGCAGAACUAAUAGAAUUCUACAUCAGUAACUAUAUAACAAAAUAGAGAAGAGUAAUCUUGAUUAUCUUGCUAGCUACGUAAUGUUCUUUAUAUCCUUCUUAUUCUCAACACCCUCAUGGCAAACUCAUGGCGUUUUAGGUAAGACCCUGAGUUUGGUUCUGAAUUUCUGAAAACUUGUAUAACAGAGAGGUUUGGUGAGAAGAUCUAUGACUUGGUCUUCUGCUGGGAUGUGCACAACAAUUAAUUAAUGCUGGUUUAUUUUUUCUCGAACUGAAUGCAUGUCUAGAUCAAAAUGUUUGGUCUUGUUGUGCAAAAUAGGAUUUUUAGUGAGAAUAACUGCACUAAUAUUGUCAUUGUAUAAGAUUGGAAUGCUUGAGCAUUGAAUGUGUAGUUCUAUGAACAGAAUUUAAACCCAUCAAAUGUCUGUUUUAGCAGCAGCUAUGCUCUUAAACUCCACUUUUGCACUGGAUUUGCUUAUUGAGUGCUUCUUUUGGCUUGCCUAAGAGAUUAGAUUGGUUCUUAGAUAAACACAGUAUCUUGUGGUUAAUCUUCUAUCAUCCAUAUCUGAACCUCAAUUUUAAUUUGCAAAGGCAAAUAAUUUAAAAUUAGCAUUGGGUUGAAAAAAGAGCCCUUGAUCCAUGGUACCUACCAAGUAUCGAAUGAUUCUUCUAACACAUUUCCAGUGGGAUAAAAGAGGGUUAUGCAUGUACUGUAAAACUUUAUUGAAUGCAUAUGUAAUAUCUGGCCUGAUUAAGGUUGCAUAUUGCAAUGCACCAACAAUAGAUCUGUAUUGAGUAGGAUUCUUAUAUAUUUCACUACCAUGUGUAGAUAAUUUAGUAGUAGUGAUCAUGGGUGUUGGCAUAGAAUGUGAUUCAUGCAUAUGAGAUUUAACUAGCAAUACUUUGAUAUAUUUGGUUUGAGAGAGGAUAUAUGAACUAGAUUCUGUCUUAAAAGCCUCAAUACCUAAGAAGAAAUUGAAGUCUCCUAAGUCUUUUAAGGCAAAUAAAGUAUGUAAUUGUGAUAUCAAUUUGGUGAUUUCAUUAUUAUCAUUGCACGGAACAAGUAUAUCAUCAACAUAAACUAAAACAUACAUAGUAGAGGUAGAAGUAAAACGAAUAAACAAGGAAAGAUCUGACCUGGUAUUCUUGACGUCAAAUUGUGACAAAGUUGAAGCUAAUUUAGUAAACCAAGCCCUCGGGGCAUGCUUUAAACCAUAAAUAGAUUUAUUUAACUUGAAAACUGAUAUGAUGGACCUUGAGGGAAGGAUCAUGGUUGCUGCAUGUAAACUGUCUCUUGAAGUUAUUCAUUAAGAAAAGUAUUGUUGAAGUCAAAUUGUCGAAUUGUCCAGGCUUUAGUAACUGUAGUUGUCAGAAUAAUUCUAAUUGUUGUUGCCUUAAUGACGGGACUGCACACUUAAUCAUAAUUAAUACCCUCUCUUUGAUGAAAAUCUUUAGCUAUUAGCCUUGCUUUGUAUUUUAGAAUGGUACCAUUAGGAUGCUUUUUAAUAGAAUAAACCCAGCGAUAACCAAUAAUGGUACUGCCAGGAGAAGGAUCAACUACUAUCCAUGUGUUGUUUUUAUGUAAUGCACUAAGUUCUUCCUGCAUUGCUCUUGUCCAAUGAUCAGUGGUGAGAGCUAAUUUAGUUCUUGUUGGUAUUUCAUUAACAAGGUCUAGAAUUUUCUUGGCACUUGCUUGUAGUGCUUUGGGUUUUAAGGGACCAAUUUUUGAUCUAGUGAUCAUAGAGUGAGUGUUAGUAUUGGUGGAGGGAUUGAUAGGUGGUAAUUGGAUAAUUGGGAGUAGGUUGUGUAGUAGGAGUGGUAUUAUCUGGCUAUGAAGUCUCAGAUGAGGUAGUAGAGGAAGAAAAAAUUUGAUUACGUAGUGUAUCUUGUGUUGAUAGUGGGGAUUGUGAUAAGGAUGAAUAUGAGAAAAUUGUGUGAGCGAUCUCAUUAGAGGUGAGGAUAGGAACAGGUAAAAUAGAUUGAAUUGUUGAAUUCUUGGUUGGAGGUUUAUAAACUUGUUGAAACAUAGUAUUAUAAGGAAACAACAACUUAUCAAACAUGUCUUGUAAUAAAAAUCUUACCCAUGGAAUUCAUACAUUUAUACCUUUUGUGUUGAGGUGCAUAACCCAUAAAAAUGCAUAAAUUAGAUAUAUAUUGAAAUUUAGAUGAGUUUAAGGAGUUAGCAAGGGAUAGCAACCACAACCAAAAAUUUCAAGUAGAUUAUAAUCUGGUGCAUGAUGAUUAAGCAUUUUAAAUUGUGAUUUAUUAGAGAGAACAUGAGAUGGCAAUCUAUUAAUUAUAAAAGAAGCAGAUAAAAAAGCAUCAUCCCAGUGUUUUAGUGGUAAACAUGUAGUAGCUAGCAUUAAUAGUCCUACUUCAACUAUAUGUCUAUGUUUUCUUUCUAUCCUACCAUUAUGUUGAUGUACAUGAAUAUCUAUGAAAAAUGCCAUUAGUAACUAAAAAAUCUUGAAAAUAAUGUGAUAUAUAUUUUUGACCAUGAUCUGUUUGUAUUUGUUUAAUGUGAUAACCAGUAUAUUUCUCCAUCUAUAUUUUACAUUGUUGGAAUGCUGUAAAGACUUAUGACUUGGAAGAUAGCAGGAAGAUGCACGAAUAUCAUGAUUAAGCAUCAAGAAAAGAUACAUAGUAAAAAAAAACCAUGAUGAAAAAGGACAAAAGAGGGACACCAUACAUCAGUAUAUACCAUUUCCAAUGGUUGAUUAAAUUGAUAAGUGUUUAAUUGAAAAGGCAAAGCAUGCAUUUGAGACAUACAAUAUAAUUUGCAUAAGGAUGAAGAAUUAUUAUCAUUGUUAUUUCUAGUUCUAUCAAAAGAAAUAUUACAAGUAUUAAGAACAAGUGAAAUAUUUUAGAAUCACAAUGGCCUAAUUUUUUGUGCCAAACAUCAAAAGUAUUACAGAUAACAAUGAAAGCAAGAGGUUUAGAUGUAAUGAUUGGUGAUCUAGUUAUAGCUACUCGUUCAAAUUCAUAAACUUCUUGCUUAGAUGACCCUUAUAGAAGGAUCUGAUUGGUGUCCUGAGAUUUCACAUAACAAGCAUUAGGGUGAAAUUCAAAAUAACAUUUAUUAUCUACUGUAAAUUGAUACACAUUAAUUAAACUGUGAGAUAUAUCAGGGGAAUCUAAUAAUUAUUUAAGAAUAAACCUUUUGUUACUAUCCAAAGAAAUCAGAUAUGAAUAACCAACAUCUGCAAUAAGAGUUUCUGUGUCAUUACCUAAUACCACUUGUUCUUUUCUUUGAAAGUCGGAUAAUACUAUCGUGCUAAAAGUAAUUUUUUUCAGUACAUGCUGAAAUGAAGUGGCAUGAGGAAAUUGUUGACGCGUAGUUCACCUCUAGCCACAAUCGGGGACAAUGGCUGAUGUACAACAAAUGAGUGACAAUCAUCCGUAGUUAGAAAAAAAUAAUGGUGGCUACUCCAAUGAAGAUUUAAUGAUUGUUAUCAUGUGAAUAUACAUCAUUUUGAUCAUUGAAUGAUAGAUUGUAGGGUUUGAUUUUUAUUUAAAGUAAAAGUGUUACUUUUAUUUAAAGUGUUGUUAAACAAAUAAGCUACACUUUUUAAACAAGAAUCAUCAUAAAAAGAUGUUUUUGGUAUCUUCAUGUGAGCAGUUACCAAAAAUAAUUAGUGAUGUUUGCAGGAUAAAUUAAUGCAUAAUUGGGAGAUUAAUUAAUGGUCAAGGGAGAUAAUCUCUUUCUUUCUUUUUUUGGGUAUGGUCAUAGUGUUUGGACCAAGAAAUACUCUUUUGAACAUAAAAAUCAAAUUGGGCCAUGAAAUGCUAUUAUAGUAAUAAUAAACAAUAACAAUAUAAAAUCCAGGAGAAUAAGUAAUGAUAAUAAUAGUAAUAAUAAUAAUCUUUUAUAUAUAUAAAAAAAAACUACGGUUUUAUUUAUAAACCCUAAAUAUAAAUUUUAUUUUAAUUUAUACUUAUUUAUUAUGUAUGUAUUCGAUUUAUAUGUAAAUACUUAAAAAUCGAGUUUGUCUGAGUCGAUUUAUAUAGAUCUAUGUAGAACAUGUAUGAAACCAAUUUUUAUUCAAGAUAUAUGUGUAAUUUUAGUCUCCAAUCAAUUUAUUAACAUAAAUUAUUUUUAUUUUUAAAUACUUGUUUAUUAUGUAUUAUUUGAUUUAAUAUGUAUAUUUUGUCCAUAAUAGAUCGAAAUUCGAUUUUGUUGCGGCCUGGCCCAAACCCUCUACGGGUUGGCCCGAUCCGGGCACCACCCGACCCAAACGGUCAAGGGCAGGGCGCCUUGCAGCCGAUUCGGAUACGCGUCCUGACAGCUCACCUAUAGCUGUGAGGAGAACGCCUCGAAGAAAGUGGGCCUGUCCUUGCAGGGCCCACCUCUGACACGGUAUAUAAGGGGAAGGUUUUACCCUUCCCCCAAGGUACGACAUGCACAUUCUACCCCCCUUUUUCGCCUGCACAUUUACUGACCAGAGCGUCGGAGUGUAUUUGCAGGUGACACCCCCCUUUCCACGCGAAGUGCUCAGGACCUCGACUACGUCUAACCGGCAACCCACGACCAGACGAGGCCCCCAUCACCAACCAGGAUACCAACCCGAACCGUCCGGUACCCGACUUACCGAACAUUGGCGCCGUCUGUAGGGACUCGACCAUGGACUUUGUACUAGUCCAAAGUGGGACAGGCCGCGAGGCCGAGCCCGGAGGAGACGCCGCCGCGACUGAUUCCCGACAGUAUCUAAGAUCCCCCCCGAGAAACGCAACACAAUCUCACGAGAGACGCCCCUUCGGGGGAACUGGCAACAAUCACGCCAGAAUAAUGCAAGAGCUGCGCCACAGAAUGCAAGACUUGGAACGCCGGCUAGCAGAUAGAGAACACGAUCAGCACACCCCAGAACAAAGUCACUCCCGCUCUCACUCUAGGAGCCACUCCAGACGCAUGCUCAGCCCCCAGGCUGAGUCCGAAAGUGAUGGGGAAAGAGGACGCGCGAGAAGACGCCAUGACCCCGUCAUCUAUGCCCGGCAGGAGAGGCGGCGUACAACGGAUCGCGGGCACGAAGACGCUCGUCGGGAAGACGACGAAGGAAGAACGGCGAGAACCCGGGGACCCGUGAUAAUGGGAGCGACCCCAUUCCAUCGUUCCAUACUCGAGGUCCAGCUGCCAAAACACUUUGACAAGCCAACGGACAUGAGGUACGACGGAACACAAGACCCACUGGAACACCUCACGGCCUUUGAGGCCAGGAUGAACCUAGAAGGAGUGGGAGACGUGGUCAGGUGUCGCGCUUUCUCGGUCACUUUGGCGAGACCUGCAAUACGGUGGUUCAAUAACCUCCCGCAGGGCUGGGUGACCGGUUUCGCGGACAUCAUCCAUGCCUUCUUAGCCCAAUUCACGACCAGGAUCGCCAAAGCAAAGCACCCAAUCAACCUACUGGGGGUGACUCAAAGACUCGGCGAGACGACCAGGAAAUACCUGGAUCGGUUCAACAACUAAUGCUUGGAGAUUGACGGGCUGACGGACUCAGUAGCAAGUUUGUGCUUGACGAACGGACUCCUGAACGAGGACUUCAGAAAGCAUCUUACUACGAAACCAGUCUGGACAAUGCAGGAGAUCCAGUGUGUAGCGAGGGAGUACAUUAACGAUGAAGAAGUCAGCCGGGUUGUGGCUGCCAACAAACGGCAGUCCUCUCACAACCAAACUCGGCACCACGAGAGCGGAGAAAGAACAAGGGAGCACGCCAGGGACGGUGGUGCGAACAAGACAACAAAGCCAUUCCCCCGAGUCGGGAAGUUCACUAAUUACACUCCCCUCACGACCCCGAUCAUGGAAGUUUACCAACAGAUAGCCGAGAAGGGAAUACUGUCGAAACCCCGACCUCUGAAGGAUCGAACAGGGGGAACAAAAGCCUUUAUUGUGAAUAUCACAAGGGAUACGGGCACAAGACCCAAGACUGUUUCGACCUGAAGGAUGCACUUGAGCAAGCAAUCAGGGACGGGAAACUUGCCGAAUUCUCCCACCUCAUUAGAGAGCCGAGGAGACUGAACCGCGACCACGAGGGCGAGGAUAGAUCCCGGGCGACAAGACGACGCCAAGAACCAGAGGGAGACGACUACGGACUCACAGUGGUAAACGUAGUAACGGCGAGGAAUUCAGCCCCAAGGUCGAGAUCAGUACAGAAGAAAGACGCCAAAAUUCUGGCAGUCUCCUCUUCACCUGCGAGAAGUUCCCAGAGACUCCCAUCCAUCUCCUUUAGUCCAGAAGACCAAUGGUUUGAUGAGGUCCCGGAAAGCCCCCCAUGGUCAUCACGGCCAGAGUCGGAACCGGCCUCGUCAAACGAAUCCUCGUGGAUACAGGGGCAGACUCAAACAUCAUGUUCCGCAACGUAUUUGACGCCUUGGGACUGCGUGACGCCGACCUAGCGACCCACUAGCACGGUGUGGUAAGGUUGGGCGAUCACUUCAUCAAACCCGAUGGGAUUAUCUCCCUCCCGACCUCCAUGGGACAGGGACAGAGGCGAAGGACAGUAAUGGCCGAUUUUGUAGUUUUGCGGGAUUCCACAGCCUACAACAUUAUCCUGGGGAGGAAAACCAUCAACGACCUUGGGGCAGCGAUCAAUACGAAGCUGCUCGUAAUGAAGUUUGUUACUGAUGACGGAUCCGUAGGAUCCAUUAGAGGAGAGUUGGAAACGGCGGUCGCCUGCGACCACGCCAGCCUCUCCUUGAGGAAAAAAUCCAAAGAGGCAUCAGGGGUGUUCCUCGCCGACCUGGAUGCCAGAAUAGACGACAAGCCCAGGCCCGAGCCAGAGGGGGACCUGGAAAAAUUCAGAGUUGGGGACGCGGAAGAGAAAUUCACAUUCAUAAACAGAAAUCUCCCCCAUGAAUUGAAAGAACCUCUGAUGGAGAUGAUUAGAGCCAAUGCUGAUCUGUUUGCUUGGACGCCAUUUGACAUGCCGGGGAUAGACCCCCAACUCAUGUCGCACAGCCUGGCCGUCAAACCGGGAACCCAACCAGUGGCCUAAAAGAGGAGGAAGAUGUCACAGGAAAGGGCAGAGGAGGUGGCCAGGCAGACGGCCGGCCUCCUCGAAGCAGGGUUCAUCCGUGAACUAGACUACUCCACUUGGCUAUCGAAUGUGGUUUUAGUAAAAAAGCACAAUGGGAGGUGGAGAAUGUGUGUGGACUACUCCGACCUCAACAAAGCGUGCCCCAAGGACUGCUAUCCCCUCCCCAACAUUGAUGCGCUCGUCAAUGCAGCGGCGGGGUACCGGUAUCUGAGCUUCAUGGAUGCCUACUCCGGGUACAAUCAAAUUCCGAUGCACCGGCCCGACGAGGAUAAGACGGCGUUCAUAACGCCAGGAGGGACCUAUUGUUACAAGGUGAUGCCAUUUGGCCUAAAAAAAGCUGGCGCCACAUACCAGAGGCUGAUGAACAAGAUAUUCUGCGGGCUCAUAGGCAAGACGGUGGAAGUCUACGUGGACGACAUCCUCGCGAAAACCACACGGCCUGCCGACCUCCUAAGCAACUUGGGGGGCGUGUUCGCGUCCCUCCGACAACACGGCAUGAGGCUCAACCCGUUCAAAUGCGCCUUCGCCAUGGAGGCCGGGAAGUUCCUCGGGUUCAUGAUAACCCAAAGAGGGGUAGAAGCCAACCCUGAGAAAUGCCAAGCGAUUCUCCAGAUGAAGAGCCCGGGUUGUAUCAAAGACGUCCAGUGAUUGGCAGGAAGGCUGACUGCGUUAUCCCGUUUUCUCGGCGCAUCGGCAGCAAAAGCCCUGCCCUUCUUCAAUCUGAUGAAAAAGGGGAUAGCGUUUGAAUGGACUCCUGCAUGCGAGGAAGCAUUCAACCGCUUCAAAGAGAUCCUAGCAACACCUCCGGUGCUCGGGAAGCCUAAGACCGGAGAACCACUCUACCUCUACCUAGCCAUAACAGAGGAAGCGCUUGCAACAGUGCUGAUACGAGAAGAAGGGAAGGCUCAGCAACCAAUCUACUUUGUGAGCAGGGCGCUACAAAGAGCAGAGCUGAGAUACAACAAACUGGAGAAACUGGCGCUGGCACUCCUAACCUCCUCCCGAAGGCUGAGGCAAUACUUCCAGGGCCACCGUGUCAUCGUGAGAACGGACCAAGCAAUUCGCCAAGUACUCCAGAAGCCUGAUUUGGCUGGAAGGAUGAUGACUUGGGCCAUCGAGCUCUCCCAAUAUGACUUGCAGUACGAGCCCCGACAUGCAAUCAAGGCACAGGCGAUGGCAGAUUUCUUAGUAGAGGUAACAGGUGAUCCCCAAAAGGAAACGGGCACACGGUGGAGGCUCCAUGUAGACGAGGCCUCCAACCAAACGUCUGGGGGUGCCGGGGUCAUUUUAGAGAUCCCGGCUGGGGUCAUAUACGAGCAAUCGACCAAGUUCGAAUUCCCCGUAUCAAACAACCAAGCGCAAUACGAAGCCCUCUUGGGUGGGCUAAUUCUAGCCCGGGAAGUCGGGGCGACAAGGCUGGACGUGUGCAGCGACUCACAGGUCGUCACCUCACAAGUGAACGGAAGCUAUCAAGCCAGAGACCCGCUGCUGCAAAGGUACUUGAAAAAAGUUAGAGAAUUGACCAGGCAGUUUCAGGAGGUCACGAUCCAACACGUUCCGAGGGAGAGGAACACACGGGCAGACCUCCUAUCUAAACUAGCAAGCACGAAGCCGGGAGCGGGCAACCGGUCUCUCAUACAGGGCAUGGCAAAAGAGCCAACGGUGGCCUUCCAUUUGGCAAAAUCAAACCCCUCCUGGUUGGACCCCAUCACAAAUUUCCUGGAACGUGGCAAACUACCUGACGAUGAGAGAGCAGUCAAAACACUGAGGAGGGAGGCAACCAAAUACGCAAUCAUACAGGGACAACUAUUCAAAAAGGGACUCAGCCAACCCCUAUUGAAGUGCUUGCAUCCCGACCAGACGGACUACGUACUUAGAGAAGUUCAUGAGGGAUGCUGCGGCCACCACAUCGGGGGCAAAGCCCUAGCAAGGAAGCUAAUCCGAGCUGGGUAUUACUGGCCAUCAAUGAUGAAAGACUCCGGCGAAUUUGUGAGAAAAUGCGUCAAGUGUCAAGAGAACGCCAACUUCUACAGAGCGCCGGCUUCCGAGCUGAGACUACUGACGUCCUCCCGACCCUUCGCACAAUGGGGAGUCGACCUAUUGGGACCCUUUCCAGUCGGCCCCGGACAAGUCAAAUACCUCAUAGUCGCCGUUGACUACUACACAAAAUGGAUAGAGGCUAAACCACUGGCUAGUAUAUCGUCAACCAACUGCAGAAAUUUCAUGUGGAGGCAGGUGAUAACGCGGUUCGGGAUCCCGGAAGUCGUCAUCUCGGACAACGGAACGCAAUUCGCCGACAAGAAAUUCACAGAGUUCUUCACUGGCCUGGGCGUAAAACAGAAGUUCUCCUCGGUGGAGCAUCCCCAGACGAAUGGGCAGGUUGAGUCUGCAAACAAAAUCAUCCUGCUAGGCCUUAAGAAACGGCUAGACAGUAAAAAGGGGGCAUGGGCCGACGAACUCGCCUCCGUUCUAUGGUCCUACUGCACAACCGAGAAAAGCUCCACAGGCGAAACACCCUUUCGUCUGACAUACGGAGUUGAUGCAAUGAUACCAGUAGAGAUCGGCGAGCCAAGCCCGCGAUUACUCCUGAAAGGAGUGGAAGAGGCGGUUGAGAAGGACCUAGUGAAUGAGGCCAGGGAAAUAGCUCACUUGUCGGAAGUAGCACUGAAACAAAGAAUGGCGCUGCGCUACAACACCAAAGUGCUCAAAAGGGAGUUUGAAGAGGACGACCUCGUCUUGCGACGCAACGACAUAGGGCCACCGACACCAGGAGAAGGAAAGCUGGCGACAAAUUGGGAAGGUCCUUACAAAAUCAAAGAGGUGCUUGGCAAAGGCGCCUACAAAUUGGAAAGGCUCGACGGCAAGGAAAUCCCGAGAACAUGGAAUGCAGGUAACCUGAGAAGAUUUUAUUCGUAGCUCAGGCACACUGGCCAAGCGGCCUGAUAAGCUAUAUAGCCCAUUGUUAAUUCCCAAUGGUUUAUUUUUAUCAAAUAUCUACCAUGUUCAUAAAUUUGUUUAGCUAACGACUAAUGCUUACUUAUUUGAAUCCUCCAAUCUACUAUCUCCCAAUACGAAUCCCACACCAUCGCGCUCGUAAACGGCAACCCGGGAUUGAUCACCCCGGGAAGCCAACUGAACCAUAGCCAUAACGAACGGCCGUGAUAAUAAGACCAUAACAGUUUCAAUCGAGUUACCUACGUGAACGGCAAAACAUACACAAGCAAUAAGUUCGCCUCAAAAAGACGGUAACAAAAUACAAACGCUACCAAGCAAGAUAAAGGCAAUAACAAUAAGCCGACCAGGCGACCAAUAAAGUAUAAAGUUAAUAGUUGCAACAAAGUAUUCAACAAACCCAUACAAAAGCCAAAGUUACAAGAGUUCAUUUUCGGUGUCAACAAUCUUGCAGUGCUGGAUCGUUUUGAAGACCCCAAUAGCCGACGUAUCGAAGUCUGGAGCCACGAUCUUCACCUGAGCCUUCAGAGCCUCCUCGGUCAUGAAGAUCGCAUUCUUCCCUUGCUCCUUCGUCGCCUUGUGCUUCCUCUUAAGCUCGUCGACCUCGGCUUUAGCAGCUUUAGCCGACGAAACGGCCUGGUCGCGUUCCUUCUCCAAGGCUGCCACCCGACCCUGCGCGGCACUCAGCUGGCUCUCUAGGGUCAUCUCCCGCUCGGUUAAAUGGGACACAGUCUCAUCGGAAGCCUUCAAUUUCUCCUCGGUAGACUCUGUUUUCUCCUCAGCAGCCUUGAGCUUUUUCCCCACCUCGGACAGCUGCCCCUGAAGCAGCUCGACUUGCACCUUGAAGUCAUUGUUCGCCUUACCAGAAGAUUCAAGCUUUCUUCGAAGAGCCUGCAUUUCCGACAACUUGAACUCGGCCUUCUGAGCUAUCACGGCCCCACGGAGCAGCGUCCGAUACAUCCACCUCGCCUACCCCGCCAGGUCGAUGCCAAGGAAAUGUUCCUCCAUGCCAGGGAUCAGGUGGGAGUCGAUGAAAGUCCCAGCAUCAAAAUUUUUCUCCAUCACGAUAAAGGUUCCUUCCGGGCUGGCAGAUGCCCUCCGCCUCUUAGGAGUAUGAAUAAGUUCCACAUCAUCGUCAUCUUGGCGGGUAGAGGACGAGUGUCCGGCAAUGGCCGCCUCUUCGGGAGUGGGGGAAACCUGCACCCCGGCCGAAUUCAUUGCGGUAUCUUGGGGAGAGGGCACGGCCUGAUCCUUCUUCUCCUCGACAGGAUCUUCAGACUUCCCGUCGACCUUCUCGUCCGUCUUCUCCUCGUCACUAUCCUCUAAAAAGGUCUUAACCAAACCCUCGAGCCCUGUCACUGAAGCAGACAUCUCUACUACAACAAAGAAACAAAUGCGUCAUUCGUGAAGUCGGAAAAAGCAAAUUAAAUGAUAAGCAACACAAGAACACAAAGGCAAAAUAGCUCACAAAUAUAAUUCCGGGCGACCUCCCGGUCACCCAUAAGGAGGUGUGGGUUCACGUGGUUUUUUUCCGAAAACCGCGAACAGCACGUCGGCAAUCCUCUUAUUUUCAGGGGACAUCACCUUGUAGGUCACCUUGAUGAAAGUAUUAGACCCCGCCCCGAAGCUCCAAUACGUCGGGAUGAGGCGUUCACCCUCUAGCGACAACCAAAAAGGAUGACGACCUUUGACGGGACGAACCUUGAAAUACUUGUCUUUGAACCCAUGGUAGGAGUCCUCGAACAAGCCAAAUAUCCUCCGACCUUGGGCAGAUCAGAAAGACAGGAACCCUUUCUUCGCUUUCCCCUCCUUGGAAGGGUUAGUGAGAUUGAAGAAGAAAAGAAAGACAUUCACCGAUACCGGCAGCUCGAGAUAUUCACAACCCAUCUCGAAACAAUGGAUAGAGGCCCAGCUGUUCGGAUGAAGCUGCGAUGGCGAGACGGAUAUCCGAUUAAGAAGCGCCAUCUGGAAGUCGAAAAACGGCAUGCGAACGCCCACCUGGGUGAACAUGGCUUUGUAAAACCAAAUCCAGUCGGCAACCCAGGGGGAGUGAAAAUUGAUCUCGUACAGCCGCUCAUGGGGGGCAGGAACGAAGACGUCAUAGUUGGCCUUCUCGUCUGUCCCUCUGCAGAGAUACUCGGCUUGUCGGAAUUCGGUCAACUCCCCUCGUCCAUCUGGUUCAGGGAGUCCUUCAAAUCGGAAACAACCCAAGCAUAGGGGUCGUAACCCGCAGCAGAGGUGGAAGCCCGUGAAACGACGCGAGGCAUACCUACAGCGGGGGUACCACUCCGUUAGUCUAUGAGGUCGGGAAUCCGGGAAAAACCCAGGAACUACGUCCAUUCUAUUCAACAGUUAAGAUCAAGCAUGGCUACAUAUAUCUAUCAUGCAAGCUACCUAAAAGCCUACCCUGGAAUGGUACCCUUCCCCUAAUGCAUCUAUCUGGCACUAGAACACCAUCUACCAACAAAAUCAAAGACCAACAACAGCAAAAAUGCAGAACAAACACAAGCAACAAACAUACAGCAGUAAAGCACAGGAAGGCAAAAAUCGAGAGUUACCUGAAUUGAUUGCAGGAGCUUAGGAGGGAAAGGAGAGGCACAGGAAGGCUCGAACGAAGUCUUGGAUAUCAGGGAGUGAAGAAGAUGAGAGUAGCAAGAAUGGGAGAGAGAGAGAAGGAAGAAACUAUUUAAAAACCGCUACACAAAGCGCGAAAGGGCCAGGGGCAAAAUGGUCUUUGCGCGCAGGGUUUUGCAACUCAUUAUGAGCAUUUAAUGCUCAGCGCAAAGAACGAAGCGACGAACGGUCGUCUCAAUAACCAAGAGACACGCGCGUAGGGGGCACGUCCUUCCCACGGGUGGCCGACCUGACGACAACGCACGGAACGAGAAAUAACACGCCACUAAUAGCUUUCACGACUAUUACUGGCGCGUGGGGGCACUGUUGCGGCCUGGCCCAAACCCUCUACGGGUUGGCCCGACCCGGGCACCACCCGACCCAAACGGUCAGGGGCAGGGCGCCUUGCAGCCGAUUCGGAUACGCGUCCCUGACAGCUCACCUACAGCUGUGAGGAGAACGCCUCGAAGAAAGUGGGCCUGUCCUUGCAGGGCCCACCUCUGACACGGUAUAUAAGGGGAAGGUUUUACCCUUCCCCCAAGGUACGACACGCACAUUCUACCCCCCUUUUUCGCCUGCAUAUUUACUUACUAGAGCGUCGGAGUGUCUUUGCAGGUGACACCCCCUUUCCACGCGAAGUGCUCGGGACCUCGACUACGUCUAACCGGCAACCCACGACCAGACGAGGCCCCAUCACCAACCAGGAUACCAACCCGAACCAUCCGGUACCCGACUUACCGAACAGAUUUAUAUGUAAAUACCUAAAAAUCGAGUUUGUCCUAUUCGAUUUAUAUAGAUCUGUUUAGGACAUGUAUAAAACCAAUUUCUAUUCCUUAAUUUUAUAAUAAUAGACUAUACGAAAUAAAAAAAAACAUAAUUUAUACGUUAGCAUUCAUUUCAUUUUAAUAUAAGUCUUUAAUUUUUUCUAUUUAUUAAAAACAAUCAUAAAACAUUAAAUUACUAAAACUAGUAAAUAAAAAAUAUUUUUUUAACUUCUAAAGUCAUUUAUGUUUCAUUAAUUACUUAGUAAUUUUCAAAUUUUCUUAUCACUUAAAUACUCUUUUAUUUUGAUUUUUUUAUAUAUAUAUAUAACCUAAAUUUUUAUUCCUAUUAAAUAUAAUUAUUUAAUUAAUCUCUGAUUUUAACGUGUCUACAGAAUNNNNNNNNNNNNNNNNNNNNNNNNNAUUUGAUUAUUAUUAUUGUCACAAAUUAAAUACUCAACAAAAAAUAUAAAAAUAUAAUUUUUUUAUUAACGUGAACUGAUUAAUAUUAAACACAAAAAAUAGAAUUUUUUUUUCAUUAUCAACAUAAAAAAUCUAAACAUUUUUUUUACCAAAAAUAAAAAGAUUCCAAUCUGCAGCCUUAAAAAAAAAGAGGAAGACUCGUAUAAAGAUUGGCAAAACAACUUUUUUUUAAGUUACUGAUGUGUCACUCUCUCUCAUUUUUCGUAUCUCAUUACGCUUGCCCAAGUUUUCUCCUUCUAUCAGCAUUGGUCUCUCUCACUGUCUCCGACAAGCUCAUCGUCGGUCUCUUCCUGUCUCCGAUCUCGCGUGCCUUCCUUGCCCUCUUCGUCACUGGCGGCAGUGGCAGCAGCUCCCUGACCUAGACGUCGUCGCCGCUCCAUGUCUUGUCACUGCCUCGCAGUCAGUCUCGCGCCGUCAUUGCGUUCGUCGACGUCGAGACAGAAGCAGCAGGUCCCCGACUUCCUCCUCGCCUUCAGCAACUCCUCGACUUCCUUUGCACAACCUACUCCCAACGUCUCUUUUGUAUUUGGUUGUUGUGUUUGAUUUUUUUUGUCAAAAAUAAUCACAUUGAGUGAAGAUCACCAAUAUGGGCACAUGGGUAUUCAUAAAAAGAUGAACUGUAUGAAUGAUUGAAGCCAAAAUUGGGAUUUUUACUAUUUUAUUAAUAAUUGUAUAAUUGGGAUCAAACAGAAUUAAAUGGGUUAUGCAAAAAACUGGUAACUAAAAUUAAAAUGGAUUUUGAAAUAAGUAGUGAUGAAAGGGACAGUAAUAUAAAAAAAAUAUAAUGGCAGAGGUAAAAUUGAAACGGAAAAGGAAAUGAAGUAAAAUUCAAUUGAGAAAAGUAAUACCAAAAAAACAAUAUUACAUAGCUAGAGUUCCUGUCCGAAUUUAAAGUGCUAGAAAGAUGCCAAUCAUAUACAGAACUCAAAGAAGAAGAAGAACAAGAAGAAUUUGGAGGUGUAGUAGCACUAGUAGUGUUCCAAUCACUAACACUCUUGUUCUCCUCUUCAUCAUUUUCAUUAUUAUUAUCACCAUAGUUUACAAGCAUACCACCCUCAAACAUGUAACUAAGUUUCAUAAUUUCAUCAUCUAACCAUUCAUAUGCUCCCAACUCCUCAUCAUUAAAAGCUUCAUCAUGAUCAGCAUUAUUCUUUUGAAUGCUUGGUUGCUGAAGCAUUAUCACCUCUUUUGUGUCCCUUAACUCUAAGUUCUUAUUAGGUGCAGUAGAUCGAGUAGGUGCUCUUCUCUUGGAAGCUUUUAAUGCAGCAAUGUCAAUGGUGGGAGGGAAGGAGGAAUAAUCAUUCAAAGAUUUCAUGAAGCAAUAAAUUUUCCUCCUGAGAUGAGAGUUCCAAUAGUUCUUUAUCUCAUUGUCUGUUCUUCCUGGUAAAUGCCCUGCUAUCACUGACCACCUACAAUUAUUACAUACCAAACAAAACAUCAUCAAAAUAGAAUUAACUAUUUCCCACUCAGAUACAAGAAACUACUUUGGUAAAUUAUGAUUUACUCAUCGUUUGAGCAUUUUAGGCAAUUUAAUACCUUCUGAUAUAGGUGCAGUAACAGAUUGUUAAACUGAUUUAUUUUCUUUUUUACUUUCCAAUUGUCAUGACAGGUUUAUUGUCUUAGUUGGCUAUGAAUAUUUCAAUAACAGAUUAAAUAUGCAAAUAUUUCUUGUGUUUUACAUCAAGCCUCAUUAGUUUUGAUAAUAAAAUUUGAAUAUUCUCAAUCCAAAUCCAUAUCAUGGCUUGUAAUUAAAAGCCAGACAUAAUGGAUAAUUCGAUCUGGAUAUAGUGAUUAGCACUUGCUGGAUGAUACAGCAUUAUGUGGUUUAUUUAUAUAUGAGGUGUGACUCUAUCAAUGCUUAUGCUAAUUUAUUUAAGGAUAUUUCUUCUUGUAUUUUGUUUCUCAUUUCUACAUUUUAUAAAUUGGUGUCCUUUCUUGUCUGUGUAUAUUUUAGGCCAAAAUUGUUUGCUUUUUGUCUAAAAAAGAUUGGUUUUUGUUCCUUAUAUUCUUCCUCCUCCUUGCUAUGGAAUGAGAAAACUUGGAACUAUCACAAGUGUGUUGCCUUGCUCUUUAUUUUGAUAUUCUAUUCUAUGAAGAUUUAUGUUCUGUUCUGUGAAAGAAAAUGCAUAGAAAUUUAGCUGUUAACCCUUUUGAAAAUUGAAGCCUCUUGUGUUCUCUGCUUUUUCUACUUAAGUUUAGUUUUCCAAUGCAUAGUUUAUGGAUUAAAUUAAUGUCAGGAGCCUCAGAGUUUGAUGUUGUCAAUGUGAUUCUUGAGGAGGGACCAAUCAUCCUACAUAUUUUUAGUAUAUUCUAUCACUUGGUUUCACAUGUUAGUAUUUUAAGAUUCAUAUAGACUGAUUAUUUUAGUCUUAUCUGUUUUUGUUCUUUUCAUGCAACAAUCGCUUGAUUCUUUGUUUAGACUAUAUGCCAAGACUAUUCUUUGUUUAAACUCAUGGUCACCUUGCUGCACGCAAAGUUAGGGAUUCCCUGCCUAUCAAACUUCUUUCUUUUUUGCAUUCCGGUGAAUCGAGGCGAAACGGAUCAGGAUAAACUAAAUUCCAUGUGGAGACAAGCUUUCAUGAAGGCAUAUAAGGCCAUGGACAAAGAGCUGAGGUCUCAUCUGAAUCUGGAUUGUUUCUGUAGUGGGAGCACGGCUGUAACCAUAGUGAAGCAGGUAGCAGCUCAAUGAGUAGUGCAUUCAAUUGCUGCAUAUACUUCAUUGCUUCUUUCACUGACAGUUCUAUGUUGUUCACUUUCCAGGGAUCAAAUCUGUUCAUGAGCAACAUAGGGGAUUCCUGAGCAAUCAUGGGAUCCAAAGACAGUAAUGACUCCAUGGUGGCAAUUCAGUUGAUAAUUGAUUUGAAACCUGAUUUGCCAAGUUAGUUUUGUCAUCAUUGUUCAUCCUUUCUCAGUCUAUGUUUUUGCUUUGAGAUAGCUUAUCUGAAUUUUUUACAGGGGAAGCUGAAAGAAUCAAAAGGUGCAAGGGCAGGGUAUUUGCCUUGCAAGAUGAACCAGAAGUUCCAAGGGUGUGGUUACCUUUUGAUGAUGCACCUGGAUUAGCAAUGGCUAGAGCAUUUGGCGAUUUUUGUUUGAAGGAUUACGGUGUCAUUUUUAUACCAGAAUUUUCUCACCGGCUUCUUACAGACAAAGACGAGUUCAUUGUUCUUGCCUCGGAUGGAGUAAGACUUUCGAAAAUAUAUCUGCUUUUAUUUGUUCUUGUGGUCUCAGUUGCCACAGUAAUAUUACAAUUAUCGCUAAAGUCUCGCAGCAUAGAGCAUUUGCAACAUUUUCUGUUUCCUAGAUGCAUAGUUUUUUCUUGUUUUGUUGUUUUGGUCCAUGUGAAAGUCAUCAAAUCAAAGUAACUUAGUUUAAGCUAUGUAUAACUUGCUGUAGGAAAAUUUUGCUAUGCAUAAUAGUUCUACCCAUGUAAGCAAGAAAAGCAUGUCAUUCUCAUCUAUGUGUAUGUUUACUUUUGUAAGUGAAUAGACAUAUGAUAUGGUGAAUUUGAAUCCAACACUUGAAAAAUUUUAACUAGUUCUUGUGUUUCUUUUUAGGCUACUUAUGCUUAAUAUCCAUCUUGGUAUUUUGUGCAGGUUUGGAAUGCGUUAAGCAAUAAACGUCGAUUUUUGGCGUGGAAAAUAUACUAUUUCUUCUAAUGCGCUUUAAACAGAAUAGAUUUUUNNNNNNNNNNNNNNNNNNNUUAUUUUUGUAGAAUAGAAAGGUAGAGAAAGAUAUAUAGAAAAUGAGAGAGAAAAGAAAAAGAAAGAUAACAAAAAAGAAUGAGAGAGAGAAUUUGUUAAUUUUGGAGGGAAAUAAUAUUUUAUUUUAAUUGUAAUAAAAAAAUAUCUCAUGAUACAUUUUGAUUUUUCAAAUUUGUAAUAUAGAAUAUAAAUUAUAAGUUAUAUAUAGAGUGAGAAGGGUAGAGAGAAAUAGAAAACGGAAGAAAGGUAGAUAAAACGAUGGAAAGAGGGAGUUUAUUAAUUUUGAAAAAAAUUAUUUCAUCCCAAUUUUAAUGAGAGGGUGUUACAUAUGUGACAUUGACAUAUAUAUCUUGCUUGUUAAAUUAAUAAUAUAAUAUAGUUAUAUUUUAAUUUUAAUUUAAUUUUGAUUACAAUUAAAGAAUAUCAUAAUGCAUAUUUUAAUUGUCAAAUUUGUAAUUAGUAAUUGAUAAUAAUGUAUAAAGCUGUUUGUUACGGUACGAUGAUAAAUUCAAUCUUAAUUUUAUAAAUUUAAAUAAUUAAAACAACAAAAUAAAAACAUAUUAAAAAAACAAAAAAUCAAAAUUUUUCUUCAUUUUAUGUUAAAUAUAUUAAAAAAACAAAAAACUAAAAUUGUUCUUCAUCUAGAAUUCAAAAACCUUCUCAUUCACCCAUAUGAAGAAUUCAGUCUUCUUCCUCUUCUUCUCUCCUCUUCCUAUCCUCUCUCUCUGUCUCUCUCUGCUCCUCGAUCUCUCUCAUCUGUCUCUGCGUCGCACGCAAGACGCCAACAUUUUGCUGGGAUGCCCUAGCCAAUUACCCAACCUAGCAACCUUAGCUCCACACAACGGCUAAAGGCGAACCCAUCCUUCCCAUCACCCUCGAGCUCCUCCUUCCUCUCUCCGUCAUCGAUCUCACUCCUUCACCUCCGUCCAUCUCCCGCCGCCGUCGCCGAAACGAGCUUCGAAGCCACCGUCGUUAUCGUGCAGCUCUGUUCCACCAUCGUGCAGCUACUGUUUCAGUUUUGAAAGCACCACGCAGCUCGGUUCCAUCGUCGCCGGGCUCGCCUCCUUUUUCCGUCGAGCAGCUCUAUUCCAUCGUCGCCGGCGCUAUCUCUGUUCCACCUGUUAUCCCUUCGGUCGUGCCCUUGUCCCCCUCUUGCUCAGGAUCUGCCCUGCUCUGUUAUAGGGCUUCUAGAUUCUAGGUAAUUUUUUUAUAACAAUUAUUGAAUAAUUGUUGUUAGUUAAUUUGUGAACUUGUUAUGGGUUGAAUAAUUGUUGAAUAAGUGUUAAUUAAUCUCUAAAUCUUACUGUUUUUACUGUGAAUUACUCCAUUGUUAAUGAUUCUGAUAAUCCAUUGGUGAAUAAGUGUUAAUUAAUCUGUCUCUAAUACUGUCAAGAGUAUGCUUAACUUAUUGGCAUCAUUCUUAUAGUUGGAUCUUUCAAAUUGGUUUCCGAGGAACUUCAAAAUUUUGAAGUGAAUAAUAUCUCACAUUCUCCUUUCAUUUCGCUUUUUUACAGACGAAAAUGGAAGCUAUGUGCCCUUCAAGGUAACUUUUCUCUUAACCUUACUGUCCAAGCUAUUUAAAUUUCAUUUUUCAGUGAUCUUCUAAACUUAAUGACCAUGUUUUCAUUUUCCUUUUCAGCAAUGGAGGUUUGACAAUCUCAGCACAGUUUUUCUGUCAUUGAUCAUUCUUUUCAUUUGAGUUUGAUAUCAAGACAGUGAAGGUAAGGACUUUGUGCUGUUCUAUUGUUUCUGCAGGGAAAGGUCUAUCCGGUGGCGUUAUUGGUGGAAUAUCUGUUGGAAUAGUAGCAGCACUUCUGUUAUUGGUAUUUUGUGUUUAUGUUAAAUGUUAUAGAAGAAGGAAGAUGUGGAACAAAAAAUUGGUAGCUAAAGAUUCCAGCGAGAACUUUGUUCUCCAAGGUAUAUGGAUUUCGACUUAUAUUUUAUCUAAUAGCAUGCUUGGAUUAGUAACUCUUAUACAUUGUCCCUCUUUCAGGCGAAACCUCUCAUAAUGCCAAAAACAGAACUUCAGCUUCUGAUGAUACUAGUAUUAUAGGUGUUAAGGUAGAAAAAUCAGCAGAGUUUUCGUAUGAGGAACUAGCCAAUGCCACAAAUAACUUCAGUUUGGCUAAAAAGAUUGGUCAAGGUGGUUUUGGUGAAGUCUAUUAUGGAGAAAAUGGCGAGGUUCAUAAUUUCUCUGUGUUGCUAGUUUUGAUUACAAGUAUUUGAAAGAAAAGUUGCAUAUAUUUUUUUAUUAAUGAGAAACUAAAUUGCAGUUCUUUUAGUUGAAUAGAUGCUGCAUGCAUAGUCAAGUUUUAUGUAUGAUAAUACUGUUAGGACUUAGGAUAACUAACAUUUCAAUUGUUACUUUCUUCUAUCUUUCCACUUUGGCUGAAGUUUUCUCUGAUAACACAGAGAGCUGCAAUUAAGAAGAUGGACAUGAAAGCAUCAAAAGAAUUUUUGGCAGAACUGAAAGUGUUGACGCGUGUUCAUCACUUAAACUUGGUAAUCUUUCUCACAUAUUCCAUAGAUUGUUUCCAACUAUGUUCAUAUGAUCUUUCUGUUUCAAUGUUUCACUAUUUUUCGAUAACAAUAUAGGUACGCUGAUUGGAUAUUGUGUCGAGGGCUCUCUUUUCCUUGUGUAUGAAUAUAUCGAAAAUGGAAACUUAAGCCAACAUCUGCGAAAUUCAGGUAAUAUAAGCACAUGAUAUGAUACAUAUCUAUGUUCAGAAUUCAGUGCUUAAUGAUAAACUGUUAUCAUUUACCAGAUAGUGAGCCUUUACCAUGGUCUACCCGGGUUCAAAUUGCUCUGGACUCGGCUAGAGGACUUGAAUACAUUCAUGAGCAUACAAUGCCUGUAUAUAUCCAUCGCGAUGUAAAGUCGGAAAAUAUUUUAUUAGACAGAAACUUCCGUGGAGAGGUACGAUACAUCUCAAUAAAUUCAAUGAACUUGUUACCUUUUUUUGUUUUCUUGUAUAAUUCUGAGAUACUGCAUUGCAUUGUUUUGCAGGUUGCGGAUUUUGGACUGACCAAGCUGAUUGAUGUUGGAAGCUCAUCAGCUCCAACUGCUAAUAUGGCUGGCACAUUCGGCUACAUGCCACCAGAGUAUGAUGAACUGUUUUCUCUCUAUUCAAUUUCUUUUGGCAAACUAAGGAUUAGAGUAUGCUAACUAUUAUACAUUAACUAAACUUGCAAAGUGUUGGUAGUUCUUUUUUUUUCCCAUUAAUUUAGUACAUAGUUAUGAGUUUAUGAAUGUUGAAAGAGUAUUCCUUGAUCUUCAUCUCCUUGUUUCCAAUAGCAAUAAAAGUAGAAGUUUUUCGGUCUUAACUUCACACAUUCACAUUCUAGAAAGGAAAGUGAGCUUUUUAGAUUUAAUAAUAGGAUUCUCUUAUUUGCAGAUAUGUAUAUCGAAGUGUUUCUCCCAAAAUAGAUGUAUAUGCUUUCGGAGUUGUUCUAUAUGAGCUUAUUUCUGCAAAAGAAGCUUUGAUGAGGAGUGGUGGUGCAUCUGGUGCUGAAUUGAAGGGCCUUGUGGCUUUGGUGAUUAUUAAUGACUUUGCUAUGGAGUUGCUUCAGAUCGAGAAGCAGCGCAAGGACGAAGCUCACAGAGAAGCCCUUAGAGUUCCCAAUGAGGAGCGCAAGAAGCUCAAGGCCGUAGCUGCGCAAAUCAGGGCUCAGGAGCACAAGAUCGCACAACAAGAAGUCAGAGAAACACUCGUGCGUUUUUCUUUUUCUUCUUCCCUCCCUUCUAUGAAUUUCGCUGUGCACACCAAGUGUUCGAUGGUUUGCUUAUUUGUUGGUUUGAGCUAAUAUGCACGUCAAAUGUUUGUUAAUUAGUCUCAAUGGAUAAUUAGGUAGAUAUAUGUGCUCAAUGUUGUGUUCGUGCAGACGAGGUGCUUGAUCUAAUGACUGAACUACUUUUGAAAUAAGUGUUGUUUUCUUUCUUUGGAGCCAUAAUGGCUUGUUGUUUUCUUUUUUUGAAAAUUGACUAGGCCUCAAUCUGGCUUUGAUUUUCCUUUCUGUGAUAUUCUUUUGCUUGGGCCAAAUGUAAAGGGUUAGAUUUUAUCUUUUGCAUUUGUAUACCACACACUAUUGAUUGACCCUUGUUCAUUGUCAUUGUUCAUUACUUAGCUACCUAAUCAACAUUUCUAAUAUGAUUGCAUUUAUGGUCUUUGUUUUGUAUUUAGCUGUCAGUUGGUUCAUUCUGGUUUAUACUUUACAUUGCUAAUCUGUCAAAAAAUCCAGUAAUAAAAUAGGAACUAGUUUCAUAUUUGAUUAUGCAACAUGUAGAAACAAUAAAAUAAGUCAAUAAUCAGCUGACAUGGAGUUUGGAGGUAUAGUUUUUAUAUUUUGGAAGUCUAGUUUUCGAAUCUUUCAGGUGCGCUAAAGAGAUACUUCGACCUAUUGUUGCACACAGCCUUGGUUUCAUGUGUUUAAGUUAAACCUCUUAUAGUCUUUUGAUGUGCUUACUGAUGUGUCAUUCUUAUGAAUCCAGUUAAAAGAAAGAGCUGAGAAACUUGAAAAUUGGAGGAUGAAGGUCAAAAAGCAUGGUGAGAAGAUGGCAGAAAAGAAAGAGUUAUUGCGUCGACAAAGCUCAAUGUGGAUCGAUGAAGCUAAUCUUGAGGCACAAAUGAUGAAGCUAAUCUUGAGGCACAAAUAUUGGAAUCCAUCGUUUCCUUUUGCUGAGUCCCUUAUAUUUCCACAUUUGUUAUGGUUGGGAUCAGUGUUGUGUUAUCUGUUACAUAGAAGUUAUAUUUUUGUCCUAUGUUCAAUCAAGGUUGCAUCAUCAUGCAAAUAACUUAUGCAUUUGGAGUAUGGUUAACCACUGCCACAUUCAAGAUGCAUAAUACACAUGGAAAUAAGUCUGGAUAUUUUGGGUUAGUCUGGGAUUAUAGAGCAAGUACUAACGUACCAAGUUUGCAUGCUUGAGUGUACAAUGAUUUUUCUUUUUUUCCCAAUAGACGUGACUUGCUAGUGAUUGCACUUGAUGCAUAUAUGGUAUACCCUAAUUUAGAACCAUUGCAAGAACUAGUAUUUUUCUUUUAAGCUUACGCGAUUUAGAUUUUCCUUAACCCAAAUGUUGUUUUGCUCACGGUUUCUUAGCGUGUAGAAUCAAUCAAACUACGAGCACCGCCAGUAAAUGAUGAUAGCGAGAUAAUUAUUUAGCAUAAAGCUAGGUUACAUUUUCCUUAAGCAAUCAGGUAUUCAACAUAGAUUUACAUUUCACGUUAAACUUCAGUGAAUUAUUAUGCAAAUAUUCUCCGUCAAUGAUUUUUGUUAUUAUUUUUUCUUUGUCAAUUCAUAGCUUUUUGCUUUUCAGCUAUCCACUGCUCACAACAAAGACCUUUGCUUUAGUGUUACACAGCGACUGAGCCCAGAUAUGAAUUGAAUUCACACCACUUUGUUAAAAGACCUAGUGAGAUAAUCACUAAAUCACAUUCUAUGAUUAUAGGUAGAUAUUUUCAUCUGACAAUAAUUUAUUUGGUGGAGAAAGACAGACACAAUCCAUCACCCUCUACAAUCCAUCACCCUCAACAAUCACGUUCUAAGAUUUUAAUAACAUAACUAUUUGUUCCAUCUUUUUCAAGUUUCCAUAGCCUUCACUUAAUAAAAUAAGUUAAAUGAAGUUAGAGAAAACAAAGCUGGGAAAAAUUACGGCUGCAGAAGAAUAAAAGCACCUAUCGAUUUCUUGGCAUCUAUAUUUUCCAGUCAAUGGUCUGAAAUUAAUAAUCUACAGGCAGUAUGGUUCACGAGGAUCAAUAAUAAAGCUAAGCAAAUAAGUAUUGACAUUGCCACUUCUCCAAAGAGUUCAGAUGAUAAGCAACGACAUCAAAGAAGCAUAGCUUGUGAAGAUGAAACAGAACCAUCUUCUUAGUCUUCAAAUUCAUUCUGGUGAUCCAAAAGAUAGUUGGCUGCCAGGUCCUCGUUUUUGUUGCAUGCAAAGAACACCUCCAACACAAGAUCUCUAUCAAAUCCCAUAUCUUGAAGCUGCAAAAGAACAACAUAGGGACAAGAAUAAGAUACUAACACUAGCAAGUAGUACAUCAUAAACAAAUUUCAACGGAGAGCAAUCUCAAUGGCUUACCCUUUGAAUAGCCUCAUUCUCUUCUGGGGUGACAGUGAUGGUCUGGGGCACUGCAGAAGCCAACUCACUUGGUAGAUUCCUGAUCAAACAAUUCAAAACAACCUUAGCAUACCCAUGUCUUAUGAAGUCAAUAAAAUCCCAGAUACAUUGGGGACUCUGCAUUUAUACACGCGGGGAUUAUAGGAUGUGUUUACUCAUACAAUCUGAAUAUGGAAAACUUUAAAAAAAAAAAGCUGCAGACUUUAGAAAUUCAUCAUCUUACUCUUCUCCAUCAGGUUCAUUUAUAAAUUCAAACAGCUUUUUCAAAUCUUGACGGCCCGAGCGAGAUUGCAAAACAGGUGCUACAACAUAAGUGGGAUCUGAAAGAAGUGAUCAAUAUUUCAGGCAUUCAAUAAGCCCAACAACACAUGAAGUCAGUAUUUUGUAUUAACAACUCCUGGAGAGGCAGCAGCUAUGUAUGAGCGUGAGAAUCCAUCAACCCAGAUAAAGGAGCUUCAAAAAUGAAGAAUGUAUGAACUUGAGAACUACACAGAUUAAUCUAGCACAUUAAUUGUCAAAACAAUUUAAAUAUGCUGUGACAGUGAAACAUGCAAGUUAAAAAUUUUGCAACUUUCUUAUGCUUGUGUGAUUCAUACAAGAAAGUUGUAACAGAAUAUAUCAUUACAUUCGCAACUACUGGCCAACGAAAACAAGGUCACCAUGGUAAUGAUACAAUUUCAAGCUAAAUAUCAUUAAAUUAAAGUAACUAAUCAAGAGUGUUUAAGAGCUAACUUAACCCUCUUUCAUAUCAGGAAAAAACCAACCAAUGACACAAACAACAAUUCUAAAAGCACAACGCCAUAACCAGAAGCGAUGAAAUUUUUUCCAUUCUUGCGAGAGAAAAAAGGCCAAAAAAAAAGCACAUACCUGCUGAAUAAUGGUAGCAGGAAACGUAGUUGAGUUGGCCAGAUAAACCCAAAAGCAGAGAGAAAAAGUUCCAUCCUUCACUUCAAUUUCAGCUCUUAAAUCUUUCAGCAGAGAGUACCCUGCAUUCCCUAUUGCAUCCGUGAACAUAAUUUCUUCUUUUUUUUGUUUUUGCUCUCUGUAAAACUUUGGUCUCUCAAGCAUAGCCUAAUUGAUUGACAAAUUGUGAAUGAAACUGAAGUCAAUGAAGACGCAUUAAUCAAAUUUAAUUGAUUGUACAAAAGAAACCCAAGGUAGAAGCAUUCUUUCGUAGUCACAGAGAAAUUUAGCAUUGUAUUCUGUAAUUGAGUAUUUACAGCUCCAUACCAAGUAAGAAACAUACUGAAUUUAUUUGAAUCAUUUAUGUCGGUCUCACCUCAUAUUCUUCAUGGUUUGGUACAGAAUUAAAGAGACAAAAUGUGUUUGAUAUUCUAUGAUCAUCUUAAUUCAUAGAGGGAAAAAAAACAACUGAAUUGGAAGCUUAUCUCAAGCUUAUCUCACAAUGAUAUUCUAAGUGUAUCAUAUUUAUAAUCCAAUGAUACUCUUACUUCUAAUUUGACAAACAGUACACUUGCAUAUCUUACUUAUUGGUUUUUAACACAAGAACAAAAUCAGAAUACAGAACAUAAUAACUCAACAAUUAUAUGAAAAUUAAAAAAGGAACAAAAGAACAAAACUAUCCUCAUACAUUAACACCAAAACUAAUUUCAGUUCUCAAUCAAUUGAUUCAGCGCAAAAUUAGCUUCUUAAGAAAAUAAAAUUAACUCAAGAACAGAACAGAAAAACAAAUAGAAGCAGUGAAAAAUCAAACAAAAAAAAAAUCAAGAAUCAACCUGAGUCAGAGGCUCCAUUCUUGAUGAUGCAGACAGAGAGUGACAGAGUACAGGGAGGAGUGGAGGAAGACGUGGUGGCUGCCAGAAAGGGAGAGGCGCUGGACGACGACGGCUGGACGAGGCUCGACGAUGGAGGGCGAAGGGACAUUCAAAGAACUUCCAUAGAGGAGAAAGAAGCAGUAUUUGGCCAGUGGUUUAGCCUUCCUUCUCCUCUUUUAGGUUCUUUAAAUUUCGUGAGUGACUAGUUACUAAGAUCAAUGUAGUCAAUUAUUGUUAGGGUUUUGCCGUUUUGGUUUGCUUUAGAGGGGAGGGGGCACGAAUGAUAUUGGAGAGGAUGAAGAACAGAUUGAUUUUUUAUAUUUUUGAUAUGUUUUGCUUUGCUUCAAAGGAAGAUGAAUGAUUAGGGGAAUUAGAAAAACUGAAGAACGAUUGAUUUUUAUUUUUUUUAAUAUGUUUUUGUUUUGUUAUUUAAAUUAAUUGAAAUUAUAAAAUUAUGAUUAAUUGAAUUCUAAAAUUUGAUUGAUUUAAAAGGGUAUUUUUGUCUAAUCAAAUAAAAUAAGGAUGUUUAAGACUUUUUAUAAAAUUAAAUUAAAAAUAUAUUUUUAUUUUUAUUUAAUUAAAGGGGAUGUAUUAGUAAAAGUGUUGAUAUAAUAUAUAUUUAAAAAAGAAAAAAUUAAAUGUUGACGUGGAAAAUAAAUUCCAUGUGAUUUGUUACUACUUGUCCAUAGUUUAAACGUAUCGGUACAUAUAAAUUUAUCAUCGUACCAUAGCAAUCACCUAAUUUUUAUCUCUACCAAAAUCUCUCUUUCUAAUCUUCUCCAAUUCUCUCUUUCUGCAGAUUCCAAUUCUCCAAAUUCCAAUUCACUAACACUUUCUUCUUCACUUACACCUUCCUCCUCUUUCAUUUCUCUCUUUCACUCUUUUUUUUCAAGUUUUUCACUUUUCACCUUUAGACUCACCUGAUGAGAAACUAACGACCACAAAAUUUCACAAUCUGUGUAGUUUAUUUCAUGUGUAAUUCAUGGAAAAGAUCAAAGUUAUGAAGCAUUUAUUUACUAUACUUUUGUAAUAUUUAUAUUAUAUAGAUUAAAAGGGUACUAUAGUCUAUAUAGAUUCGUUGAUAGUGGUGGCAACAAGGACAAGUUGGAUUAUACAAAAGAAAGAAAGAUAAUGAGGAAACACGUGCAUGCUCCAUGAAGAUUCAGUUUAUGUAUAUUUUGAGGAUAUCUUAUAUUAUAUAGUUAUAUCUUAUAUAUAUUAUAUAGUUAUAUCUUAUAUGAAUAAUGCUAGGUAGACAAAAAAAACAGUCAAAAUUUGCUUUAUUUAACAUUUAUUAAUUGUCGCAACAAUUAAUGAAUGUUAAAUAAGGCAAAUUAUGGCUGUUUUUGGCUGAUUUUAUUUGGUUACCAAACAUUUCCGUAUUAUAUUAUAUAUAUCCUUGUAAACGUGAAAAUGUUGUAGUCUUAUAUUUUAUUCAUUACAUAAUUUAAUACGUACGUUAUUCUAUUAAAAAACUAUAAUGGAAGUACCAAAAAAGUGCUAGCUUUAAUUAUGACUACAUCAUAUGCAUGUUUUGUAUUAUAUUUUGGUUUGUAAUGGAAGUACCAAAAAAGUGCUAGCUUUAAUUAUGACUACAUCAUAUGCAUGUUUUGUAUUAUAUUUUGGUUUGUGUACACUCUAAAUUUUCUGUAUGAAAAGUGUUAGGGGUUAACACUUUUGUUAAAUUAUGACCAGCACUUAAUUAUCAAAAGAAAAUUGAAUGAUUCUAUACUAUUAGAUAUAAUUUCACACCAUUAAAAAUAUCAUUAAUGGCUAAAAACUACAAAAUCUGCUAGUCCCCUAAAAUUUUUCUUUCUGUAUUAUAUAAAGACAAAAAUAUAAAAAUAAUGAAAUAUAGAGGAUGAAGUUAUUCAUCUUGAUUAAAACAUAAAAUUAUUUAAUAAUUUUUAAAUAUUAAUUUUACAUAAAAUAACUUCAUGUUAAUUUUUACUUUUAAAAAAAAUCUAAGAUUUUGAAGUGACACGAAAAUAACUUGAUCCAAAUAAAAAAUCUCUUUCUUUUAUUUUUAUUUAUGGUUCUAAGAAUCAUACCGAUUUGUUCGGUUCAAUCACAUUAAUUGAAAAUCAAUUAUUAGGUAAGUUCAAUUCAAAUAAAAAUUUAGUGGAUAACAAAUCAUUCAAAGAAUAAACCGAUUAACCCAUGAAACCAGUGCAGUUUUUUGUUAGCAGUUUUACUUGAGUAUAAUAUAAGGAGACACUUAGAUAAAGAUAUUUAAAACGUUUUUUUUUUAAAAUAUUUUUUAAUAAUUAAAUUUAAUAUAUAUAAUUAAUUAAAUCUUAUUAUUUAUAUAUAUAUAUAUAAAAAGAGAAUUUUAGUNNNNNNNNNNNNNNNNNNNNNNNNNNNNNNNNNNNNNNNNNNNNNNNNNNNNNNNNNNNNNNNNNNNNNNNNNNNNNNNNNNNNNNNNNNNNNNNNNNNNNNNNNNNNNNNNNNNNNNNNNNNNNNNNNNNNNNNNNNNNNNNNNNNNNNNNNNNNNNNNNNNNNNNNNNNNNNNNNNNNNNNNNNNNNNNNNNNNNNNNNNNNNNNNNNNNNNNNNNNNNNNNNNNNNNNNNNNNNNNNNNNNNNNNNNNNNNNNNNNNNNNNNNNNNNNNNNNNNNNNNNNNNNNNNNNNNNNNNNNNNNNNNNNNNNNNNNNNNNNNNNNNNNNNNNNNNNNNNNNNNNNNNNNNNNNNNNNNNNNNNNNNNNNNNNNNNNNNNNNNNNNNNNNNNNNNNNNNNNNNNNNNNNNNNNNNNNNNNNNNNNNNNNNNNNNNNNNNNNNNNNNNNNNNNNNNNNNNNNNNNNNNNNNNNNNNNNNNNNNNNNNNNNNNNNNNNNNNNNNNNNNNNNNNNNNNNNNNNNNNNNNNNNNNNNNNNNNNNNNNNNNNNNNNNNNNNNNNNNNNNNNNNNNNNNNNNNNNNNNNNNNNNNNNNNNNNNNNNNNNNNNNNNNNNNNNNNNNNNNNNNNNNNNNNNNNNNNNNNNNNNNNNNNNNNNNNNNNNNNNNNNNNNNNNNNNNNNNNNNNNNNNNNNNNNNNNNNNNNNNNNNNNNNNNNNNNNNNNNNNNNNNNNNNNNNNNNNNNNNNNNNNNNNNNNNNNNNNNNNNNNNNNNNNNNNNNNNNNNNNNNNNNNNNNNNNNNNNNNNNNNNNNNNNNNNNNNNNNNNNNNNNNNNNNNNNNNNNNNNNNNNNNNNNNNNNNNNNNNNNNNNNNNNNNNNNNNNNNNNNNNNNNNNNNNNNNNNNNNNNNNNNNNNNNNNNNNNNNNNNNNNNNNNNNNNNNNNNNNNNNNNNNNNNNNNNNNNNNNNNNNNNNNNNNNNNNNNNNNNNNNNNNNNNNNNNNNNNNNNNNNNNNNNNNNNNNNNNNNNNNNNNNNNNNNNNNNNNNNNNNNNNNNNNNNNNNNNNNNNNNNNNNNNNNNNNNNNNNNNNNNNNNNNNNNNNNNNNNNNNNNNNNNNNNNNNNNNNNNNNNNNNNNNNNNNNNNNNNNNNNNNNNNNNNNNNNNNNNNNNNNNNNNNNNNNNNNNNNNNNNNNNNNNNNNNNNNNNNNNNNNNNNNNNNNNNNNNNNNNNNNNNNNNNNNNNNNNNNNNNNNNNNNNNNNNNNNNNNNNNNNNNNNNNNNNNNNNNNNNNNNNNNNNNNNNNNNNNNNNNNNNNNNNNNNNNNNNNNNNNNNNNNNNNNNNNNNNNNNNNNNNNNNNNNNNNNNNNNNNNNNNNNNNNNNNNNNNNNNNNNNNNNNNNNNNNNNNNNNNNNNNNNNNNNNNNNNNNNNNNNNNNNNNNNNNNNNNNNNNNNNNNNNNNNNNNNNNNNNNNNNNNNNNNNNNNNNNNNNNNNNNNNNNNNNNNNNNNNNNNNNNNNNNNNNNNNNAUAUAUAUAUAAAAAGAGUAUUUUAGUUAUUUUUUAUAAUAGAGAUAUUAUAGUCAUUUUUUAUAAAAAAAUAUUAAUUUAGAUCAGUUCAAAAUUUAAUUUAUUAGUUUUUCGACUAAAUUAAUUUGUUUGAUCUAAUUUUAAUAAAAAUGUAUAUGAUAUGGUCGUCAUAAAUGAGCUAUAAUUCGGCAUGAUCCGUUAUAGCUCCUCCAUUCAUGAGCCAUAACUCAGUCAGAUAAAUGCUCCCAUCAUAACCGACGACAAAACGGUACACAAUUAAGAUACGUUACCCACCUUUUCGUAACCGACCUUAAUGCUAAAAACGUAACGGCCGAACAAUUUACCAUAUAAAGCAAGGUAAAGUAUUUUCUUCGGUAAGUGACAAAUAGUACAAUAUACUGACUUAAGCUUCGGAGUGCCUUUGCAGGUACACUCCCUCCUCAUUUGUUCGCACGGUUCACGUCACAUUGAGAAGAAAGCUCGGACUCAAGGAUUGGACGCUCAGCCACCGAGGUGAUAGCUCGGCAAGCAUUCAUCACUAAAGGCCAAUCUAUUUUACAAGCAAGAACAAUUGGCGCCCACCGUGGGACCGAAGAAAUAAGUCUUUUCUUUUGGUCCUUCCACCUUCACUUAUGCUCAUGGCUGACGUACCACCUCCUUCACCAUCCGAACUUCUGAGGAUGGUAACCGAGUUACAACAGGCUAAUCAACGUAUGGCCGAGGAAAACCAAAGAAUGGCCGCCCAGAUUACCGAACUGAACAACGCUCGGAUCGAGAAUAACGACACUCAUCACCAACGACCAGAGGAUGAUGAACAUCAUUCUGGCCCUUCCCAUGUCUCGGAGACCAUCCGGGUUGAGGGAGCUCAACCUGAAGAUGAAAACGCCGAAUCCGACGAGCUCAUGGGUCCUUUCACGCCAGAAGUAAUGAACUUUGAGCUACCGCGAAGGUUUACCUUACCACUAACUCUCACGCCUUACGAUGGGCUCGGAGAUCCGAAGAAGUUCCUCAAGAAAUUCCGAUCAAUAAUGAUCAUUAACGGUGCAUCAGAUACUGUCUUAUGCCGUUGUUUUUCGAAUUAUUUAGACGGCCCUGCACUUGAUUGGCUUUGUGCUUUGCCUGCAGGUUCCAUCUGACGAUUUCAGCAACUGGCCAAGCUGUUUGAAGAACACUUCGCUGGAUCCACAAUAUAUCUGCAUGACUCUGACUAUCUGAAUACCAUCAAGCAGGGGCAAAACGAAAGUUUGAAGGACUAUAUGACUCGUUUCACAAAAGUCGCCAUCAACAUACCCGACCUCCACCCCGAAGUCCAUUUGCAUGCAAUUAAAAGUGGCCUCCGACCUGGAAAGUUCCAGGAAACAAUUGCGGUUGCCAAGCCUAAAACCCUUGCCGAGUUCCAGGAAAAAGCCAAAGGCCAAAUCGAUAUCGAAGAGCUCAGACAAGCUCGAAAGUCUGACAAAACAAGCUACAGAGACGAUGAUAAAACUCCAAAUAGUAAGAAAGGUUUUCAACUAACACCUCAUUUUGAUUCUUAUACGUAGUUUAACACUAAGCGGGAGGAUAUCAUCAAAGAAAUUCUAAAUUCAAAACUCAUCAAACCACCAAGAAAGGCCGGCACCUACCAAGACACUAAGAACGUAGACAAAUCCAAAUAUUGUGCCUUCCACCAGAAGCACGGCCACACCACCGAUGACUGUGUGGUAGCAAAGGAUCUCUUAGAAUGGUUAGCUCGGCAAGGCCAUCUCGAUAAGUACAUUGGAGGUCACAUUCAAAAACGUUCCUGAUGAGCGGAUAAUUUAUACGCUUUCUGGCAUUAUUUUUACAUAGUUUUUAGUAUGAUUUAGCUAGUUUUUAGUAUAUUUUUAUUAGUUUUUAAAUAAAAAUCACAUUUCUGGACUUUACUAUGAGUUUUUGUAUUUUUCUGUAAUUUCAGGUAAUUUCUAGCUGAAAUUGAGGGACUUGAGCAAAAAUCUGAUUCAGAGGCUGAAGAAGGACUGCAGAUGUUGUUGGAUUCUGACCUCCCUGCACUCAAAAUAGAUUUUCUGGAGCUACAGAAACCCAAAUGGAACACUCUCAAUUGCGUUGGAAAGUAGAUAUCUAGGGCUUUCCAGCAAUAUAUAAUAGUCCACACAUUUCCCGAGUUUAGAUGACACAAACUGGCGUUCAACGCCAGCUUUCUACCCUAUUCUGGCGUUAAACGCCAGAAACAAGUUGCAAAGCAGAGUUAAAUGCCAGAAACAAGUUACAAACUGGCGUUCAACUCCAAGGAAGACCUCUACAUGUGAAAGCUUCACUGCUCAGCCCAAGCACACACCAAGUGGGCCCGGAAGUGAAUUUCUGCAUCAUUUACUCAUCUCUGUAAACCCUAGUAACUAGUUUAGUAUAAAUAGGACUUUUUACUAUUGUAUUAGGGUCUUGGGAGACCACCUUUAGGGUCUUGGUUAUUCUGGUUCCCCUCUGGGGCCGAAGCCAAUGAACACUAUUAUCACUUAUGUAUUUUCAACGGUGGAGUUUCUACACACCAUAGAUUAAGGUGUGGAGCUCUGCUGUUCCUCAUGAAUUAAUGCAAAGUACUAUUGUUUUUCUAUUCAACUCAAGCCUAUUUCUUCUCUAAGAUAUUCAUUCGCACACAAGAACAUGAUGAAUGUGAUGAUUAUGUGACACUCAUCACCAUUCUCACUUAUGAACGUGUGCCUGAUAAACACUUUCGUUCUACAUGAAAACAAGUUUGAAUGCAUAUCUCUUAGCCUCCUGAUUUAUGAUCAGAGUCUUCGUGGUAUAGGCUAGAAUUAUUGGCGGCCAUUCUUGAGAUCCGGAAAGUUUAAACCUUGUCUGUGGUAUUCCGAGUAGGAUCUGGAAAGGGAUAGUUGUGACGAGCUUCAAACUUGCGAGUGCUGGGCGUAGUGACAGACGCAAAAGGAUUACUGGAUCCUAUUCCAGCAUGAUCGAGAACCGACAGAUGAUUAGCCAUGCGGUGACAGCGCAUUUGGACCAUUUUCACUGAGAGGACGGGAUGUAUCCAUUAAUAACGGUGAUGCCCAACAUACAGCUUGCCAUGAAAAGGAGUAAGAAGGAUUGAAUGAAGGCAAUAGGAAAGCAGAGAAUCAGAAGGAACAAAGCAUCUCCAUAUGCUUAUCUGAAAUUCCUACCAACGAAUUACAUAAGUAUCUCUAUCCUAUUUUAUAUUUUAUUUAUAUUUUAAUUAUCAAUUUACCAUAACCAUUUGAAUCCACCUGACUGAGAUUUACAAGAUGACCAUAGCUUGCUUCAUACCGACAAUCUCUGUGGGAUCGACACUUACUCACGUAAGGUUUAUUACUUGGACGACCCAGUGCACUUGCUGGUUAGUUGUGCGAAGUUGUGAAGAAGAACUAAGAUUAUGAAUGUGCGUAUUAAGUUUUUAGCGCCGUUACCAAGGAAUGAACGAUCACGAUUUCGUGCACCAUGUUUUUGGCGCCGUUGCGGGGGAUUGUUCGAGUUUGGCCAACUGACGGUUCAUCUUGUUGCUCAGAUUAGGUAAUUUUAUUUUAUUUUUAAGCUUUUUGUUUUCGAAAAAAAAUUUUCAAAAAAAAAUAUAAAUUAAAUAAAUUAUUCUAUGGCUUCAGAAUUUUGAGAAUAAAUUCUAGAGUUUCAUGAUGAUCUGUUGAAGUCUGGCUGGCUGUAAAGCCAUGUCUAAUCUUUUGGACCGAGGUUUCAACUCAUCAUCACAAGAGCUUGUUAAUUUCUAUCAACCUUGUUGUUGAAUGUAAUGAUCUGCUAAAACUUUGCUGGCCAUUGGCCAUGUCUAGUGUUUUGGACCGAAUCUUUCACUGAAAGCUUGGCUGGCUAGUAAACCAUGUCUAAUUCCUGGACCGGAGUUUUAGACUAACAUUGCAUGAUUCCUGGAAUUCUUAUUAAAAAUUUUGAAUUUCCUUAUUUUCUUUCUCAAAUUAAUUUUCAAAAAAUCCAAAAAAAAUUUUAAUAAAAUCAUAAAAACAAAAAAUUUGUGUUUUUGUUUGAGUCUUGUGUCAAAUUUUAAGUUUGGUGUCAAUUGCAUCUUUUUAAUUUCUUUAAAUUUUUGAAAACUCAUGCAUAAUGUUCUUCAUGAUCUUCAAGUUGUUCUUGAUGAAUUUCCUUGUUUGAUCUUUGCAUCUUCUUGUUUUGUGUCUUUUCUUGUUUUUCAUAUGCAUUUUUAAUUUGUUAGUGUCUAUAGUUUGAAAAUUUCUAAGUUUGGUGUCUUGCAUGUGUGUCUUUUCUAAAAAAAAUUUCAAAAAUAAGUUCUUGAUGUUCAUCUUGACAUUCAAAGUGUUCUUGGUGUUCAUCUUGACAUUCAAAGUGUUCUUGCAUGCAUUAUGUGUUUUGAUUCAUAAUUUUCAUGUUUUAUGUCAAUUUUGUGUUUUUUUCUUUCCUCAUUAAAAAUUCAAAAAUAAAAAAAAUAUCUUUCCCUUAUUUGCAAAUAAAUUUCGAAAAUUUGGUUUGACUUAGUCAAAAAUUUUUAAAAUUUAGUUGUUUCUCAUGAGUCAAGUCAAAUUUUCAAUUUAAAAAAUCCUAUCUUUUCAAAAAUCAAAUCUUUUCCAUUUUUCUUUCAUAUUUUCGAAUUUUUUUUUUAAAUUUGAUUUUCAAAAUCUCUUUCUUAAUUUUGUUUCAUAAUUUCAAAUUCUUUACUAACAAUUAAUGUGAUUGAUUCAAAAAUUUUAAAGUUUGUUACUUGCCUAUUAAGAAAGGUUCAAUCUUUAAAUUUUAGAAUCAUAUCUUUUAGUUUCUUGUUAGUUAAGUAAUCAACUUUAAUUUUCAAAAUCAAGUCUUUUUAAAUUUCUUUUUCAAAUCUUUUUCAAAAUAAAUUUCAAUCAUAUCUUUUUCAAAACUUAAUUUCAAAAUCUUUUCUAACCUCUUCUUUUUUCAAAAUUGAUUUUCAAAUCUUUUUCAAUUAACCACUUAACUUUUUGUUUGAUUUUUAAAAUUCUUAUCUUUUUCAAAACCACCUAACUAACUUUCUCUCUCCAAUUUUUGAAAAUCACUAACCUCUUUUUCAAAAUUUCUUUUCAUUAACUAAUUAUUUUAAAUUUCAAUUUAAUUUUAUUUUCCUUUUUGAUUUUUGAAUACUAACUAAUAUUUAAAAUAAAAACAAAAAUAUUUUUGAUUUAUUUUAAUUAAAUUUGAAUUCUUCCUUCUCUCAUCUCCUUCUAUUUAUUUAUUCAUCUACUAACACUCCUCUCUCACUCAUAAUUUGAACCCACUAUUCUCCUCUGUGUUCGAGUUUUUCUCUUCUCUUUCUUCUAUUCUUCUCUUCUUAUACUUACACAAGGAAUCUCUAUACUGUGACAUAGAGGAUUCCAUAUUUUCUUUUCUAUUCUCUUCUUUUUCAUAUGAGCAGGAACAAGGAUAAAAACAUUCUUGUUGAAGCUGAUCCUGAACCUGAAAGGACUCUGAAGAGGAAGCUAAGGGAAGCUAAGGCACAACUCUCUGGAGAGGACAUGACAGAAAUUUUUGAAAAAGAAGGAGACAUGGCCGAACCUAAUAACAAUGGUUGAGAUGCAAGGAAGAUGCUUGGUGACUUUAUUACACCCUCUUCCAACUUCUAUGGAAGAAGCAUCUCACUCCUUGCAAUUGGAGCAAACAACUUUGAGCUUAAGCGUCAAUUAGUUUCUCUAAUGCAGCAGAACUGCAAGUUUCAUGGACUUCCAAUGGAAGAUCCUCAUCAGUUUUUAGCUGAAUUCUUGCAAAUCUGUGAAACUGUCAAGACCAAUGGAGUUGAUCCCGAGGUCUACAGGCUUAUGCUUUUCCCUUUUGCUGUAAGAGACAGAGCUAGAAUAUGGUUGGACUCUCAACCUAAAGAUAGCCUGAACUCUUGGGAUAAGCUGGUCACGGCUUUCUUAGCCAAGUUCUUUCUUCCUCAAAAGCUAAGCAAGCUUAGAGUGGAUGUUCAAACCUUCAAACAGAAAGAAGGUGAAUCCCUCUAUGAAGCUUGGAAAAGAUACAAGCAACUGACCAAAAAGUGUCCUUCUGACAUGCUUUCAGAAUGGACCAUCCUGGAUAUAUUCUAUGAUGGUCUGUCUGAAUUAUCUAAGAUGUCAUUGGACCAUUCUGCAGGUGGAUCCAUUCACCUAAAGAAAACGCCUGCAGAAGCUCAAGAACUCAUUGACAUGGUUGCAAAUAACCAGUUUAUGUACACUUCUGAAAGGAAUCCUGUGAGUAAUGGGACGCCUCAGAGGAAGGGAGUUCUUGAAAUUGAUACUCCGAAUGUCAUAUUGGCUCAGAAUAAAAUAUUGACUCAGCAAGUCAAUAUGAUUUCUCAGAGUCUGAAUGGAUUGCAAGCUGCAUCCAACAGUACUAAAGAAGCAUCUUCUGAAGAAGAAACUUAUGAUCCUGAGAACUCUGCAAUAGCAGAGGUGAAUUACAUGGGAGAAACCUAUGGAAACACUUAUAAUCCCUCAUGGAGAAAUCAUCCAAAUUUCUCAUGGAAGGAUCAACAAAAGCCUCAACAAGGCUUUAAUAAUGGUGGAAGAAACAGGUUUAGCAAUAGCAAGCCUUUUCCAUCAUCCUCUCAGUAACAGACAGAGAAUUCUGAGCAGAAUCCAUCUAGCUUAGCAAAUAUAGUCUCUGAUCUAUCUAAGGCCACUCUAAGUUUCAUGAAUGAAACAAGGUCCUCCAUCAGAAAUUUGGAGGAAGAGUCACUGAAACCCCUCCUAGUACUCUCCCAAGCAAUACAGAAGAGAAUCCAAAAAGAGAGUGCAAAGCCAUAACCUUACUUGGUGUGGCCGAACCCAGAGAGGAGGAGGAGGACGUGAAUCCUAGUGAGGAAGACCUCCUGGAACGUUCACUGACCAAUAAGGAGUUUCCCUUUGAGGAACCAAAGGAAUAUGAGGCUCAUCUAGAGACCAUAGAGAUUCCAUUGAACCUCCUUUUACCAUUCAUGAGCUCUGAUGACUAUUCAUCUUCUGAAGAAGAUAAAGACAUUGUUCAAGGGCAAGUUGCCCAGUAUUUAGGAGCAAUCAUGAAGCUGAAUGCCAAGCUAUUUGGUAAUGAGACUUGGGAGGAUGAGCUUCCAUUGCUCAUUAAUGAACUGAAUAUCUGGGUUCAACACACUUUACCUCAAAAGAAAUAGGAUCUUGAUAAAUUCCUAAUUCCCUGUAACAUAGGCACCAUGACCUUUGAGAAGGCUCUGUGUGACCUGGGGUCAGGCAUAAACUUAAUGCCACUCUCUGUAAUGGAGAAACUAGGAAUCUUUGAGGUACAGGCUGCCAAAUUCUCAUUAGAGAUGGCAGACAAAUCCAUGAAACAGGCUUAUGGACUAGUAGAGGACAUGUUAGUAAAGGUUAAAGGCCUUUACAUCCCUGCUGAUUUCAUAAUCCUAGACACUGGGAAGGAUGAGGAUGAAUCCAUCAUCCUUGGAAGACCCUUCCUAGCCACAGCAAAAGCUGUGAUUGAUGUUGACAGAGGAGAGUUGGUCCUUCAAUUGAAUGAAGACUACCUUGUAUUUAAGACUCAAGGUUUUCCUUCUGUAACCAUGGAGAGGAAGCAUGAGAAGCUUCUCUCAGAAUAGAGUCAAACAAAACCCCCACAUUUAAACUCUAAGUUUGGUGUUGGGAGGCCACAACCAAACUCUAAGUUUGGUGUUGGGAGGCCACAGCCAAACUCUAAGUUUGGUGUUGAGAGGCCCCAACAUUGCUCUGAUUAUCUGUGAGGCUCCAUGAGAGCUCACUGUCAAGCUAUUGACAUUAAAGAAGCGCUUGUUGGGAGGCAACCCAAUGUUAUUUAAUUAUAUCUAUUUAUUUUCUAUUGCUAUUUUAUGUUUUCUUUAGGUUGAUGAUCAUGUGAAGUCACAAAAACAACUAAAAAAUCAAAAAAGAAUGAAAAAUAGCAUUAAAAACAGCUCACCCUGGAGGAAGAGCUUACUGGCGUUUAAACGCCAGUAAGAAGCAUCAAACUGGCAUUUAACGCCAGAAAGAAGCAUCAAGCUGGCGUUAAACGCCAGAAACAAGCACCAGACUGGCGUUUAACGCCAGAACAGAGCAUGGAAUUGGCGUUUAACACCAAGAAUGGGAGAAAAGUUGGCGUUAAACGCCAGAAACAAGCAGCAAUCUGGCGUUUAACGCCAGGAUUGCACUCUAAGGGAGUUUACACACCUAAAUGGAGCAGAGAUGAUAAAUCAUUGACCCCUCAAGAUCUGUGGACCCCACAGGAUCCCUACCUACCCCACCUCUCUCUCUCUCUCUCUCUCCCACCUUUUCAUAACACUCUUCCCUAAAUACCCCUCACCAAUCACCUCCACUUCUCUUCCCCAUCACCACUUCACCAAACACCUCCACCACUACUUCCCUCCUAAACCCACCCACACAUGGCUGAACCACUCACCUCCCUCAAUCUCCUCCAUUAUCUUCUUCUUCUCCUCUCUUCUUUCUUCUUUUGCUUGAGGACGAGCAAACAUUUUAAGUUUGGUGUGGAAAAAGCACUGCUUUUUUGUUUUUCCAUAACCAUUAAUGGCACCUUAAGGCCGGAGAAACCUCUAAAAAGAGGAAAGGGAAGGCAAUUGCUUCCACCUCCGAGUCAUGGGAGAUGGAGAGAUUCAUCUCAAAGGUCCAUCAAGACCACUUCUAUGAAGUUGUGGCCAAGAACAAGAAAUCCCUGAGAUGCCUCAAGGGAUGCACUUUCCUCCACAAAACUAUUGGGAGCAAAUUAACACCUCCCUAGAAGAAUUAAGUUCUAACAUGGGACAACUAAGGGUGGAGCACCAAGAGCACUCCAUCAUUCUCUAUGAAAUUAGAGAAGAUCAAAGAGCUAUGAGGGAAGAGCAACAAAGGCAAGGAAGAGACAUAGAGAAGCUCAAGAACACCAUUGGUUCUUCAAGAGGAAGAAGACGCCACCCUCACUAAGGUGGACCCGUUCCUUAAUCUCCUUGUUCUUAUUUUUCUGUUUUUCGUUUACUAUAUAUCUAUUUAUGUUUAUGUCUUUAUUACAUGAUCAUUAGUAUUUAAGUGUCUAUGUCUUAAAGCUAUGAAUGUCUUAUGAAUCCAUCACCUUUCUUAAAUGAAAAAUGUUUUAAUUACAAAAGAACAAGAAGUACAUGAAUUUCGAAUUCAUCCUUGAAAUUAGUUUAAUUAUUUUGAUGUGGUGACAAUACUUUUUGUUUUCUGAAUGAAUGCUUGAACAAUGCAUAUGUCUUUUGAAUUUGUUGUUCAUGAAUGUUAAAAUUGUUGGCUCUUGAAAGAAUAAUGAAAAAGGAGAACUGUUAUUGAUAAUCUAAAAAAUCAAAAAAAUUGAUUCUUGAAGUAAGAAAAAGCAGUGAAUACAAAAGCUUGCAGGAAAAAAAUGGCGAAAAAGAAAGAAAAAGAAAAAGCAAGCAGAAAAAGCCAAUAGCCCUUAAAACCAAAAGGUAAGGGUAAUAAAAAGGAUCCAAGGCUUUGAGCAUCAGUGGAUAGGAGGGCCCAAAGAAAUUAAAUCAUGGCCUAAGCGGCUAAAUCAAGCUGUCCCUAGCCAUAUGCUUGUGGCGUGAAGGUGUCAAGUGAAAAGCUUGAGACUGAGCGGUUAAAGUCGAGGUCCAAAGUAAAAACAGAGUGUGCUUAAGAACCCUGGACACCUCUAAUUGGGGACUUUAGCAAAGCUGAGUCACAAUCUGAAAAGGUUCACCCAGUUAUGUGUCUGUGGCAUGUGUGUAUCCGGUGGUAAUACUGGAAAACAGAGUGCUUAGGGCUACGGCCAAGACUCAUAAAGUAGCUGUGUUCAAGAAUCAACAUACUGAACUAGGAGAAUCAAUAACACUAUCUAAAUUCUGAAUUCCUAUAGAUGCCAAUCAUUCUGAACUUCAAAGGAUAAAGUGAGAUGCCAAAACUGUUCAGAGGCAAAAAGCUACUAGUCCUGCUCAUCUGAUUGGAGCUAAGUUUUGUUGAUAUUCUGGAAUUUAUAGUAUAUUCUCUUCUUUUUAUUCUAUUUGAUUUUUAGUUGCUUGGGGACAAGCAACAAUUUAAGUUUGGUGUUGUGAUGAGCGGAUAAUUUAUACGCUUUCUGGCAUUAUUUUUACAUAGUUUUUAGUAUGAUUUAGUUAGUUUUUAGUAUAUUUUUAUUAGUUUUUAAAUAAAAAUCACAUUUCUGGAUUUUACUAUGAGUUUGUGUAUUUUUCUGUGAUUUCAGGUAAUUUCUGGCUGAAAUUGAGGGACCUGAGCAAAAAUCUGAUUCAGAGGCUGAAGAAGGACUGCAGAUGCUGUUGGAUUCUAACCUCCCUGCACUUGAAAUGGAUUUUCUGGAGCUACAGAACCCAAAUGGCACGCUCUCAAUUGCGUUAGAAAAUAGGCAUCCAGGGCUUUCCAUCAAUAUAUAAUAGACCACACUUUGUCCUAGUUUAGAUGACGCAAACUGGCGUUCAACGCCAGCUUUCUACCCUAUUUUGGCGUUAAACGCCAGAAACAAGUUGCAAAGCAGAGUUAAAUGCCAGAAACAAGUUACAAACUAGCGUUCAACUCCAAGGAAGACCUUUACACGUGAAAGCUUCACUGCUCAGCUCAAGCACACACCAAGUGGGCCCGAAAGUGGAUUUCUGCAUCAUUUACUCAUCUCUAUAAACCCUAGUAACUAGUUUAGUAUAAAUAGGACUUUUUACUAUUGUAUUAGGGUCUUGGGAGACCACCUUUAGGGUCUUGGUUAUUCUGGUUCCCCUCUGGGGCCGAAGCCAAUGAACACUAUUAUCACUUAUGUAUUUUCAACGGUGGAGUUUCAACACACCAUAGAUUAAGGUGUGGAGCUCUGCUGUUCCUCAUGAAUUAAUGCAAAGUACUAUUGUUUUUCUAUUCAACUCAAGCUUAUUUCUUCUCUAAGAUAUUCAUUCACACACACGAACAUGAUGAAUGUGAUGAUUAUGUGACACUCAUCACCAUUCUCACUUAUGAACGCGUGCCUGACAAACACUUCCGUUCUACAUGAAAACAAGCUUGAAUGCAUAUCUCUUAGCCUCCUGAUUUACGAUCAGAGUCUUCGUGGUAUAGGCUAGAAUUAUUGGCGGCCAUUCUUGAGAUCCAAAAAGUAUAAACCUUGUCUGUGGUAUUCCGAGUAGGAUCUGGGAAGGGAUGGUUGUGACGAGCUUCAAACUCGCGAGUGCUGGGCGUAGUGACAGACGCAAAAGGAUUACUGGAUCCUAUUCCAGCAUGAUCGAGAACCGACAGAUGAUUAGCCAUGCGGUGACAGAACAUUUGGACCAUUUUCACUGAGAGGACGGGAUGUAGCCAUUGACAACGGUGAUGCCCAACAUACAGCUUGCCAUGGAAAGGAGUAAGAAGGAUUGAAUGAAGGCAAUAGGAAAACAGAGAUUUAGAAGGAACAAAGCAUCUCCAUACGCUUAUCUGAAAUUCCUACCAACGGAUUACAUAAGUAUCUCUAUCCUAUUUUAUAUUUUAUUUAUAUUUUAAUUAUCAAUUCACCAUAACCAUUUGAAUCCGCCUGACUGAGAUUUACAAGAUGACCAUAGCUUGCUUCAUACCGACAAUCUCCGUGGGAUCGACCCUUACUCACGUAAGGUUUAUUACUUGGACGAAGGAAUGAACGAUCACGAUUUCGUGCACCAGUUUCACACCUUCCAGAAACGAGGACUCGUCAGAACAACAGCACCGAGGAAAAGAAAGGACAACACCAAAUCAAUAUGAAAAGCCCAGAGGUAUAAUCAAUUGUAUUUCAGGGGGAUACGCCGGUGGAGGGUCCUUAAGCUCGGCCAGAAAGAGAUCACACCGAGCUAUAUGCUUGGUAGAUGGCUUCCAGCGCGAAGCUACACUCGCAACACAACUCUCCCAAGUGACGUUCACACACGCCGACUUUAAUUCAAACAUACUCAACUUGGACGACCCUGUGGUAAUCAUCCUUCAAUUGGGAGAUCUGUUGGUAAGGAAAGUACUUCUGGAUCCCGGGAGCUGCGCCGACGUCCUAUUCUACUCAACAUUCCAAAAAAUGAAGCUCAGCGACAACGCUCUCCAGUCAAUAGUAGGAGACCUUGUCGGGUUCUCGGGUGAGCGAGUGCCGAUAUUGGGAUCAGUGUGGUUACAAACCACACUGGGUGAGCAUCCUCUUUCAAAAACAUGUGAUAUUCAAUAUUUAGUUGUAGAUUGCUUUAGCCCAUAUAACCUCAUACUAGGCCGACCUUUUUUGAAUAAGUUUGGCGCAAUUGUAUCUACAGUUCACCUGUGUGUUAAGUUCCCUUUGCAGGACAACCAGGUUGUAACAAUCCAUGGGGAUCAUAAAGAGGCACGCCAAUGUUACAACAUCAGCAUGAAACUACCAACCCGUUCCAAACAACAAGUCAACAAUCUCCACCACGUCGCCAAAAGCUUGGCGUUAGCCGACCUCGAUCCACGAGCCGACUUCCUUGAACGACCUACACCAUCCAGGACUUACAGAAAGUAUAUUUCCAUAAUAAUCCUAACAAAUUUACUUAUGUAGGUACAUCCCUAGACUCAGUGGAACUAAAAGCCAUCACCACCUUUUUACAAACACAAGCCGACCUAUUCGCAUGGACACCUUCUGACAUGCCUGGCAUCGAUCCAUAGAUCAUCAGCCAUAAAUUAGCAAUAAACCUGUCUGCACGACCAGUGCAACAGAAGAAACGAAACCUCGGCGAUGAAAAGAAAAUAGCAUCAUUAGAAGAAACUCAAAAGCUGAUCCAUGCAGAGUUCAUCAAGGAAAUCAGAUUUACUACCUGGCUGGCAAAUGUGGUAAUGGUAAGGAAAAAAAAUGGUAAGUGGCGCAUGUGCCUCGACUUUACUGAUUUAAACAAAGCAUGCCCGAAAGACUCUUACCUUUUACCAUCCAUAGAUUCUUUGGUGGAUAAUGCUUCUGGCUAUGCUACCUUGAGUUUUAUGGAUGCUUAUUUGGGUUAUAAUCAAAUCCUCAUGCAUCCCUCUGAUCAAAGUAAAACAGCAUUUAUCACUGAAUUCGGUAACUACUGCUAUAAAGUUAUGCCCUUUGGACUAAAGAAUGCAGGGGCAACUUACCAGUGCCUUAUGGACAAAGUCUUCGCCAAACAAAUCGGCAGAAACAUAGAAGUGUAUGUCGACGACAUGGUCGCCAAGACACAGCUCGGGAAAAACCAUAUUGACGACUUAUCAGAGAUUUUUGGCCAAAUUCGCAACUACAACAUACGUCUAAACCCAGAAAAAUGUGCCUUCGCAGUUCAGGGAGGUAAGUUCUUAGGUAUUUUACUAACAAACAGGGGCAUUGAGGCGAAUCCAGAUAAAUGCCGAGCAGUUCUGGAAAUGACGAGCCCAAAGACCAUAAAGGAAGUCCAACGCCUCACCGGAAGGAUCGCUGCACUAUCCAGAUUUAUCCCAUGCUUAGCUUCAAAAUCUAUUCCUUUUUUUCAAACGAUAAAAAAGAAAAAUAAAUUUCAGUGGAAUGAUGAUUGUGAGAGAGCUUUUAAAACACUAAAAACAACUCUCUCACAACUGCCGAUCUUACAAAAACCCCAUCAAGGGGAAGAUCUAUUUCUAUAUUUGUUAGUCACUGAUUGGGCUAUAAGCUCUGCUCUUGUUACAAAACAAAACCCAGCAUCCAGUAUACUUUGUCAGUAAAACCCUUCAACACGCCGAACUCAAUUAUCCCAGAAUUGAAAAGCUGGCUUUAGCACUAGUUUUCUCAGCAAGAAGACUCCGACCUUACUUCCAAAGUCAUGCUGUCUAUGUCAAGAGUGACCACCUAUUACGCCAAGUGUUACAUAAACCAGAAAUCGCAGGCAGACUUAUUAAAUGGUCAAUAGAAUUGUCAGAGUUCGACAUCAGGUACCAAUCAAGAGGACCGAUUAAGUCCCAAUUCUUGGCAGACUUCAUUGCAGAACUUACUAUUCCUUCAGAAGACGAUCAUACAAAACAAUGGAUCUUAUACGUCGACGGCUCGUCGAACACUGAGGGCUGUGGUGCCGGCAUAUGUCUAGAGUCUGACGAUGGCUUUAUUCUGGAACAUUCAUUACACUUAUCUUUCAAGGCUAGCAACAAUCAAGCCGAAUAUGAGGCCCUCGUUGCAGGACUCCGACUUUAUUUAGAUCUCCGCAUUUCCACUAUAAAGGUAUACUGUGACUCCUUAUUGGUAGUACAACAGGUAAACGACCUCUUCCAAGUAACGGAUCAUCUCCUUUCUAAAUACUUAUUAUUAGUGAAAGAUUUUACUUCAAAGUUCUCAAAUUUUGAAAUUCAACACAUACCACGAGAACAAAACCACAGGGCUGAUAUCUUAUCUAAACUCGGCAGCACACAAUCCGACUUAUCCACACUGCAUCAAUCCAAUAUUACAUCCCCAAGUGUAAGUUUAACAGAUGUAUUAAGUGUCACACAGGAACAGGGUUGGCAAGACGGUUACAUACAAUAUCUGAAAAUAGGUCAAAUACCAGAAAAGGUCGGCAACACAAAACGAUUCCGAAGACAAGCAUCUUUUUUCACUUUGCUCAAGGAGACUUUAUACCGCCGAGGAUAUACUCGCCCGUUGCGGAACACAUAUAGGAGCUCGGAGUUUAGCUUCAAAAAUCCUCCGCGCAGGUUUUUUUUGGCCGACCUUACAACAUGAUAGCAAGACUAAGGUUCAGACUUGUGAAAAUUGUCAGAAACAUGCACCACUCAUACACCUACCUGCCGAGCACCUACAUUACUCUGACGUUAGUUGGCCUUUCUAUCAAUGGGGCUAGACAUCCUCGGUCCAUUUCCAACGGCACCGGGGCAGGUAAAAUUUUUAAUAGUCCCAACCCUUAGCCAGAAUCACAUCACAGCAAAUGAUUUCUUUCACUUGGAAAAAUAUUAUUUACCGGUUUGGCAUUCCUCACCACAUCAUCACUGACAAUGGUCACCAGUUUGCCGACCAUAAAUUUCAAUCCUUUUUGAAGAACCUUAAGGUCAAACAACAUUUUGCCUCCGUUGAAUAUCCUCAGACAAACGGACUAGCAGAGGCAGUGAACAAGAUCAUACUACAUGCCUUAAAGAAAAAGUUAGAUGAUGCCAAAGGACUUUGGGCCGAACUAAUACCCGAAAUCCUUUGGGGAUACAACACAACACCUCAGUCAUCAACAAAGGAGACACCAUUUCGCCUGGUAUAUGGCUCUAAAGCUAUGAUACCUUUAGAAAUCUCGCACAACUCGGUCAAAACUCAGCUCGGCAACCAGGAUGAAGCUCGGCGAGCCGAGCUAGAUCUCAUUGAAGAAAUAAGGGAAACAACAACACUCUGACAACGCGCGGCUCAGCAAACAAUUGCCCGACGACAUAACAAAUCGGUCAGAAACUGAUCAUUCUAAACAGGCGAGUUAGUUCUUCGGAAGACGGAAACUGCGCGCUGACCUCCAUCCCAUGGAAAGCUCACAGCAAACUAGGACGGCCCCUACCGGGUUAAAGAAGUUCUCGGCAACGGAGCUUACAGACUAGAAUCCAUGAAUGGUACAACACUACCUAAUACCUGGAAUAUUUCCUCUCUAAAGAAAUUUUACAGUUAAACAUCAGGGACAGGCUUGUACUCUUUUUCCUAUUACUAAGAUUUUUCCCAAUGGGUUUUGCUUUGAGAGGUUUUAACGAGGCUAGCCUACCUGAACCUUUGUAUCCAAAGGAUUACCAAUACUACUGUAUGUAAUAAAUCUAUCUCAUUUUAUACAAACUCUGUCACAUUAUGAUGUUUGCUUUUACAAUCAACAAUGCUUGGUACAAUUCCAUCUAUGGUCAAAUCACAUAAUGACGAACAUCUUCGUCUAACAUCCGAACCAAGCAUAUUCGGCAAACAUUAAAAGGAAUAUUCUUAACAGAAAUUCCAAUCAAUCGCGCAAAAUGCCGUUCAAAUAUUCAAAACAAAUCGGAAACGAAUAAAGACAAGGUCAAACAACUCUAUUAAUGACCUCUAAAAUAGUUACUGUCAAUAAUGUAUCAUCAAUUACAUUACCCAAUAAAAAAGUUUUAACAAAAAUAAAAUUACAUUAACAUACUAAAUAUUCUCUGCCUCAUCUUCGGCAACACCAUCAUCUUUAACCAUCUUCCCAUCUCGGACAAUCUUACCAGGAUCCAACUCAGAUAGAUCAACACCUGGAGCAAGAAACUUCGCCUGUAAGGCCGCCCUUUCAAAACCCUCUACAAACGAAUCCAAAAUUUCAUCGCUUUUCUUCUUAUUCAUUUCCUUCAGCCGAGCAGUAACAUCAAUCAGCCGAGUUUUCAUGCUCGCUAAAUCAGCUUCCUUCUUCUUCAAGUCCUCAACGUCCUUAGCAUAGUUAUCUUUCGUCUCCUUUAACCGCUUUUCAGUAUCAGCCAACUUACUCUGCAGCUCAGAAACAAUAUUUUUGCUCUUACUCAAUUCCUCUUUCAUUACCAAAACUUCAUCCUUCUCCUCCACCACUUUCUUAUGCCUCGGCUCCUGGCUUCGCCCCAAACUGGCCAACCUCAACCCAACAACCUGCAAACCAUGACAACAACAAGAAAAGUAAAAUACAUAAAAAUGUCUUAACCAGGAUAAAAAUUACACCAAAAGGAAGACUUUACCUGCAUAUAUUGCCCGACAGCUACUUCACCAACCUCUUUCGCAAGAGAAACAUCAGCUUCAGAUUGACAAUGUUCAUCUACCGCAGUCAUAUAAGGAUACUCUUUUUCCCACACAGAAACACCCUCACUAAGCUCAGACAUCUCAUGAAGUUUUUUUCUGAUUCCCAACAAAAGCUUGAAUCUCUUCCAGGGACACUCCAUGUUCCUUCCCACUAGAGUCAUCGGACAAAUCCACCACACCCGACUUCCUUUUUCUCGCAAUCACCUUCCUACGCCCCUGACGAGGCUGGACAACCUCUCCAGCCGUUACCACUUUCUCACGGUUCGACGAUGAAACCUCCUUUUUCAAAUUCUUAAUUUUAAAGCGUGACCUGAGAGUAGCAGCUGAGACCCCAGGGUACUUCCCACCUGCAAUACAAAUACAGAACACGUCAGAAACUCAUACAAAAUCAAUAUACAAAGAACAAAAAUCCCAAACUCACCCAGGUAAUUUAUCACUGCCUCCUUAUCGUCUUUCCAUUUGAGUAACUCAUACAUAGAUAUAAGAUCUUUACGAUCAAUACCCUCAACCAAAAACUCAAUCAAACACACAUUCCUCGGUGAUAUGACUUCAGGACCGAGUAUAUUUUGCGGUUCUGAACACCACCACAAAGGAAACUUCUCGACCAGAUUCUCAUCAACAUAAAAGGGAAACUCUUUUUCUACACUCCUAACCUUAAGAUACAUUUCUUUAAAAUCCUUGAAUGAGAAUUUAUACAACUUGAAAAUAGCAAACCCAAGGGUGCUAUUGAAAUUUAUUCAACCCCCUUUCCAUACCCCCCUUUGCUUGAAAUAAAGAAAAGAACAAGUCAACUGAUGGCGUCUCCUCAAGAUAUUCCAUCAAAAUCUCAAAGGAGCGCAGAAACACCCAGCCAUUAGGGUGAAGCUGAGACGCAGCACAGUUCAACUGUUUCAGAACCUGACACUCAAACUCUGUAAAUGACAAUUUCACCCUCAAUUCCUCAAGCACACAGCUGUGCAUGUAGAAGAACUCAAAACCCUGCCCUCGAUGAUACACCCUAUCAUCGUUGCUACAUGAAAGCAACUCAACCUGAACCCCAGAACCAGCCCUAACGACUCUUGCUAAGUUCACUUCCUUUACAGCAGACUCAUCACGAAAUAGGGAGAUUCAGGAUUUCACAUCCUCACCAACCCAGUCAUAAGACCAGUCAAUCUCACCCUUUUUCUCCUUCUCCAACCCCAUUAAGACACAACAGCAAGCACACAAGAAGAGAAAAGAGAAAGAAGCAGUAAAUCAGAAGCAAAGAGACAAAGUGUACAUACCUCUUUUGCUCAUUCUGUUACCAAAAUGAAAAACCCAAACACCAAAAAAAACUAGAGUUUAACUUCUAGCAGUAACCCAACAAUGGUUCGAAUACUGAAACUGUCUCCCAAUAACAUCUAAAAUGACGCAACUACUUUGGAAUGGCAACAAGCCUUUAAUGCGUACAUUAAUCUCUCUCUCCUCCCCAAAACAAUGCCACGACUCCCCACGUCAUAGCAAAUAAUACUUUUUUAAUGAAGUACGUUGAAUUGGGGGCUCACUCAGUAACCUAUCCAACCGAGUUAUAACUCCUCAAGAAGCUCAACCUGUUUCAUUAAAAAUUCUCCACAGGCCAAGCUUGGGAGCUGUGAUAUGGUCGUCAUAAACGAGCUAUAACUCGGCAUGAUCCGUUAUAGCUCCUCAAUUCAUGAGCUAUAACUCGGUCAGAUAAAUGCUUCCAUCAUAACCGACGACAAAACGGUACACAAUUAAGAUACGUUACCCACCUUUUUGUAACUGACCUUAAUGCUAAAAAUGUAAAGGCCGAACAAUUUACCAUAUAAAGCAAGGUAAAAUAUUUUCUUCGGUAAGUGAGAAAUAGUACAAUAUACUGACUUAAGUUUCGGAGUGCCUUUGCAGGUACACUCCCCCCUCAUUUGUUCGUACUGUUCACAUCACAUUGAGAAGAAAGCUUGGACUCAAGGAUUGGACGCUCAGCCACCAAGGUGAUAGCUCGGCAAGCAUUCAUCACUAAAGGCCGAUCUAUUUUGCAAGCAAGAACAGUAUAUAUAUUAAAUUUUAAUUAUUAAAAAUAUUUAAAAAAAAUGACAUUUUUAACAUCUAUCUGAGUGACUUCCCUAUAAUAUAAUGUUGUGGUUUGUAUUUUGCAUUGCAUGUUAGGUACAUUAAGUGUGUGUUUGGAUUACAGUUUGCAAACGGGAGUUUGUAUAAAAUUGAUUUUGCAAAAUUGAUUUUGAUGAAAAGUAAGUUUGUGUUAACGUGAUUUAUGUUUGGCAAUCUUUAUAUCAAAAUUGAUUAUAGUAAAAUAAAUGUUGUUUGGAUUAUAUUACUCAAAAUCACUUUUAGAUGAAAAAUUACCAAAAGAGACAUCAAUUUAAAUAAUUUUUUUUAUAUACAUGCAAAAUCAAAACGCUAACAAAAAUAAUAUAAAAAAUAUUUAUCAUAUAAAUAAAAUAAAUACAAUAAAAAAUAAAAAUAUGAAAAAGAGUACUAUAAAUUUUAUAAUAUCAAACAAAAAAAAUAUUCUAUAAUUUUUUAGUACUGUCAGUACUCUUUAAUUUAGUAUUAUUUUGGACUAUAAUCCAUUUCCUUUAUUGUAUCAACUAUUUUUCAUUAUCUAUGACUCUAUUGUUACUUAUAAUUAGUUUUUAUUUAUUUUGUCUUUUUUUUAUAAGAUCAUAAUUUAUAUUAUAAAAUUUUGAUAAUAAAUGUAGUAUACAAUAAUUACAAUUACAAAUUUUAUAAAAUCAGAAUAAAAAAUAAAAAAAUUAAUACAAAACAAAAAUAGAGUACAUCAAAGAAUAAAAAAAUUGAUACAGAUAGGAAAUAAUAAAAAUGUCAUAAAACCAACAACAUAUAUCAUAUGAACAAAAAAAAUACAAUAAAAUAAAUAAAAAUCACAUGAACAAAGUAAAAAAAAAAUAAAAAAUUUCAUAAAAAAUAUACAUAUAAAAAAUAAUAUAGUAAAUGAUAAAAAAAACUCAUAUAAAAACAUAACAUGAGAAAUUAGAAUACUACACAAAUAAUAUAAAAAUAUUUAUCCUAUAAAUAUAAAAUACAAUAAAAAUAUAAAAAUUAAAAUAUGAAAGUGAGUACUAAAAAUAAUUAAAAAAAUUAAAAUAUUCACUUUGCUAGUGAUUGAAACAAAUUUGAACCAUUUUGAUGAAAAACAAUUGGAACUAAGAACAAGUAGGAAGAACUAUAGAGAACUGUGAUGGUAAUAGUUACUAGUAUCCUUUGUAUAGAAGAAAAUGAAGGAUAGGAUUGGUAAAAAAGAAAUAAAAUUUCCACCUAAUUUUCUAAGAUAAUCAGCCACUAUGAACGUGAAACGCAGAAGCUACAAAUUUUAGCUUCUCCUGAAGUACGUUUAAAGGCAGAAUCACUUCUGCGUUCAGAAGAAUAAAAGUUGCCAAACAUAAAAGUGAAACUUUCAAGAGACUCAAACGUGCUUCUUUCCUCCUCAACGCGUUUGCCAAACACACCCUAAGUAUGUGUUUGGAUUCACGUUGGGUAAAAAGUUUGAAUGGAAGUGAUUUUGUAGAAUUGAUUUUGGGUAGAAGUGAGUUUGUGCCAACAUGAUUUAUAUUUGAUAAUUUUUACUAAAAUUUAUUUUGAUAAAAUAAAUAUUGUUUGGAUAAUAUUAGUUAAAAUCACUUCUAAAUAAAUAAUUAAUUAAUUACUAAAAAAUAUAAUAUUAAAUUAUAAUAUUAUUUUUUAAGUAUAUUUAANNNNNNNNNNNNNNNNUAUUAUAAAAAAUUAAAAUAGUAAUCAAUACACAAAAAUUAGAAUAAUUGUUUUAAUAUUUUCAGUAUUUAUUUAUAAAAAAUUAUGAAAAAACCAAUAAUAACUAGCAACAACCUAAACGUGCUUUGAGUAAACGAAGAAGCUAUAAUUUCUUGUUUCUAGUGAACGAGCUUUUGGGAUGUUGGCGUUAAAAAAAAAUUGCCAAACAUCAAAUAACAGCACUUAAAUAGUGAAACGCACUUUUUUCCUCUCCAACGUGUUUCACAAACACACCCUACAUAGUUUGCAAUUGAGUUGGCAUGGAGAGAGACAACUGUGGCCCAGUGAAGAAGCAGGAAGAUUCAUGUUACGACAUUGCAUUCUGUGUUGCCAUUGCAGCUGUAAUACACGCGCUUUGCUUUCCCCCUUUCAUUUUGGAAUCUUAAAUGUUGUUUUUUCCGUUGAACUCAUUCACUGUACUUUAGUUGUUAUUAGGUAAUUAGGUAAUAGGUAAGUUGUUUGGUUUUGCUACAUUUUCAUAGCUCUACUCUCUCUCUCUCUCUCUCUCUCUCUCCCUCUCUUUCAGCCUUUGAAUUGUGACUGUCACUCAUAGGAGAAAGAGAGAGAAAGAGAGGGAGAUCUGUGAAGUCUUCAUUGUUUUCUUCAGCUGAUUUUCACUUGUAAUGGUGAGACAGGUUCCAUUGUGUGAGUUUCCUAGGUUCCUGACAGUGUUUUAAGGUGGUGGGGUGUUUGAUGUUGGAAUAAAGCUGUGACCUUUUCACUAUGAUUUGAGGAUGUUCCCUGACUCCUCUUGCCACUGUUGCUGAACCAUGACAAAAAGGGUAGCAUCUUUUUUCUGAGAUACAGAAAUCGUAUUCCAUGUGUUUGAUGAAAUGUGAGCUUGAUUUGGAAAUUGGGUUUGCUCUAAUAGUCUUAAAGGAGCUUCCUUGAAGAAAGAAGAAGAAGAAAAUAAUCUCCCUUUUGUUGUUUUCCUUCUUUUGAAGUGAUUGUACUGGUGGAAAACUAAAACAGGCCAAAAGGGUAUCCUUAUUUCACCUUGUGUGUGGGGUUCUAAAUUUGUUUUUUAGACUUUUGAAUUUAUGUGGAGUGAAGAACCACUAAAGUUCCUUUGGGGGUGCUUUGCCUUGAUUCUCUUUGUUGGCCAUUGCCCUUGGUCAAACGUGGUAGACUGGUAGUUAAGGGUAUCUUAUAUAAUCUGUGUUGGAGACAUUAGAAAUAACAGGAUCUUCCUUCUUUGUUAUAUCUAAAUUAGGGAUCAAGCUAACUAGCUGCUGAUCAAAGACAGAACCAAUUAGGAUUUCUAUUUGUGGGAUUCAGUAUUAUCCCACUUAAGUUAUAGUUUGAUUAAGCACUGAAUGUUUGUACAAUUUGCAUAGUUGAUCUUCAAUGAGACCUUUAAAUUUAAGUCAGUAAAGUCUGAAUAGGUUGGCCUGAGGUUUUUUAAGGCAUAGUCAUAUUUGAGGUUUGGUCUGUAAAUUUGGUUACUUCAAUAUGUCGGAUAGUGUGCAAGAAGCGCGGUCGCUUGCCUUGACUCCUACAUGGUCUGUUCCCACUGUGUUGACCAUCUUUGUUGCUGUCUCUUUGCUUGUGGAGCGCUCCAUUCACCAAUUAAGCAAUGUAAGUUUUCUUCUUAGAAGUUUUAUUCAGUUUAGGAUUGGUUUUGAUGUUAACCUCUGUAACAAGGUUAUCAAACUUGAGAGUUUACCUAAACUCGGGAGUUUAGACCAACUUGAAUUGUGUAAUCAACAAGCAAACUUGUAACAGUUUGCUUGUAAAGUUGUAAACUUGACCAGCGACCUAAACUUACAAGUUUACGAGUUAACUUGAGAGUUUGAUAACCUUGUUCUUUAGUGUAACAAAGAUUUGCAUAGCGAAAAUUGGAAGCCUGUUCAAGACAUUAAGCAAACACAAGCUGUGGAGUGGCAAUGGAGGAGCUAUUGUAGGACCCGUUUUAUGAAUUGGAAUGAAUAAGCCAAAUUUUGUGUUCAGUUUUGACAUGAAUUCUGAUGUCUGUUUUCUUUGCUCCUCUGGGUCUCUGGGGCUGCAGUGACUGCGGAAAACUAAUCGAAAACCAUUGCUUGCUGCUUUGGAGAAGAUGAAAGAAGGUACAAUGCACUGAAUUUUUCUUCAUUGUGUUAAUAUUUUUGUUACAUAUCUCUUUUUGACUAAUCAACUUGCUUUUUUCUUUCCUUUUGUGUUUUAUAUUUUGCUAUCUUCAGAGUUGAUGUUGCUUGGAUUCAUAUCACUCCUACUAACAGCUACCUCAAGAAUUAUAGCCAAUAUUUGCCUUCCAUCAAAGUUCUACAACAGUGCUUUUGCUCCAUGCACAAGAUCUGAGAUUGAUUAAGAAAUGGAAGAUAAUGGCUCCGAAGGACGUAAAUUAUUGAUGGCUUUUGCUUAUCCAAGCUUAACUCGGAGGAUGCUGAAUGGCAUGAAUAGAAGCUCCUGCAAAGAGGCAUGAACAACAGACCCCAAUGUUUAAACUUUGGCUAUUAUGAUUAUUCAUUAAUUAUUGCUCCAAAUCAACGUGUGUCAAAAUUUUCAUUUGUUAUGUUUCUCAGGGUUAUGAACCAUUCGUGUCAUAUGAAGGUCUAGAGCAAUUGCACCGGUUUAUUUUUGUCAUGGCAAUAACACAUAUAUCUUACAGUUGCCUGACGAUGUUGUUAGCAAUUGUGAAGGUGAGAAAUGUUUCAACAUUAAUUUGAAUUUAAAUGGCAUUGAACUGAAAUUUGAUAUUACAGAACACUAUCACUUGGAUGUUUACUUAUUUAUUUUGGUAACUAUGUAUUAAUGUAUGCAGCAAAACAUCUAAGUGUUAUAACUUUAGAUUUCUGAUUGGCAUGAGAAAUUAAUAACACCAAUAGUUUAAAGCAGAUUCAUAGUUGGAGAGUGUGGGAGGAUGAGGCUCAUAUGGAUCAGCAUGGAUCUUUGGCAGGUAAGCACAAUACUUCUUAAUAUGCAUUUGUUGUUUGUAAGUGAUUUUCUUUGUGUGCUGUCGAGAGUAUAUUGACUAUUUCAUGUAUUGCUGUAGUAAUCACAAGAGAGUUGACAAUGCGAAGACAAUCGUCCUUUGUCAAGGUUCAUACAUCAAAUCCAAUGGCCAGAAAUAGUUUCCUCGUUUGGGUGGUAAUUACGUAACUCUAUUUUGUUUCCCCAUUAACAUUUGAUUUCAUUUAAUGUAUUUUGUCGAAUGUCUACCUUUAAGUUCUUGAAUUCGUGCGAUGAAAAAUGGCAUGUCUGAAAAUACUUUAAAUCAAAAUAUUCUGAAACAAAGUUUGAUAAUCAGAUGGUUAGCUGGGCCAGAAUUUGAUCAAUUUGCUUUGCUUAAUAUAUUUUGCAGUUGCUAUGGCAAAUGAAGUAGUAAAAUAUUGAUAAUUCAUGUUACCUAAUUGCAUCAUUUCUCAUCACUUUCAGCAAAUUGUAACAUCAAACUCUGUGUGUGAAUCUUUUGAUAUUUUACCUGAUACUCCCGACUGCUACAUUCAUAUGUUAUUUCGUCAAUCUACUUAUGUCAAUUGCAUAUAGUUGUAUAUUGGACUUGAUAAAUUGAGGUUUCAUUUUGAACAACUUAUUUGGUAAUACAUAACUAAUUCUAAGUUUAAUCAAAUUGUAGACAUGUUUUUUCCAACAAUUCGGCCAUUCGGUGGUUCGUGCUGACUACCUUACACUUCAUAAUAGAUUAUCUUGGUCUAAAUGGUUUUGAUUUAAAAGCAACCUGAGUUUUAUUUUACUGUGUAAAUUAAAUUCUUACUUUAUCUCUGUGAUGCAGUGCUUGGAUCUCUGAAUUUCUAGUAUUCAUGCAUCACUAAUUUUUUUUUGUACUCCUUUACUCAAUCUCUUUUCCUUAUUUAUGGCAGAAUCACAACCUCACAUUAAAAUAUGAUUUUCACAGCUAUAUGGUUAGAUCUAUGGAAGAGGAGAAUUCCAAAGGAUAGUUGGUGUGAGGUUAGUAAUGGUUGAGCAUUUUUUGUCGUCAUUAUUGAGGAAGUCAAUAGUACAUGAUCUGUUGUGACCUUUACAUACUGUGUAUGAUUUUAUUUCAAUGUUACAGUUCGCUAAGAAAUUUCUGGAAAAGAGUCUUCAGUUUUGCAUUUUUAAGCAGUAGUUCAACUUUUCUAUUCUGAUUCAUUGCAAAUAAUCAAUGUAAAGAGAAAAGAAUGUUCAUUAUUUGUAUUAAGCAUGUGUAGCAUUAAGUUAUGGUUAUUGUUUUUGUUUUCCACAAAUUUAUUUUCAUGAAGUUGAGAGCUAACAGUGUCUGAAAUCUCUAGCAGUGGCUUACUCUGGGGAUUUGUUGUUGCUUUCAUGCUUUCCAACAUUAAAGGUAGUGUGUCUUUUUUUUUUUUCAUAAUCUUAAUUUUCAAAUAAUAUAUACAUUCCCUCCAUUACUAAAACCAAUUUGUAUCUUUCUUUUGGCCAAAGCUUUCACUUUACUUCCAUUUCUCUGUGAGAUUACCUCAAACAUAAUUGUGGUCAGUUAUUGAAGUAGUCAACCCAACUAAGAAGAAUAACUUGCUGCUUUUAUAUUGUGGUUUCAUUAUGUCUUUGUGUUAUCUUAGAAUCUUACAAUUGCUAAUUCAUUUAUCCUUUUUCUCGGUUUACCGCAGGAUCAAAUCUCUUUCUGGAUAGCUAUCAUCCCUGUCACGGCAAGUUAUCUUUGUUAUUUUCUCUUUCUUUUAAGUUAUUUUACUUUGUUGAACACUUUCUGAUUACCGUGUCUUUUUAUUUCUUGUGUUUAUGAACAGCUUGUUCUUUUGGUGGGAACAAAGCUCCAGCAUGUUAUUGCAACAUUGGCAUUGGAGAAUGCCGGAAUCACUGGUUACUUCUCGGGAUCAAAGUUGAGGCCUCGCAACGAACUUUUCUGGUUCAAUAAGCCUGAACUAUUGCUAUCCUUGAUCCACUUCAUUCUCUUCCAAGUAAGCAACAAUAGUUUAUCGGCUACUUUUGUGAUAUUUCUAAAUGAAAUUUGUUUUUUUUCCCUCCUAACUCUAGAUGCAUGUUCAUUUCCUGGUUUUGUUUUCGCAGAAUGCGUUUAAAUUGGCUUCGUUCUUUUGGUUCUGGGUACUUCUCUACUUCCUUAUCCAUCUUAAGUCAUAAUUAUUUCCUUCAACAAAUAAUACAAUGACUAGCUAUAUAUUUUCGAUAAGCAAAUGUUAUAGCCUUAUUCAAAUUUUCGGUGAUUGACACGUUGAUUUUAGUAUUCCUUAAAAGCUUCUUUUUGGCAAGUUAUUGCCACCUUUUUUCAGUGUUAUCAGAAUUACUUUAGAUAUGAUGAAUCACUCCAUAGAACAAGAUACUGAAGAAUGGCACGAAGUUCUGUAUGUACUAAAAUGUCUUUUUUGUUAUUGCAGUGGCAGUUUGGUUAUAAUUCCUGCUUUAUCAGGAAUCACUUGCUUGUGUACUUAAGGCUAAUCUUAGGGUAUGCUGAAACCAUGAGAUCCUUAAUUCCAUUUAUUUAAGAUGUUAAAAAAGCCAUGUGCCAUUUUAUACCUUUUCUAUAUAAACUUUGUAGGUUUGCAGGACAGUUUCUCUGCAGUUACAGUACUUUGCCACUCUAUGCGCUUCUUACACAGGUAAUCCACGACCUAAAUCGGUCGGUUUCUGUUGUAUGUUUUCUGCUUUCAGGAUUUUGUUGGUGGAAAAUAGUGGAAAACAAGAAAAUUUGUUUUCCAAAUUUUUUAACCUCCAUUAUUUACUUCACCAAAUUCAAAAAACAAGAAAACAUAAGUCAUGCUGACCCUAUAGAUCUGUUUAAUUCAAGAAGAUAUUUCUACGAUCAUUCUUCAAUAUUCAUUGGCAAAAUAUCAGAUUGUUUUCAUUCAAAUUAGUUUUUGUGCAUCGACAUCAUAGAAAGUUCCACAUUAUACUAAGUUGGCAUUUUUAUCCAAUUUUGUUAGUGGGCAUGUAAGCAGUGAGUGAGAAAUUAGUUCCUGAUCAAACCAAACAAAAUCAUUAUGAUAUAUCCGACUAUAUGACAUGUUUUCAGUUGUGUGUGUCUCAAAAAGUCAAUGAUGGCACACCUAAUUUCAAGGCUUCAUUAUGAACCAUGUGUAUGUGAUGCUUUUAAGGCAUGGAGUUGGUUUGAGUGAAUCAUUCAAGUUCAAUUUCGAUGUACUAAGUUAAAGAAUUUUACACUAUUAUCCAAUAAACUUUUUCUUUUGGAUCACAAUUUGCGUUAGUCGUAAUGAGUGUAAAAGGAAUUACUUUUUCUGAUAUGACAAACAGGCAAUAUAUAAUUAAAUAUCGGGUAAUGCUAUGGUGAAUGGUGUUUUUCAAUGAAGAGUGAAGAUUGUCUUUUUACAAUAGAAAAAAAUAUUUAAAAAAUAAAGACAUCAUAUGCAAUGCACACUCCUUUAAAAAAUUUUGUUACAAUAUUCACUCUUCGCCAAAUUUCAUUAUUCACCAUAGAAAUCCCCUUAAAUAUGUGUAAAACAUUUUAAACUGCAUAAAGUUAAAUCUGAAUCAUUGGAUUCUUGCCACUUUUAUUUCUCAUGCAAUAAGAUCUUUCUAUGUUUAUUUUCAGAUGGGAACAAACUAUAAGGCUGCAUUGAUUCCAGAGAGGAUAAGGGAGACAAUCCAUGGAUGGGGCAAGGCAGCUAGGAGAAAGAGAAGGCAUGGUAUGUUUGCCGAUGAUUCCACCAUUCACACGGACACGAGCACUGUACUAUCUCUCAAAGAAGACGAUAGAAUGGUCGAUAUCCCUGAAACUGGUACUGACCAUGUCACUGGAACUGAAGUAGAAUUACAACCGGUAGCAGCUGCUACGGCUAGUUCUGAAGCUAUUUGAACAUGUAUAACUGGGUUGGUCUAGAAUUGAACUCAUUUUUUUCUGAUAUAUAUAAGGUAUACAUCGGUUUUAAGAGAAUUAGUGGCGCCUUAGCUGUGGCCACCUAUAAAACCACUUUGACGCUAUGUAAAUAAGAGCGUGAGAUAAAUAUAAUGUAUUUCUGUUUAGUAAACGUGAUUUAAACGUGAUUUCUGAAGUACCUUGUUGACCUGUUCUUUGGAGAAUCGAAUUAUGAAGAUAAUCUUUAUAUUUCAGUUAUUCACUGUUAUUACUUGUAACCUAAUUUUCAUAAUUCUUUAGAUUUCUAGAAUAAAAUAUAUUUAAUAAAUGAUCACGUGUGCUUUUGUUUGUAUUAUCCUAUCGAUUUAUAAGGCUUUUUGUGACCAAGAUAUAAGUAAUGGAUCACUAUGUUUGUGAGUUGGGAAUUUUAAAGAAAGGAGGAGAAAGAAAAUGGUUAGAGGAGUAUUUCAUAAGUACUCAUCAAAUCUAACUUACAAACACAGGCUAAUGACAAUUGAUUAAAAAAUGAGGAAUGCUAGGGGACUAGCAAUUUUGGUGUUUUGUAACCAUCAAUUGGCCAUUAAUAGUGUUUUUAAUGGUGUGAGAUUACAUCUAAUAGUGGGAGAUCACUCACUUUUGUUUUGAUGGUUAAGUGCUGGCCAGAAAACACAAAAGUUGCUGGCCCUAGACUUUUCCUUAAAAAAUAUUGCUUUGAUUUUGAUUUUUUUAUUUGCAAUGCUUCUUAGUGUUAGUUUUUGUGCUUUUAUGAGUUGUAUUUUUCUCCACCGAAAAAAGAUUCUUUUUCUUUUGGGUUCUAUUCAACACUCAAGUAUUUUACAUCAAGGGCACGAAUUCUAUGUGCCGUGUGUAUUUGGCUGACCGGUGUGUAUAGCACUUAAUUUUGGCUGACCGGUGUGCUUGCUGAUGAGGAGUCAUUGGAUUAUACAUGCUUUUUAAUCUAAUAGUAGAGAUCUUUCUAAAUUUAAUUUCAUAUGAUUGGUUAGUUAAUACUUUAUGCUGCUUUUGUGUCAGUAGGAUAACUUUAUAAAUAUUAGUUUUAAGACGGUUAUUAUUGUUAGAUUUAAAAUAUUUUGUAGUAUUAUAUCAAAAAUAAAAAAAAUCAGAUAUUUAAAUUAAUUCAAAACGGAUAAAAUUUUGUUGAGUAAGAUUUUUUUAUUGUAUUAUUUUGCACAGCCAGCAAAGAUGCGAGCAGAAGUUCGUUGAACACCGGAGUGGGGCAUCAAGCCAGAGUGGGAGAGGAUGGUACUUCACCUCCGAUGACGUUUUAGCGGGUGGGCAGGAUGGUUUUUUGGCCAAUAUCUUCGCUGCCAAUGCUCACGACCCUUCUUCAUCAGCACGGUUCUUCACCUCCGAUGACGGCAUCCCCAACCCGCAACAAUAUUUCAGGUGUGCAGCAACGCCUCGACAGCAACCAUGGAGCAGAUGCCCCGACGAGGAGGAUUAGGUGUGGUAGGGAUGAGAUUAAGAGGGAGAUGCUGUCCCGUGUACGAUAGAGCAGAUACCUUCCUUGUCUUCGUCGUCCUCUUACUUCCUUCUCUUCCUCCGCCGUUUGCAAGCGCACCUCGCCUUCUACUAUCUCCAACGCCGGCGACAAAUCCAAAUCUUUCCACUGCCUUCGCUAUUCACUUUUUUGUCGCGCCACCAACUUCUUCUUCUCUCCACUCGGCCAUGGCGGCUUUGGCACCGUCUUUUUCGACAUUCUCUCUCCUCCGGCAAAAACUCUAUCGCAGUGAAGCUCUGGACCCCACAAUAACCUUGUAGCAAGGAGAGCGAAUUUCACAACAAGAUCCUCUUUUUAAUUCAGUUGCAAAAUUAAAAUUAAUUAAUCCUUUAGAAUUCUAAUGAAUAGUUGUGUUCGAUUUGUUGGAUGAUUAUUAAUAAUUUUAGGGUAAAGUACUAAAUUGGUCCCUUAGGUUUGGGCAUAAUUCUGUUUUGAUCCUUAAGGUUUAAAGUGUUCUAUUUGAAUCUAAAAAAGUUUCAUUUAGCAUCAAUUUAGUUCCACAGUGAGGUCAAAAUUAAAUAAUUAACAAAAUGUCCUACAUAACAACAGUUCAAGAACAAAAUUGAUAAUCUGGAGAACAAGUACAAGCUCCAAAGGCACAAAAUCAACUAAUAUUUUCUAAAUUUUUUUUUUUACAAAAUCUAAUAAAAGAAAGAUAAAAAAUAAUAAGAGUGAUAUUUGUAUAUAUAAGAUAAGAGUAAUAUUUUUUUUACCAAAGAUAGGAAAAUUCAAAUCUGCGAUCUCUUAGAUGAGUACAGGGAGACUAUGCCAUUUGAGUCAUAAUUCAUUGUCAAUAAGAGUAAUAUUUAGAUAUAUAAAACAUAUCUUUGUACAUAAACCAAUACAAAAUAAGAGACUAAUUUUAGAAUAUUCAGGUGUACUUACAAUAUUCUAAUAUUUGUAUCCACGUAUAUUUUAAUAUGAUAUCAGUAUCAUUUUAAAGAUAAUAUCUAAUACAAAUUUUAAUUUUCAAUUUUUAAUUUUAAGUUAUUUUAGUUAUUAUAAAAAUAAAAAAUAAUACUCAAAAUUAAUCCCAUUAAACUGCUCAAUAAUUUAUUUAUGAAAAGAUAUAAUUGUAUUUGUUUAAAGGAUAAUUCAUGGUUCAAAAGAUAUAAUUCAUGGUUAAAAAUGCCGAAUCUCAUUUUAGGUUUUGACGGAAUAUUCGAAAACGCUGUGUGAGUGUGUGGCCAUGGCGAAUCAGCAGAAUUUGCCAGAAGGAACGGUGCAGAACAUUCUAGAAUAAGAAACUUUCAAAUGGGUCUUCGUUGGUAGCAAAGGUGGCGUUGGCACAAUACUCUCAUUCUUCUCGCCACUGUUAGCGACUCUAUUCUCAUAAUCUCCACUGACCCAACUCACAAUCUCAGUGAUGCUUUUCAACAACGAUUCACAAAGACUCCAAAUUUAGUCAAUAACUUCACCAAUUUAUAUGCUAUGGAAGUGAAUUCCACUACUGAGCAUGAGGAUAUGUGGGCACUUCUAAAGGGAUGGACGGCAUGAGUCGCUGAAAUUUUCGGUAAAAUGUGGGUAAUGGACUUCAGGCGUGCCCAAUAAGAGGCUGCCGAAGCCACCAUGACUGAGUAGGGGAGGAGAAGGAGUUGAUAGCGCGAAGAAGAAGCGAAUAGGAGAGGUCUUGGAGAUUCCGUCGUUGUUGGCGCUGGAGAUAAUGGAGGAGGCAGUGCGCUUACAACGGCAGAAGAAGGGGAGAAAAAAACCUGGAGGAGAAUGUUAAUGACAGUGAUGCGUGAGCAUCUUGUCUAUCUUUUCCUAGUGAAUUUGCAUCUAAUUUGUUGAGUUUAAUUAAGAAUUAAUUAUAUUUUAGCCACUAUGGAUGCUAUUUUGAGUUUUGUGCAAUUUUAUUUAAUGUAGGUAGCAUUCGGAUGGAUUUGAUGAAGUUUCUACAGAGAAAGAGAAGAAACCAAAGAGAUGACCAGCGAAUACCGACGCGGACGCAUGGCUCAUGCGACCGCGCGGAAUGGAGGAAAUCGCAAUGACGCGAUCGCAUGCCUGACGCGAACGCGUGGACUGGAAUCUGCACAAAUGACGCGAACACGUGGACGACGCGGACGCGUCACAUGAGCGAUCUGCAGAAUGGACAAAUCUAGUGGUCCCCACCCAUCAGACUUGUUAAUUAAUUCAAAUUUAAAUUCAAAUUUUAAUUCUAGGAAAAGAUAUUAUUUUAAUUUUAAUUUUAGAAAUUUGAUUUUUAAUUUUAUUAGGAUUAGUUAUAAAAGGAAUCCCAACAGGUGAUUCCAACACAACAUUUUAUUCCACAACAUUAUUCCCAUUUACUAUUUAUAAUCUUUAUUUUCUACUCUGAACCAUGAGCAACUAAUUCUCCAUUGUUAAGGUUAGGAGCUCUGUCUAUUGUAUGGAUUGAUACUAUUAUUUUUCUAUUUUAAUUUAUGUUUUGAUUUAUUUUUCAAUAAUUGUUUUCGUUCUUUAUUUUAUGAAUUUGGGUGGAACGGAAGUAUGACCCAUGUUCUAAUUGAGUUCUUGUAUAACUUGGAAAAGCUCUUUACUUGAACAAUAGCUUGAAAACAUAUUAUCCUGAAUUUCUAAUUGUUUGUAUUUAACGGGAUACGUGACAUAUAAUCCCCUUAUUUUUGGAUAAUUAGGAUUCUUGUAGCAUAUAAACUGGAAUUUGAUCAUCACCCUCUAAUUGGAAUUAAUUGACCAAGAAAUUGGCAGUUGAUGAAUUUUAGAGGAGACUAAGAAGGUCUAAGGAAUUAGGGUCUAGUCACAAAUAGUUUGCCAUGAAUUAAAUCUUGCAUGAUUAAAAUAGUUAAUAAGAAAAGUCAAUCCAAAAAAUAGAUAACUCUGAAGCCUUAACUGCCUACUCAAUAUUUUAUUCCCAACUUAUUUAUUUGUCUAUCCUUUUGAUAUUCUGAGUUCGAACUUAAACCUUUUGAACAUCUCAAAACCAUUUUAUGCUUGUCUAACUAAGUAAAUCAUUUAACCAUUGUUGCUUAAUCCAUCAAUCCUCGUGGGAUCGACCCUUACUCACGUAAGGUAUUACUUGGUACGAUCCGGUGCACUUGCCGGUAAGUUAGUGGGUUACAAAUACCGCACCAGACAGUAAUAGAUAAUUAAAUAUGGGUAUUCAUUUAAAAAAUAAAAAAAUGAUCCCUUUAUUUUAUGUACAAUUACAAAAAAGACCCCAAAAAAUAAACAUUUUUAUUUUGACAUUUUUUGGCUGACCGGUGCGCUAAAUAACUUUUUGGCAUUUCAGUGCGUAAACAUCACCUGCGUACCAAAUCCGUGCCCUUACAUCAAAUGGUUGAAUGCCAAAGAAAGAUGACACCAACACAAGUUUAGGGACAGCAAUAUAUCAUUUUAAUUAAUGUAAUGGUAUUUUAUGGGAAAAAACGGAUCCAAGAAUUUUAAUAUGGAAGGGCCGAAUUGUAGAUAAAUUUUUUUAUUUUUAUUAUAUUUUUUAUUUCAUAAAAGCAAUUUAGACAUAACGUAUAAUUUUAUUUUUAGCAUGACAGCUAUAUAAAAGAAAUAUAGCAAUAUCAAUAAUUUAUAGUAUGUUUAGUUAAAAAAAUUAUUACAUAUCUUAUUAAUUAAAAUUAAUUCGUUUAAAAUUUUUAAAAAAUUUAUAAACAAAUUAUAAACUAUUAAUUAUAUGAAAGACNNNNNNNNNNNNNUAUAUCUCAUAUAUAAGUAUAAUAUUUUAAAAUCUUGGGGAGACAAAGCCACUACUUGCUCCUCUAGGUCCAUCCCUAUCUAUGGGAUUUAUUUUUUUGGAAUAGAAUUAUGGCUAUUUGGAUCAAAUUUCAUGAAAAUAGUAAUUUUUCAAAGUUUUGUUUUUUAAUUUCAAGACUCAUAUCUAAGAUUUCUAGUCUAUUAUAUUGACAAAUUCUCAUUAACACAAUAGUUUAACUUUCAACUUUUCUAUCAUGAUGAAACUAUUGAAUAUCCAAUUACCCCUGUCUAAGCCGAAGAUCUAAGAAAAAUAUAAGAAUCUCGCGAUAAGAAUCUUUUUUCAUUUGAUAUUUUCUAAUAACCAACUUGCUUGGUUAAGUGUUAGUUUAUUUACCUGAUUAAAUAAGUAUUUAGUGUUUAAAUUUUAUCUUAUAUAUACAAUAUUGAUUAACGGUAAAUUCUUAAACAAUAUUCAAAUAUACAAUAAAUUAAUUUUUGACCUGCUAAAUUAAAAAAUACUGUGUAAAAAAAAAAAUCUAAAGCACUAGUUAAGAGACCAAAAUAUCUACAAUGUUCACCAAUCUUGUUAACAGCAUCUAUUUUUAUUUUCAUUAAUUUUUCAUUUUAGAAUAUUACAAAAAAAAAAACAAAAUUUCUAUUUAGUUGGCUCAAAAUCAAAACAUAGAGAAUGUACCUAAUAAUAAUAAUAAUAAUAUGUAUAUAAAAAAAAGAGACCACUUUGCUAAAAUAUUCAUCUCACUUUCAUAAAAUCAAACAAGGUUCUUAUUAAUAAACUCCUUCAUAAAUAGUAUGCAACUUCUAACAAUAGUUUCAAUUCUACAAAAAUACAAAAGCCAAUACAAUGGAACCUUCUUUUUCUUCUUUUCUUUCUAAUACACAAAUGGCAAUAUUCUCCAAGGAACAAGUUUUCGGUACUCAGUCCAUAUCUCUUUAUACUUCUUCGCACAACGAGAUUCAUCCCUUCUCUCCCUCCAUAUCAACAGAAUAAGAAGAUAUAUUGGAUAGAAGUAUGGAACUGGUGAACUGCAAAAAUGAGUAAGAUAUACAAGGUUUGACAUUAUUUUCUUUGUAGAAAAAUCAAUAUCAAUAACUUUAUAUCAGCGAAAUAAUUAAAGGAAUGAGUUAAUGAGAUCACCUUAUCCCACAAGGUAAGCUAAAGGAGAGAGCAAGAAGUAAGUCACCUAGGUAAUUACAAUGUCUGGCAAUACCCCUUCAACAACAACAACAACAACAACAACAAUGACAACUUGUGUUAAUAGCUUCCAUGAGAAAGUGAAUUGAGUGUAUAUACGUUGUUCUAACAAGACUCUAGAUAGACAAAUAAUAACCACGGAUUAAAACAUGUUACUGUCUUCGUUCUUUUUUAUCUGUCAACUGUUACUUUUUGGUACAUAUUGAUUUAACGCAUGCCAAAAAGUGGACAAAUAACCAAAGGAGUAAUGUGUAAUGUGUAAUGCAUAAGAUGUUAAGAACUCACCAGGUAUAAUCUCUGACCUAAAUUCAACAACUUUCUAAAUAAAAAUUCAUGAGGAUUAAAAAAUUUUAUUGGUAAUAUAUUAUACUAUUACUAAUUACCAAUCAUUAACUUGGAUUAUACACAUACUCAACCAAUCAUAAUUUUCGCUAUUUGAUAAAAAGAAUAACUUAGCCAAUGGAGCCUUUUCUCAUCCCAUUUUUUAUUCCGAAGCCUCCCAACAUGUUUUAAGAUAUGCUUAAUCGGUAUUCACAUAUUAUGUAUUAAAUUAAAGGUGAAAGAAAAACAGAUGCAUAUCUACUCCAAGCAAUUUUUUUUUCUUUUUUUCAGUUUUUACCCCUUAAAUAAAGAAAGAGGAAAAGGAAAAAGAGAAACAAAAUACAGAUAUCAAAUGAAAAAAAAUCUUACCAAUAACCAGAAGCAAGUAACUUUCCACCAAUGACUUUUGGAGGCUUACCCCAAAUAGGGCCCUUUGGAUUCUUUUUGAAUACAUGUUUUUGCUUGUUUGCCCCUCGAAAUACCAUGUAUCUGCAAAGUUUGAUCUUCAAUUUUAUGUUAUGAACUUAUGUAACUUCAAGAGUAUAUGUGGUGCAUUAUAGAAUUCACGGUUGGAUAUUACGAACACAUUACCCAAUCAGGAAGACAAGACAAUUAGCUAUAAUGGUUGUCGUUGUUAACUCCACCUCAUUUGCUAAGAGCCACCAUCCCUGACAGCAAUUGUAGCAUGUCAAUACAUGUUAUGUGUUUAAACGAAAAAGUACUGUACACUGUUCUAAAAACCGAACCGGAUCGGCCGGUUCAACAGGGUUAAUUGGGAACGGUCAUUUAGUUGGUUUGGUUGAAGUGCAAAACCGAUCUGCAAAAAACCGGUAAAAAACCUAUUGAGCCGGCAAUUAACCAGUGAACCGUUUGAACCGGACAGUUUUUUCCGAUUUUCAAUUAAAAAAUAAAAAAUAAAAAAUUACAUAAACCCUCCACAUUCUCUCUCUCUCACACGCACACUACCACGGAACCCUAGCCCUCCUCUCUCUCUAGCUCCACAGAACCCUAGCACCCCCAGCCAACAAUAGCAGCAGCAGCCAGCGCCCAGUUCCCAGCGCCGCCGUCGCCGACGAACUCUUCUCCUCAGCCAGCGUCCAGCCCCGGUGUUGCCGAUCCUCUUUUCCUAGAUCCCUUCUCCUCGCGUCGCUAGGUCUCAUUGGAGCUGCUGUUGGCGUUGCCGCCUCUGUCCUCGUUGUCAUCGGCCACCCUGAACUUGUGUCUCUGUCCUCGUUGUCGAGCCCUCUCUCUCGCGCGCGCAUCAAACCUCUGUCUUCGAUCCCCCUCUCUGUCCGAGCUCACUUUCCUUCCUCCCUCGCCGUCACUUCUCUUCCUCCCUCACCGCCAUAAGCAAAGCUACUUUAAUUUAUGUUUUCUUAUUUUGUUAUUUUAUUGAUUCCGAGUUGCUGAAAUUUGAUCGAGUUGCUGAUUUUUUUUUUUUUGUUCAUUUUUGAGUUGCUGAGAUCUGAAAUAUGUUGGUUGAUAAUGUUUUGUUAAAUUUUCGAAAAUAAUUGUUAUUCUGAGUUCCGAGUUUCCCUCAUAUGCAAGCCAUAGAAGCGAAUUGUAUAUCUCUAUAUCUAUCUGUAGCAAGAAAGUAGGCUAGGCUUUACCCACGGGCAAGCUAUCUAGCAGAAAGUGAGUGAAGCUGCUUUGGUCUACUCUGGGUGCACAAUUAUUAUUGUAAUAUCCUUUUUGCUGAUUUUCUGAAAUAAUUGUGUUUUGGGUUAGGAUUGUUGAUUGUUGCUGAUGUGAUUCUGAAUUUAGUUUGGAUGUUGAGUUUGGACUCUUUGCUUAAUUUUCUGUUUUUGGAUUCUUUGGCUUUGGAUGGCUUUGGAUGUUGAGAAGUUUUUGGAUUCUGAGUUUUUGUUGAAUACUUGAUUAGUAUUGAGAAUAUAAAUGUAAUAGAACAAGAUUUGGUUUAAGAAAAAGUGAAAGAAGAGCAUGUAAACUCUUGAUUUAGUUAGUUAUUCUGUUUCAGGUCAAUAGCUUUCAUAUAUAUUGCAGACAUUAUAUUUGGAAGUGUUGAAACUAAUAUGAUCAAUGUUAUUGAUUCUCAAUAAUUAUGUUCUCAAUUUUAAGUUUUUGAAUACAUUUCUUUGUUUCUUAUAUCACAAGAAUUCUUCUUUUGGAGUGUUUAUCUUGAUUGUCAAAUAAUUGAGCUUGAUUAGAGUUUAGAAGUUAAUUAAAAUUUUUUUAUUAUGAAUUCUAAAAGAUAAAAUAUGAACAAAUUACUAUGUGAAAUGUUAAAUUUUUAAAUUUUAGUAGUUUAGAAAAUAUUAAAUUUGAAUAUUUGAAAUUGUAUAUUGAAUUUUUAAUGAUUUCAUUGUAUAUUUAAUUAAACCGGUUCAACCACAGUUCAACUUCGGUUAGACUAUUGAACCGUUGAACCAGUCACUUCACCAGUUCAAUGACCGAUUCGGUUCUCGCAACCUUGGUACUAUACAUAAUGGCGCAAAUAAAUGGCAAGUUGGAAGUUAAGUUAUAGCAAUUACCUGAAUGCUAAAAGUAAAAGGAAUCCAAACUAAAUCUCCAAAGACCAACAUGAAGCCCAACCUCUCUGCAAUUAUGUCCCAACUAAAAACAAAAAUUAAGAGAUAAGAUCAUAAACCACAAUUAUAUCUAACAUGAAUGACAAUAUAGAUAUCACAAUCAUGAGUUCAUAACUUAGUGAAAAUAUUACAAGGAAAACAUGUUUUAUUUUUUUAGAGAUUGGGAUGAACAAUUUUUCAAGUAGAGCAAACGCAAUUCACUUACGUUGAUGUCAUGUACUCUUCAUGCACAAAGUAGUCCAAGAUGUAUAACUGGUAUAAAUGUAAAGAAAGUCACUCAUCAAACACCCAAACUAGUGCUUAUUAAAAGAAAAGAGAAAAAAAGGAAAUUCAAUAAACUAGAGUAGACAAGAUUUUAAAAUUACUGCACAGAAUAUCUGGAAGAGAAUCAUUGAUUUGCUCAAAGUACCAUCUUGAAUGCUCUUUGCAAGAAUGGAUAAAUUGAUUAGCAGCCACCCCAUCAUUCCAGCUCUAACAAACAAAAAUCUACAAUUUGACAAUUCCAUUAUAUGUGCAGGAAUAUUUAUAGUAUUCAGAAUAAUCAUAAAAAAAACCACAAUUCUGACAAUUCCAUUGACAGGGUUGCAAGCUAAGAAUGCUUUUUUUCCAUCAUAAUUGCCAAUUAUAUACACUUAAGCAAUCAUAUAAAAUGAGAACAAGCAAGAAACGACAUCAGGUGGAUAACAUACUUGAGGUCAAUACCCAUAUACUGAGGAUUCAGUUGUAUUCCAAACCACCUAUCAAAGUAAAACAGAAAACGAAAAACAAAAUUAACCAAUAAAAUUCAAUUUCUGCAACGGUCAAGGAAAUAAAAUCAACCAUGUUCACACUUCACACUAGUUAAAAAGUCGGGCUUCGUUGUACUAGACAGAAAAACACAAAAGAGAUGCAAACACAAAUUCCAAACAGAAGCUAUUACGAUUAAAGAAAUUUUAACAUCUAGAACAUACCAAUCAUGUAUUAGGUUUCCAGUGAUAUGAGGUUUUAGUGAUGAACUUUUACUUUGUGACUUGCAGCCCGCAAAAUAAAGUGCCAGGGUCACCUGAUAUGAAAUUAGUAAAAAUGACAACAAAAAAGGUUAUUAUCAAGCAAUGCAGAGUAACAAUAAAAACAAAUAAAGUAUAAAAUUUAGCUUUUGAUAUAUUUCAACAACUGUGCAUUGGUACAUUUAGCCAGCCUUUUCUAAUGAUACGAUAGGAUUUGACUUCCAUCAUUGUUAUUAAGUUCAAUAAUGUGUCAUUUAUUCAUAUUUCAGUUCUAGCAAAUUCAUAUGAUGAAAUUGAACUAUGAAAAGAACCAUGGAAUGUCAUUACUAAGUUGUAAAUAAGAUUCUAUGCUUAUAAUUACAUACAAGAAAACUGAAGAUAAAUGUUGUGGACAGCAGCUCAAAUCCUCUCUCAGAUAUAGCCUGCAAAAGUUGCCACAGGUUAUUCUGCGACUCUAACUCUAGCAUAUGAUUCAUAGUGUUAUGCAAAAUUCAGAAUAUCCAUAUGAACACGUACGGUAGGAGAUACAAAAUCCAUCUUGGCACUAAUCCCAAGAAGUGCAACCAACAGAAGAAGCAAGACUAAACCUGAGAAAAUGUGAACAUAGUUACACCUCCAAAAAAAUAGAAAAGGAAUAGUGGUGUAAAUAUAGACUCAAUUCUUGUGAAUCUUAUAUGAAUCAACAUGCAAAAUAUAUUUUAAAGUAUAAAAUAUACCACAACUGCUAAACCUUAUCUCACUAGGUACAAUAAGUAGCAUAAAAAAGGAAUCAUCAUAAUCUUUGUUAUAAAUCAUGUAUACAUUCAAAUUAUUAAAAUCUAACCAUUAUAACAAUUUCACCUAUCACCUAUGAUUUUUCCUUUUUUAAGAUUUCUUCUAUUAAUAGGUCAUUGAACAAACAUUUUGUCAUGUAUAGCAUUGAAGACUGGUCAUGAAGUGAACAACAAAAAUAUGUUGCCAUUAUAACACUGAUUUAAGGAUUACCAUAAACUAGAGAACCUAUAUUACAUCAAAAUCACACUAAAAUGAACCACAUUUUUGUAAUGUACUAGAAUGUUAAAAACGAACCAUUGCAGCGAUAAUGAAGGCGAGUUCCAUCAGCAAGAACAACCCCAGGAACAAGUUUUCCCAGCACAAUGGAUCCCGCAAUUGACAAAUAAGCAAAGAAGCCCAGAAGCAAAUAAGCCUUAUCCACAUUCCAAAGUAGUGAAAAUAUUAAAACUUUACAUAUUACAUCCGUAGAAUCAACUAAUUCAUAUAAAGGGUAUAGUGAGUGAAUGAAUGAAUAGUACUAACUGAGUUCCAUGAUGGUAUAAGAGCUUGAAGAAGAGAACUCAGUUUCAUGAGCAUGUGUGAGCCUUGUAUCUGAAUGGAAUGAAUAGUUUGAUUGUGAUUUUAGUGUCAGAGAAGAUUGUGACUUCGAUUAUUGUUGCAGUGUUGUUGUUGCUACUUUAUUGUACUCAAGAUUCUGAAAAUCGAAUGACUGAUUCAAUAAUUUAAUAAUCUAACCUGUGAGUGAACUGUAAUUAAACCAAUUUAAUUAAAUAUAUAAUAAAAUUUUAAAUAUUUAAAUUCAACCAUUCAUAUAACAACAAACUUUAAAAUUUCACAAUCUCACGUUUAAUUUCACGAUGUUCAAUGACCAAAAAUAACAAUCUUUUAUCUUUAAAAAAAAACACUCAUCACAAGUCAUAAUAGUCGUGAAGUGGCCCAAAAUCAACCAUCACAACUAACUAAUUAACUAACUCUCAAAAUCAACAAAAUCAUAUUAAUAUCAACCAACAACAAUCAACAACAGUCAACAAUAAACAAGAGAUUAACAAAUAAAAUAAUUUUGAUCUCAUGAAAUAAAUUAAAUCAAACAAAUAAAAACAAAAAGAAAAAAUAAAACUGAAGAAGACGACGCUGAGUUACGAACAGGGAAGUGGGGGAGUGAGCAGCGCCAGCAAGAGACGGCAGCGUCAACAAAGCCGGCGACGACAGGCAACGCGGGUGAGAAGAGCGACGAUGCCAAGAAUAAAGGCUGCAAAAGCGCCGGCGACAGCAGCGGGCAAUGACAAUAGCGAAACGGCGGCAAAGCGGGCGACAAGAGCAACGUGGCCAAGGACAAAGGCUGCACCAACCGACCAACACCAGCGACGGUGACCUUCUGAACUGGCCAACGGAGCCAAUCGGGCCUGCCUCCUCCUGCUGCCUCUAGGGGUAUAGCCGGCGGCUACAGCUCCUUAGGUGGGUGGGUUUUGGGAUUUUUAAUUUUGGGCGUAACCUAAGUGAAUGAAUCUGAACCAAGGUUCUAAAAACCGGACUGGCCAUCAAACCGUUUUAGUUACUAGUUCACUAGUUCAUUGGUACAACCGGUUCAACCGUCGUUCAACCGGAAAAACCGUUUUAUUAUAAACACCUGAUUCUAUAAAAAUUUAAUGAAUAAAGCAACUGGUUCUAAACACUCUUCUACUGCAUUUUUUUUUACUUCAAAAGGGGAUCAUAAACAACUAGUUCUAUGAAUAAACAAACUACAAUGAUAUGCAAUGCCAAAAAUAGGCCAAUGAUGAAAUAAUAAAGGGUUUCUCUCUUCAAUUCUAUGUUCAUCAAUAUCCAGAAUUUCCUUCUUAAUAUACCUCAGAAUUUCCUACAAAAUGAAAAUUGAACACAAUACACAGCUUUAAAACAAAAACAAAACAACACUCAGAAAUCAAUCACCUCUUCCAAACACAGCCAAAACAGAACAACAUUCAGAGUAUGAGCAUUGACCACAAAAAAUUGAUUUCUAAAACAAAACAAAAACAGCAGAACAACAUUCAGAGUUUGAGCAUUGAUCACAAAAUAUUGAUUUAUGAAACAAAACAAAAACAGAAGAACAACAUUCAGAGUUUGAGCAUUGAUAACAAAAAAUUGAUUUCUGAAACAAAACAAACACAGCAAAACCAGCAGAACAGCAUUUAGAGUUUGAGCAUUGAUCACAAAAAAUUAAUUUCUGAAACAAAACAAACAAUCAACAAAACAAUGAAAACAUGAAGCAUAUAAUAAAUCAAUGAUCACCAAUAUCCAGCAAGAAUCUCAAAAACAACAAUAAAUACACAACAAUAAUUUAGCAAAUAAACAAGAACAAGACCUAAAUAAAAAAUCCAACAAAUUAAAUCGCAGAAACCUAACAAUUUAGCAAAUUAAAACAACAGCAGCUCAAAAACUUACAAGAAGAACACUAAUGCAAGUGGAAUCAUCAUGCUAAUAUGUUUUCUACAAAGAUGCUAUUUGUGCAUCUAAAAUUUCCUAAUUACUAAGAUCCAAUUAUUCUAAUUUCACAUGCAAUCAACUUACUAAGUUUCUAAAAGCUAGAAAUGAUAAAACCAACCCGAAAUAUGGUUAAAGCAUUUCAUCAAACAUGUUGAGUGCAGUAAACUUAAAACGAAAUAAUUACUUAUUGUAAAACUUAAACUUUAAUUCAGUCUAUGAAAAAAAUCCAAACCACUACUAAAUCAAAUAAUUACUUAUUGUAAUAGAACUAAGAAGUUGCAGAGUUUGAAGCAGAGUAUUGGUCUUGUGUAAGUGUAUUAUCUGGUGGCUGGGUUUAGGGAACUCACGGCGGCGACAAAAGAGAGCAGUUCGACGGCUAGGUGGAGCGCGCGGGUUGGUCGCAGAGUUUGAAGCAGAGCAACGUGGCUUCCAGACGAACGCGAAUGCGAACCCGAAUGGUGAACGGCGAGUGAACGCGAACGGUGAACGCCGAGCAAACUUGAACAGCGAAGAACGCGAACGAAGACGACGGCUGAACGAAGACGCGAACGUGAACGGCAAACAAACGGCGGCGGAAGCGCCUGAACAGACAAAGACGACGGACGCCGAGCUCGAGGAAGCAGCUGCGAUCGGUAACAGCGAACAGGGGUUGAAGACUUGGAGCACGAGGGAAGCUAGAUGGACGGACGGCGGCAGUAUGCCACUCCUUGCGGCGGUGGUGUAGGCUUACAGUGCUAGGGUUUUUUUGGCUAAGUUUCUGUGUAUGAAAGAAAGGGAGGGAGAAAGGGAGAAAGAAACGAAGGAGCUUCAGAACCAAGAUGAAAGUAAGCCAAAUUUGCCAAAAACGACGCCGUUCUUUUAAAUCGGUCGGUUCUCUGUCCGGUUCAACCGGCAGGAAACCGGCCGGUUCGGCAGUUCUUCUUCGAUUUUAAGUAUAGUUGUCAGAAUCGAACCGGUGAUCGAACUGGUAAGGUUACUGGGUUACUGAAUCAUUGGUUCAACCGGUGGGUCACUAGUCGAACCGGUUUACUCGGUAUAAUUAAAUAAUUAUAUAAAAUUUAAUUAUUUUUUUAUCAUUAGUAUUUUUAUUUUUGUUUUUAUAAAAAUAAUUAUCAUUUUUAAAUUUUAAUGCUUUAUUAAUUAGUUUAUAUUCAUUUUAUUAUUAUAUUAUUAUAGGUGAAAAGUCACAUAAAAUUAUUUUUUUGUGAAGUUGAUAUUUAAGAAUCGUUAGAUGAUUUGACUAGUUUAACUAAAUAUCAUCUAGCAAUUUUUAACUAUCAACUUCAUAUGAAGACAAAAAAUAAAAUAAUAUAUUAAAAAAUNNNNNNNNNNNNNNNNNNNNNNNNNNNNNNNNNNNNNNNNNNNNNNNNNNNNNNNNNNNNNNNNNNNNNNNNNNNNNNNNNNNNNNNNNNNNNNNNNNNNNNNNNNNNNNNNNNNNNNNNNNNNNNNNNNNNNNNNNNNNNNNNNNNNNNNNNNNNNNNNNNNNNNNNNNNNNNNNNNNNNNNNNNNNNNNNNNNNNNNNNNNNNNNNNNNNNNNNNNNNNNNNNNNNNNNNNNNNNNNNNNNNNNNNNNNNNNNNNNNNNNNNNNNNNNNNNNNNNNNNNNNNNNNNNNNNNNNNNNNNNNNNNNNNNNNNNNNNNNNNNNNNNNNNNNNNNNNNNNNNNNNNNNNNNNNNNNNNNNNNNNNNNNNNNNNNNNNNNNNNNNNNNNNNNNNNNNNNNNNNNNNNNNNNNNNNNNNNNNNNNNNNNNNNNNNNNNNNNNNNNNNNNNNNNNNNNNNNNNNNNNNNNNNNNNNNNNNNNNNNNNNNNNNNNNNNNNNNNNNNNNNNNNNNNNNNNNNNNNNNNNNNNNNNNNNNNNNNNNNNNNNNNNNNNNNNNNNNNNNNNNNNNNNNNNNNNNNNNNNNNNNNNNNNNNNNNNNNNNNNNNNNNNNNNNNNNNNNNNNNNNNNNNNNNNNNNNNNNNNNNNNNNNNNNNNNNNNNNNNNNNNNNNNNNNNNNNNNNNNNNNNNNNNNNNNNNNNNNNNNNNNNNNNNNNNNNNNNNNNNNNNNNNNNNNNNNNNNNNNNNNNNNNNNNNNNNNNNNNNNNNNNNNNNNNNNNNNNNNNNNNNNNNNNNNNNNNNNNNNNNNNNNNNNNNNNNNNNNNNNNNNNNNNNNNNNNNNNNNNNNNNNNNNNNNNNNNNNNNNNNNNNNNNNNNNNNNNNNNNNNNNNNNNNNNNNNNNNNNNNNNNNNNNNNNNNNNNNNNNNNNNNNNNNNNNNNNNNNNNNNNNNNNNNNNNNNNNNNNNNNNNNNNNNNNNNNNNNNNNNNNNNNNNNNNNNNNNNNNNNNNNNNNNNNNNNNNNNNNNNNNNNNNNNNNNNNNNNNNNNNNNNNNNNNNNNNNNNNNNNNNNNNNNNNNNNNNNNNNNNNNNNNNNNNNNNNNNNNNNNNNNNNNNNNNNNNNNNNNNNNNNNNNNNNNNNNNNNNNNNNNNNNNNNNNNNNNNNNNNNNNNNNNNNNNNNNNNNNNNNNNNNNNNNNNNNNNNNNNNNNNNNNNNNNNNNNNNNNNNNNNNNNNNNNNNNNNNNNNNNNNNNNNNNNNNNNNNNNNNNNNNNNNNNNNNNNNNNNNNNNNNNNNNNNNNNNNNNNNNNNNNNNNNNNNNNNNNNNNNNNNNNNNNNNNNNNNNNNNNNNNNNNNNNNNNNNNNNNNNNNNNNNNNNNNNNNNNNNNNNNNNNNNNNNNNNNNNNNNNNNNNNNNNNNNNNNNNNNNNNNNNNNNNNNNNNNNNNNNNNNNNNNNNNNNNNNNNNNNNNNNNNNNNNNNNNNNNNNNNNNNNNNNNNNNNNNNNNNNNNNNNNNNNNNNNNNNNNNNNNNNNNNNNNNNNNNNNNNNNNNNNNNNNNNNNNNNNNNNNNNNNNNNNNNNNNNNNNNNNNNNNNNNNNNNNNNNNNNNNNNNNNNNNNNNNNNNNNNNNNNNNNNNNNNNNNNNNNNNNNNNNNNNNNNNNNNNNNNNNNNNNNNNNNNNNNNNNNNNNNNNNNNNNNNNNNNNNNNNNNNNNNNNNNNNNNNNNNNNNNNNNNNNNNNNNNNNNNNNNNNNNNNNNNNNNNNNNNNNNNNNNNNNNNNNNNNNNNNNNNNNNNNNNNNNNNNNNNNNNNNNNNNNNNNNNNNNNNNNNNNNNNNNNNNNNNNNNNNNNNNNNNNNNNNNNNNNNNNNNNNNNNNNNNNNNNNNNNNNNNNNNNNNNNNNNNNNNNNNNNNNNNNNNNNNNNNNNNNNNNNNNNNNNNNNNNNNNNNNNNNNNNNNNNNNNNNNNNNNNNNNNNNNNNNNNNNNNNNNNNNNNNNNNNNNNNNNNNNNNNNNNNNNNNNNNNNNNNNNNNNNNNNNNNNNNNNNNNNNNNNNNNNNNNNUCACAUAAAAUUAUUUUUUUGUGAAGUUGAUAUUUAAGAAUCGUUAGAUGAUUUGACUAGUUUAACUAAAUAUCAUCUAGCAAUUUUCAACUAUUAACUUCAUAUGAAGACAAAAAAUAAAAUAAUAUAUUAAAAAAAUAAUAUUAAUAGAUAUCAUAUAAUCAUGAAAAGAAAAAUUAAAUUGUGAUUAAUUAAAUUUUUUGUUUAUCUUUUUAAUUUGUAUAUAUUUAAUAAAAUUUAUAGUUAAAUAAAAUGUAAUUGAUUUAAAAAUCAGAGACUUUGAAAUUAAAAUAAAUUGAAUAUAAGUGAAAAGAAAGGGAAUACUAUAUGUAUUAUAAUUUGUAUACUAAUUGAUGAGAAUCACUCCAGCUUGGUGGUAGAAGCAAUAAUGCUUCCCCUGGAGGCUGGAGGCAGGGGUUCGAAUUUUUUGUCCAUUGUACGUUGACCGAGCGACUCGGACCGGUCCGGUUUUUGCCGGUUUUUACCGGUUCACAUCGGGUUAGACCGGUUCGUACCGAUUCUCAACCUUAAAUGGUCGCAAGCUUGGACCGGACCGGCAUUGGGUUCGGUUUACCGGUUUUCCAGUUGAACCGACCGGUCCGAUUCUGACAACUAUGGUUUCAAGGGACAAAUCAUAUCGUAAUUGCUGUCAAUCUACCGUUAGACCAGUCAAACCGGUCCGUUCAGCUCGAUUUUCAGAACAUUGAUCUAAACUCUUCAACUCAAUUUGUUCAUGACAAAAAAAAGGCACAUUUGUUUUUAUUAAUCUAAAGUCACGUCGUUUAAGGGAGAUUUUCUUUAAAAAAAAAAAAAGAAAGUUUAGGGACCAUCACUUUUAUUAAAUUUUUGUCAGCACUUAAAUAUCAAAAGGAAAUUGAGUAAUCCUAUACCACUAGAUGUAGGCCCAGUUUGGGUAAACAACUUAAUUAAGUUUCUUUUGAAAAAAUAACUUAAACAAUAAAUGACUAUAUUAAAAGUAGCUUAUAAAUAAGUUAUUUUGUGUUUGGAUUUUUAGUUCUAAAAGUACUUAUUUUAUAAAAAUAUGGUAAAAAGUAGUAGUAUUAUGAGAGAAGUCAUUUUUUUAACUUCUCUAUAAACUCCUAAAUAGCUUCUUAGAAAGCCGCAAUUUGGUUUUGAAAAUUGCACCAGGUAUUAAUACUACUACUUUUCAUAAGUCAAAAGCUCAAAAAAGUUACUUUUGAAACUUCCCAAACGAGCCCGUAAUCUCACACCAUUAAAAACCUCAUUGAUGGCUACCAAUCACAAAAUCUGCUGGCCCUAGCACUCCUAAAAAAAAGGGGGAUAAAAUAUACUUUUUGUUCCUGAAGUUUAGCAAAAGUUUUAAAAAUACUUCUAAGUUUUAUUUUGUUUCAAUUUUGUCCCAGAAGUUUUCAAUUUGCAUCAAAUAUACCCUCGACAGCUAAAUUUUCUAAAUAUUUAAGACCAAUCUAACAAUAAUGUAUGAAAAUUAUGCUUGAUUUGCUUGUGUUGAGGGUUAUUUUUAUGAAAUUGUUGUUGAAUUGGUCUUAAAUAUUUUAAAAAAUUAACUAUCACCGUAUAUUUGAUGUAAAUUGAAAACUUUUAGGACAAAAUUGAAAUAAAAUAAAACUUAGGGAUAUUUUUAAAACUUUUGUCAAACUUUAGGGAUAAAAAAUAUAAUUUACCCAAAAAAAUGCCAACCUGGGAGAUCUGCUAUUGGUUCAGCCGAUUCAUCGAUUAACGGUCAAUUCAAGCAGUUUUUUUGGUAGUUUAUUACAAAUUGGAUUUUUAAUAAAACCAAGACAGUGAGCAGAAGAAAAUGUUUUUGGUUAACUAAAUCAAGGGGAUGGAUUCGGCGAGCCAGACGUCUUUGGCUAACCGGUGCGCAUUUUAGUGGAGAGCUAUUAGAUCUGUUUUAUUUUUUAAUUCAACGAUAGAAAUUAUCCUGAAACUUGUUUCUUUUUAUUGGCUAGUGAAUACUUUUUGUAGGUUUUGUGUCAGAAGAGUCACUUUAGAAAAUUAAAUUUCUUGGUGGUUAUUGUGGUUAGAUCUAAAAUCUAUCUGGAUUAAUAUAGCAAAAAUUUAUGAAUUUGUAUGUUAAAAUCAAUUAGAGUUAAGUAUUCUAUUUUAUGUUAAACUAAAUGACGAUGAAGUUGGGCUGUUCUAUUCCGGGUGGGGAUGAUUGAUUUCUUCUAAAUUGGCCACUGUAUCAGUGAAAUGGAAACUCUGACUAGGACUGCAACGAAGGGCGACGUUGAAGCCAGUUACGUGUGUGCGAUGCUGCUACUGUGUAAUAAGGAAGAAGAAAAGCACAGACGAAGGGGAGUUGAAUUUUUUGAAAUUGUACGUGCUUCUGGGGUAGUCGAAAGGUGCGGAGAGAUCUUUAGGGAGAUAUUCGAGCAGCGGUGGGUGGAGGUAAAAUCGUCAAAUCCUGGACAGCCCGUGAUUUGUCGGUCCACCGGUUGCCCUACCCGCGACACCAUGGGUGUUGUCGAAGAUGUGUCUCGUAUCUUAUGUGUGCACUGCUUGGCCGAUUACAAGGUGUGGGUGUUCUUGGAAAUGUUUAGAUUUCAAUGAAAAUUGUUAUUUAGUGAUAUCUAUUGUUCAACCUUGUUGUUUAUGCUUCUCGUAUCUGAUAGUACAAUAGCUAGUAUUGUCUCCUAUUUUGUAAAGAAUUUACGAAUGAUUAUCCACAUAUGGAUUAUAUUUUUAUUAUGUUUUUGUUUUUGUGCAUGAAAAAAUUUAAGUUUGAUCUAAUAUGAAAGAUUUGUUGGAUGAUGAUAUAACUUAUGUAAAUAAUUAUAAAUAAAAUAUUACAACCAGACAGAAAUUUAGGUUCAGGAGGAGGGGAGCACUUGUCCUCACUAAAUUAUAUUUUGAAAAGGAAAAUUUUUUUUAAUAAUUUUUUAAUUAAUAAUAUCGAUUAAUUAUCUGAUCUUAUCCAGAAGAAUCGAUAAAGAAACGUAUGAGGUACUGAAUCCUAAUUAAUGCCAGUAUAUUAAAAUUAAAAAGGAUAUAAUAGGAACAAAUAGAACGCAUCGUGGGUGCCUGGGUGGUCGUCUCUUCUCUUGAUAUUCUCCAAUAAUCCCCCCAAAGUUCUUGCAAAUGGCUGAAACAUCUAAGAAGAAUAGAAAGAAAAAGAACGUAUCUGUUGAGUACAAAUGUCCACUCAAUCUUCUUCCUCGUGACAUAUGGGUGAGGAUUCUUACGAAGAUUGCAUCAAAUUCGAUUCAGGAUCUUUUCACCAUGCAGGUGACUUACAAGGUGUUUCUGGAUGUAGCGAGGUCGGAUGCUGUAUACAAGCAUGUGACGAUGUGGUAUAUACCGUUAGUGUCCUUUUUAUUUUACUUUGACCGACCUGAAAGGAGGUUCGUUGAUCGCUGCGUGGAAGCAGGAAAUCCGGAUACUAUACUCUGCCAUGAGAUGACGGAGUAUUUCUGGAUUACCCAUCAUGUCCUUGGAAUGGAUCUGCUGACUAGGGCUGCAACGGAGGAUAACGUUGAAGUCGGUUACUUGUGUGCCAUGCUGCUAUAGUAUAAUCACGAAGACGAAGAGAACAGGAAACGGGGUGUUGAAUUUUUUGAAGUUAUACGUACUUCUGGUGAGGUCGAAAGGUGCAAGGUCUUCACAGAAAUUUUCGAGGAGCGGUGGGUGGAUGAUAAACCUUCAGAUCCUAGAUAGUCCGUGACUUAUCGGUCCUCCUGUUGCCCUACCUGCGGCACCAUGGGUGAUGUCCAAGAUGUGUCUGGUGUCUUGUGUAUGCACUGCUUGGCUGAUUACAAGGUGAGGAUCUUCUUGAAAAUAUUUACAUUUUAAUGGACAUUGCUGUUUACCAAUUUCUAUAAUCUGCCAGUGUGUUGUUGGGGGGUUAUGCUUAUGUUAUCUGCUAAUACAGUAGCUAGCAAUGUAUUCUAUUUUGUUAUGAAUGAUUAUCCUUCCUUAACAUGUGGACUAUGUUUUGAUUGUGUUUCUACUUUUGUGUGUGGAAAAAUCUCAUUUUGAUCCAGUAAAUUGAAAUAAUUAAAAUACAUACUUGUUCAUACCUGUAACAUAUAAGUUAAAAAUGAUUUAUAAAAAAAUGUUUAGACAACAAAAAUAUUGUUGACCUUUUUUUUUUUCAAAAAACGCAUAUUGAUACUUUUUUUUCUUACUUUUACUUUUUAGCAUCGACAUAAAAAUAUAUCAUUAAUUUUUUGUUGACAAAAUGUUAAAUGCAGGUGAAUAUGUAAUUUCCAUUAACUUAGAAAAUAAUUUUUUUAAAUAUGGCUGUUACCGAAAUAAAUUAGUAGAUGAGUAAUAUGAAUCAUGCAUUAGUCAUUGGAAAAGCACCAACUAUUUUAGUUAAUUUAGUGAACUUUUGACGAUAAACUUGUUUUUGUUUUUUUUAGUUUAAUUGUAUAGAAAGUAUUGGGAAAAAAAGCAUACAAUGGUUCGGUUUGCGUUUUGAAUAGUUCAUAAAAAAGUUAACGUUAGAUUUUUCAUAGUCAAUUGAAAUAAAUCUUUUAUAAUUUAGUUUUAAAUUUAUAAAUAUUUAUGUCAUAAUUUAAAAUUUCUUUGUUCAAAGUAUAUCAAAUUUCGAUAAUAGCAUAGUGCAAGCAAUAAAUGCCUAUCCUAAGCCUAAUUAUGCCUUCAUGUAGGAUGCGUGCUUGUAGGUGGGAUUUUAGAUUAAUUUUUUCAUUAUCGAUGUGAUUGUAAUUACUGGUUGAAUAGACCAUAGAGUGUUAAUUUAAUGUUAAUAGAUCUUUUUAUGCUUCAUAUUGUGAGAAUUGUGUAAUAAUCUAGGAUGUCACAGUAAUAUCAGAUAGAACUGGUAACUUGGUAAGGUAAUGGGCAGUGACGAAAAAGGAUAAUUUAACCAGUUAGAACAAUAAUUUAUUUUAUAAAAAAGAUUUAAUAAGAAAUAAAAAAACACAUGAAUUAUGAUAAAAAAAAAUAUGUUAGUAUUAACAACUAUCAUAUGUAUGUUUGCUAUUGAUAUAUUAACAUUUCUAUUACGCGAUGCACAAAAUGUUUUUCAAACGAAAAUUAUGUUCUGCUCAAAGUACGUGUUUUAUGUAUGUUUAGAAAUAUAUAACAUAUUUUAUGCAAAUGAAAAUACUGUACCAUAAUUUGUGUUUACCUAGUAGUGUUUAAGUGGAAAAAAGUAGCAAACAUUGUAUGCAUAGCUUACAUAGUGUUUGAACGAAGAAAAACAGCAAACAUUGCAUGCAUGACUUUCGUCAACCAUUUAAAUUCAGCCGUUGAUCAACGUUUUUGGGAAUUUAUUAUUAUUUAAUGAAUUUGAAUAACCACUUCGGUUGAUAUUAAAUAUACUGAAACUUAAUAAUCCAUUUCAUUUGACUAUUAAACAACAUAACAAUCAUUUAAUGAAAUCUAAAAAGAGAAAAGUAGUUAAUUGGCAUAAAACUUAUCUAAUGAUAUAUAAAAUUUCAGAAUAUAUAUAUUGGAAAUAUACGAGUUAUCUAGCUUAACUGAAAUGAAAGGUGGACCUAACCCUAAGGAGAUUGACAAAUAGUAUCAACUCAUAGUUGGCGCGACAAUAGAUGCCUGGAACGUGACUAGCAUCUCCAGCACCGUCAUCUUUGUGCCACCCUCUUCCAUGGCGUGUAGAUAGCACCCAUGUUGCCAAGGCUUAGGCAUGUAUUUGAAACACAAACUUGAUUCUCUCCAUUUAGUAUAAGCACAUUACAUUUAGUUAGCCACGACCAUGUGAUAACUUGUCUGAAUCCCACUUUGCAGAUUGUUAGUGCACCAUACGCCUCAAGCGCACAAAAUGUUUCGAUUCCCUAGUUUUUUGCCUUGUCGUCAUCGUUACGAAGCAUCAGCAUCAUUGACAGUGGGUACUGGGUGGCCACAUGGUCAUGGAUUGCAGUAGUGUGCAGCAUUUCCAUCCCCACAUCAUGGUGUUGUCAAAUGAAGAGCUCUCGCACACCGGCCCGAAAUAGAAGGUCCGGGUGUCCCUUCUGCAUGCACCGUUGAAAGAAUCUUUCUGCCUCUCGGUCCCGACAAUCCCAAGCCAACCGAAUUUGCUGUAUAUAUAGAAUCGAGGCAUAUUGAUACACAAUAUCCUCCUCCUCUGUAUUGCGUGCAACAGUACACAACAUUUUGAGACUACACAAGUCCUAGACGGAGUUUGCUGCGGCUUUCACGACAAUUAGCACUUAAACAUCAUAGGGAAGGUAGAUGGUGUCUGUUGAACGCUUCAUUAUCACUUUCCAGAUGAUGAAUGUCUGGAAGGGGAAAAUAGGUAUAAUGAGGUGAAUACCUAAGGAACCAAUUAGUACCGCCAAGUGUUUUUGUUUAUGGUAUUUUUAUAAGCACUCGGCGUCGUAUCGGAAGGUGUCCCAUUGGUUCUGCACCAUCACGUCCUCACUUCCCCUCGUACGUGGCUUCUUUAGCAAGCAUGCCUCGCUGUAGUCUUUUUUUUUAAUGUGAAUUCUUAUUAAUAUUAUAUAUNNNNNAUAGUUGGUAUCACUAAAAGUAAUAUGCUUUUGCAGUUAAAGAAAGCAGUCUAGUGAGCUAACUAUAACAUAAGCCAAUUCAACCCAAUUAUUUGUAUUUUUAGUUUUGAAAUUCGAAAAAUUAUGAGAAAAUUCUACCCAAUCCUUUCUCAAAUAAAGGGUAAGUUACACUCUAUGAUAAAUCUAAGAUUGGAUAAAAUGAAUUAUUUAUCAAGAUGAUUAAUAUUAACUUAAGUUUUGACAAUCAAACUACGUAACUCUAGUAAAACUACUUGAACUUCAUACCUACAAAAUCAUAUAAUUUUUAUAUUAAUUUCAUUAACAACUGUGAGAUUCACCCCUUACUCAAUUAACGUCUCUUUACUUUUUUUAUUUUGAAUUUGUGAUUUAGCUUUUUGGUUUCUCUUUUCAUUUGUUCAUUUUAGUUUUCUUUUGUUAUUUUUGUAUUGUUAGAUUUAAUUAUUAUAAGUAUGAAUUUAAAAAAAAAAAGUAUUUUGGUUAUUUUUUGUUUUUAUAAUUGGGAUGUGGUUAUUAAUAGGACCCGGCUAAAAGCAUUUUUUAUAUCUACAGGAUCAAGAGCCCCAGGAUCAAAUCAUAUGCGACCAAAAAUAAUAAAUUAGAGAACAUAUUAUUAAUUUACUAUAAAUAACAUAACAUUCAUGUUUUUUUUUGUUACCACGGUAUCCCUCAACCCGAUAGGUCAAGGACUAAUUCCAUGCGAAUUUGAGCUCCGUUUAAGGGUCAGCCGCUGACCAAUGGGUUGCUGCAUGCACAAGGCGGAUUCGAACUCCCGACACUUGCUUAAGUGAACAAGUGAGCUGACCACUCGACCAACCCAAGUUGGUUACAUAACAUUCAUGUUACUAAAUUUAAAAAAAGGUAAAAAAAAUUCCAAUAGCAUAAAACUUGUCUGUUCAUAUACCAGUUCAAAAUAUACAUUAAAAAUAUAGCUGAUUCAAGUGAUAUGCGAACCCAACUAAAGGGAAGUUGACAAAUAGUAUCAACUCGUAGUCGGCACGACAGUGAAUGCAGGGGAUAUGACUAGCACCUCUGUAAUCGUAGUUGCAGUCCCACUCAGCUCAUCGUUGGUGAUGGUUAUAGAGAAGACCCAUGUGGCCCCGAGUCGGGCACGUCGUCGAAUCACACACCAAAUGCUCUCCUAUUUCAGGCAGUUGGACUUCAAAGUGCCACGAAACUGAGACAACUUGACAGCACAUCACUUUACACUUGUGAGUAUACCGGACUGAUGAGAGAAUUUAUGCCGGUCUAGAAUUUCUCUUAGUACAAAGAAUUACUUCGUUGCAAGCAUAGUCUAGAUCAACAAUGAAUUCUCCAUCAAAAUUUAGUUUGGUUGUCACAAAUGCAAACCCAAUAAAAAUAAUCGAGAGUAUUACUCCCGAGUUGUUCUCUCUAGGAAUUGCAAUUGAAUGCUCAAGUAUUGGUUAUGAGGUUCAAGGGGGGUUUGCGGAUAAAGAAGCAAGAAAUUAAAUGACAAGAAAUUUAAAUCAAACAACUAAGGAUAACAAUUACUAAAGUGGCACUUCAUGGCAAGGAUUGAGAAUCAAGAUUUUCUAUCCUAGUUAUUAAUCAUAACACAAUAAUUACCAAGAGCUAAUCCUAUUUUGUUAUCUCCAACAUCGGGAGAAAGUUAAAGAUGCUUAAAAUUAAUCUCAAUCCAUAAGUCCUAAUCAACUUACUAAUUGAAUUAGUAAGAGAUUAGCGUCAAUAGAAACAAUAUUAAUUAACAACUCUAGAUCACCAACAUAAGUUGGAUAUUAAUGACUUAAGAUUAUCUAAUUUUUCUUUCCAAGCCAAGAAUGCUCAAAACUACUCUAUAACUAAGCCAAGCAUUUUAUCAAACACUUUGUGUGCAUAAAAAGAAAACAUAUUAAAAUAGCAAGAAAUAAUAAAAUCUAAAGCUAUCAAUUGUAAGAAAAUAAUAAUAACAAUCUAAACAAAUAUUAAGAAAUAUGAAAACAUCAAAUUGCAUUAAAUAAAAUAAAAAUUAACAAGAGUUCAUCAACAUAAAAAGUGGCACAAAUGAGAAAUUAACAAGAGAAACUAAGAGAAUUAAGACAAUUAAACAAGGAAAUAUAAAUGGAUCUACAUUAAAACAAGAAUUAAAGAAUAAAAUUAAACUAAAAACUCUAAUUUUAGAGAAAAGAGGGAGCUUCUCUCUCUAGAAAACUACCUAAAACAUGGUUCCUAAGCUACCCUAAUUGCUCCCCCUUGAUCCUUCUUGAAUUUGGCUUCAAAUAGCUUUAGAAAUUAGUUGGAUUGGGUUUUGGCAGGUCCAAAAAUUGGCCCCAGCAUCUUCUCAUUAAUGAGUCAUGUGCAUACAUUCAUGCGUACGCAUGCAUUCUUGUGCGUACGCAUGACUGUGAAGAUUGUAAUUGUGUGUACGCAUGUAUUUUGGUGCGUACGCAUGGCGUUGAAAAUAUUCCAAACUUCAUUUCUUCAUGAGUUCUUCACUUUUGCAUGCUUUCUCCUCACUCCUUCAAUCCAUACUUGCCUUGUAAACCUGAAAUCACUUUAUCAAACACAUCAAGGCAUCGAAUAGAAUUAAAGUGAAUUAAAAUUAGUAAAUUAAUGGCCUAAAAAGCAUGUUUUCACUCUUAAGCACAAUUUAGAAAGAAUUCAAAAAACUAUACUAUUUUAGUGAAUAAGUGUAGGAAAAGUUGAUAAAACCUACUCAUUUAAACACAAGAUAAACCCUAAAAUUGGAGUUUAUCACAGACACCUCAAGCGCAUGAAAUAUUUCGAUCCCAUUCUUUUUCGCCCUCUUGUCGUCCUUACGAAGGAGCAACAUCAUUGACAGUGCGUACUUGGUAGGGUCAUGACCCUUAAUUGCGGCAUUGUGCAGCAUUUGCAUCCCAACGUCAUGGUGACAUUAAAUGAAGAGCUCCUGUAUCCCGUCCCAAAAUAGAAGCUCCAAGUGGCCACUCUCCCUGCACCGAUGAAAGAAUCUCAUUGCGCCCAGAUCGCGGUACCAACACUACCUAAUGGCAUGCGGCUCUGGUAUAAAAGCACUGGUAUGCACAGUAUCCUCACCUUUUACCUUGCGCGUAGUGAUAAACCACAAUUUUAUGGUUUAUCUUGUAUUGAAUUCAGUAGAUUUUAUCAACUUUUUUCACAUUUAUUCACUAAAAUAGUAUAGUUUUAUAAAUUCUCCCUAAAUUGUGCUUAAGAGUAAAAACAUGCUUUUUAGGCCCUUAAAUUGCUAAAUUUAAUCUACUUUAAUUUCAUUCGAUGCGUUGAUAUGUUUGUUGAGUGAUUUUAGGUUUAGAAGGUAAAGAUUGGAUUGAAAGAAUGAAGAAAAAGCAUGCAAAAGUGGAGAAAGCAUGAAGGAAUGAAGUUUUGGAAAUCUGCCAUGUGAGGCAUACACGUGACCGGAAAUUCGCCAAGCGACGCGUGCGCGUGACAAGCAGCACGUGACCUGUAAGAACCACAACUAAUCAACUCGUUAGUUAAGUGAUUAUAUUGCCCAGAAUAGGAUCCGAAAAGUUAGAGUGAGAAUUUGAGGAUUUAAAUGCCAUUUUUGGACUCAGUAGGUCUUUCUGAGUCAGAAAAUGUCUUUUCUGCGAAAAACCGUGAAAAAUCACGAAUCGGAAGUUGAACCGGUUCAAGUCUGUCGGGUACUGCGUGAGAAAACUGGAAACAGUAAAAAACCUUAGAAAAAUAUUAGAAAUGGAAAACCGGGCGUUAAUUUUAAAAGUUUGGCCCGAAGUUGGACCAAACAGGCUAAAAAUACUAACGGGCUGGACCGGGCCCAAGUUGGGCCCAAGUCCAACAUAUAUAAGGGCUCAUUAAUGAACCCAUUCAUCAUUAAACACACACACACAACAGAAAAUUGAGAGAAGAGGGAGAAGGGAGAAGAAACACUAUUCACACAUCACUUCUUUCCGCGAUAUCUUGAGCUACGGUGCUCCGAUUUGUGUGCCGUCAGCGGCUACGCAAAGCUCUCGCCGAGCCCGUCAAUUCUAUCUAAAUCUUGUGGUAAGUUUUUCGAAAUUAUUCUUCCCUUCUUCUGCCUUAAGAUUUCGAGUUUGGUGAGUGAUGAUCUUGAGAAAACCUUGUGUUUUGGGUCUUUAGGUUCACUCUAAUCCUUGCUUAGCUUUGGCUUUUGGCUACCAAAACUGUUGGUCAAGGUAAGAGGCUUUGAACUCUUGAGAAAUUUUGAUUUAUGUUGAGCCCUAGGUUGAUUUGUGAUGGUUUAUGCCUAUAUAGUUUGAUUAUUGUGAGUUUGGAGCUUGUUGGUGAAUGUUAAAAGCUUGGAUUGUAUUGGAAAGCUUGUUGGUGCUCAUUGUGGGUUAAGGACAUAUUGGGAAUCGGCCAAGAUAUGGUUUCAGUUUCCUCUAUGUAGUAUUUAAUAUUCAUGAACCCUUAGGCUAGUGACCCAUAGGAUAAGUUUGGAUUUAUGUGGUUGUUGAUUAUGGUUGGUUGAUGUUGUAUGUUGAAAUGAUAUUGCUAUGUUAAGAAUUAAUGAUGUUGAGAUAUGAUGCUUGAUGAUUUUGAAUGAUUGUAUAUGGUUGGAUAUGGAUUUAAAGCAUGAAUGAGGUUGAUCAUGUGAAUUGAUAGAGAUGAGGUAAUGAUUGGUGAAUGUAUUGGCAGAGGAUUGAUUUUAGAGUCAUAUAUUUGAGGUUUGAUGGUUGAGAAUGGUGAUUGGUAACCCUAUAAGGUAAUUUAUGUUAUAAAUGAGGGUAUGGUAUUGGCCUAGUUGGAUGUGGCUUGAGAAAUUGGUAAAUUUGAGUAUAUAUGAAAUUUGGGUAAAAAGGAAAUUUUGGUAAAUUUUCUUCGAUCAUAACUUUUGCCUCAAUUUUCAAAAUUGAUUGGGAUUUGUUUGAAAUUAAACCUUAUUAAAAACCCUUUAAUUUGAUAUAAAGUUUGUAAAUUUUGAAAUUUUGUAGAGGAAGUUAUGAUCAUUCAAAGUUGGUAUUAAAAAUCUGAAAUUCUACAAAGUUGUAGAAUUUUAUGAUUUCUGAUAUGUGUGCACGCACAGCCUUGUGCGCAUGCACACCCCUACGAAAAUCUUAUUCUGUGCGGACACACAGACCUGUGCGUAUGCACAAGCAGGAAAAGGCUCUCUGCUUGCAGCGUUAGCACAGCUUGUGCGCACACAUAUCAAUGAAGAAUUGCGACCUGUGCGUAUGCACGGCCCUGUGCGUACGCACGGCCCUGUGCGCACGCACAAGUUGGGAAGGGUCGUCUGUUGGGGGCGCUAGCACACCCUGUGUGAGUGAACAUACCUUACAAGUUUUGGUACAUGUGCGUAUGCACAGCCCUCUGCGUACGCACACCUUAAAAAUCUUCCUGGGCGUGCGCACACACACGCCCUGUUUUACAAAUUUAAACUUUGUUUUCAACGAUAUCACCUUCCCAACAAGGUUGUAAGCUUUUAUAACACCAUUUUAAGACUCUUGGGCCUAGUUUUGGGUAUUUAAAACAUGGGAAAGAAUUUAAGGAUUUUAGAUAAUAUUAUUUGGAAAAAUUAGAAAACGGAGGCCUAGGUUUUUGGCGUACUGAGGAUGGUUUGAUGGUAUGUGAUGAAUGGUUGAUGUAUGAAAUGAGAAUUGAUGAACUGUUGAGUUCGAAACGAAAAUGUAAAUUGACAGUGGUUGAGAUGAGUUGAUGACUCAAAUGUGUGAUGAGGAAUCACUGAUGUAUUGAAACUGUUUUCUGAAAAACCACUGAACUACUAUUUUAAAUUGGGAUUAAGAGACGCUAUGCGCACGGCAGGGACGGUGGUUGGAUCCCGCCUGUCGAGGUAGCGGCGGCAGCGUAAGGGCGGUGGUUCGUCCCGCUUGCAUUGAGAUGUGAGGCCAUGGCAAGAGUAUCCCGCUCGCAUCCCUUCGGAUCAAUAGAGCGUGCAGGCGCAAAAUCCUGGACAGUGAUCCAAGCACUAUAUCUCGGGAGUUCCCAUAUGAUGAUUCCGAAGGGCGACAUCUCCAUGGAGGUGUGUCGGGGUGGCAGUUGAACCGACAAUGUGAUAUCACAGCCAGUAGGACAUGCAUUCAUCAUGUGUAUUUUCUAUUUGUUUGUAUACUUUGCCGACUUGAAGUUGUUUGCCUAUUUGUAUAACAUGUCUAAUUGCUAUUUGAAUUAAUUGCUUUAUAUGCUUCAACUUGUGUUUUACUUGUACUGUUUAUAAUUGUGUUUUCUACUGGGAUUAAGGAGGUUCGGAAGGCGGUGGCGAUGGGAUCGCAUAGAGGAUAGGUUGGUGAAGGUUGUGGGACAGCGGUGUUUGGUUAGAAUAGAAAUCCCCUAAGAUAGAGUACCCUGUUUAUUUAUGUUAAGAUAUAUUAUUUUUAUUUGUUUAGUAUGCCUUAAAAUUGAAUCGUGUGAUGAUUAUGGAGUCUAGGAUUGCCUUUGGCAUCCUGGGGUCUUAUAUCCUACAUCACUGGGCACUGUUACCAUACUGAGAACCUCCGUUCUCAUACCAUAUUUCUGUUAUUAUUUUCAGAUGCAGGUUGCAACCUACCUUGGUGAGUUGCUUGGGUGGUGACAGAAGUGGAGGAUCCGGAUAUCUUUUUGAGUUCUUUUGAUUUAUUUUGUAUAUGUCUCUCCUUUUUUUGUAUUUUGUUUGGCCUAGAGGCUUGUAUUUGAGAGAACAAAAUUGGUAUAAGCUGUUUUUACUAUCUGGUUUCAUGUAUGGUAUGUAUAUGGCUAGUCGGCUUAAACUCCGCGAGCCGUGGCUAGUUUAUUAUGAUAUUAUAUACUUAUCUUUUGUUACCCUAUUUCUGUUUCUUGUGUUUUAAGUUAGCCGCUUUGUUAGAACGUUAUGCGCUUUUCAAAAAUCCUGUUUUUUAGUAAUAUCCUCCAUCGGCCUUCUAGAUUAUACUAUUCUUUCUAUAUAUUAUAUGUAUGAGCUUAGAACUAUCGUAAUCUCUGAUUAACCUUUGCUUUACGACGCGAGGUAAAGUUUAGGCUAAUUAGGGUGUUACAUGACCUCAUUAAUGAAACACGCUGGGGGCGAUUUUUGGGGCUGCAGAAGCCCAAUCUAACUCAUUUAUGAAGCUAUUUGAUGCGAAAUUCAAGAGAGAACAAGGGAGAGCAAUUAUGAUAGAUUAAUAUCAUGCUUUAGGUCAUAUUAUAGAGAGAGAAGCUCUCUCUUCUCUCUAGAAUCGGGGUAGAAUUAGGUUAAAUUACUCUUAGGUUUAGGUUAAUUCUUGCUUUGAUUUAGUUUCCUUGCAAUUUAUUAUUCUUACAUCUUUGCUCUUUAAGUUUUUCUUGCUAUUUCCUUUAUUUUGUUGCUUUUGUGUUUAUGAACUCUUUGUAGUUUUGAUUUCUAUUAAUGCAAUUUUGAUGUUUCUUUGUUUAUUAAUGUUUGAUUGAGUUGUUUGUUAUUAAUUUCUUGCAAUUGGUAGUUGUUAGAUUUUAUAUUUCUUGUUAUUUUACCAGUUUCGUUUACUAUAGGUUUACUGAUUCGUUUUCAAAGUUACUGCAUUAACUCAUAACGAAAUUCAGAUUCAAGGAAUUGGUUUAAUAAUCAUACUUCAAUAUUAACUUACCAAGUUUAAUUACAGGAUCCAAAUCAAAGGAACCAACAUAACCAAAAAUUUUGAGCAACUAGUCAUUUCCAAACAAUCAAAUAAUUAUCAACAAUCACAAUCACAAGCACAAUUCAACUAUAUGAGUUAUUCACACAAGAUAACAAUAAAUCAUUUGCAAUUAUUCUUUAACCUUUAUUAGCAUUUAUAGUAUAAGACUUUUAAUUUUAAAAACAUAUCCCAUACCUCAAUGUGUCAAAAUUAGAAGAAAUUCAAGAUUAGAUUGUGGCGGCAGUGGCUGGCUGUAUGAUGCGUGAGUAUUAUUAGUGUCUUUUCUAUAUGAUUUAUAUAGUGAUUCGUUGAAUUCUUGAGAGAUUUAGGUGAUUUAUCUCCUAUUAGAUGCUACUUUGAGUUGUUGUAUUUUGUUGAUUACAGGUAGUAUUCGGUGAAAUUUGGUAGAGUUCAAAAGGAAGAAAACAAGAGAAGUUUGUUGCUACCCCCUUGGUGCUAAACGCCACCUCACCAGCGUUAGAUUCGGUGAGUUGCUUUGAUGGUGACAGAGCGGAGGAUCCUCGCUAUGUUUUAAAGUCUUUUGAUUUAUUUUAAUUAGGUCUCUCACUUUUGUAUUUAUAUUUGCCUUAGAGGCUUAUUUUGAGAGAAAUAUUGUAUAAGUUGUUUUACUUUCAAAACUCUGUAUGUCUGUAUAUAGCUAGCCAGCUUAAACUCUGCGAGCGGCGGCUAGAUUCUUAUGACUAUUAUACUUUGAUAUAUCUAUAAAUAUGUCUUGAUAUCUGUAUGUAUAUCUUAUGCCUCGAUUAGUGUAACUUCGUGUGAAUGUUUUGCACUUUUGAACUCUGUUUUUUAGCUUAAUUCUUCAUCAGGCUUCUAGAAUUAUUAUUUCCUUGUGUGUGUGUGUGUGUGUGUGUGUGUGUGUGUACUAGCUUUAGAAUUGUCGUAACCUUUGAUUGAGCUUUGCUUUACGAUGCGAGGUAAGGCUUAGGGUAAUUACGAUGUUACAUAUUAAAGGCUUUAAAUUAUCUUCAAAGCAUUAGAAAAACCCAAUUAGCUCUCUGUUUUUGGUCUGAUUUAGUUUGGACAUCAAUGUAAGAAUUGAAAUUUUUUUGAGAAUUGAAAAUUACACUUUAUUGUAUUCUGUUGAAUUGGUAUUCAUCUUGUAAACCAAAUGUUGGAGUUUUAUAUUAUCUUCGGUACUGUUAGUGUUUUUAAUUUUAAAUUGUGUAAUGCAGGUACUUAAGAACGUCUUGGAAAGGAUAAUGGCAGUGAAGGAAACUCAAACUUUUCAGGUCAAUGGACUGAUGGAUGGAAUAAUGAUUCCGAUGAGGAAGAGUUCUCUACAGGGUUAGAGUCACCGUCAGGAGUGGGCAGGGAGAGUGAGGCGGCAAAGAGAGUGGAUAUAUCUGGUGCAAGGGAAGAGGGUGGCAUGGUGCUUUCAUCGGAGUCACCAAUUGGUUCAGGAAUCCAAUAAGUGAUGAUGUAGACGGUUCCAUGCUGUCAACCGCGGCUGCAGUGACUGAUGCUGAAUUUGAUGGGUAUGCAAGAUACGUAGAGUAUGCAAAGGCGACUGGAUUUGUUGUUCAAAAAGGAGAUUCCAUUAAAGAUGAUUAAGGCAAUAUUAUGAAGCAAUUUUUCUACUGCAAUCUACAAGGUUUACGAGAGAAGAAGCAUUAUGAGAGAGCGAAUAGAAAGAGAGAGCAUAAGGCAAAGACUAGGACUAACUGCAAUGCGAAGUUUGUGGUGUUCUUAGACAAACAAAGUGACAAGUGGAGGAUAAAGACAUUUGUUCAAGAUUACAAUCAUGAUUUGGCUUUGCUUGCUUUCACUAAUCUUUUGGCAGCCCAUCGCAACAUCAACGAAAAAAUAUAUGUAAGAUAUAGUCCUCUAUAUGUGACAUAAGAGACAGGAGCUCAAACUUAAGAAAUUUUAGAGUUUCUAUUAACAAAUAAUUAUUUCAAAACAUUGUUAUAUCAUAUUUAUUUUAAAAGUUAUAUAAUAAUAAUUUUAUAUUUAGGUAAUUUUUUUAAAACCAAAAUUCAUGAUUUAAAUUUAUAGGUUUGUAGAAAUGCAAUUUUCUUAAGUUUGAAUUAAAUACAAAACUUGGAUUUCAGUUUUUAUUAAUUUUUUUUAAAGUUUUUUUUAUCUUUUAUUGUAAUAUAAAUACAAAUACCAUGAUUAUGAUAAAAAUAUUUUUUAAUAUAAUUUUGCAUGAAUAUCCUGAAAAAAUAAGAGUGAUUUUUUUUUGUUUUAUAUUUUUGCAUUUUGUAUUUGUGACUACUCAUUUCUUCUUUAAUUUUAAAACCUAUGUUAUGGAAUUAACAAAUAAUAUAUAUAAACAUGGAUAUACAAAUUAAAAAACAAAGAAUUUUUAAUUAAAUAAAAAAUAAAAAAUAUCUUAAAAAAGCAUAAAAAUUGAUAAAAAUCCACGAUUAUUCAUGUAUGUAUAUUUACUUCAUGAGUCAUAAUGGUUUUGCAGAUUUUAUAUUUGUUUUUUGGGUUAACCACCAAUUAUACCCCCGGAUUUUGUAAACGCUGACAAUAAUGCCCCUCACUUUUAUUAUCGACAAAAAUAUCGUUGGAUAAUUUAAAAACGUACACCAAAUGCCCGUCCGGCAAGUGAUGCCUUUUCCGUUGACGGAAGUGUGUGAUGUGGCAAAUGGAAAAGCUUGUGUGGCAAACGAAAAGCUUACCUGGACCCGUUCCCAAAUUUCCUAAUUCAAUUACCCUAAUUCCCAAUUGCAAAAUGAGAACGUGAUGCAUCUGAAUAGCCGUUCAACUAUGGAUGCAGCAGGUAUGAUGAAGCGAAGGUCUGCAUCAAUGGUAGAAGGCGGCAACGAUAGGUGCGAAGACUCUGGUUCGAAGCAGUAUGAUGGUAUGUGUCGCUGUUCUCUUGCUGUUGUUGCUCUGAGAUCGAAGACGAAUGCUAACCCAGGGAGGUGGUUCCUUCGGUGGCCACUAUGGAAGGUAAGCAUGACUGGGUUUUGGCCUGUAAUGGGUCUUUGUAGUUAUUCCUGUUUUAAUGUGUUUUGCAUGUUAUGAUCAAUGUUCUGAAAACCGGUUCGAACUGGCCGGUCGAACCAGUCGAACCGUGAACCGGUAGUUGUAGCGGUUCGGAUAAUAAGAAAAAUCGCAGGAUUUGAAAAUCGGACUUGAACCGACGAACCGGCCGGUUACCGGUCGGUCGAACCGAACCGGGACCCGGCCGGUUUUUUAACAUUGCCUCAAUACGCUGCCGUUUUGUGCUGAGGGAACCCUAAUUCAGUUUUCUCCUUCGCAGCCUCCACUUCCUCGUUCCUCCAUCUUCUCAGUUCUCAACUCCAGCCUCCCACAGAACAGAACACCACCCAGUUACCCACGACUCCAGGAGGCCCUCAACGCACUCACCGCCGUCGCACUCACCUCAGCACACUCACCUCCGUCGCGCCUUCAGCACGGUGACGCCGUCACCAGCGUCGCGCCGUCAGCUCCCUGGCGCCGUUGGGUCCGUCGCGCCUUCCGAUACCUCGAGCAGUCAGCACCUUCCCGCCGUCAGCUCUGUCGCGCGCUCAGCUCUGUCACGCCCUCAGCCACUUCGCAUGUCACCUCCGUCGAGCUCUGCCUCUGAGAAAGCAGUAGCGAAGCGUUGAAGCGUUGAAGCGUUGUCCUUCGAGCUCUGAGAGAAAGCAACAGAUUUCCUCAUUUCCAGGUAAUUUUUAAUUUAGUUAUGAACAUGAUUUUGUGAUGCAAUCCGAUUUUUUGCACGUUAUGAUUGAUUUGUUCUUCAUGGGUUUUCAAUUUGUGUUCUUGACAGAAUAAAAACCAGGAUUGCAAAUAUUUUCAAUGGAUUGAUGAAUUGGAAGAGCAAGACAUGGUUGAAGAGGUGGAAUGUUCUUGGAACCACAAACCCAGGCUAUCUUCAGGUGGAAAACUCAAACAGAAGAGCACUAGCAAGCUAUUCGAAUCAGUGGAGUAUGAGGACAUAGACCCCAUGGUGCUACCUGUUCUUACAAAAGAAUUGAAAGAGAAAUUAAGGAGGAUUGAAAUUCUUCUAAUCAUGAUUUGCAUUGGGGUUGCAAUUGGUGUCUUCAUCAAUUUCUUUGCUCUGUUUAAGAACUGAGUUGAACUAAUGUUAAAUAGUGGAUGAAGAGUAAAUGUGAAUGAUUAGUGUGUAUUUUGAUAACUGUGAAUGUGCCAAAUUUGGUUGAAAUAGGGAAUGACAACUCUUGUAUUGUGUUUUCAUGGAAACUGAUGUGUAUUAAGAGUGUAGCAAAUUAUUCAACUAUAAAUUUGAUGAGAACCUGAUGUCUGUUGUGUUUUGUAAAGUGCAGUAAAACCAAAUAGAAUACUUGUAGUAUAAACUUGGUAAUUAACAUUUAAAUGUACUAUAUCUGAUCACAUUGACCAUAACAGGUUACAUAACGUUUAUAACAAUCCCCAAAAAGUAAAUAAACAUUCCCUGUAAUUCAAGCAUAACUUGUGAUCAAGUGACAAUGUUGCAAUGACAUAAGGGAAUUAGGUAAUCUACCACAAAAAGUACUUAACAGAGUCAAACACAACUUAGUUCAAUAUAUCUGAAAACAACUUAAACAAGUCAGCCAAAAAGCUCAUUAACACUCAAAACAAAGGAUUCCUAAAUCAGUUCUACAAUGUCAAAAGACACUAAUACAACACAUUCAUCAUGGCUUCUUCUUUUGUUUUUGUGAAAGCUUUGAAGGUGCAGGUGUAGGCAUGAAUUCCAUGAAUCUCUUUGUGGUACCCUUGCUUGCUACACUCAUUGUUUGGUGAGAAACCAAUGAGGGAGCACUGGAGCUAGAAUUUGGCACAUGCACUUGGGCUGAAGUAUUGGGCUUCACAUGAAUAUUGGGCCUUCCAGCCACAUUGGGCCUGACCUGUGGUGGUCUAAAAGGUACAUUGGGCCUCACUGAGGUAGCCCUUGGAGUGGGAGCAGCAGCCACACUGGACCUGACCUGUGGUGGCCUAAUUGGAUCAUGUGCUAGUGCAAUAGUGGAUGGUGGUCUCAUAAUGGGGAUCUUUGCCCUAGCACUAGAUGCACCCCUCCUCACAAGUCUUGGAGCAGCAGCUACAGCACCAGCAACUUUUGGUGGAGCUGACUUGUUGAUAGUGGUGGUUGAAGCAGAUGCUGCUGCAGGAUCUGAUUCCAACCCUUGGGUUUGCUACAAAUUCAACACAAAUUCCAUAAGUCUGUGUAUGUUGCAGAAAAAACAAGUACAAAGGUGUUAACAUUGAAGCUAAUCUCAUUAUCAGUUUGAGAUUGGGGGUGCCCUUGUGUAACUUGUUGUUCAUCAGCUGCCUCAAGAGUCUCCUCAUAGUACACUGAUCCGCUUGAUAUAUGCCAUUGCAUUCUUGAAUUCCAAAUCUGUCAUUGCCUGAGCACAUUGCCACAGAGCUCCUCUUAACUCUUUAUCCUUCCAUCUCUUGUUCAAGUUCUGCCACAUGUGCAUCACACAAAAUCUAUGUGAAAUUUUUGGCAUGACUUCUUGGAGUGCUGGAACCAGUCCCUAAACCACAUGGCAAAAACCCAAUAUUCAAUAUCACAACAUAAGUGCAUGAAUUCAAAUUACCUAAUUGGACAAGAUGUAUAAAUUACCUUUUGCUUGUCACUCAUGAAGUUCCACCCAAAUUCAUGGUAAUUACCGAUAUCUUCACGAAGUAAAUUCAAGAACCAUUUCCAAUUUUCCUUUGUUUUCGCAUCAACCACAGCAUAUGCUAUAGGAAAUAGAUGAUUAUUCGCGUCUUGUCCUACAGCUGUGAGUAGUUGACCCCCAAAAUACCCCUUAAGAAAGGUUCCAUCAAAGAAAAUAAAAAUCCUACAACCAUAUUUAAAUCCUCUCUUACAUGCCUCUAAGCAUAUAUACAAACUUCUGAACUUAGGCAAACCCUCUGGUUGUGGAUGUGUGCUCAUAGUACAUGUAGAACCAGGAUUAGCUUUAAGUAGCUCCGAUAAAUAAUUGCGUAGCUUACCAUACUGUUCCUUCUUCGUCCCCUCAAUGAUAUCCUUUGCCAUCUCCAUUGCCCUAUACAUCAUUCGCUCACCUACACUUAUGUCAUAUUCUACCUUGAACCACUCUUCUGCCUCCCUUUGUAUCAAAUUAGGAGAAAUUCUAAGCUUGUUAACUAAUUCUCCAGCCACCCAUUUACAGGUUACCGAUCUAGAUUUGUUACUCCUUGGACAUGUGUGCUCAUCAACUAGCGUCUUGAUUUGAAAACUUAGUGGAAAAUUUCUCCUUGAACAGUACACCUCCCACGGACAGUCCUAAUUAUAACAAAUAACUCUGCAUCUUAGAGGCUCCACCUUUAAAAAGAACACUUCCCUCCCCAUUUGGAUGUUAAACUUCUUAACAGCAUCCUUGAACUCUUGCAUCGUUGCAAACUCCAUGCCCAGCUCAAGUCUAACUUGGCCGAAGCGUGCUUGAGGAUUAUGUUGUGGAAAUACCGGGACCCCGUUUUCAUCAUCUGAUUCAGCUAAACUGUGAAGAUCCUCAGACUUGUAUUGGAACUCAUUUUCCUCACCCUUAUUAACUCCAUCAGCGUUACCCUCAUGUACAAGUACAACCACUGUUGGGGCCUCAUUAUCCCUGGGAGGAAUAAUUUUCUGACCUGAUGGUUGUGGCCUUGAGUGUCUCUUCCUUCUUCCUGAUUGUCUUAAAUUAUCGUCUCCCUCCUCAUUAUGAUUCUCUUCUACAAUAACAUAAAAUAAAAUAAUUCAUUGUUAACAACAUCGCAGUUUAGUAUUUUUAUGAAACCUAAAUUGCAUAAUUUUCUAAAUGAAUUUACCUUCGAUGGCAGGUUUAACAUGUGGAUUCACAUCUUCAUUUGACACAUUCUGCGCAGAUUUUGCUUCUCCUCUAGCUUCUUCAGCUGGUGUUUCCCCUACUACUUUGGUGGUACCCAAUGGUGGUGGCCUUGCAUGUUUCUUUCUAAUUCUCUUUCUACCGUAUCUACCGACAUUCUCAUUGGUUUCAUAUCCGGCAGUUUGAUCUCCCUCAACUUGGGGUGCCUCAGUUGGUAGUACAUUAAUAGUCUCAACAUUACCCUUGUCUUGAGCCACUUCCCCAUUACCAUUGUACCAAUCUUCCAUCACCUCAUCUUCUCCCUGCCUUUCUUCAUCACGACACACAUCCUCAUCGUCUACCUCUACAACUUCUACCUCAUCCUCAGAUACCUCGACUUCAUCUACGUACUCAGGAUUUUCUAGAACAGGAUGCUCAAAAUACAAGUGAACCAUAUUACCAUUUUUCAUCGCAGCAUCACACAUACUAAUAACAUCAGCAUCCCUUUUAAGCGGCCUUAAACCAUUUGAUAAGUCAAAACCGGGCUCUAACCAAUGAACGUCCUUAAACCCUGUGUAACCUAAAUCGAGAAACAACCCUUCUACCAGAAAUAAAUUACAAGUAUCCACACAUACCCUGUCAAUGUUGCUAACAGUACCCCCAGAAUAUUGCAAACCACCCUUUUGAUUGCUUUCUAACCUACCCAUGUGGUGCAUCACAAAUGUUAUGAGUGCUGACAUUUGAAAUUUCAAGCAGAAAAAAUACACAUUUUAAUACUAGUACAACACCAAUCAACUACUAAAAUUGUUCAUCCAAAACAGAAAAAAAUUACCCUGACUAAACCCUAAACCAAUGCAAUACAGCAAACAAGGCAUGCAUCAAGUGACAAAAUUUUAAUGCCCGGAAAUCCAAAUUGUCACAUAUUUAGUUGUCAUUUUUUCCCAUCAAAGACCAUAUAGCCACAGAAACAUGAACGAAAACAAAGUUCCUAAUGGCAAAGAGGCAGAGAUAUUACGCGUACCUUGUUAGAUGAACAACCACCAACAUGCGACAAUAUCCCUCCAAACCAGCGUUGCGGCGACGAUGGGCUGACGAUGGUCUUCGACGGUGACUUGAAGAGGAGAAGAUGGAGAGGCUACUAUGACUCCAGUGUUAACUAUUUUACUCUUUCACAGUGUUAAAAUCUUUUAACUUCUUAAAGCAUUAGUUGAAAUUAGGUUAUUAAUUAGGAAUUAGGGUAAUUGAAUUAGGAAAUUUGGGAAUGGGUCCAGGUAAGCUUUCCGUUUGCCACACAAGCUUUUCCAUUUGCCACAUCACACACUUCCGUCAACGAAGAAGGCAUCACUUGCCGGACGGGCAUUUGGUGCACGUUUUUAAAUUAUCCAACGAUAUUUUUGUCGAUAAUAAAAGUGAGGGGUAUUAUUGUCAGCGUUUACAAAAUCCGGGGGUAUAAUUGGUGGUUAACCCUUGUUUUUUUUAAAACUUAUACAAAGACCACGAUUUAUAUAAUUUUUAUGACUAAAAAAAAAUUGUUAAUAUCACCAAACUCAUCUCAUCAGCCAUGUUGAUAACAACAGCCUCUAGUGAGUCUUCAUCAACACCUUUUAAUAUGGUGAAUAUUUCUAAUUGCUCCCUCACUUAUAUAAAGUCAAUGACCCACAAAUUCAGUGUAAUAUUAGUGUAAAAAUAUAAAUAAAUUAAAAAAGUAAGCAAUGCAACAAUAAUAAUAAAAAAUUAACUUUGGGUAUAUAACUAUGUUUAGAUGAUGAUACUGAUUAACAAGGAAAAAUUUGAAAAGAGAACAAGUACAAGAGGAGAAUUUUACUACCUUUGAGUGUUUUCAUCUUCACUAAGACCUCUUAAUCUUUCUUGCAUCUCAUUACCAUAAUGAUGAUGGAUUAUUUAAAAAGAUAGCAGACAAGUAUAACAAUUAUUUAGGGUUUAGAGACAAAAACCUUAUUUGCUUAUCUAACUGGUGUUUUUCAUUGGUAAGAUUUUCCACUUCAACCUACAGAUUUAAAAGGAAAAAAAAUAAAAAUAAAAAACAGCAAAUCAAUGAUAAUAAAAAGUUCUUGGAAGAGAAGAAUCUACGAGUGGCAGCGAGGUGAUUGCAAGACACAACGCCAAACAACGACGCAAUGUGGAGUCCGUCGGCAAGCAAAUGCAGCAACGAAGUGACUGUAAGAUGCAGCACCGAACAGUAAUGCAAUGGGGAGACCGCCGACAAGGAAUUUGUAGGACACGGUGACGCUGCUGCUGGAGGAGAAGAUUCUGCUGGUGGCAGCAAUGUGACUGCAGGAUGCGUCGAUGAACAAGAACGCGAUGGGGAGACCAGUGACAACAGGAACGACGACGAAGGGAAACAGAAGCACAUGUAGAACAGCGGUGAGAGUGAAUAAAGGAGGCGGUGACCGACGGUGAGGCUUAAGAGAGAAAGUGUUUAAGUGUAUGUUGAGGGUGAGAGGGAGAGCUUUGGUGAGGGAGUGAGGCACAGAGGAGGGUGAGAAAAAUUAGGGUUUUCUUUUAUGAGGGGUAAUAAAGUUCUUUCGGCCAUGUUUUUGAAGCGUGGCCAAAUUUCUAAUCAAUCGCCACCUUCGUAAAAGCGUGGCUAUUGACCUAUUUUGGCCACGCUUAUGAAGCGUGGCAAGAAAAAGCAUGGCCAAAUGUUUAAUUAACUGCCACCCUCAUAAAAGCAUAGCAAUUGACCUAUUUGGGCCACGCUUUUAAUGCGUGGUAAGAAAAAUCGUGGUCAAAUUUCUAAUCAAUUGCCAUCUUCAUAAAAGUGUGACCAUUGACCCUUCUAGGCCACGCUUUUAAAGCAUACUAAGAAAAAACAUGGCCAAAACUCUAAUCAAUCGCCACCCUCAUAAAAACGUGGUCAUUGACCCCUUUUGGUCGCGCUUUAAGAAAAAGAGCGGCCAAAUCUCUAAUCAAUCGCUACUAGGGGUGGCAAACGGGUAUUAAUCCGUCGGGUCGGUCCACGUAACCCGUUAAAAAAAAGCGGGUCGGGCUGGAAAUUUGAGACCGUCACACAUCAAAAGUUCGCCUAAUUCGUACCGCUUAAACUGUGGGCUUUGGCGAGGCGGGCUUCCCUGCUGGGCUUAGGAUUUUUUUGAAGAUGUUCUAAUUUAGUAUUUUGGAUUAUGUUUUACGUCUGAUUUAUUAUGUUCUAAACUUGUAAAUUUUUAAUUAUAUAUUUUGGACAAUAUUUAUUUUACUUUAGACAAUGUUAGUUUUAUUAUUUUGUUUCAAAAAAUUUGGUUUAUGAUUAUGUUUAUUACGUAUUUAUAAUUAUAAAGAAUUUAAUAUUUGUGAAUUUAGAUAUUAUAAUUUUUUAUGUCUUUAGAAAUUAUAAAUUUAUUAAAAUAGUUAUGAAAUUAUAUAUAUUGUUUAAUAUUUAAUGGUUUAUUAAUAAAAAAACAAAGAGAAUUGGUGGGCUUAGCCUGCUAACCCGCUGUUAGGCGGGGUGAAAAAAAAUUUGGGACCGCUUCACUAGGCGGGGUAGGCCAGCCUGCCAAAUGGCGGGCUUUUGACAGGGCGCGGGGCGGUUAGCCCAUUUGCCAUCCCUAUACGGGUUCAACUUGCUAUCCUUGCCCCGCCAAAGGGUGAACUGGCUUUUUUUUUUAAUAGGCCCCAAAAUAAUAUAAUUAUAAGCCUCAAAUACGUUCAAAUCACAAUAUUAACCAUAAUAACUUAAUAAGUCUCAAACACAACAAUAAUAAAAUAUAAACACAUAAUCCAAUAAUCCAUACAUAAAUCCAACUCAAAUAAUCAAACUAUACUUAAAACAAACACAUAACAUAAUCUAUAAAUCAACACAAAUCAAUUGUCAACUUCCAAAUCAAUAAAAUUUGAAUCUGCUUCGGAAGUUGAAACACCAAUACUUUUUUUUUGGUAAUUUAUAUUAUUUAAUAUUUAAUAGUAAAAAAAAUUAAAAAAAGGAGAUUUGGCGGGUUAGAUUUCAAGACUGCCUCAUUAGGCGGCGGUGACGGGGUUUUCAACUAGUUUAUUUAAGUAAAUUACCCUAUGUAUCACUAUGAAUUUAAGAUCUACAGAUACCAACUUUAAUGUAUAUCCAAAGUGAAAAAAUAAAUAUUAUUAAUAAAACGUAUUGUGAAGAUUUUUAAUAAGAGCAAUGCUACAUGGCAGGCAAUUAUUAUUAUUUUUGGCUAGCACUUUAUCAGCAAUAAUUUGCACUCAUAUUUAUAUAAGUUUUGCACACAAUAAGCAUAUAAUUUACACCUAUGUUUAUCAGAAUUUUACACAUAUGAAUUAUUAUUGUUUACAUCCAUACUUUUCAGAAUUUUUACACAUGAAUUAAUAAAAUUUAUCUGUUAAAGAUAAUUUAGUAUUUAUACUGGUCAAAAGAUGGCUAAAAAUACUAAAAAUUGUUAAUUUUCCAAAAAAAAUUUAAUAAUAAUAUCAAUAGUAACAAAAAAAUAAUAACAAUAAUAAUAUCAACAAUAAUAUUUAAUAGUUAUUUUUAUUAAAAAUAAUAAUAUUUUAUUAUAAAAUUUAAACACUUUAUAAAUUUAUACUCAUAUAAUUCAUAUCACAAAUACAUUAAAAGACGCUCUCCGAUACAGAUCAAUUAUCAUACAGAUAUACAGAUAUUCUUUUAAGUUGCAGAAUGGGGCAGGAAAUUAGCAGUUUGUGGGCGCUCACGGAAAGAAUUUCUGAGCCGAGUUGAUUGUGUGAACAUCGAACAGGAUGACAUUAUUGGUUUUCCAUAUUUAACUAGCAUGUCCGUUAUAUUUUGAUCCUUUUAAUUGGUAAAAUUCUUUUUGUUAUAAAAAAUCUGAAAACUCUUUUUUUUUUUUUUAACAAAUAUCCUAAAAUUCUCCUUAAUCUGUAUUUAUUGUAUUUAAUCAUUAUAAGUAACAAAUCAUCUAUGCUAUUAUGUACCUUAUAAAUUAAUGAAUCAAAAUAAUUGAUAUAAUGAAUUACAAUUAAUUAAUUAAUAUAAAUUAUAAUAAAUUAUAAUUGUAAUAUGUUUUAUAUUUUUUUUUUUAAAGAAAAAAGGACUCAACACUGAAGAAUAGAGUUCAUUACAAAUUCAAAAAACAAAUACAGGAAUAAACAAAAGUGCUCAACAAAAGUUUUAGUAUUAGAUAAAGAAUAUCUAAUUUUUCAUAUUAGAUAAACAAUAUCUAAUUUUUUAUAUCGGUUUCGGUUUAUACAUUCCAAUUAAUUAAGAAACUAGUUAAGAUUACUAAGGUAAAAAGGUAAUAUCUUUUAAAGUGUCUAAAUAAUGUAUUAAUGUAACGAAGCUAUUGGAAUUUCAAAAAGAGGUUAACUCUUUAAAAUAUGGGAAAUGUUAGGAAAAUAAUGACUAUUUUAAACAAUAUGAAUAACCACCAAUUAAAUAAAAAUACAUUACACCUCUAAAUUAAUUAUCUAAAUUUUAAUAUUAAAAUAACCAUCCGUACACUAGUAAAAUAAAUAUCCGAUAUAUCUAUUGUUUACAUUGUUUAAUAUUUUUAUUGUCUACCUAUACUUGACCAAUUUAUUAGAAUGUUUUAUAGUCAAAGAAUAUUAUAAACUUUAAAUUGUUUGAUUUAUAUUUUAUAUUAAAUAAAUAGAAAAUAAUAUAUUGAUUGUUGUUCAUAUCCACUUUGUCGGUGUGUCCGAUCUUAUGGGGCUGAUUUGGAGUGCAGAAUCUUCAUUGCAUAUACAAAUAUACUCAUAUAUUUAAAUAUGAGAUCUCAACAACUUCUAGAAAAAAGAAGAUAAUUAACCACCAGAAUAGGAAGGAAGGUUACAAGAGUAGCCACUAGGUCACUCAUCCAAUUAUUUAACUCUUAUUUUCAUCUCAGGGGGUUUUCAACUCUAACCUAUAUAAAAAUCUAUCCAAAACCCUUUCUUACUUAAGCAUCUGAGUCCUUUAUAGGUACCACCCCACGCACACCUCCUCACGAGAAAUUUGGACGACUUUAUCCUUCCAUGAGAAGACGUCAUACAUUGUACCUAAAGGCGCCUGGACUCCAUGUUCAGGCUCAAAUCAUCUUGGUUCUAGGUAAACUUCGAAACAACUACAUUUAUUACGCAUUGAUAAUUUACCAUGUUAAUUUAUCAUGUCAAAUUUAUAUUUUAUAUUAGAGAAAAUGACACUCCNNNNNNNNNNNNNNNNNNNNNNNNNNNNNNNNNNNNNNNNNNNNNNNNNNNNNNNNNNNNNNNNNNNNNNNNNNNNNNNNNNNNNNNNNNNNNNNNNNNNNNNNNNNNNNNNNNNNNNNNNNNNNNNNNNNNNNNNNNNNNNNNNNNNNNNNNNNNNNNNNNNNNNNNNNNNNNNNNNNNNNNNNNNNNNNNNNNNNNNNNNNNNNNNNNNNNNNNNNNNNNNNNNNNNNNNNNNNNNNNNNNNNNNNNNNNNNNNNNNNNNNNNNNNNNNNNNNNNNNNNNNNNNNNNNNNNNNNNNNNNNNNNNNNNNNNNNNNNNNNNNNNNNNNNNNNNNNNNNNNNNNNNNNNNNNNNNNNNNNNNNNNNNNNNNNNNNNNNNNNNNNNNNNNNNNNNNNNNNNNNNNNNNNNNUUUAAUGUUUGACACCUAAUAAUUAACUUGAUAUAACUAUAUGAGCAAUCAAAAUAUGAAUAAUCAAACUUAAAUUGGAUUUGUGUUCUUUUUAAUUUUUUGAGAUUAGAAAGAAUAUGUUUAUAAGUUGAUAUUUUUUUUAAGUUAGUUUUGAUUUUGAAGAGAAACAUGUGAAGAGAAAGAGGCAUAUAACGAAAAUUCCAAAAAAAAGAUAACUUUUUAAAACAAUGAAACUUAAAAUAAUAUCAAAUACAAUGAACCAAAAAAAAAUACAAACAGUAAAAAAAUUUGAACAAAUUAAAAUGAAAUACUAAUAAAUAGAAAAUCUGGCCGACACUUAAAAAAUUUAUUUAAAACAAAAAAUUAAACUUGCAUAAAGAUAUAAUGUAAUAUGAAGCAGUAACAUUUUUAGAAAGUGUCUAAUACUUAAUAUUAAUUUUAUUUUAUUNNNNNNNNNNNNNNNNNNNNNNNNNNNNNNNNNNNNNNNNNNNNNNNNNNNNNNNNNNNNNNNNNNNNNNNNNNNNNNNNNNNNNNNNNNNNNNNNNNNNNNNUAGAGAGAGAGAAAAAUUAUGUUAAAUUGAUUUGGAGUCCUUUUUUUUUGUAUAAAAUAAUUUUAAAAUUAAUCAUAAAAAAUAUUAGUACAUAAUAUAAACAAAAAUCAGUAAUAUACAAAUUAGACUUAUUGUACUAAUAUAAACAAAAUUGUAACACAAAUUCAAAGCGAACAAAAUUACAACACAAAUUUAUACAGUACAGAUGAAUAUCAUACAGAGUUACAAAUAUUCCUUUUGAGUCGAGGAAAACUUGACGCGUAUUGGGACGGUAGUUGAGCUGCUAAGCCAUUGACAGACCGUUCAGUGUUGUUGCAGGGCUUGUCGGUAGAGGCUGGCUUCUCUUCUAUGAGCCGUCAUGGGUGAACGCUUUUAAAGUGAACGGAAGUGUCCAAUGAAGGGUGUGAGGUUAUGGCAGUAUGAUUUGAUGGGCCUUUUAUUGUAAUGUAUCCAUACACUAGUAGUGAUUUGUUUGUUUAAGAAAAUAAGGGGAUAUAUAAUGUUGAAACGAAAUAUAUCAAAUAAAUGACUAUUAUAUUUUAUAUUUUACGUAAAUAACAUAUUAUUGAUUAAAUUUCUCGUAUUUAAAGUUUUCAAUGAAUUGAAGAGCCAAAAAUUUCUAUUUUAAUUUUCUUAAGCAAUUUUCAUAGGACAUUUUUAGGUAUUUUCUAAAAAAAUUGAUAAAUUAGUGUUUGAUCUUUUAAAAUAUUAUAUUAAUUCUUAAUAAAUUAAAUGGUAAUUUUUUUUUAAAAAGUGACAUUUUAAUUUUUAAUUUAUUCUAUUAUAUAAAAAAGAUUUUUUUCUCAAAUAAAAUAAAAAAAUAAUUAAUUUCCCAAACCCUAUUUUCCAGGUUUAAUUACGAGGAUACGAUUUUUUUUGGUAAUUAAGGAGAGUUCGCCGUACCGUCGGCGAACUCUAUGUAGAGUUCGGCAUAUUAUAUAAGCCCAGUGAGACCAUUUGUGUUUGUCCUAUUCUUGUACAAUCUCUCUUCAAAAUUUACUGUCUUCCUCUUUUAUCCUAUCUUUUGGACGCACGUGAAGUUCAUUGCAGACGACAUUCUUUGUUUCAGGUCAGUAAAUAAUAGUUUAGUUAGAGUUAAAUUUUUUGCUUACUUAGAGUUAGAUUAUUUUUAGCGUAGUUAGCGUAACUAUUGACAUGUUAAUUAAAAUAAUUUAGUUAUAGGUUGUUUGUUAGUUAGAGUUACAGAGUUACUAAUGACAUGUUAGUUAGAUUUACUGUUAAUUAUUUGUUAUGUUAGUUAAAAGGUGAGUUCAGUAUUUGUGAUUUUAUUUUACUGGAUUGUAUUUAGAUGGAGGAGCAGGUAUUGGGUUACGAGGGUGAGAUGUAUAGACUGGAUCACACUGAUCACAUUGCUGGCAGGCUUGACAGAGUGAUACACUUUUUUAACUGUUUUUUAUUUUGUUAUAAUUAAUUAGCAGUGAAACUCUAAUUUUAUGUGUUAAUUGUCCCUCUUUUUUGUGUUUUUUGUUUCCGUUUGGUAGGCGCCUCGGGUACUCCGCACUAGGCAAAAUUUGAUGGCACGGCCGCCGGAGCAGAUUAGGCCAAAUCUCAGACGAGAUGGGUUUGCGUAUGUGGCCUAUAUGGUCGAGUUUGAGCACGACUAGCCUCUUGCCUCGGCUUUGAUAGAGAGGUGGAGACCUGAGUCCCACACGUUUCAUCUACCGUGUGGAGAGAUGACUAUCACCAUGCAGGACGUAGCCUACCAGCUGGGGCUCAGGAUUGACGGUGAUCCUGUGAGUGGGUGCAUCAGUGGGUGGGAGCAGCACCAUCAGGGACACACAAUUGAGGAGAUACGUGAGUAGCUACUCGGUGUUGUUCCACGCCCAUAUGACCGUCAAUCACAGACGAAGUGGACGAUGAAGCUCACGUGGUUCCAGAACACAAAUUGUGGAGAGCUGGAGCAGGACGCUACAGAGGAGCGCUUGAUGAGGUACACGAGAGGGUGCAUCAUGCAGCUGAUAGAGGGUAUCCUGUUCCCGGAUACCUCUGACUCUCGGGUACACAUCAGGUGGCUCCUACUACUGGAGGACCUUGAGAGGUGUGGUCAGUCUCCUAGCAUGGCUGUAUUGCCAGAUGUGUCGGGCCACGGAGCAUGGCCAACGCAAUUUGGGAGGGUGCGUUAGCUUGCUGCUGUCCUGGGGUUACUACCGCAUUCCGCUGAUACAGCCUGACGACUUUGAUACUCGUCGAUUUCCCCUACUGGAGAGGUAUUAUAGACACGUAUAAUAAGCUUUUAUGUUAUUAUUACUAAGUUAAUUAUAUUGAGGAAUAAGAUAUCACUGUGGUUGGCAUUGUAGGUGGGUUUAAUACCGACCGGACAAUGCCAUGGGCGAGAGCAGGCUUAGGCAUUACAGGCAUACCCUGAACGGGAUUGGGAUGCGGAAUUUAAGUGCAGAGUAUUCAAGUUUUACAUAGUUAAGUUUAAUGUACUUUUAAUAAGUGUUUUAUUUGAAAUUUGUAUGUCGUUAUUUAUAUGUGUUUUGUGAACAGGUUGAGUGGACGCCGUAUGCUGGCCCACAGCUGAUUGGUAUAGUUCCACCGGCGAUAGCUGAGGCAGAAGCAUCAUCGGCAGUUGUAUGUCCAUUACUUUGCUUUGCUAUCGUCGAGUGGCAUCAGGUGGAUCGAGUUGUACGUCAGUUCGGUGGCCUGCAUCACAUUCCGACCAGGCCACUGAACAUAGACGACAUGCACAAGUUGGAUGGUCGGUUUGGUCGCGGAGAGUGGUUUCCGCAGCUUCUCGGUGGCUGGCAUGAGUUGUGGGAUGCUCGAGUCCAUCAUCAUCUGCCUAUACACCAUCAUAUAGACCUACGUUCGUCGCUCUCAUACAUGACUUGGUACCUUCAGUGGGCGCACAUGGAGUUAUUCGGCCUAGGUGACCAGCACCUAGUGGCGGCCGAGGUUGUGCCAGAAGAUCUGCCCAUGCACCAUCCACUUGCUCCAGAUCUGCAUCAACCGGAUGACGGGCACCUACUAGAGAUGAGGCCAGCAGCAAGAGGUGGGAGAGGUAGGGGUGGAGGAGAGCCAGGGGAAGAGGUAGGCGCGGUGCUGGGUACAAAUUUUAAUUGAACUAAUUGAAUUCGUCCCUAUAAUAAGGAAUCAAUUUAAUUGAAUAAUCUUGAAUCGUUUAUAUAGUUAUUUUUAUAGUCAAUAAAUGUGACUGUUUUUUCAAGAUCCAAGAAGUUAUUGAUAAGGAUAUGUAUGAUGAAUUAUCAAAAAAUUUUUUUAGGUACACAAUUUUUAUAUUCUCUUAUUUUGUUUAUUAACUAUUCUUAUAAUUUGGUAUUUAAAAACAAAAAAAUAAGCAUUCUCAUUUCUUUUGUUUUUUCACUAUUUACAGGAAAAUGAAAAUCUCUUCAUAUCUAGAUCCAUAUUUUGGUCUACCACUUAAAAAAAAUUAAGACAAAUAUGAAUAUUCAUGACAUUUAAGUAAAAUUAUCUUUUGUAAAUGACUAACAUAUAUUUUGGUUUAUAUAUAUUCUUUUUGAAUCAGGCAUUUUAAAAUAAAAAAAUAUGAUAUAAAUAAGAUCACAUUAAUAUUAAAAUAAUAAAAAAUUACUUAUCUAAUAAUUUUGAAGAGUGAAUAAUAUAUUAACAAAAAAAUUAAUUUCUUAAAAAAUAAUAAAAAAACGGCUGAACAGGCACGAUAGUGACUGUUGAUGAUGCAUAAAUUACAUAAAUUUUACCCCAUAGUUCUUUAAGGAAUUAUGCAUAAUUGAAUAUCCAUAAAACAGAUACGUUAGUGGCUGUUGAGCUGCUACUUCCUUAUAAAAAGAAUAAUUGAAUAUAUAUAAAGAUUGUGCCCGUUUCAAUCUUUUGAAUAACACAUCGUAUAUUAUAAAUGUCAUUUUCUUAAAAUAUUCACAUUCAAAUUACAUAAUUAUAAUGCAUUGUUAGCCUCUUUAUUUUCUAUCAUGAUACCACAUUAAUUUUAGUGGCAGAAAAGUCUAAAGGACCAGUAAUUUUGUUAAAUUCUGGCCAGCAUGUAACCAGCAAAGAAAAGUGAGCCAUUGGAUGAAAUCUCACACCAAUCUCACACCAUUAAAAUCAUUAUUGAUGGCUAUUUGAUGACUACAAAUCACAAAAAUUGCUGGCCCUAACAUUUCUCUUUUAGUGGCUAUUUCACACAACUUUAAUUUGUAUAAGAUUUUUAUUAUAUUUUUACUCCUAUAACUUUUUUUUUCAUUUGUAUAAUAUUAUAAGAUGCUUUCUUAAUACCAUAUUACCAUUACUCUUUAAUAGCUGCUGCAGCCAGAGUAGGAGUCCUGAGGCUGAGCGGUGGUCUAUUCAGGGUAGGUGAUCGUGCCGGUGCCGGAGCCGGACGAAGAUAGGAGGCCGAUGCUGGUGCUUCUUCCACAACCACAGGAUUCUGAGGUAACUAAUUAAUAAAGCAAUUCACAGCAUUAAAGAAUCCAAAGUAGUUAGGUAGUCGGUUAGAGUAACAAGUAACAACUAAACGAGGAAGAAAAUGAAAAGGAAAGAAGAACGCACCGCAGGAGAGGGAGAUCUACGAGUGCGGGAGGUGAUAUUGCUGGUAGAUUUGAUGGCAUUUCUGGAUAGAGAGAGAGGUGGAGGAGCAGCGUAGCGAAAUCCGAGAUCGUCGUCGUCGUCGGCGGUCUGGGAAGCCAUGACCUGUGCGAGGCGCUGAGCAGCGGUUUUGGCGGCAACAUUCUGAUUCCUCUCGACGGUUGAGAUUUCAUUGUUUCCGGUGAGAGUUAGGGAGGAGGAGCGAGCAUGGCCAGAAGCACCAUUAGGUGAAGAAAGAGAGCUAGAUUCACUCUGCUCCACUGCCUGAUAGAAACCGGGCUCUCACUUCCUUUACGCUCCAUCACCAUCAGAAAUGCUUAAUGCUAAAUGCUAAUGAAACCGCUUCCUCUUCGUCUUCCUCUUCCUGAAAAGAAAUAUUGACAGUCAAGUGAAUGUGAGCCUCUUUAGUCUUUACUUUGGUUUACACUUUACACUGCUUUGCUUUUUCACUCGAUUCUCAUUUCACUCUGUACCUUACUUAUCAAAUAUGACAAACUUUUUUUUUCUGAAUGGUACAGAUGAAUGUUAGAGGUCAUAACUCAUGACUCUACUACGACCGGGACACUGCAACGACAAAGAGGAAUCCAUUAUAAAAAAGGGUGCGCACACUCUCUUAUAGUCUUCAGUGUUUUUUGGAGCAAGUGAGCAACUCUCUCUCAGACUCUCACCGCCAUUUAUCUGAAAAUUAAAUUAGUAAAGUGCGCGGGAGGUAGGGUGGUGAGGAGGCUCCCCGGGACAGAGACCCAGUCAGCCCGCCAGUGCACUGGGCCGCUGAUACAAGGCAGACGGUUGGGACUGUUUCAGGACUAGUACUUGAAGACUACUUGUCACUGAGACCACCUGGCUCACACCACUCAGAGGCAGGGACCAAUCAGCAGGGAGAGAUACCUGAGGUCAGUGUACAUUUCGAUAUCGGGACCCAGUUUCAGUUGUCGUUCAGCCCGUCGGAGCUCGACCCCUAGCCCGACUACCAGCCCUUGUUGGACACCCAGGACAUGAUCGAUGUUAGCAUGAUGGUGCCAGACUGGAUGGCUCCUUUGAUGCAGGGGGUGAUAUCGGGUUGGGAGAUGUGUCGACGAUGCCCCAUCAGACCUAGCCAUUCUUGCAGAUGCAUGCUAUGCCACCUCAGUCUGCAUACUUGGCACGCAUCCCGGAUGAUCAGUCCAGUGGAUCAUCGUCUACUACAGAUUAUGCGACGCUGAGGGAGCAGAUGAGCACUCCUACACCACCUCCGGUUCCUCCAGUUGGUCGCGGGCAGCACGACGUCAGACCACCUUCGUGUGGCACAGAUGGCUGUCUCGACCCGUGGCCUCAUGGACAACAUGUUGAUCCACGUGGUGGUGGGCGAGGGCGUAGGUAGUUGAUUCUAAUUUAGCUAUGUUUGUCAUACUGUUUCGUCACUGAAACUGGUGGAUUUUUUCUGUGAAAAAUUUAUGUAUAUCUUGUUUUGAAUGACAUAAACAUAAAGUUUUGAAUGACAUAAACAUAAAGUUUUCAAUGAUAUAAACAAAAACAAGUCUGUUGUACACAACAUUUCCAUAGAAAUGAUAAUAGUAAAUAGACAUAAAUGACACCUAUAACUAACGUCGACUAGAAGACGCCCCUCCACCAUCAAGAGCAGUACAAGUCCUCCGUGUGUGUCCGUUCUGGAAACAUAAUCUGCACUGCUUUUCGCCGUUAUGCUCAACGUCAUCCAUGUUGUUGCGAAUUCUAGAGCUGACAGGUCGACCUCUCUUCACUCUCAUCAUUCUCGGGUUGGGCUGAAUACGGGAUCCUUCAUAAGAUGGCCAGUCAUCCUCAUGCCCUCGGUCGAAACUCUGAUCUAUAAACAUUGAAGACCGACUCUAUGCGGUACACAGGAUGAAUAAAACUCUUCCAAUCAAGUCUUGCAUGAGAGCAAGCUGCAAGGACAUGACGACAAGGAAGAUGAAGAGCUUGGAAAUACCCACAGUCACACGUUCCCUCAUUAAGCAGCACCUGAUAAUUCUGUUGCCUGGACCCAGGAACUGCCGCUAGCUCUUCAACCGUAAAGUUUGUUCUCAAUCGAUCAAACUGGUAAACAUUCAUGGUAUUCACGUGCUUGGAGUUGAAUUCUAUGGUUUUCACCAACGUCUGAGAGAACUCAGCACCGAUUUGAAGUUGGGUCAGUGCCUCGGAACCCUUCCUUGCAAAAAGUUCACCCAAUCGAAAAUAACUUGACUUGACGAGAGUUGUGAUUGGCGAAUUGCGAGACCCCUUCAUCACAGCAUUAAUGCACUCGGAUAUAUUCGUCGUCAUGUGACCAAAUCGACGACCCUCAUCAACAUACUGUGCCCACUGUGACCGUUGCAUUUUCUCAAGCCAGUUAGUGAUUGCCAUGUUUUCGCCCCGCAGCCAGCCAAAAUAAUGCGCAAACUCACGCUGUGACUUUGAAUACGCUGCGUUAAUUAGAACCUUCUUCAAGUCUAUGUUUUUAAAGUGGGUCAUGAAGUUGGCUGCAAUGUGUCUUGUACGAAAGGCUUGGAAGGCAUGAGGUGGUUUCCAUAAAGUCCCUUCGGCAUUCAAUGCACUAUCAAUGGAUUUGUGUCUGUCUGAAAUCACUAAGAGCCCGUGUUGUGGUGUGACAUGCUCCCGCAAAUACGACAGAAAGAACGACCACUCCUCCUUUGUCUCACCCUCGACGACGGCAAAUGCAAUAGGCAGAAUAUUUGCGUUCCCGUCUUACGCUAUCGCCAUCAGUAAGGUCCUACCGUAUUUACCAUAUAGGUCAGUGCCAUCAAUAGAAAUAAGUGGCUUGCAAGGCUUGAAAGCCUCAACACAUGAUGGAAAUGUCCAAAAGACCCGAUGAAAUAUGACAGUAUGUGUGGAACCAGGCCAAGGCUGAGUCACCAGUUGCACCCAAGUACCUAAAGAGCCAAACUUAGUUGCCUACUUGUACACAUCUGAUAUUUUUAAUUGAAAAUAACCAAUAUUGAAAUAAGUAUUACCCGGCAAGUACAUCUCCAUUGCGAAUAACCAACAAGGAAGCUUGUUGUACGAUUCCUCCCAAUCGCCAUAUAUUCUGGCAAUCACUCUCUAUUUUGCAGGCCAAGCCUUUCUGUAGGACGCCUUGUGUAAGAACCCGCGUUUUCACGUAAAACCAUUUUAAUAAAAUAAUUUUAGUGCCAGAAAUAGAUUCAAAAUUUAGAAGUUUUAAUUUGAAAAUAAAAAUGUAAAAUUUGAUUUCAGUGAAUUUUUCUGAGCUGGAAAAUGUAUUUCUUUCGAAAAGUUUUUGUAAAAAUGCGUACUGACACUUAAGCUGGCAGUACCGGCUCUGGACUGUCCAGUAUCGUGUAUUUUGAAAAAUAAUAUUUUGAAGAUUGAUUUAUUAUUUUGAAAGGAGAAAAAUAAUUUAGAAUCGAAAAUCGGGCACUAAUCUUAAAGGUUUUGGCCCAAAGUGGGCCAAACGGACAAAAAACGCUAACGGAUUGAACCGGGUCCAAACCUGGCCCAAAAUCCAACAUAUAUAAGCUCAUUUAAUGAGCUUUGAACUCAUUUUUCCAUCCCUAAGGGAGAGAGGGGGCGCAGCUGCCAUGAGAGGAGAGGGAGAAGAGAAAAUACUAUUCACCCUCACCUUCUUUUGCUUGUAACUUGAGCUACGGACCUCCGAUUGACAAGCUGUUUGCGGCCACGUGAAGCUCUCAAUGAGCUCUUCCUUUCUAUCUAAAGGAAUCUGGUAAGGGCUCGCAUCUCACUCUCCAUUUUCGUGCCCUAAGUUUCUGCACGUUUUUUGUUGGGGUUUUGAGCAAGUUUUGUGGUUUUGCUUGUUUAGGUGAUCUCUAGUAGCGGGUAAUUGUUGGAUUUUACCCCUAAUCUCGUUGGAUAAGGUAAGGUUCCACUAAAUUCUUGUGUUUAAUUGUUUUGUGUAUCUUAGAUUUUGAUUUUGAUGAUAUAUGUGUUGUUAGUGUGAGCCUUGGUAUUUGUUGGUGUUAGUUGAGGCUUUGGAUAAAGUUUGGUGGUUUUGUUUUGGUGUUUGGUGCAUUUGGGAAUUGGUCAAAGUAUGGUUUCAGUUUUCUUUAUGUAAUAUGUAAUGUUUCUGAACACUUAGGCUAGUGACCCAUAGGAUAGGAUUGAAUUAAAUUGGUUGUUGGGAUUGUUGUAUGAUGAUGAUGUAUAAUGAUUUGAGGAUUUGAGUUGUUGAAUGAUGAUUUAUGAUGAAUUAUGAUGGGUUGAUGAUUUUUGAGUAUAUUGGUGAAUUAUGAUGUUGUAAUGAUAAUAUGGUGUGAAAUAUGUAGAUUGAGGUAAAAUGAGAUUGAGAGUGAUGCUUGGUAUUGAUAGAUGAUGAAUAUUGAUGAAUUGUGUUGGUGGGCGGGUUGGAUAGCUUGACCCAGGGUAUGAACAGAGCACCUUUUGACUUCACAACAGCUGGAUCACUUAUUAGCGCUGACGUGGGGGAAACCCUCGCUUGUGCAUCACUUUUAUUGAUGCCAUUGCACUGCAUCUAAGUGUGGGCACUAUAUCAUCAGCGGGGUCUUGCUCGCCAAUUGAGCAUAUAAAAUCACUCUUUGCAUCUCUUGUCCAUCUUUUCAGGAUAAGAGAUGUAGGGAUGCAUUUUGCAUUGCGAUGCUUCAAGACCCGAAAGAUGUGGGAGCACGGUAAUCCACGAGUCUCAAAUAGCCUGCACUCACACGCAAACAGGUCCUUGUCUUUAUUGUAAGAUACUUUAAAUUUCCAUUGCUGAUUAAAAUACUCGCUCGUGUUGUACUCAACAAUGUCUCCACUAUUUGGGCAUUCAUUCACAUUUAAGGCACGUGCUGCUUCUAUCUCAUCUUUCACAAGUUUGAAAAUAUUUCUAGUAUAAAGUUCAGCAGCUUGUUUCUCAAAACUUUCCAAGCACGUAGUCAAAACAGAAAACUUAUAAAAGGUUUCAAAGUCAGCAGUAAGAUGGUUGUUUCGGUAAUGCCUUAGUACUUCACUAAAUUUAUGAAUGAAUUCAAGGAGACUGGUUUUGCUGUCAACAUAGUUCUUCAAUAAUGAAUGAAUUCCCUCACACUGUGAUGUAGUUCUUAUGUGGCCAAAGAAGUGCUCCCUCAAAUAUACGGUAGCCCACUUCAUUUUGUCAUUAUAAAUGCCCUGGACCCAUUCAUUCUCGGCAAGUCCGUAUUUGGAUAUGAUCUCGCUCCAUCUCUCUUCAAAUAUUUGUACGGUAAACUGUCCAUACAAUAAUACAUUAAAAUCGUCCCAAAAAUGCUUGUUUUUUAUAUUCUAUACCGCAUUACGAUGGAGAUUCCAUGCACAAAGGCGGUGUGGUAUACAAGGAAAUACUUCUAAGAUAGCCUCUCUCAUAGCAUGGUCUCCGUCUAUCACAAUGCCUCCGGGUAGUUUUUCUGACAUGAUUUCCAAAAAUACCUUCAGUGCCCACUUGAAAGUUUCGGAUCUUUCAUCUGAGAGCAGGGCAUCCAAAGAUAGUUGUUUGGCCAUGGUGGUUGGUCCCUGAAAAUAUGACUAAGGGAUUGUUGUAGACAUUUUUCUUGUAAGUGGUGUCAAAAGUGAGUACAUCGCCAAAACAUUCGUAAUCAACAACGCUUUCUCCAUCAGCCCACACCAAAUUAUCCAACCUACCAUCCUUUAAGGUGAACUUUCAUAGAAAUAACGGGUCACUGUCUGCCUUGGACAACAGAUAGGCCAACGCAGCAAAUGCAUCACCGUCUUUCAUUUUGCCACGCCUAGUCUUACUAAUGUGGUUAUGUAAGUCUUUGCUGGUAAAACCCACUUUAUCGUAUCAACCUUUUUGGGAAACCAUGUAACCCAUUAUGUGGCAAAUUUUAACACCACAUGCUCGCAAGCUGUCUGCUUGUGUUUUAUCGGCCUCAUCAAGCCCACGAUUCGCAACAAUAAGAUGUUUGUACUUAGGUAAACACAGUGGAUGAUUGUGUUCACUCUCAAAGAUACUGACUUUCCACUUACCCGUUCUAUAGUGACGAAUAAACCGAAUCCUCGCCCUGCAGUUGACACGAGUAAUUGCCCUAUGCUCCCUUUGCCAAUUGUCCCUUUUAAGGUGCUUCCAAUAUCUUUCUCCUGCUUUAUUGCAAACCAACUGUCUUGUAUUAAUGUUGCCAUUAGCAUCCACCGUCUUCAAGUCUUUUCGGGACACAAAUCCAUAGCACUUGGCAUAUUUGGCGUAAAAUUCACAAACUUGAGAUUCUGUAUCAAAUACUAGUCCCCAUAUGUCUUCGAUGGUCAAAUCAGUUAUCAACUUUUCAAAACCAUCAGCAUUAAUUAUAUAUGCCUCUGCUUCAUCUACAGUUACAUCCACCAUAUCAUUACUUUCAUCGGAACUGCACUCAUACUCAACACUUAAAUCCUCAGAUUGAUCACCAUCCUUAUACGACUCUUUGCCAUCAUUCUCCAUGACUGAACUUAAAAUUUUAACAUGUUAGGUACUAAAUAAAUGAUAGGAGAAUGGAAUAGACAAAAUGAACUCAAUUUUUUAUGAUUAAAAUUAUCGGUCAAUCAAAUUCUAUGAAACCUAAGAGCUAUUAGUGCAUAAGAAUGUUAUUUAUAUGACAACCAAGAGUUACAGAAAAAAAUUCUCUAACUUAUUAACUUCCUAUGGUCUUUCUUUUGAAAACAAGAAUACAACAGAUUCAAAUAAAUAUGAGCACAUGAAUGAUUUGCCAUAGUUUUGUGUGAGGCAUUUCAUUUAUUCAUGAAAGGAUGAAAUAAAGUCAUUAAAUUGAUUUGCCAUAGUUGUGUUUAGUAUGAGGGGUUGAUAGAAUGCUUUUAAGAGAUUGUGAUUAGGUGGUUACACAUUCUGUUUUUUCCUCCAGUUUUUGAGUUUAGGGUGGUAGUUAUCUUUUUAGUAUAGCCUUGUAAGUACUAGGUUCUGGUGGUGAACAAAUCUAUAUAUUGAAAAAAGUGGAACUUGUAUAGUGCAAUUUUGAUG